UGAAUUUUGCAGAUGCUAUUGUUGAGAGUCAGCGAUGUGAAUGCGCGUGUUUGGAUUCACAUGGUACGCUCAGUAGUCAGUAUGUAGCUAGGAUUGUUUGGACCCUAAGCAUCGCAAAGCCUUUUUCAAACAAGGCCGAAACUGUAUGACUGCUGCAUACCUACUAGAUUCCUAAGCUUCUGCAUAAGACGUGUGUCCCUUCAUCUGCUGGGUUGCACAAGGGCUGACCUGGCUUCACAAGUAUUCUACCUGUACAAUUGUACUUGAUAAAUAUAUGCCAAGGCUGUAGAAUAACUACUGGAGAUCUUAAAAUACUUGGGGGUGCUCCGAGUCAUCAAGAAAUCAUCAAAACAAAACCUAAUUUGUUUCUUAAUUUGCUAAAAAUAACUAAGGAAGUGAGUUGCAAGUAGCUCUGAUGGAUAUGCUAUAAAUGAUUCGUACUUGGAGGCUAGGUGCUUUUACUAUUUAUAUAUAUAUUGGCAAUGAUUGGCUCGGUUUUGAUAUUGUCAAAGUUGCAAGCUAAGGUGCAUGCAUGGGGAGGUGAAUCUAGGACAAACAUGUAAGAAUCAGCUGUAAACAACCAUAGUUUGAGCUUUAAUUUAUGUUUAACAUAAAAGUCGGUGUUCCCAAUCGCUUCCUCCAUACAUACACGGUCUACGUCUUGACAUACAUCAUGCAUAUAUAUAUAUAUAGUAUUCUCCAUAUUAACAAUGACAAGAAUUCGUAUUUUAGAAUCAAUAUUGGUGUAUUUUGUGAUUUUUUAUAAUGACACAUGUAAGUACUUUAAAUUCAGAUCUAGAGGUUAAUAAUGACAUAUCCGACUCAUUUAGAUGCAAAUUUAGGGGUUAUUAUAACUUAUUUUUGUAAUAGUAUAGGUGGGUAAUUUAGACCAAUGAUUGAUGACGGGUUAAAAUCAAAACACAAGGGGAACAAAACGUCAGUCAACUGAUAAACUCAACCCUUGUCCUUUCUACUGCAUUUUUAUGGUGCACAUUACCCCCGAGCCUUUUAACAUGCAUUCUUCAUUGUUUACAGUACCAAAUAAGACUGGGCCUGCCUUCAAAUGACACGCUGGCUUGCUUAUAAAGAAGCGGGCCGGCUGAGAGCAUGUAUGCAUGCAUCCUUGUGGGUCGUUUUGGGCUCUGAAUAUAGGCCCUGCAAGACCUAGGUAUAGAUUUUUUUAAAAGAAAGGGAUAAAAAAAUAAAAUUGGGAAAAGGGGUGCCGGUGGGGAAUAUUUUGAAAAAUGGGUACCUCCCGCCCGAUCAGCGGGCGAGAGGUUCCCCGAGGGCCUCUUCGCGAAUUUCUUAUUUGCGAAGAGGUCCCUGCGGGGGCCUGCGAGGGCAUCCCGCCCACCCAAAGGGCGGGAUGUUGUCCUGAGGGGCAUCCCGCCCUUUGAUCGGGCGGGAGGUCCCCUCCGGCUAUAUAAGCCCCAGUCUGCCCCAAAAUUUCAUUUUAUCCAGCAAAAAUCAGAAGAAAAAAAAGAAAGAGAGGAGAGGAAGAGAGAAAAGGAAGCGGCGAAGCCGUGUUCACACGUCGAUUUGGAGGUAUAUUCUCAUUCUAGCCGUAUAAUUACUUGAAAAUAACUAUAAUCUAGGAAAUAUUUCUUAGAGUAGUUAUGUUUUGAAUAGUUUUUAGUAUUUUCAUUUGUUUUUAGUAUAAUUUAUAUUCUGAAUAGUUUAGAUUUUGUAAAAUAUAAUCUGAGAAUCGCUGAAACUUAGGGUCGUCGUCGUGUAUUAAUAUGUAGUAUAACUAGUUUAUUCAACUGUGCGGUAUUUUCAGAUAUGUUUUCCGAUAAGGUUAUUUUCAGUAUAUAUUACGGAGAAGGAAAUGUGAUUUAUGGGCCAAAUGGGUUAGAUUCAAGUGAAUUCAACUGUACGGUCAGAGGAAUUAUCAGACCGCACGAGAGGACAUUUGAAUCCCUAUGCAACUGGUUAAUGAGGGGAUUAAGGAUUGAUCAGGAGACACACACUGUGAGUGUUCAAUGCGUUAUAAAUCGUACCACUCACGCUUUAAUCUGGGAGCUGAUGCCACUUGCAAGCAACGAGGACUGGUUAACUUAUCUGCAAAAUGUAAGUUAUUGGCAAUGGCCACUGGUACUCCUGUCAGUGUGCACUAGAAUCCUUUGAUAAACAUUGAAGCUGCUCUGGGGAUGAAAAUAUUGAUGAAGAAGUUGAGGAGGCAAACAUUGAGGCAGGUGGCACCGCAGCACCUCAAUACGUGGCUGAUGAGGGGGAGAACAUACCCUUCAUUGUUGAACAGCAGCAAGACGAAGAACGUGAAUUCGACGAAGCAAUGAAUGCCGAUUCGUCUGAUGCUGACGAUGAUGUGCCUGAAGAUUGGGUAAGCAGCCAAUUCAGUCAUCUUGUCGUAAAUGAUGGAUGUAGCUGGCCUUCUGAUUGCAGGGAGAAUGAAAUUGUCCAGGGUGCGAGGUACCACUCAAUUGAAGAGGUGAAGGAAGCUGUUAAGUGCUGGUCUCUCUCUUAUGCUAGAGUUUAAAACAGUCGAGUGCAAAUCUCGUAAGUACGAUGUGGUAUGUAUGAAGGAGGGCUGUCCGUGGCGGGUGCAUGUCUAUAAGGGUAAAUGGAAAGAUUACUGGGAAUGCUCCAUUGUCACUCAUCACACUUGUCAUUUGCCUGGGGUGCAGAAGACCCAUCGCAACCUCACGUCGCAAUACAUCGUAAAUGAGAUGUACGGGAUAAUAGUAGAGAACUUGUCAUAUGAAUCAAAGUCUAUUAUCAGGUAUAUUCAGGAAAAAUACAAGUAUACCAUCUCGUACAACAAGGUGUGGAGUGCAAAACAAAAGGUGUUGGAGAUGAGGUUUGGUACGUUUGAGGCUGCAUAUGAUAAUGUUCUUCGAUUGCUGGCCGUCCUAUGUCAGAGAAAUCCUGAAAGCUAUUAUGACCUGAAAACUCUAGAUAGAGGAGAAGAUCCGCCCUACACAUUGCAGCGGGUCUUUUUCAGCUUGGGUCCAUGCAUUAACGUAUUCCAUCACUGCCGGCCUCUCCUGUGCAUCGACGGGACCUUUCUCACAGGAAAGUAUAGAUUGCAAAUGCUGACAGCUAUUGGAGUGAAUGGAAACAAUCAAUUGCUUUCUGUUGCUUUUGCUAUUGUUGAGAGUGAGAACACAGACAGUUGGUACUGGUUCCUGGAACGGGUUAAGCUUGCAGUCGUUCGGGAUAGGGAAGAUGUCUGCCUGAUUCAUGAUCGUCACGCCGGCAUACUGAGGGCAAUACUAGAUUUGCAGCAGGGGUGUGUGGAGACCGAAGAGCCGCCCAAUUGGCGUGAUGUUCGCAGUAGGUGGUGCAUAAGACAUAUCGGUGUAAACUUUUUCAGGCAAUUCAAAAACAAGCACCUUAUGGAUAUGUUCAAGAGGCUAUGCAAGGAAACGAAUCAGCAAAAAUUUAACAAGCAGUGGUAGAAACUUGAUGAACUGGUUCAAGAGGCUAUGCAAGGAAACGAAUCAGCAAAAAUUUAACAAGCAGUGGUAGAAACUUGAUGAACUGAUCGGGAAGAAAAGAGCCGAGGACGCAUCAAAAAACAGAACUGCACAUGAUGAAGCAGAGGCUUUGUGUCCUUUGACAACAGAUACCGCACGUACUCGUAGAAGGUCUGGGUCAGCGGUGAAAACCUUUUCUGAAUGGAUUGAGAAUGAACCCAAGGAGAAGUGGGCGUUACUUUAUGAUACCGAUGGUGCAAGGUACGGCAUAAUGACUACCAACUUCGCCGAGGUUUACAAUUGGGUGCUGCGAGGUGUUCGUGCGCUUCCACUGGUUGCAAUUGUGGAAUUCAUCGUCCGCGGGUGUACCGAUUACUUUAGGGAGCGGUUCACUAAAAAUCAGGUAUUCAUGCGAGAUUCUGAUAGAUAUUUUGGGAAAAUGAUAACAGAAUAUAUGACUAAGAAGGUAGAAAGCGUCCGGCUACACCACGUACGGCAAUGUGGUACACAGGAGCUCAAGUUUGAGGUAUCUCCUAAAGACAGAGCGCGACGUGGCAUGAGACGUCAAACUCCUGUAAAGGAGUGCAUUCUCAAGUUUGAUGGAACUUGUUGUUGCUCAUGCAUGAGGCCAAAGUUGCUGCACUUACCUUGUUCUCAUGUAAUGGCUGCUUGUGCGGAUAUUCGACAUCCUGUCGAUAUCUAUAUUUCCCAUUACUUCAGAAAGGAGACAAUUACCAGCACCUGGCAGUAUGAGAUCUAUGGGUUCCGUUUGGUUGGAUCAUUCACUGAGACAGCGAAUCCUGUUAUAUAUAUUCCAGAUCCAAGAUCAUCACGGGUUAAGAAAGGGUGCCGUCAGACACGGCGUAUUCGUAAUGAUAUGGAUGAGUCAGAGCUCCGUCCGAGGAUACAGCGCUGCAGUGCAUGUAAUCAGAUUGGACACACUUAUAAACGUUGUCCAAACAAUGAUGCUGGCCCCCAGUUCUGCUGAAGCUGGCCCUACAGGUGAUGCUACAGAUGGAAGACCUCCGGUUGCAUCAAGGAGUGGGAGACGUCGCCGAUCGAGUGCUAGUACGUCAUCAGGCAUUAUUUAGUUAUAAUUUUAUUUGAACGUUGUUUGCUCAUAUGUAAUAUUUGCCGCGUUGAGAUUGUAUCAGACCUGAAUGUGUAUUUGUUAUAUUUGCCGCAUUGACUAAAGACAGAAUAUUUGGAUUCAUGUAUUAGUAAUAUUUGUAAUAUUUGUAAUGUUUGUUAUCAUAUGUAAUAUUUGUAAUGUUUGUUAUCAUAUUAUUUUAUUUUUAAUGGCUUCAUGUAUUGUACUAUCGUAAUAUUUUGAUUUUACGUUGCAAAACGGUAUCGUUUAACCAUCUUCGUACGAGUUUUAGAUACCGUAAUCUUCUUCGUAAUAUUGAAUUAAAUUUUUAUAUGCAUACAUAAGAGUAAGGCGAAUAAAUCUUAUAUUCGAAAAAAGUCUGAAUUUCAAAUUAUUUGUGAAACAUAAAUUCUAAGAAAGUAUAACAAAAAUCAUAACCAGGGGACCUCCCGCCCACUGGAAGGGCGGGAUGCCGCUGGACGGGCGGAAUGCCUGCUGCAGGAGCCUUUUCGCGAAUAAGAAACUUUUCUUAUUCGCGAAGAGACCCCUGGAAAUUUUUUUGGAACCUCCCGCCCGAUGGGUGGGCGGGAGGUCCCCGGCCCCACGCAUCCCGCCCGAUCAAAGGGCGGGGGUACCCAAUUUCCCAAUUUUUCCCAUCCGGAUCCUCUUUUUCGAAUUUUAAUUUUUUAUCCUUUUUUUAAAAAAACUCCCUAGGUAUAUGGCACUGUUUCUGAACAACUAGCUACAUGUCAUCUUCCAGACUACCACGGAUGAUUUUCGUAACUUCACACAAGUAGCUAGACUGCAGUAGGGCUGUAUUACCAGCAGUCUCAGUGGAGUUUUAUGAGAAAUUUUAUGAAUAUUAAAUGUCAUGUUAUAUCAGCAAAUUUGCUGACAUGGCAUGGUCAUUAAGAGGAGAGAGGAGUGGGAGUUUCAUGGGAUGCAAGAGGAGUUUCGUCUUCACGACACUCCUCAAGUGCAGUUAUCAAAUUCUAACUGUGCAAUAAAACUAUAUAGGAAUUCCAGCUGCAGCUCUUUGAAGCCAUGCCAUGCGUAUAUAGAUUGGUACACUGCAAUUAACGCCUGGUUGUUGCAGAUUAGUCGGUUGGUAUGCAUAUAUAGCUUUCUGGCAGAAUUGAUCUAUAAUCAGUAAUGGUCGGCUGACAACUGAAGCACUCAGCAGCUUAGGCCCUUCUCUAAUUUUAAGAACUCUAGGAGACAACCCUUCUAACGAACUGGCUCUUAUAUUAGAACAUAGUUUACAAUAUAGUUUAUAAUAUAAAUGAUCCCGUACGCCAUCUCCACGUAAUCUUGAAGUGCGUGUAUAAGACUAUCUCUUGAUCAAGAGAUUGCUCUUCUCUCUCCUCUAUUAAAAUAUGAGAAAAUAUUAUAUGAGCCAGCUUAUAUGGAACUAUUGGAGGAGGUACAGUUACACUGAAGGUCAAUCUAUCUGACCAUAUAUAUAGUAAAGACACUCAAUUUGAAUGAAGGUCUCGAAAGAAAAGACUACUCAGUUUGAUCAGAAUGCUCAGAAUGUUAGUGGGAACCGCAUUAAUCAAUGUUUGAAGCACAUUAACUAUGUUGUCCCCACAUCCAUGCAUAUCGUCGGUGGAUUAAUAAAAGGAUUAGAUGCUGAAUAAAGUUUCUGAGUCCCACAAAUUGAUCUGUUUGUUAUUAGGACAAAAUGACAUGGAUGGUGACUGAUGUGGUUGAGGUUGAUACGUCCUCUUUAGAUUAUUGUCACUGCAUGCGCUGCAGCCGCGCCUAGUAAAAUGUAGGAAGCUGACAGAAAUAGCGUCGUCCUUGUACACUGUUGUCUUUCUUCCAGCUUGCAUUGGCAGCUUCAUUCCCCCUUGCUGAUGAACUGCAGACAGCGCCACCAAAAUGCUACAGUUCCGUCGUCCUUGUACCCUGCCGACUGCACAAGACGCAUAGUCGUUGCAAAUUGUAGCAACCUUCCAGAUCUCAGUGUAUUUGGUGGAGGGUCAAAAUCAAAGCAAAGCUUCCUUCUAUAUCUUUACGCUAGGAUUUCAGUGCAUGUUUCGUUGAUAUGAUGGCAAUAAUAAUAAUGCAAAUGCUCCAACUAAUAUAAUACGUGCCUUAAACUGCUCCCUCAUCCAUGCUUCAAUCUUAUUGCACUUUCACCGUGGACUGUUAUUCAGGAACAAGAGCACAGCUGCAGGCGUCCAAAUACUGGUUGCACGGCUUCUUCUUGGACUUGUGCAGCAGGAAGCAACUUGUGCCUGAUCCUUCAGGGAAUCAUGUGGACCAGCAUUCGGUUGCAGCAACUACGACUACUAAAGAUCUUACUAGCCUUCCAAGGCUCAGUCAGCUGGUGUGUACAAUGCAGUACUAAUUGUACCAUCCUGCAACCCUGAAAAGCAUGCUUUUGCCCCCAAAACCUUUUUGCAGAAUGCUGCUGCUCAUUGUUCAUGCUUUUCUUACCUGUAGCUAGGUACCUCGUAGGAUAGCAGUAUCUAUUGAAAAUUAAUAAAAUUCCAUGUAUCGAUUUUAUUUUGGAAAAUGCAAAAGCAUAUCAGAUUGACACCACACGUAUAUUAUCGCUCAUCAGCCAUGCAUUUCUCAUACCCCACCUGGAUAGGACAAGAUACUCCAUAAAGCAAACGUGACCACAGGAUGCCACCUAACCCUUUUUUGGUAUUUUGAACCACCCAUUUCUUCCUAUGCCGAAAGAAGACCUGCAAAACGGCCUAUUACUUAGCACCAGUGGGAUCAUUUUAAGAUUCAGCACGAAACAAAACUUAAGCGAGAAUGUGUUGAUUCGUGAUAUGCAAUUUACCUCUAGGUACUUGCAUCAGAUUAAAUAAUCAUAGUGCUUCCAAACAAAUGCAAUAGUGAUGAUCUGCCCUACUCAUUUUGGGAGGAAAAAUAUAAAAAGGAAGGCAAAUAAAAGGCAAGUUUCGUUUUUCAGCACCGUACCCUUUAAAGAAAUUCACGCUGCACCUAUGUGGAGAAGAGACGCAUUCCGACAUCACUUAAUUAUUCGUAUUGAUGCACAGUUAGAUCAUAAAAGAGGGGAGCCAAGCUAUGCACCACACUUUUCUGAAGAAAGAAUGAAGACACAAGCCACUCCCAAGAUGAUGGUGCUCCAUGCUCCGGUUGGAGUAAGGAGCAUCGUGAGCUUCCUAGUGGCCUUCUUUGUCGUCGCCAGCUCCAUCGUCUUCCUCUUCGACAGAGGCCAGGAAGCGCAGGUGCAAAUGGCGGUCGAGCAUGGACGCCAAGAACCAUGGAUUGGAGGGACAACUGAGGCCGGGGACACCAGCAAGGAGGAGUGCAACUGGUCGAGGGGGCAGUGGGUUUACGACAAUGUGUCCCGGCCAUUGUACUCCGGGCUCAAGUGCACCUUCAUCUUCCCUGAGGUGGCUUGUGAUAAAUAUGGCAGGAAGGAUGUCAUGUACCAGCACUGGAGAUGGCAGCCUCAUGGAUGCGACCUUCCAAGGUAGGAUAGGAUUACAUACAGAUUUUCCAGGUACUUUUAGAUCAACUUUGUUCUUGUCAGUCCAAAAGUUCCUGUAUAUGUGAAGGUGCAGUUUAAGAAUUUUCCAAGGGUAGUAAAUGUUUUUUGUUUCAUGGAAGCAGAAAAAUACAUAAUUAAUCUGUAACUGAAUAUAAGACAUUAAGACAGAGGAUAGUAAUGCAGAGAGAAGAAAAUAUUACUUUGAGGUUGCAAAACUGAUCUGAUUACGGUUGUUAGCUAGAGGCCAACAAGAAACAAAACAUGUAAGAGAACUAAUUGACAGUGAAAUAUCAGACGCGAGGAAAACUUCUACCUACCUUUUACUGUAUUGCAUAACUUACGCUACAUGGUAUUCAUGACAUGAUGUUUGAAUUUUACCGACCUUUCCGGAACAGAUUCGAUGCCAUCAAGCUGCUUGAAAUGCUGAGGAACAAGAGAUUAGUGUUUGUGGGUGACUCGGUGAACAGGAACCAAUGGGUUUCCUUGGUAUGCAUGGUGGAGGCCUCAAUACCUGAUGACAGGCUCAAGACGCGCAUCUUCAAUGGCUCGCUCAUCUCCUUCAAGGCAUUGGUGUGCAUUCCGAUCCUUCACAAAUCUACAGGCUACACAAACCAACAAUUUUGGUUAGCCGAUAUGAACACAUAAUUAUUUGUUUUUAGGAAUACAAUGCAACGAUAGAUUUCUACUGGUCACCGCUGCUGUUGGAGUCCAACAGCGACAACCCCAUUAUCCAACGGGUGGACAAACGGAUGAUAAGGGCUGACAGGAUCGAGAAGCAUGCCAGUCUCUGGAGGGAUGCUGACAUCAUUGUCUUCAAUUCUUACCUGUGGUGGAGGAAGCAGAAUGAUGACAUGAGGAUGAAGGUCAUGUAAGUGUAUUUCUCUCUUUAAUUUCCUUCCUAUUAAAUAUACCAGGAUAAAAAUCUUAUUAGGAUCAUAAAAAUAAAAUAUGAACCAGCAAAUACUAAGUCUCGAGAUGCCAUGAAAUGGUUAAGAUUUUUUUAUGUGCAUGCAGGUAUGGUUCAUUCGAAGAUGGUGAUGCCAGGUUAGAUGAAAUGGAAAUGAUGGAUGGAUUCGAGAUAGCUCUUAAGAAACUAACGGAAUGGCUCGGUGAGAAUAUUGACAAGAAAAAGACUAGAAUCUUUUUCGCGGGAUCAUCACCAACACAUUUCUAGGCUAGCAAGUGGGGUGGGGAAGACAGCAACAAGUGUCCGAAUGAAACAGAACCCAUCUACAAAGUGGGAUACAAAUCCGCAGAUUACAGAUUGAUGGCCACGGCGAAGUCGUAUUUUCAAACAUUAUUAGAGCCAAAAGGUAUACAUGUUGAGAUACUGAACAUCACAGAGCUGUCUGACUACCGCAAGGACGGGCAUCCGACGGUAUUCAGGAAACAGUAUGUUCCUCUGACGAAAGAGCAAAUUGCGAAGCCAGCCAGCUACGCGGAUUGCACGCAUUGGUGCCUCCCCGGCGUUCCUGAUGCGUGGAACGAGUUUUUAUACAGCUACCUCAUGUACAGAUGAUCGAUGCACCCCUAAUAUAUAAUAUAAUGUACAAAUGACAUACUGCAUCUAGAUCGAGUAGUUUCCGAACAAGUUGCCGACGGGCACAUCGCCUGCCACCGAAAGAAUAGCGCCACCGGUUAAAUCCUAGAAUAAAUUUAGAAAAAUACGAACACCCGUACCGAGUCGAGGACUCGAAUCUAGGUAGAUAGAUUUCCAGCUCGCAACAUAGAUAGUAUCGGUACACUAGAUUAAUGCAUGCACUUGUUUUGGACAAGUUUUUUUAAAAAAUUUUGGAAUAAAAAGGUAGAGGAACGUGUUGCACAAGUUGUGUGAGGAUAAACCCAACUAAUGAUGGUUGGGACAUCAUUAAUUAAUUAAUCUUAGUAAUUAGCAACAUGCCGUCGGUGGGAAGGAUUGAAUGCCACCGUGCGUACGUGCAUGUUGCUGUGCUGUGACUUAACAUUAAUUGCUGGAAACUGAUUAUAUAUGCAACCAUCAGCCUGUCUAAAACGGCAAUUAGCACCACCUGAUCGAUCGCUUUAAUUUGCAGCUGAGAGUUAUAUUGGAAACGCUCGCUCCAUCAUCUGUGGAUUCAAUCAUCAUCUGAAUUAUUAUUAUUGUCGGUCGGGCCGUGCGGUGCCACCAACGCUAGCAGGUUUGGUGAGGUUGUUGAGGCCGGGAUCAGGGCACUAGCUAGACAGCUGUACCUUUUUUGCUUGUCCUUGACUCCUUGUAACCUGCUAGCUUGUAGAGGUACUAGCUAGGUCCCGUGUGCAUGGUCGACUACCUUGAUUCUCAAACUUUUUGACUUGAGAUCGAGCACCGAUGUUGAUGUUCAGUGUUUGCUGUGUGUGGACCAGAUGCUGUUCUUUUCUUCCAGGAUGUACAGGAACGUACGUACCUGCAAGGGCAAUGACAGCAUCAUAUAUAAUCUCACUCUUAACUACAUGUACUGAAUCUUUCCAUGCCUCAUGAGCGUAGCUGCAAGGGCAACGACGUCUUCAUAUGCCCUCUUCUUGGGGUUGUGCAUGGAGCAACUCCGCGUGAUUCCUCAGAGAAUAACCAUAUGUGCCCAGCAACUAGCAGGAAUGCCAGGGCACAACAGCUAGGCUAGCUGCUACUGUGUGUGUACAGCUCUGAUGUUAGUAGCCUUCUAGGGCUGUCUCCAACGGUGCCCUCUAAACCGUUCUCUACCCUAUAUAUAGAGAAAAUUCCGUUCUCUAUAUGCUCCAGCAGCGUUCUCUAAAUGGUCCUCUAAAAUAGAGAACGCUACAGGUUUCCUCUAUAUAUAUAGAGAUUCUCUCUCCUCUUCUCUAUUUUUUCUUUACGUUUUAAACACUGAAUUAAAUAAAAAUAAAAUAUGUCCAUAGCAUUUGAGGUAUAGCAUUUGAGGUAUGAUAAAUACGUACGUACAAAAAUUUGGAACAAAAUACGUUUCUAAUAUAGGGUUUAAUGUAUAGAGAACGAGAUUUAGAGAACGUUGUUGGAGAGAAAUGAGAUACAGAGGAGAGAAUCUUGUAGAGAAUUCUGUAAAUGAAGUAUAUAGAGAAAGAUAUAGAGAACGACGGUUGGAGAUAGCCUCGCUCACCACAUCUACUGCAAAUCAGCAAUCAAUCAUUGUACCACCCAUCUCCAACCUUGCAACCUGCAGAUGCUCCGCUGAAUGCUGCUGCUCAUCAUCCACGCUUUUCAGAUCUACUGCACCUGCCACAAGGAAUUUUUCUGUAAAUGGCCGGAUGGAAGCAGCAGAAUGACUGAAAGCAGUAUAUAUAAUGCAAAGCUCAACACACCCGACCCUUUUCAUUAGAGACUAGACCCCAUUGGUUAGGACAGGGUACCAAACAAAGCAACUAUCACCACACAAUUUCACCUAACCCUUUAUUUGGUCUCUGGAUGCACUCAUUUAGUCCUUUGCUCAAACAAGAUAACGCACAAGAUGCCUACUAUAUAUUUAGCACCGAGUAGGGCCAAUUUAGUAUUCAGCAACAAACCAAAUUGAUGAAAGAUUGUUAUGAGGAUCGUGAUGUGGCAUUUAUUUGCCUCUAGGUACCAGAGUACCAUUAAAUAAUCGUGGUGCCACCACCAAUUGCCUUUCAGUAUCAUUAAAUCUGAACGUGCCUUUUGGCUGAAGAAAGAUUGAAAAGGAAGGCAAAUAGAAGGUGUAGCCAAUAAUUACUUCAAAAGAGAUUGCAGGUGCUGCUGCGGCACCAAUGAUCAUCCAUCUGGUCUAUCAAAAUCAAAUUUAGAUCUUCAUGUUUCGUAAAAUAAUGAUCCCAGUGCCACCAUGCUAAAAAGACAGGCACAUUUCUUUAAAAUGAAUCAUGCUAAAAAGCAUGCUAUCUGCACACUCAUUAAAGAAAAAAAAAAGCAUGUGAUACAUUCCUAAAAAAGUAACCCAUGUCAUGGAUGACAAAAAAAUGAAAUAAAAUAUGGUAGGUGGCUAAAUUGACUCCGAUUGACUCACUGAUAGCCAAGUUGACGAUUGCAAAUGUACAUCAUUUUGCUACUGCCGGAUAGAACAGAUCAAUUGGUCUAUGAGGAAUAACAUUUAUAUUAUGAUGCUAAGACAAAAAUACAUAUACACAUAUAUCUUUUUAGAAUAGUGCAGAUAUUGUUACAAUAGAUUACAACCAAACAUCAAGAGAAAUUAUGAUUGCUACUUUGAGCUGGGGUAGUCAUCUGGAACAUUGGUGGACUUUGCUUUGCAUUAGUGACUUAAUGACUUCAAGUUUAGUUUAUUGAUUGUCAAAGAAACAUGCAAAAACUGUUAUUUUUUUCCUGGCAAUCAGCUUUUUGUUGCUUAAUUUACAAACUCUGUCUUUUUAAAGUGAGAAGCCCAAGUGUUUCACUUCAUUUUUUAUUUGCCUCCUUUCUAUCAUGUUUGGUGUGAUACUGUGGUGGAUUGAAAGGAUUGUCGGCACCAGAAACCAGCACUUGGACCUCCUCACAUGUUUUAUUCCCUUUUGCUUUUUGGUUAAACAAAGUUAGAGCAUGCUGCUCAUUUGAAAAAAAGUAUGGGAUCAAUUUAGUUGCUGAUUUGCAAAUUCAGACUAACUAUACAUCAAACUGUAAACUGAUAUUCAAUUUGUCUAAGUUUCAGCACUGAAAAAGACUAACUGAGCCUGCUCUUUCGUAGUUACCAAAUGGCUCGAUGAUUCAGAACAGGUGGACACUACCUCCUGUUAUGUGGUUAGCUCAGGGGUCACUGGUCAGUUUGUUUGAUUACCAGACCUGGGCCACUUAACCAUGUGCAAGUCUAAUACCACCAUCGCAGAGAAGAGAGGUGCACCAUAAAAGAGGGGAGCCAAGCUAAGCACCACACUUUUCUGAAGAAAGAACGAAGACAGAAGCCAUUCCCAAGAUGACGGUGCUCCAUGCUCCUGUUGGAGUGAGGAGCAUCAUUAGCUCCCUUUUGGCCUUCUUCAUCGUCGCCAGCUCCGUCACCUUCUUGCUUGACCGAGGCCAGGAAGCGCAAGUGCAAAUGGCAGUCGAGCAUGGACGCCAAGAAAUGCAGGUGAAGGUGGAGGCUGGACUCCAAGAACCAGCGAUGAGAGGGACUACUGAUGCAGGCGAUGCCGAGGAGUGCAACUGGUCGAGGGGACGGUGGGUGUACGACAACAUGUCCAGGCCAUUGUACUCCGGGCUCAAGUGUUCUUUCAUCUUUCCUGAGGUGGCUUGCGACAAAUAUGGAAGGAAGGAUGUCAUGUAUCAGCACUGGAGAUGGCAGCCUCAUGGAUGCGACCUUCCAAGGUAUGGUUGUUGAUGAUUACAUGCUCCCAAGUACUUUUAGCUCAAUUUUGUUGUUGUCAACCCAAAAGUUCCGGAAUAUCUGAAGGUGCAGUUCUAGAAUAAGAAGCACUUUCAGUAUCGCAGUCAAGAAUUUGCAAGGAUAUUUUUUCGUUUGUUUUAUGGAAGCAGUAAAACACUCAAUUGAUCUGACUGAAAUAAAAGAAAGAAUAGUACAGCACAGAAGAAAAAAAAUCAACUUAUUUUAAGAUUGAAAAACUGAUCUAAUUACGGUUGUUAGCCAGAGCAAACAACAAACCAAAUUUGCAAGAGAACUAACUGACAGUGAAAGAUCAGAACUGAGAAAAACUUCUACCUGCUUCUUAUUUUAUUAUCUGUACCAUCCUGUAAGGGUAGAAAGGAGAUCAUAUCUCGAAUAACUUACUCUGCAUGGUAGGAAGACAUGAUGACUGAUGUCAGGAUUUGCCAUGUCAAAACAGAUUCGAUGCCACCAAGCUGCUUGAAAAGCUGAGGAACAAGAGAUUAGUGUUUGUGGGCGAUUCAGUCAACAGGAACCAAUGGGUUUCUCUGGUGUGCAUGGUGGAGGCCUCAAUACCUGAUGACAGGCUCAAGACGCGCAUCUUCAAUGGCUCUCUCAUCUCCUUCAAGGCACUGGUAUGUUUUCCUUCACAAUUCUACAGGCUACAGAAACAACAAUGUCAGUUAACCAAUAUAAACACAUAAUCAUUUCAGGAAUACAAUGCAACAAUAGAUUUCUACUGGUCGCCACUGCUUGUGGAGUCCAACAGCGACAACCCAAUUAUCCACCGUGUGGAGUACCGGAUCAUAAGGGCAGACAGAAUUGAGAAGCAUGCCAGUGUCUGGAGGGAUGCUGACAUCAUUGUCUUCAAUUCUUACCUAUGGUGGAGGAAGCAGAAGGAUGACAUGAGGAUGAAGGUCAUGUAAGUACAAUUCUUUCCUUCCUACUCAACAGGGAUCACAUUGUCAGUGACUCAGUGUCGCAUCUCAGAAUAGUUGUGAGAACUAAUAAAAACUAACAAAGUUUAAGGCGAAAUGAAUUUGGUAACAUCAUUUGUAUGUACAGGUAUGGCUCAUUCGAAGAUGGCGAUGCAAGGUUAGACGAAAUGGAAAUGAUUGAUGGUUUCGAGAUUGCUCUCAAGAAACUUACUGAAUGGCUCGGAGAGCAUAUUGACAAGAACAAGACUAGAAUCUUUUUCGCAGGAUCAUCACCUACACAUUCCUGGUGAGAGAUAUACCCCUGCAUCAUUCGUCAACAUGUACUAGUACAUUAGCUACAUCUCCAUGAUAUCAGGUGGUGUUUCUUGGUGGAAGUGAUGAAAGAUAUAUGUGUAUUUUCCAGGGCUAGUAACUGGGGUGGAGAAGACAGCAACAAGUGCCUCAACGAAACGGAGCCGAUCUACAAAAUCGGAUACAAAGCUGCAACUACAGAUUACAGUCUGAUGGACAAGGCUAAGUCAUAUUUUAAAACAUUGGAGCCGAAAGGUAUACAUGUUCAGAUACUGAACAUCACAGAGCUGUCUGACUACCGCAAGGACGGGCAUCCUACUGUGUUCAGGAGACAGUUUGUUCCUCUGACAAAAGAGCAGAUUGCGAACCCAGCCAGCUACGCGGAUUGCACGCAUUGGUGCCUCCCCGGCGUUCCUGAUGUCUGGAACGAGUUUUUAUACGGCUACCUCAUGUACAAAUGAUGCACCAUGCCAGAUUUUGUCCCCCCAACAUAUAUAAUGUACAAAUGACAUACUGCAUUUAGAUUAGGCUGCUUUGUUUUGUGCAGAGAAUGGCUGGAGUGGCCCCAUCACAUUUACAUGCAGAGACAGAUAAAAGGAUCUGUCUGUGUACCAUCUCACUAAAUCACUGAAGGAGACACUCAAAGUGAACAGUGUAUAACAGUGUGCUAUUCGUUUUCAUCUGACAGAGCAACAAAUUUUAAAUAAAUUUACCAUCAGAAAGAACAACAUAAGGAUGGAAAACUGUCCUAGAUGUCCCUAAAAUUCAAUUCAAUCAGACCGUCAGGCAGGCAAGCAAGAAAAAGCUACAUAUUUGAGAGGUGGAUCAACAAGAGAAGAGCGACCUGAACAAUAAGGGCUGCCGUCACUAAACCAGCUGCAGUCGCCGGCUCGCCGCCGCGCAGCAGCAUACGGCACCGCGGAGGGGGACACGACGCCAUCAUCGCGCGCAGGCUCACCACCAAGCGCACCGCCAUGGCUACUGGAAUACUGGAUUCGCUCUGCAACUCGGAAAAGCUGCCGGCGGCCGGCCUACGCCGCCGUGGAAUGGUCAACGGUGGAAGCUUGGGUUUGCUGCCGCCGCAUAUCCAGGCCAUGGGCUUACGGGCUACAGGCUAGAGGGCCCAAUAAGCAGCCACACACGAAUAAUUGGCAGGCGUGCGGCUGUCUAUCUUGUUGGGCCUGCUGAUUCAGAGAUUACCCGUGUACUAAAAUCAAUUUCGGGGAUUGCAAAUGCCGGGAAUCCUAUACGUCUUCCGGAAAUUUUGAGAUUCCUACGAAAAUCUAUAUCCAUUGGAUCUUCUCCAUCCAAAACGCUAAGAUAACUGUUGAUCUAGAUUUUGAUAAAUGUUGAAUCUAUUCUCUUAAUAUGUUGAAAUAGUUUGUAAAAAAUAUUGAAGGUAGGGUAUGUGUUUCUGAAAAAUGUUGGAUCUACUAUCGAUUUUUCAUAAAAUGUUGAAUUCAAUUGUUUAAAUUGUUGAAUCCGUGCAAUGUUUUUAUUGUUACUGGAUCUUAAUGGACUUUAUGACUUUAUAGGUGUAUGGCUUAUCCAUCUUCCGGAAGCCAUAUAGGACCCCCUACGAAUGCAAGCCAUUUUCCCCCGGAGGAAUUGCAAGCUGCCUCAUUUAUUCAUGAUAAAGAUGGACUAUUAUUUACUUAGAAAGGGCACAUGUAUGAGAAAAAAAAAGGGGAACAAAUUUCUCCAAGUCCUGUAAAAAACUUACAUUCAGAGAAUAAACUAAAACGAAUUACGUUAUGGUCCAGGAUGGUAGAUGUAUUCAUUUGCAUAUAUUGUAUUGGGCAUCAUGGGACGGAAAGCAUUCAGCUACUACCUGCCUUUGCAGCUAGCUGAAGCCCACUUAAUUGUUGCCUUCUACAUGGCUCUCUAUCCAGAACAAUAUGACAAGAGCACACUUGCUGAUGUCCAUAGCAGUUGUACUGACUCUCCUUGGACUUUCAGUAAGUACCCAGUCUGAUCCCUGAGGGAACCAUGUGGAGUAGCAAGCAUUAGGUAAAGGAAUCCCAUGUUGGCAGCUCACUACUGCUACUGUGUGUGUACCCAGCUCAUCUUAAGCUUUGUAAGGCCCCCUCAUCUCAUGUGCUACAAAUCAGUAACGAUUUUACCAUUCUCCAGGGUUGCUUGCAGAUGUUUUCCUGAAUGCUUCUCCUCACCCUCCAUGCUUUAAAGUUUAAAGAGAUAUCGUACCUGCCAGAAAGAAACAAUUUUUGCUGAGAAAAUGGCCACACAUGAUCAGCAAUCUAACAUCAUGUGCAACUUAACAGCCAAGCCCAAGCACUGUCAUUAGAAUAGACCUCAAUGGUUAGAACAUGGUACCAAAACCAAACACUGCAAAAAGCAGACCACAAUUUCACCUAACCCUGUAUUUGGUCUUCGGAGGCACUCAAUUAGUUGUAUCAUACGCUGAAGCUGCACAAGGCAAAAGAGACUACUCACUAUUAGCACCAAGUAGAGUUCACCAUCUGAAGACUCACCACGAAACCAAAUUGAUGCAUGCUACAAUAUUUUCGUGAUUUAUGACCUUCCAUUUAACCAGACGAGGUACAUGCAUCGUACUGAAUAAUCAUGUUGGUACAACUGAUUUUUUUUAAAAAAAAACAGAAGCCACGGCAAAUAAUUGAUGUUCAGUUUAGAAAGGACUGCAGACAAUGGUGGCACCACCAUGUUGAAAAAGAUGCCUUCCUCUCACCCUCUGAAAUAGUUAUUCUAAAAGACUUGAUGAUGGUAGGGCUUCAGCUUCACCUCCAUAUAACCUGCUUAUGCUCCAUCGUUCCACUUGUAUUGUAUCCAUAUGCAAUGUGUUCCACACCUCGUGGAGAAAAGCAUGAAGUCAACAGGAACGCAAUAGCAUCGUGUGAAAAAACAAAACAAAACAAACCAAAGAAGACAGGGAAUUAAACCAAGAAACAAGGUUUCUACUUUAUUUAGACAUCUAAACCAAGCGUCAGGCUCCAUCCAGUAAAAGGACUGGAGCCUCUCGUCACAAGCUAAAGAGCUAAAGAGCAGUCUCUCAUCACAAGCUAAGUUUACAGAAUGCAUCUUACUGGUAGAAAGGAAAUGCAAAAGGUUUAGAACGACAAGGCCAACCAAAUGCUGAUUUACAGAACCCAGCGGAUCAUCUCAUUGGUGAACAUGUAACGUAUGGACUUGUGCCUGACCAUCUUGAGCCCUUCUUCUGGAUCAUUAUCGCCGCGACUGGUAACCAUCUCAAUUCCAGUGAGCACAGCAAACUUAUCCUCAACCGAAUCCGCCCAUGUGCCGCUCAUAACUCGGAAGGUCUUAGCAAUGCAAAACCUGCCCCCGCCAAGGUUGAGGAGGCUGAGCCUUGAUGCAGACCACUCCUCGGGUGUCUUGAGAUCCAUCCAGGAAUGCUGCAAUGUCGGUGGUUUGUCCAUGACAGAGAGGUCCCAAGCACACAGUUGCUGGCUGUCAGUGGAGAAGCCCAUCCACAGCUUGAGGUCAGGAACAUACUCUGCUGCGCCAUCAAAUGGCAGCACCCAGCCGUCGCCGGCUUGCGUCCAUUCACCCUUCAUUGUGUCAAAGCAGAAGGUGACAGCGCUAGAGCUUGGGCUUGUGACGGCAGACACGCAGAUGGUGCUGCCGCCGCCUACCACCGUGUGGGAGCAGAUGUUGGCAGCAAUGGGCGGCGGUGGGAGAGGGUCCCAGCGCCAGCCACUGAGACCCAUUGGGCCCAAGUCGCUGCCAGGGCUGCCAAAUUUGAGCACCUCGAAGCAGGAACUGCCAUCUCCCAGAUUAGUGGCGGUGUUCAUGACGUAGAGGUCUUCUUCGAGGGCACCAGGCCGGGCAAUGGAGAUGGCCAUUGGCAUGAACCCCUUGCCACAGUUGAGAUCGGGCAUGGCUUGGAUGCAGUUGGAGUCCGCGUGGUAGAGCAUGGUGUGGCCCGCCGUGUUGCAGCAGAGUAUCCUGUCGUCGCCGCUGCGGGGGCUCACCAGCGCGAACAUCUCCAGCCUCCCGGCAUCCCAGAAUGCGGUGGGCGAAGACUCGAACCGCAUGACCGGCGCAGGAAGCCACGGCAGGAUGGGUACCUUGACGUUCGUCUUGUUCGCUGCUUCAGCCGCCGCCCUUGACGGGUAGAAGAGAUGCUUCCAGACGUCCAGGCGGUGCAGCGUGUACAUGCCGCUGCUUCCCCUCUCCGCCACCAUGUUCACGAACCGCCGGAUCAUCCUCCCCAUACCCCCCAUACAGCACUUGAAUGCUCUACCUUGCAAGAACGAAAGAAAAUGGGGAAAAAGAUACGGAUUUUAGAUGGCCUCAGAGAUUGCAGGGACUGAAUAGCGCGCGGAUCAGCUGGCUGAUCUUGAGGGCCUUUCCGCCUAGAGUGCGAUUGGUUGGAGGAGACGAGCGGCGGCGGCGGCGGCGGCGAGUCUUAUUUGGGCUGGGCUUCUACUAUUUGCGGGCUCUCUCUGGGCCGAGCAGUGAAGGCCCGAUCUCUGAUUCUGCUGCUACCCCCCGGCCGGCCUACCUGGUUCGGCCCAAGGCCCAACCAAGCCAGACUGUCGAGUGACUCGAGUUGCGGCUCUGGCUGGCAGGUGGGGCCUGGGCGACAGCGAGGCUGGGGAUUUGCACAGCUGGCAGCUAGACGCUCUGCCAGUUCCUCAUUUCCAUCCGCCACCGCCUCCUCACCCUCGCCGCCGACCGCCACCACGGCGCCGCCGCCUAGCGACUGCGACCGCCACCAUGGAACCUGAGCAUGCAGUAAGGUUUGGUCGCCGCGAGCAGCAGCGGCGGCGGAGGUAGAUCGAGCCUUCGGCUUCAUCGCCGCCGCCGCCGCCGUUGAUGGGUCGACGGAGCGCCGAGAGGAGAGACGACAUGGCAGAGGAGACAGGCCGUGGCCCAUGGGAGGGAAGGAGGCCCAGUGGGCUAACCCAUGCCAUAAUACAAGGCCUAACCAAACAAUCUCCACAUAUUAUGAGCCCACGACAAUCCGAUCCGCAGGUAUAUAUCCAGAUAUCAAUCUCGCUCAGUUCAUAGAUGAUGAGAUGAUGAUUAUUUUUUGACGCUUUAAAUUGCUAUAUAUAACAGACAUUCUUUUUAUAUACUUCUUAUUGAGAUCUAUUAUUAUUAUUAUUGCAGACUGACAAGUAGUAGCCAAAUGCAAGCAGGUGGAUAGAUGUUGAUGUGUGACUUUAGACAAUAGGACUAAAUUUGCUGACAUCAUGCCGCUAGCAGACCCCCCUAAAGCGUCCACCGCUCACAAAACAAUAAAUAUAUAGAUUAAUUAAUAUUCUGCCGCAUGCAUGGCAUGCCUCCAUUGUACUGAUUGAUGAACCGGCCAGCAGAUCAAACAGGUUGUGUGCGUUUGUACUGUGUUUUGCAAAAAGAAAAAAAGGAGGGAAGAUGCAUGCGAGAGUCUGGAGAUGGAAAUUAUGCGCUGGUAUGGAUGUGUAUAUAUAGCAGCAUACUAUAUAGGAGGUGGCAGGUUGGGAGGCAAGGCAAGGCUGCUAUGCCAAUGGAGGAGGAGGAGGAGGAGGAGGAGGGUCGUCGGCGGAGCGGCGGCGGCGGCGGCGAGCAGAGGACGAUGGAAGGGGAGGAGGAGGCGUGGCGGCGUUGGGCUGUUCUGGUUGCGACGGUGUGGAUCCAGGCUCUGACGGGGACCAACUUCGACUUCUCGGCCUACUCGUCGGCGCUCAAGUCGUCGCUGGGCAUCUCCCAGGAGGCGCUCAACUACCUGGCCACCGCCUCCGACCUCGGCAAGGCCUUCGGCUGGUCCUCCGGCCUCGCCCUGCUCUACAUCCCCCUCCACGCCGUCCUGCUCGUCGCCGCCGUGCUGGGGCUCGCCGCAUACGCCCUGCAGUACGGAUGCCUGGUCUCCGGCAACCUCGCCGCAAUCCCAUACCCGAUGGUAUGUACAUGUACUCAUCAGUACUCUCUUCUGAAAUAUCGUCUGACAAGCAAUAGCAGCAAUCCGCUAGCUAGCUCGAGCAGGCUUUACUGUUCAAGCGUGAGCCCCGUGGUAUGGUGGUAGAAAUCGCAUCGUUAGAACGAAGGAAGAAUCAAAUUGUGAGAUAAAUGUUAGGGAUGGCGACCCAUGAUAUUUGCUCCAUGCAUUACUUCCAUGCGCGGAGCUGAAAGGGAGGGAGGGAGGGAAGAGGAACCCUUCGACAGGAAUAGGAGGAGACCGGAGACCGCACCGCACAGAGGCUUCGUGUGGCAGCCCCCCACCAAGCAGAACAGCAUUCCCCCUCGUACUAAUUUUAAGCCAGACACGACGAGUACCUUUCGUUUUCUUGGAUGGAACAAGACCUGUCAGCUCCUUCCUUAUGUUUGUUAUCCAGUCCGAUCCGAUUCUCACCUUUUGUUCAUCUAUUCGCCAUUUUAGCUAGUUAUUACUACAGUUUUCAUAAAAAAGCAAUUUCCUUAUUUGCCACUUAUAGGUUAUGACUUACUCUGACAUUGCAACUUUUAUAUAGAGAAGAAUGGCAUGCAUGAGAAUAGGAGAUGGGAUCAGAGGACCGACCGAGCUAAAGAGUCCCAGACUAAUCGAUAAACUUCCAUCCAGCCAACUCUUACUCCGACGAUCUGAUGGGACUCGGCUUGGAUCAUCAUCAAUCAUCCACCCCCCCUGUAGUCUGUAGUAUUUCAGUAGUAUCAUCAGUCUCAGGGCCCACCGUCUGAGCCACAUGUCAUCUCCCUCAAUUCAUUUCCAACUAACUCAGGCCCCGUUUAGAUGCACUCCAAAUUCCAAAUUUUUAUACUCUCUCUCCAUCACAUCAAUUUUGGGACACAUGCAUGAAGCAGUAAAUGUAUGAAAAAGAAAUAACUAAUUGCACAGUUUAAUUGUACAUCAUGAGACGAAUCUUUUGAGCCUAAUUAGUUCAUAAUUAGAUAAAAUUUGUCAAAUACAAACGAAAACGCUACAGUGUCACUAUUGCAACUUUGUUGCAAUCUAAACAAGGCCUCAGCUCUGCUUCCCAACUAUCAGUUGCGUCCAACCAAAACCAUGUUAGUUCUGCUUUGACUGGUAGAUGAGCCACCUACACUUCUCCUGCAGCUACCCUCAAGAGACCAUAUACCACACAGUCCAAACUGUUUACCAAUAUUUUUCAUGGGUGUACAUCUUGUUGAUUGAUAGAUAGGUCAUGGGUGUGCCCAACCUAAAAAGCAUGUAUCGCCAUGGAAACAGGCUAUUAUGAGAACAUCGCAUGCAGUCACAUCACCUAGAUACAUACCCGCAAAAUAUCACACACGCCUGCGGCAUGCCAUUCUCACAUCAUCGUCAUCCACCUACUCCACAACUUCCUUCCUUCCUUCAAUAUACUCAGGAGCAGCACCAAAAUGACAUGUCACGCCAACACAGAUGGAACCACAAAGUUUAAGGUCACAUUGCCACGGUGCCGUCACAAACUUUCACAGUCCCAAGCCCCUGAUGCAGAAUCAAAGAAAGUUGUUGAAUGGCAGUGCUCACUUCCCUGCCCACCACACUCAGCCAUCUCACUGUUGCCUCAUCCAUUCAGUACCUCAAUGCUUACCAUAUUUCAGGCUACUGGGAAUUGUUGUUGAAACUGAUAUUACAUGUUCCCUUCCAAACACAUUUUUAAAGUAUUUACCACUAAAUCUUCAAUAGGGUCCCCAGUAUACAAAUCACUCCUGCAGUAUUCAGAGAAUAACCUAUAUUAGCCCACAAAUUGUCUUUACAGGAACUGGUUGCAAACACUUUGCUCAAAUGUAUGAAGCCAAGAUGUAGACACAGCACAUUUUAAACUGUCAAGAUGCCACGACAUGCAAUUUAUGGUGAAUUUAAUUACUCGAUCGAAUUCUGAUUCAUAUGUUGCACUGCAGGUGUUCUUGGUCUGCUUGAUAGCAGGGUGCAGCAUCUGCUGGUUCAACACAGUCUGCUUUGUUCUCUGCAUACGCAGCUUCUCCGCAAGCAACCGCCCCCUGGCCCUCUCCCUCUCAAUAAGCUUCAAUGGCCUCAGCGCCGCCUUCUACACUCUCUUUGCAAAUGCCCUAUCCCCUUUGUCCCCAUCUGUCUACCUCCUCCUCAAUGCCAUGCUCCCUUUUGCCGUUUCUAUUCUUGCGCUCCCAGCUAUACUUCUCUGCCACAAGCAAGAAAGCCAACACCACAGCACGCCCAACCAUGACAGGCGUGUCUUCCUUGGCCUCUACAUCCUCGCAUUCGUCACCGGCUCAUAUCUGGUGGUAUUUGGAUCUUCCACCGCAACCAGGUCUGCUGCAUGGGUCAUCCUCACAGGCGCCAUGGUCCUCCUCGCCCUUCCUCUCAUCAUCCCUGCCUGCUCCAGUUGCUCGUAUGUGGAUACACAUGGCCAUGAUGACCCACAUAAACCGCUACUAAUCAGUAACAAUCAUCAGGCAGAGUCCAAUGCCGUGAUGGAAAAAACAAUGGAGCACCAGCCGCAGGGCAGUUGUGGAACAUUACUACACAAGGGCCGCCUAGUGGUGCUUGGUGAAGAACAUAGUGCAAAGAGGCUCAUUGGGUGUGUGGACUUCUGGCUCUACUACACAGCCUACUUCUGUGGAGCCACUGUUGGGCUGGUAUACAGCAACAACUUGGGGCAGAUUGCACAAUCACUGCACCAGCAGUCACAGCUCACCAUGCUACUUGCUGUCUACUCAUCCUUCUCCUUCUUCGGUCGUCUUCUCUCUGCACUCCCCGAUGUCCUUCACAGGUCCUUCUAUCUUGCUCUAUAUCUCAUCAAUCAUCAUCACAUGGCCUCCUAACUAACUACAUAUACAAUUUGUAUACAGGAAGGUGUCACUUGCUCGGACAGGGUGGCUUGCUGCUGCCUUGGUGCCCAUGCCAAUGGCCUUUUUCCUUAUGUGGAAACAACAAGAUGGAAGUACUCUGAUAGUAGGAACAGCACUAGUUGGCCUAAGCUCAGGGUUCAUCUUCGCUGCAGCAGUGUCGGUGACCUCCGAGCUCUUUGGACCAAAGAGCGUCGGUGUGAAUCACAACAUCCUAAUCACCAAUAUCCCACUGGGCUCAUUCCUCUAUGGCCAGAUUGCUGCCAUGGUAUAUGACGCAAAUGGCCAAAGGAUGUCAGUAAUGGAUAACCGCACUGGCACAAUUGACACCAUGAUUAUGUGCAUGGGGGUGAAGUGCUACUCAACCACCUUCUUUGUGUGGGGUUGCAUCACAUUGCUGGGGUUAGCAUCGAGCAUAGUCCUAUUCAAAAGAACAAAACCAGCUUAUGCUGCUACUGCUAGUCGAUCAAGUUGUAAGCACCAAGUUUCCAGUUGAACAGAGAAACUCCUUGACCAGUGCCUUGCUGCUUUGAAAUCAUUGUUAGCUUGUACAAAAUUAUGGUUUAGUUUUAGCUGAAAUUGUUACAUAUAGGUACACGAAAUGAGUACCACCACAAGACACAUCAAGAAGAUAGGAAAUUACUAGCUUAGCAGCUGGUAUGUACAGAACCAGUAUUCCAUUUACUGGGCAUUAAUACUAACAAGUAGGCCCAAGAUUUCAUGAAAUCAGCUUGGAACGUUUGUUGCUGGUUGAAUUGAGAUGUGUAAAAUUCUACAUAUUUACUGUUGUUAUGUACUCUCUCCGAUUCAAAAUACAUGCUGUUUACGACAUCGACAAGGCCUAAAAGUUGACCCUUUGACCAAUGAAAAUAUGACAUUUCAAAGGAAGGUAACUAAAUAUUUUGAAAGUACUUCUCAUGGUUAAUCUAGUAACAUCUAUCUUACAUUUUCAAUCUAUAUUGUCUUUUAUAUAUUGAUGGUCAAAGUAAAAAAAACAGUUAACGACAGGAAUCCUAGAAUGAUACGUAUUUUGUAUCAAGGUAGUAAUAUAUGAUGAUUCAACACAUGCUAGAGCUCAGAGAAAAUAACUUAUCUUUCAAUCUUUGCCAGGGUGACACUGUUUACAUUAAAUAAGGAGGGCAAUGAGUUUUCUAAAUAGCAGAAAAUGAAACACAGUUUUUAAUUUUGGAAGGAUGCCUAGAUGGACCCCUCCAGUGAGCUGUAAUAAGAAAAGAACUGUACUUCACUAAGCAACCCUUGGAGCAUUCGAUUAUCAUGCAAACAAAUGGACCUCCGCCACCUUUUUUUAACAUAUAAUUUUGCUAUUAUAUUAUUAAAAUAAUAUAGUAUAAAGCAAAAUCCAGUGUGGACGUGUACAAGUUGGCACAUGCCUAUAAACAUUCCUGGAAGCUACCAUCCAGCAAUUUCAGGGAAGUAGGAGAGACCAAAAUGAUCAGAAAUUAACAGCUGGUAUGUAAAUUACAAGACCGGCGCUCAAUUUACAGGGCAUUAACACUAACAAGUCGGCCCAAGAUGGAAUUGCAUCAGUUUGGACUGUUGUUGCUGGUUGAGUGGAUUUGUGUGCAAAAUCCUCCAUAUAUACUCUUUUUAUAUAAUACUUAAUGACAUAAAGUAUGCAGAACUUUGGAGACCGAAUCUGACUAGCAUGUCAGCUUUGUGCCAAAAAUGAUAAUCAAAAAACUUUUUUUCAAUCUUUGUCAAGGUGAUGCUGAUACAGCAAACAAGGGGUCAAAUGAGUUCUUCAAAUAGCACAAAAUGACACGCAACAUCUUUAAAUUUUGCAAGAAUGGUCUAGAUGGACUAUUCCAGCGAGCAGUAACUACAAGGAACUAUACUUCAAUUAGUGAUCCACGUAGCAUACAAUUAUCAUACAAAGAAACAAACAAUUUUCACCAUUUUCUAAACCUAUAACUUCACUGAUAUGCUGUUAAAACAAAAUAUAACAAGUGAAAUCCAGUCUGAACGUGCACAGUUUAGCUCAGUUGUGAAAUCUAGGACAAAUAAUUCGACAAGCGCAAACAAUUCAUAUGCAUGUUACCUCAUUCAAGGGGUCUAUAAAUGGAGGACGCAAACAGUUGACAUGACUCAUAACUCAUGACUAUUUCUUGUGUUGUUCAUCAUGCUUGCACCAUGGAUUCAGGGCUUCUCUCAUAGCUUGGGCCUCUGGACUGCUUUUCCAAGCUCGUUUUUCUGUCUCCAAGACAGUCACCUUCUCAUCUGUAGGAUACGGGAAAAAAAAUAUAAGUGGCAUUCCUGUGUAGCAGUGAACAAUAGAGAAACCAAAUGAACUUGACAGAAUGAAUGGUGCCAGGUAACCUGAACCAGCCGCUAAAAUAUCCAAUCUUUAGAUUGUUGUUAGUAGGAGGGAGCACUGAACCGUCCAGUUUAGAUAGCUGUUAGUUAUUUGUGGUAAUUUUGGGAACCUUUGGCCACUUCUCGGUGAUUUAAAGAAGCCCAAUGGUUUCGUUGUAAACCAUCUACUAGCCUGAGUUUGGAUGAUAGCAAAUUUCAAAUGCCGGUAGGAUCUAGGAGAGCAGAAAAGCUGGACUUGGAAAUUUUUCAAUCCGCCAAAAAGCUACCAACAGCCAAAAUUGGGGACUGGACUGUAGAUAAUUCAUUCAUGAAAGUCUGAUGAUGCAUUAAAAGCUUCAAGAAAUUAGAAGAGGGAGGGUUGGAUGCUGAGGUGCAGAGGGGGGGAUUGAGGGGAGCGAGAAGCGUACAGAAGCUGGUGUGGAUCAUGAAGAGCUCCAUGGCGCCACCUAUGGAGGCCCCGACCGCCGAGAUCUUCAGGUACCAGCCCGCGAACCUCAUGAUAUGGUUCGCUCGCAGUGAAUCCUCGAGGGCAGGGGUGGCCGGAGCGAACUGCGGCGGCGGCGGCGGCUUUGAGGUCGCCGGCGAUGCGGGUGCUUUCCGCCGGGCAGAGGCAGACGAAUCGUGGCCGUUGAAGCUGACUAACCGACGCGUUUAGAUAUAAUUGGGUCGUUGUCCUUCCCAUUCCAACAAAAUGGGGGCCCGGCCCAUCGAGCCCAAAAGGCAGGCCCGCAUCGAAUUCAAUCCAAUCCAAUCACACUGGCGUCUCCGCUUCCCCACACCACAGUGACCAUGGCGGCGACCUCGCCGUCGACCGCACCUAUACGAGCCCUAUGCCCAGGGCCGAAUCGCGUCUCCUUGCCUGCUGCCGCCGCCUCCCCCGCCGCGCUACUCCUCGGUGGAGACCCCCGCGAUGCAGCCGUAAAGGGAAGCCGGCCGUCACAGACGUCGUGGAGGCGGCGGCACCGAGGGGACCAGAGACUGAGAGGAAGGAUGACGAAGAGCCGGAGGCCGGUGCGCUUCGUGGGGUGCUGGGGUGGCUCAGGAUUGAUGGGGUUGCGGCGGAUAUCAUCAGCAUCGCCGCGCCCGCCGUGCUCGCCCUCGCCGCCGACCCAAUCACGGCGCUCGUCGACACCGCCUUCGUCGGCCAUAUCGGUAAUUCUUGCUAGGCUGAACAACCAUGUAAUCUAGUGCACUAAACUUCAAAAUUUACGACUGCUUUGAGUUUGAGGGGAUCGAUUAAUCACUUGAUGUGCAUCUAUGUUGUCAGGCUCGGCUGAACUCGCGGCUGUUGGUGCGUCUGCUUCCGUCUUCAAUUUGGUAUCCAAGCUGUUCAAUGUGCCAUUGCUUAAUGUCACCACAUCAUUUGUUGCGGAGCAGCAGGCAGUCAAUGACAAUAGUAGUUCUAAUACCACAGGACAAAGUAAGCAAAUGAAGACUUCUAUUUUUCUGUCUGAAAAACCAUCCCUGUCGUUUGCAUUACACUGAUUAGUGUUUAGUUCUCGCCUAGGAGAUGAUUUUUUUACUCCACAAAAGAAGGCAAGCCAACAAAAGAAGGUUCUUCCGGCAGUUCAACGCCCUUGGCUCUAGCUGCCGGCAUUGGAUUGUUGGAGAUGGUGGCACUGAUUGUUGGAUCUGGGACGCUGAUGAACAUCAUUGGUAUACCCGUUGUACGUAAGACUAAUUUACUGGCAUACUCAGAUUCAUAGGAUCUAGUUCUUCUCUGUAACUUGAUGUCAGCACUUGGUGUACUUUAGGAUUCACCAAUGCGAGCACCAGCAGAACAAUUUCUUACAUUGAGGGCAUAUGGUGCUCCGCCAAUUAUAGUGGCACUUGCAGCUCAGGGUGCAUUUCGUGGAUUGCUGGAUACGAAGACACCACUGUAUGCUGUGGGUAUGUGUAUGCCAGCUCAUUUUGACAAAUUAUGUAACACAUAACUUUUUGUCCAUCUGGAAAUUUCUUGGACCUUGGUAUGCGUGAUUUUUGUUGUAACAGUUUUUUUUCUUAUUUAAGAUGUUCUGUGUAGUUCAUUUAAAAUGGUUAAGCAGGCAACUAAUGUCGUGAUGCAUACAGGUGCUGGCAAUCUAUUAAAUGCAAUACUGGAUGCUGUACUUAUUUUUCCACUUGGUCUAGGAGUAAGCGGCGCUGCCUUGGCUACAGUGACCUCUGAGUAUGUUGGUCGCAUUGUGAUAUUUUUAGCAAUAAAAUUAAUUUUCCUCAUUUGGAGUAUCUUUGCUUCCUCUUAUUAUCAUCUAUGCUUAUAUAAUUAUGAGCCGCUAAACAAUUUGGAUCAAUUGUCAACAUGUAUUCAGGUACUUUAUAGCAUUGAUCCUUCUUUGGAAGCUGAAUAACAAAGUAGACCUGUUCUCAUGGAAUAUCAUUGGAAAUGGAGUAAUCCGCUACCUGAAAUCUGGUUGGUCAAUAUCCUGUCAUGGUCAUAUCCAAGGAUGUUACAUGUCAUGAUUUUGCUUUAUUGUAAGCAAGCACUGAUUCAAACAGACAGAAAACUAUCCAUGAUUCAUUUCUGUUUGAUAAUUGUUUUAUUUAGCUCCCUGUGUUACAUCUUAGUGCAAUAGACCUUUAUGAAAACCACUUGAACUUGAACGAUUUUCAGGUGGACUGCUAAUUGGCAGAACAAUUGCAGUACUCCUGACAUUGACACUAUCUACGUCCCUGGCUGCAAGGGAAGGGCCUGUUUCCAAUGGCUGGCUAUGAGAUAUGCUUGCAAGUGUGGUUAACGAUUUCUCUGCUGAAUGAUGCUCUAGCCAUUGCUGGUCAGGUGUGCAAAAUUACUUAAGUGUCUUUCAUCAAAUCUCUUACCUGUGUGUUUAUUUGUGAGGUAUACCUAAUUUGUGCAGGCUCUACUUGCAAGCGAGUACGCAAAAGGGAAUUACAAGCAAGCCCGCAUGGUUUUAUACAAAAUCCUGCAGGUUAAGAAGUUAUUUCUUGGAAAAGUUCAGAAAAGACACCAAGUUUCUCCUUUUCCUCAAGGAGCUGAUACUGUUCCUCUUUUUGGUGUAGGUUGGAGGUGUGACUGGCGUUGCACUUGCUGCUACCCUACUUAUUGGCUUUGGAUCUUUGUCCUUGCUGUUUACAGAUGAUCCUGCAGUUUUGGACAUUGCCCAAUCUGGAGUUUGGGUACUGUUAAUUUUGAGAAAUUGAUGCUUAGUUUCUCAAGUGGUGUGCACAGGGAGUUUAUGUUAACGUUGUGAAUGUUGGAUUGAUGCAGUUUGUCACUAUUUCUCAGCCGGUAAAUGCUAUUGCAUUUGUGGCCGAUGGGCUCUACUAUGGUGUUUCUGACUUUGCCUACGCUGCAUACUCUACGGUUCUGAUUUAUACUCUUACUUUAUCACAUUAUUUUGUCUCCAACACAAUCACCUUGUCAUGCCAUUAGUUAUCACUUAGCACAGCUUUGUCAUGCUAACCAUAUAGAAUCUGGUUGUUUCAGUUUUUUGCAGGGGCCGUCUCAUCAGUAUUCCUACUUAUCGCUGCUCCUAAGUUUGGUCCUGGUGGUAUCUGGGCUGGCCUUACUCUAUUUAUGAGUUUGCGAGCAAUUGCUGGUUUCUGUAGGUAGUAAUUGAUGAUUCAUUUUGUAUCAGUCUAUUGCUUCUUAUACUGGAAUAUACGUAGCAGAAUGACUUAAGAGUUAUUUCCAGGUUAGGGAGCAAAGGUGGACCUUGGGAAACUAUCUUGUCAGAGAGUGAGUAAAGCACAGAUGUGACCAUGUAUAUUCAAGUGAUCUCCAACUGUCAACAUUAAGGUGGAAAUGCAUAUGGUUGCAGGCCAUAUAGCCGUGGGUAACAGAAGGCCUGUGUGGGCAGAUAACAAGGUAGCUGAAGUAUGUAGACAGUAUACUUGUAUUUGGUUUUAGCUAGCUGAGCUCUCUUGUUAUGCCUGCUCUAGGAGGAGGCGGCUUUACAGCUUUCGAGUGUUUACCAUGUAUGUACAAGAAAGCUGCGUUCCCAUAGAAGGCCCUUCCUGUAAAUUUUGCUUCUGGAAAAUCCUGCAUGUAAAUGAUAAAAUGAAUUGUCUAACAUUCGGAUCUGUGCAUCUUGUAAACAUUUUUGGCAUUUGUGUAACUCAGUGGAUGCUUGAAAUAGAAUUAUCUUAGUUGCUUGUUCCAGUAUUGUGCAAGUGCAGCAUCAUGGGACAUUUCAAAUUUGCUAAGAUUUGAAGUUGAACCCAGUUCCAGGCAAGGGCUGAUGUUCGUUCUUUAUUUAUUUUUUUUUAUUGUGUGGAGGCUAUACUAGAAAGCCGAUGGGCCAAGCCCAUGGUGCAGGAAAGACUUGAGGGCCCAGGCUUCCAAAGUUUAGCCCACCCUGGUUGAGAUUCCUUUCCUUCCGUUACUCUCAGUCCGGAGACAGCAGGCAGGAUAGAGAUAGAGAGAGGCAGGAGGCCAGCAGCCAAGCAGAGGCGGAGGAAGAGGGCGGCCGGGCCGGAGCAGAAAGCCACAAGCAGAAGGAAGAAGCGGCGAGGGCCGAGGAUGCCGUGCCUCAACGUGUCCACCAACGUCAACCUAGAGGGGGUGGACACCUCCGCCAUCCUCGCCGAGGCCUCCAAGGCCGUCGCCAACAUCAUCGGCAAGCCAGAGGCCGUAAGCAUCGCCUCUCCCUUUCCCCCUCUCGUUCCCUUUUUAUCUGCUGUUCCUGGAGGGAUAUCUCUCCCCUUGCAUCUGGUUGUUUUGUGAUAUGUAGGAUAUGCUUCCAUUUCGUGAUUGGACCUGUUAGGGUUUUGAGGAGGAUGUGCAUCGCUGUAUGGCACCUUUCUGUAGGCUAUCAGUCCAUUAAUCUGUCCGUUUACGGAUGGUAGUUUAAAGAGAACUUAUGUGAAUCAGCACGAUUUCCCACCACUAUUCCCCUUUGAUAAAUGCUACGAUGGGGAUUUUGAGCUCUAUGGCUAUUAUUUUGGGGGUAAUAUUACCUAGGUUUGUCAUGGACACUGCGAUGUUGGUACUCACUGAACUCGAAAACUUUGAUAAUAUUACAUGAAACAAUCUAAACAACUAGAACGGGACUGCAAUCUCUUGCAUAUCACUGCCAUCCUUCUUAAAUUGAGUUCAUAUAUAAUUGAACCUGUAAUUUUGGCAGUUUCAGCAUUGAGGAAGAAAAUCAGAUAACUGAAUAGUCUGAGACAGCAUCCCCAGUUUCUAUCUAGGAUUGAUAUUGUGACCACUGUGAUCACUCAGUACAAGAAAUGUCAAGCCUUUCGUCUAGCAAUUUCACGAAUCACUACCCUGCCAAUCUGACAUUUGAAUAGCAGUGCAACAUCAAUCCACCGAGAACAGAUGUAGUAUCUAUUAAAACAAACUAACUGAUGAAAGUCUAUGCUCACAAUUUUUCUAGACCGGAUUCCCAGCAACCCCUAGUGUACCAUUUCAUUCUCCAGCACUAAUCUGAUGUGCUGUUAAAUUUGUAGACCAUGGGCUGCAUGUGCUUUUCCUUUACGUUAUCCCUAAUACUACAGACAUCAAUUUUAUCUAUAUUAAGUUUGAAAAUUCAUGUCUAUCAGCAAUUCAUAUCAGUGUUAGUAAUAGUCAGGCAGCUGCUUUGCUAUUAUCAUGGACAAAGAUGACCUUUCUGGAUACUUCGGAUUCAAAACCUGACCACGUUAGCCUUAUUCUCAUACUGUCCUCCUUUGGGUUCCUGGUGAGUGUUCCUGUGGUGAUAGGCUCAGAUUGCUGAAAUUUAGAUUUUAUUUGUUUGUCUGUGCUUGAUUUAUAGUCAAAGCCAUUUCUCUUGGGUACUAUCAUCUUGAGGAAUUAACUGGAAUGCUUAUCCUUCCACAGUAUGUGAUGGUUGUUGUCAAGGGUUCAGUGCCUAUGGCAUUUGGAGGUACCCAGGAGCCCGCAGCGUAUGGCGAGCUGGUUUCCAUUGGAGGGCUGAACCCUGAUGUCAACAAGAAGCUGAGUGCUGGCAUUGCUUCUAUUCUGGAAUCAAAGCUGUCCGUUCCCAAGUCCCGCUUCUACCUCAAGUUCCACGAUUCAAAGGCAAGCAGCCACUAUUUCUUGUUUACUCAAGCUUUGGGGGGUCGUUUUAACCAUCACCAAGUUCUCAUUUCAGUUUUGUUCUUUGUUAGGCUUAUCCUGCACAAGAACAUGCUCAAUGUUUGCAUGCUUUGCAUCAAGAAUAGAUCAUGUAAAUAACCAUCUGUUGUUUGAUGACAACUUCCUAGUUUUGCAUAUGUUUCCUUUCCACUUGCUUACGUAGAUGGUGUUAGCUCCAGUGAUAUCUUGGCAUCAUGAUAAUUGUGAGAUUUAUGUUGAUCAUGCAGCGCUCAGACUUUGGUUGGAAUGGCUCCACCUUCUAGAUUUGAGGUCCGUGGGCGUGGCUUCGGUGAAGGGAAAUGUGCUAGCUAAUGUCAUGUCCAUUUGCAUGAUGGCCUAGUAAGGACAAAAUUGGAAGGUACAGUUCGUCUGUGGUGAACUGAGGAGUGAAAACUGUUAUGUGGAACUGGGGCAGGCUUGUUUGAAUGCAACCUAGCAAACCUGGCUAUCUUGGCUGUUCCUUUCCUUUGGGUAAUAGUAAGCUUGAAAUGAUUCCGCCUAUAUUGUUUGGUUUGAUAGGGGACAGUGGAUGGUAACUUUCCAAGGGCACUCUUUGCUGUUGUGAUUUGUUGGCUCAGUACGGUAUAUUGUUGGUGCCAGGUAACAAAAAAAAAAAGUCAUAUAAAGGAAGGAAUAAUGCAAGGGGAUGGAGGUUUGAUCCUCAGGUAUGGUGGGAAGAACUUUGCUGGUGUGUUGCCAGUUUCUUCCAGAACCAAGUGCAUAAUAUAGUACUUGUUUGAUACUAGGAAAAAUGGAGAAGAUGCAUUGCAGUUGUAGGCAGUGAUGUUUGACCAAACUGUGUCGGGUGCCUGACCUGGAAUGGAGAGGUCCUCUGCUGCCCGACCCUUUUGUUGAAUUCCUUCACACCAAGUCGUAUUGCGUGUUUACCUAACCAUUAUUUUUGGUUGCAGCAAACACUUCACUGCUUUUGUUAGCAACCCUUAUAACAUGGCAUUUCCUUUUAUAAGGGAGAUAAAUAAGAUUUUAUGCAUUUUUGAAACUCUAUAAACUCGCAAAUAUAUAUAUAUAUAUAGACAACGAAUUUUGCACAAUCCAUUGGCUUCUAGUAGACCAUUUGGGAUGGAUGAAUGUGCUCCUAUAAAGAGGCUUGAAAGAAAUAUAUAUACACUAAUGUUUUUUGUUUGUGCACAGGAAAAUAAAUAAAUAAAUAAAUAAAAGGAGACGUGCAGCCUAGUAUACUCCACACUGGAGCGUUGACCAGUCAGUGUGUGGGUGUCACGGCCUCCUAUUCAAUUCGCGCCCCUCCUCUCCUCAUCUCAGAUCCGCCAGACCCGGGCAGAUCGCCUCGCCACCAAUCCACCAUGGCCGCGGCCUCCCCUCCUCUCCUCCCCACCACCGUCGUUGUCCCGGCCGCCGCCACGCCAUCCCCCAUCCCCAGCGCCGACGACGCCAACCCCGCGGCGGUGCGCGCCUUCCUGUCCCGGCUCCUGGAGUCCGGCCGGCGCGCGCUGUCGGGUGCCCGCCCCUGGUCCGAGCUCGUGGACUGGUCGGCGCUCUCCCGUCCGGACUCCCUGUCCGACGCCACCUCCCGCCUGCGCAAGAACCUGGCCUACUUCCGCGUGAACUACGCCGCGGUGGUGGCGCUCUCCCUGGGCGCGUCGCUCCUCGCGCACCCGUUCUCGCUGGCGGCGCUCCUCGCGCUGCUCGCCGCCUGGUGCCUCCUGUACAUCCUCCGCCCCGCCGACGCGGCGCCGGUCGCCGCCUUCGGACGCACCUUCUCGGACAAGGAGGUGCUCGGGGGCCUGAUCGCCUGCUCGGCGUUCGCGGUGUUCCUGACCUCGGUGGGAUCGCUCAUCUUCUCGGCGCUGGCUCUGGGCGCGGGCGUGGUGUGCGCGCACGGCGCGCUCCGCGUGCCGGAGGAGCUGCUGUUCCUGGACGAGGGCGACCAGGCGGGUGGCAGCGGCAACCCGCUGAUGUCGUUCAUCGCCAGCGCCACAGCAGGCACAGGAGGAGGAGGACGCGUCGUGUGAGGGCUGCUAUGCUAUGCUUUGCUUUGCUUGAAUCGAUUGAUUCGUACUAGUAUUGUUUUGGCAGCUGGACGAGCUGCUGAGUACUUUAUUACGAAAGAAUAUAUACAGCGUAUAAUGUAAGAAGAAGAAGAUUCGGCAAUGGAGUGAAUUUUGGUGUUUGGUGAUGAGGGAGUCGAUUCAUUCAUUCAUUCAUUCAUGUCUCAGCUAGCUGUUGCAGUUUGCAUCACAUAUCCCAUUGAAAUGAAGGCUCCUUUGGCAGGGCACUUUGGGGAGGCGGAGCCAGAAAACGUGGCUCUGUCCGGCUCCGUCUCACCCUUUGCCAACCAUGCCCCCCGGUGCCCGCGGCAUUGCAGCAAGAGGAGGGCGGCGGCUAGAGUGGGGCGCAAGCGGCCGGCGGUGCGGGCCGGAGCACGCGGCCAAGGCGGGCCGGAGGGCGGGUGCGGAGGGUCAUAGUGCCGGGGCGGGGCGGGGUAGUGGCCACGGUAGUUCUCUCUCGCCAAAACCUAGCAGUGGCGGCGGCAUGAAUCCCCUCUAGUGAACGGCGGCUUUAACGCGCAGGGAGGCCACUCCGAUCGGGGAAAUCGACGGAUCCACUCAAGAGGAGGCUUAUGCAGGCGUUGGAGGCGGGUUAGGGCGCGGCAACGGGUCAGGACACGGCGGGGCGCACCGGCACGGGGUGCGGCAGGGCGCACCGGCACGGGGCGCGGCGGGGCGGGGCGUGGCUGUCGGGCUUGGCGCGUUGGCAUGGCUGGACGUGCCGGCCGAGCAAGGCAUCGCGGCAGGGCUAGGCGCGACGGAGUGGCUAGCUAGCGUGCUAGCAGCACAAAACGGCGCUGGCUUCGACAUCCACCAUGGACAGAUUUCAUGAUGAUCUUGCAUGGUCAAUCUUUCUUUCUAGAUCAUCAUGAGCAUGUAUCAAUGGUUAUAUGGUUUAUGUAAGAAUUUUUUUUCAGAAUUACUCUAUUAGGAUAACAAGACAAUGAUUAUGAUUAUUAGGUAACCAAUAUUUCUAUUUAUUUAUUUAUUUAUUUAUUUUAUAUUAAUUAAAAAUGUUAACCAAUAUUUAUUUAUUUAUUUUAUAUUAUGAUUAUGAUUAGGGCAUAUUGGAUAUUUGACAUAUUCAAUCCAUUCAAAAAAAUAGGGUGAAGUCGUUUUGCCAAACGUUUUUCAAAAUAGCUUCAGUUCUACCAGAGAAGCCGCUCCACCGGAAAAGCCGGAGCUGGAGCCGGAGCCCUGCCAAACGGGCUCGAUGAUCUCGUGAUGGAUUGGCUAGGCAUGGGCCUCUGUUGGGCUGGGCCUACAAUAUCUAUCUGUCUGUCUGGUCGGCCCAGCUGGGCCACCCCAGGAGAAGGAAGGAACCCAAACAAAAACAAGAGGCCGUCGGGGAGCAACGUUGUUGUUGCGUUGUCGGCCUGGCCUGGAAGCAGUGGAAGGGGAACGAACUAGCCGUUACAGAAAAUAAACAAUUAAACCGGCAGGCCUUGGCCCGGUCCGGCCCUCGUGACUGCUGCUGCCGCCGCCGCCUCUGUCUCUCUCCGUGCACCACCCACGCCGCCUGCUGCUCUCCGACUAGCCGUUGCGCCGCCCAUUCCUCCCCUCCCCUCUGCUCCAGCCAGCCACUCACUUUCAUCAACACGGGGACAGAGAGAGGCAUUGCAUUGAUCGCCGCCCUCGCUCCUCUCCUCUUCUCCACCUAAACAAACACCGCUCCCCUGCUUCCAUUUCCAAUCCAAAUCCACCACCAUGCGCCGCAGCAGGCCCCUCCUCCUCCUCCUCCUCCUCCUCGCUCCGCCGGCCACCGCCAAAGCAGCCCACCACCCCGCCGGCGACGGCGUCGUCAUCUCCCAGGCCGACUACCAGGGCCUCCAGGCCAUCCGCCACGACCUCGCCGACCCCUACGGCUUCCUCCGCUCCUGGAACGACUCCGGCCUCACCGCAUGCUCCGGCGCCUGGGCCGGCAUCAAGUGCGUCCUGGGCAGCGUCGUCGCCAUCACGCUCCCCUGGCGGGGACUCGGGGGCACGCUCUCCCAGCGCGGCCUCGGCCAGCUCACCCGACUCCGCAGGCUCAGCCUCCACGACAACGCCAUCGCGGGACCCAUCCCCGCCUCGCUCGGCUUCCUCCCCGACCUCCGCGGAGUCUACCUCUUCAACAACCGCUUCUCCGGCGCCGUCCCCGCAUCCAUCGGCGGAUGCCUCGCGCUCCAGUCGUUCGACGCCAGCAACAACCGCCUCAUCGGCGCCAUCCCGCCCGCCGUCGCCAACUCCACCAAGCUCAUCCGUCUCAACCUCAGCCGCAACGCAUUGUCCGAUGAGAUCCCCGCCGAGGUCGUAGCCUCCGCCUCGCUCCUCGUCCUCGACCUCUCCUACAACAACCUCUCAGGACCCAUCCCCGACGCAUUCGCGCCCUCCACCAAGUCGCCUUCCAAGCUCCUCAACAAGGAGUCCAUCACCGGGACCUACCAGCUCGUCUUCCUCAGCCUCGCGCACAACUCCCUCGACGGGCCCAUUCCGGAGUCGCUCGCAAAGCUCACCAAGCUCCAGGACCUCGACCUCUCCGGGAACAACCUCAACGGCACCAUCCCCGCCGAGCUCGGCAACCUCACCGCCACGCUCCACUCCUUCAACGUCUCCUACAACAACCUCUCCGGCGCGGUGCCGCCCUCGCUCGCCCGGAAGUUCCGGGAGCCCGCCUUCACCGGGAACAUCCUCCUCUGCGGCUACUCUGCUUCCACGCCCUGCCCGGCCUCCCCAUCCCCGGCGCCGUCCGCGCCGGCCUCACCCGCCGAGGAGUCCCGCGGCCGCCGCAAGUUCAGCACCAAGGAGCUCACUCUCAUCAUUGCCGGGAUCGUCGUCGGCGUCCUCAUCCUGCUGCUCCUCUGCUGCCUCCUGCUCUGCUUCCUCACACGGAAGAGGUCUUCUUCCGGCACCGCAGCAGGAGCAAGGAGCGGGAAGCAGCAGGCGGCAAAGGACGCCGCUGGCGCCGGCGCCGCGGCGGCCGGACGGGGCGAGAAGCCAGGCUCCGGCGCGGCGGAGGUCGAGUCCGGCGGCGACGUGGGCGGCAAGCUGGUGCACUUCGACGGGCCGCUCGCCUUCACGGCGGACGACCUGCUGUGCGCCACCGCGGAAAUCAUGGGGAAGAGCACCUACGGCACGGUGUACAAGGCCACGCUCGAGGACGGCAGCCUGGUGGCCGUCAAGCGCCUCAGGGAGAAGAUCACCAAGGGCCACAAGGAUUUCGAGGCCGAGGCGGCGGUGCUCGGCAGGAUCCGCCACCCCAACCUGCUAGCGCUCAGGGCAUACUACCUGGGGCCAAAGGGGGAGAAGCUGCUCGUCUUCGAUUACAUGCCCAAGGGAAGCCUCACCUCAUUCUUGCACGGUCAGACUUCUUAUCCCUGCUAUGUUCUUCCGUUUUGUUCUGUUCUGCAUUAUCAAUUUCUGAACUCUGAUAUAUGGUUGACAAAUCCUACUUAAAACUUCUUUUAAACAUAUUAGUACGAGAAAUGCUUGCUAGGAACACUGCCAAUUGACAAGGAGUUUAAGUAUUAGUUAAUUGGCAUGUGGUGAGCCUCCUGCAGCUUGCUAAUUGCUUGCUAGGAGUAUGUUUCAGCAAAGGCAUGGUCUGAACAUUUACACAUUCAGACAUUGCAAAGAUUGAUACAACUGUAAUUCUGUUAGCAGGUUCAACUUGGAGUUGCAAACUUUGCAUUGCAGUUGCUUUUGAUUAGUUAGAUAUAAGAAUGAACUCGGUUCGGACCUUAACAUGUCAAAAUCCUGUCAGUCAUAGCAUCUCAUGUUCAUGAAUCAUGGCGAAUGCAGACAAGUUCAGUAGCAUGCAGGAAGUGCUCGUGUUAGUUUCAGUGACAGUGAAAACAAACUAGCACCUUGUGCAAUUUUUGGUGGAACAAUUAGGAGGAUGUGUUGUCCAAGUAAAGGAUUGGAAUUUCUUGUCUCAAACGGUGCUACUUAACAGCAUUAUUAAACUUUGAUACUUGAAAUAUGUUGAUAAUUUUGUCCCCAACUCAGCAUUUUGCAGAGUUCAGUACCUUCUGAACUGAAACUCUCAACAAUUGUUGAACUGAAACUCUGAAGUUGUCAUAACACUGUGUUUGCUAACAGUUGAUGAAUUAGACAUUCUUUGUCCAAGUAAAGGGCAAAUUCUUGUUUCAACAGUACUGCUUCAUCAUCUUUUAUGAAAUCUCUUGAUAAAUUGCUCCCUACUCGACAUUGUUUUUCAUUUCUGAAAGCUACACUCUGACACUUGUGAAACUGAAACGCUGAACUUGUGUACUGAAACUUGAUGUUCCCUGAUGAAUGGCGUUGAUGCAGCUCGCGCUCCGAACACGCCGGUGGACUGGGCGACGCGGAUGACAAUCGCCAAGGGCACAGCCCGUGGCGUGGCCUACCUCCACGACGACAUGAGCAUCGUGCACGGCAAUCUGACCGCCAGCAACGUCCUCCUCGACGAGCAAUGCAACCCCAAGAUCUCCGACUUCGGGCUGUCCCGUCUGAUGACGACGGCGGCGAACUCGAACGUGCUGGCUGCGGCGGGCGCCCUGGGGUACCGCGCGCCGGAGCUGUCGAAGCUGAAGAAGGCGAACGCGAAGACGGACGUGUACAGCCUGGGCGUGAUCAUCCUGGAGCUGCUGACGGGCAAGACCCCCGCCGAGAGCACCAACGGCAUGGACCUGCCGCAGUGGGUGGCGUCCAUCGUGAAGGAGGAGUGGACCAGCGAGGUGUUCGACCUGGAGCUGAUGCGCGACGCCGCGGCGGGGCCCGUCGGGGACGAGCUGAUGGACACGCUGAAGCUGGCGCUGCACUGCGUGGACCCGGCGCCGUCGGUGCGGCCCGAGGCCCGGGAGGUGCUGCGGCAGCUCGAGCAGAUCAGGCCGGGGUCGGAUGGCGGCGCCGGGCCGAGCGAGGAAGGUGCUGGCGCGCAUGUGCCGGCGGCACCCGCAGGAGACGAUGAGUAGCGCCGCAUGCACCACCAGUUGUAAUGUUAGAUAUAUCUAGGAAUUCUUUGAUUCGUUUGAUCGCGAAGUAUUACUUCUACUUCUACCACUGGCGUUGCUAGGUAAUUUUCAGUUUGUAUAGGCAGAUAUUAUUUUUGCACACUAGAAUCAAAUGGCUGCAAGUAUGUAGCAGCCUAGGAACAAGGAUGGAAAAGAGGAGAAAUACUACCACUAGUAUAAUAAUGCAUUUUUCUAUUUGAGUUACUUGUCCAUCAAUCUUGAGGAUGGUAGUGAAUAGAUACUGAAUUUGUCAUACUGUCUUUGUUUCGAGCUGUGCUAGUAUUACAGGUCACAGCAGAUUGUGCAGACGAUGCAGCAGUGUUAACGAGUUCAAGUGAUCCCUGUAAACGUGGAGGGCGUACUUUGGGGUGCAACAAACAAAAAGCACCUGCUAACUGCUAGUCACCAUGCCCCAGCCUGAGCUGAGCAGACCAACCUGCAUGCCACAAAACGACAAGACUAUCCAACCACACCUUUGGUUCAACCAGAGGGAGACCCAACAUCAACAACUCUGGGAAUCUAACAGUCACUGAGUUACUGCGUUCACAUUCUACCAAAGGUAGCAAAACAGACGCAUAUACUGAAGAUAAGACAUCGUCAGUUCAGUAAUGUCAAUCAGCUUACACCAGCCAGUUCGCACGACUCUAAAGCUACACCAUUUUUGUGAUCAUACCAAUGCAAACAGGCUUUCGUCGCAGAAUGACAUUGCCAGACGAAAGCAAAGAAAUAAAGCAGUGCAGCAAGCUUUUCUUCAGGUGCCGUCUUCAGGCCGAAACUGACAGAAGAAACUCUGAUACGCGGCAUCUAGAUCCGUUUUGUCAAAUAGCACAGAUUGUGCAUGCAGCAGUGUACCGAGUUCAUAGUGAUCCCUAUACCAAGCACACUGCUGUAAAUGUAAGGUAAAUGGAUCCCAGGAACAACAGCUGGAGUACAACUUUUCCACCAUGCGGCCUCGUAUGCUGGCACACCAGCAUGUGAAACAUCUUUUCAGUGUUUGAAGGACAUGUAGUGGAGCACAAGAGUUGUUAGUUGCCUACAAAUUAGCACAGUGCUACAUCCCAGCCUUGGAUUAAAAUAUUUCUUUGAGCCCUUUGCCACCAAGCAAAUCUCUCCCUUUUAUGCCAAAUUGCAUUUCUUCCUUCUUCCUCAAGAUUCUUGCUGUUCUUUCUGUUUGACUUUAGACUGCCUUGAAUUGCAAGAAACCAUCUGAAGCUAGAACAGAUUGGGUACUUGCCUACUGGAUCCAUGAACAGUAUUUGGUGGUUAGCAAACAGCACGCUUCUUGUUGUACUUUUGCCAACCACAGCUCGUGGGCGUGAAUCAUUUGACAGAACAAGUAUUUGGCAACCUUACAGUUUCAGAGUCUGCAAAAAAAAUAUAUUAACACUGUUUUACUGUUGAAAUUAAGUUUGGUUCUGAUUCGCACUAGUCUAAAAUUGUACUGAAAAUUCCUCUAUAGUAAACAUAUAGUAGUACGGGUGUAUAAUCAAUGAAGCAAAUUACUAUUAUCAACACGUUUGAUCCCUAUAUCACAUAACAAGGUCAUGUUAGUAUACGUCACAUAUUGGUUACUUGGUUCUGUGGUGCAAGCAACAAAAAGGAGACAAUCUAGAUGUAGCGAUGCGCUUUUGAUCCUGGCAACAAAGGCAUGUCGUUAUGGUCAAACAGUGUAGUUAAACUUCCAUUUGAAAUUGGCAGUGCCAAAGUAAAGAUUCAGUUAGUCAUCAUGUUCGGAAAAAAUGGAUACAAAGAGAUUUGGCAGUCAAAAGGACGAAAGAAAGUUGCUACUGAGUAGUGAUCUCACUGUCUUCAUGGGAUUUCGGACGCGAAAAAGGUUGAUGCAGGAAAAGAAUUAGGAAUGAAGUGUUUGGUUCUAACAAAAUGAAACAAAAACUAAGGAAAGCUUUGUUGCAAGUGGAAACAUUUGUGGGACUAGUGGCCCCACAGGCUAUGAUUCCUUAAUUUAUGCAUAAUUAUUCAUGCUCAGCAUAAUUUGUGUAAAGAAGCACGUGAUGCGAAACCGUGAUGCUAAAAUGCAAGGUGCAGACAGCUCUAUGUGAUCCUUGGUUAGGAUAUACAUUUAUUUUGCUGAUGAAUUCUUGCAAUGCUGACCAUGAGUCUGCUUUUGGAGUCUGCCUAAACAUUUGGCUUUUAGAGCUCUGCCUGAUUAACAAAUGGACACUAGGCCUCUUUCUCUGUUUUGUUUUGAAACAUUUCAGUACUUAGCCUAUUAUAUUUGAUUUGAGAUAUUCGAUGAAAUUCCAAAUGGUGAAGUUGAUGCGAUACACAAAUAUGUAAUUUGGAUGUAGGGGAUUAUGUCCUUUGUAGGAUAAGAUCUGCUGACCACCGAUGCCAUAGUCUCGUUGAUCUUGGAAGCUAGGCUCUCUCUAUAUAUCUUAUUAUGAUGAUGUUUCAGUCAGUCCUUGAGGAUGUCCCGAGGAGAGGGGAGGAAAGCUAAGCUAGUGAUGGAAGCAUGAUCACAGGAGUCACCUGGCCAAAACAGUAUGUCGUCUGAUGAAAGUAUCCAACCAUAGAUGAUAAGAUAUGUAUAUCCUUCUAAUCUGUUUCCUUUUCGGAAAGGACCUGCCGACUAAUACAAAGCCACAGGCAUUAGUUAAUCUUUGGAAAGCUCUGUUAUCAACUGUCCUCUGAGGAGCUUCAUCUUGAUAUGCGAUGCGGAGGAAAAUGCAAUAGACUUGUAGCUAGUUAGUAGCUGGCCGAAAAGCAGGGGAGUUAACCACUAGGAGAAGUCUGUUGCCCUUCUUUGUUACCUACCAACUGGAGUGUGCGUGGUUGUUACUGUCAUUGGCAUGCACGUUGAAUUGAAUAACGGGCAUGCAUGCAUGACCAUGAAGCAACAAGUGAAGGAAUGCUGCUGUACUGUACUCCUACAAGGCUAGAAGCAGAAAAGUAUGAGAAACAGAAAGCAAAUGUGAGUGUCAAAAGAUGAGGCCAUCAUCCAUGCAUUCGUUCACCAGCAGCAGGAUGAAUGAAUUCAUUCAGGACCUAAAUAAUAAUGCCAGCCACAAAACCACCGCUGUCUAUGACUUUGUAGCUAGCUAGCUAGCAGGAAUGCAGGAUAUUUUUCCUUUGUACGUGCGUGAUCUCUGUGUUGGCCCCUGCUGUCUGCUGUGCACCUCUACCUGCUCCUGCUGCUGCUCCUAUAUAAAGAAGACACCCUUAAGCUUGCAUUGGUCGCUUGCAUACUAGAUAUAAGCAAUCCGAUCCAAGGCUGAAGCAGAAGAGAGAUGCUGCUAGCAUCCGGCAUGUCAAGGUCAAGCAGCAGCGUGUCGUCCUCAUCACUGCUACUCUUGAUCACCCUGCUUGCUGCUCUGCUCCAUUGCUCCCUGCUUAUUCAGCUGACCGUUGCCAAGGAGCAGUACCAUGAGUUCGUGGUAAUUACCCUACCAAUAUAGUAGAUCAUAUAUAGGAGUUUGUAAUUGUUUCAUUCAUUCAUUAUUACUGCUGCUGCACUGGUGAUCCAUCUGUUCUGAGCAUAUAGUACAUGAUCGAUCUGAAUGACAUGCAUGCGGCUGCAUGCAGGUCCAGGAGGCGGCGGUGACUCGGCUGUGCCGGAAGCACAGCAUCAUGACGGUGAACGGGCAGUUCCCGGGGCCGGCGUUGGAGGUGAGCGAGGGCGACUCGCUCAUCGUCCGGGUCAUCAACCGGGGCAGCUACAACGUGACUGUGCACUGGCACGGCGUCCGGCAGAUGCGGACGGGAUGGUCGGACGGGCCCGAGUACGUGACGCAGUGCCCCAUCCGCCCUGGCCAGAGCUACACCUACCGCUUCACCGUCGCCGGGCAGGAGGGCACCCUGUGGUGGCACGCCCACAGCUCCUGGCUCAGGGCCACCGUCCAUGGCGCCCUCAUCAUCCGCCCACGCGCCGGCGUCCCCUACCCCUUCAACGGCGGCAAGCCGCCCGUCAGGGAGAUCCCCAUCCUGCUCGGUACUCAUGCAUUUUUAUGAUUUCUCAAUGCUCAUGUACGUCCAAUAGUAGUGGCAUACGGGUCAAAAAUUCUUGCACAAAUAAUGUAUCCUGAGACCUGACUCUCCUAUAUUCCACAAAUUAACAAGUAAAAACUUGGAUUAACAGCUAGGUUUAUAACUUCGAUACUGAUGACAAAUGACAAGUUUUUUUUUUCUAGAUUCAGGAAAAGUAGUAUAUACACUCUGAAGUUUCGAGUUGAAAAUUAGGCUUCAACCUAGGAGCUGAAAGUGUACACCCACAUCUGGCAUCUCCCACCAACUGACCUAAGCUUACUAGCUAUAGUACAAUUCUAAGCUUGUGGAAGCAGGCAUUUGAUUGGCCAGGUUCUGCAAUGCAAGCUAAGUGUGGUGUGGGCCAGAGAGAAUAUGAAUAAUGAGAGAUGCAUGCAUGAUUAGCGGCCAUUUCUUUGUCGCUUUUCCCGCAUGUUAGUCAGUGUUAUCAUUCUGCUGCUAGUUGUUGUUGGUUGAUACCAGCUUGCUCGAUCAUUAGCUUACCUAAGCUCGCUGCUGCAAGCAUGAGAGUCAGACACUGCACGCAUCGUCAUCAUGUUGGAUCACAAACCUUUACAUACACAUCAAGCGUCAUCAACACGCUGAUGCUCGCUCUUCCUACAAAAAGGGAAAACAAUCGUGAUUGACGGGCGUCCAAAAAGAUUUCCAUGUGAGAUAUAUAUCCUUCUUUUGUUACAUACUCAAGAGUCAGAGCCAUGCCACUGACAUCAUGCGAGUCCAACAACUCUCUUACACCAAAAUCCUGUUCCCUGAACGGAAAACUAUAACAUGAUGGGUCACUAGAUCAAUGUAUACUGUGCUAAUGUUAGUGUACUAUUUCUUAAUCAACAAUAAGUUCAUCAGCUGUCAACGCAGAAAGGUUUAUGCCAGCUUGCCUCUGAAGCAUUCCAAAAGCCAAACAACUGGUUUCAGAGUUGUCUCCCGUGGAACCAGAUGGAACAGCUUCAUUUGCCUCGAAUAAUUUCCCUUCCCUCCAAAAGAACUUUGUGUACUAAAUUAAUCUAUAUAUCUACUCCCUCCGUCCUGAAAUGUAAGGCAUUACAAGAUUCAAAAUUUGUACCCAAAUAUAAGGCAUCCUAAGACUUUUGGGUAAGUAUUAAAGAAAAUCAUUUAAUUUAAUUUCCUUGACUCUUAGUUGCAUACUUACCUUUUUCUAUCCCUUCCUUCCCUGCUUAAUCUUAGGAACAAAUAGGCCUAACAUGAGCUAAUAAGCACAUACUGACUCAAUCUUCAUUAAUUAUAUCUCCACAACGAAAAGCUAAGCGUGAUGUUUAAAAUCCUUAAUAAAAUCUGUGUAGCAAAUAAUUAAAGUUCCUUCCGGGGUAAUGCACGCUGAUCGAUUGCGCAUUGCAACUUUGACAAAGAAUUCACCAAAUGUCUUGCUUACUUACUGUGCCAUGGGAAUCGAAUCGAAUGUGCAUGCAGGGGAAUGGUGGGACAUGAACCCCAUCGACGUGGUCCGCACCGCCACCCGCACCGGCGCCGCGCCCAACAUCUCCGACGCCCUCACCGUCAACGGCCAGCCCGGCGACCUCUACAAGUGCUCCUCCAAAGACACCACGACGUUCCCCGUCAAGUCCGGCGAGACCAACCUGCUGCGCUUCAUCAACGCCGCACUCAACACGGAGCUCUUCGUCUCCCUCGCCGGACACACCAUGACCAUCGUCGGCGCCGACGCCUCCUACACCAAGCCCUACGCCACGUCGGUGCUCAUGAUCGCCCCCGGCCAGACCACCGACGUCCUCGUCACCUUCGACCAGCCGCCCGCCCGGUACUACCUCGCCGCCCGCGCUUACUCCAGCGCCCAGGGCGUCCCCUUCGACAACACCACCACCACCGCCAUCUUCGACUACGGCACCAGCAGCAGCCGCCCCGCGAUGCCGACGCUCCCGGCCUACAACGACACGGCCACGGCCACGGCGUUCACGACAAGCCUGCGCGGCCUGCGCAAGGCGGAGCUCCCCUCGCGCGUCGACGAGAGCCUCUUCUUCACCGUCGGCGUCGGGCUCUUCAACUGCUCGACGGGCCAGAACUGCGGCGGGCCCAACAACACGCGGUUCGCGGCGAGCAUCAACAACGUCUCCUUCGUGCUGCCGUCCACCUUGUCCAUACUGCAGGCGCACUACGGUGGCGCGGCGGCGGCGGGCGUGUUCACCGCCGACUUCCCCGGCAACCCGCCAGUGCAGUUCGACUACACGGCGCAGAACGUGAGCCGCGCGCUGUGGCAGCCGGUGCCGGGAACCAAGGUGUACAGGCUCAGUUACGGCGCCGUCGUGCAGGUGGUGCUCCAGGGCACCAACAUCUUCGCGGCCGAGAACCACCCCAUCCACCUCCACGGCUACGACUUCUACAUCCUGGGCGAGGGCUCGGGCAACUUCGACGCCGGCAGGGACACGGGCAAGUUGAACCUGGACGACCCGCCGAUGAGGAACACGGUGGGCGUGCCGGUGAACGGGUGGGCGGUGAUCCGGUUCGUGGCCGACAACCCUGGGGUGUGGCUGAUGCACUGCCACCUGGACGUGCACAUCAGCUGGGGACUCGCCAUGGCGUUCCUGGUGGAGGACGGCGUUGGGGAGCUGCAGUCUCUCGAGGCACCUCCACCGGACCUCCCACUCUGCUGAAUAACAGUUGCAUGCAGACUCCAAGCUAGUUUUGGCCAUUCAUCUCAUCUGCUUAUUAUUACCUGAUGCUGAAUUAGUUGCUGAUUAUUAUGUACCAACUCACAUGAUUUUUUAUCCUCAAAAAAGCCUAGCUGCUGUCUGUCUACAUCGGAUUCAUCAAGAAACAUUGUCAAUUUAAUUCAGAAAUAUCGAAACAAAGAACUAGUACAUACUAUUAUGUAUAUUACAGCUGUCUGAUCUGUCUAACUUUUGUUUGUACUCGUCGUUCUUGAACACAAUGCACCUGAAUGAGUGAUCAGAGGAGACCUGAACAAUGCAAUGCAAAAGAAACCCCAACAGGUGAUUAAUCUGAUGAUGGAGCUAAGCAAAGUUGCUGUGAUCGGAGCGCCAGCAGUGGUGGUGUAAUCGGCCCAGCCCACCACGUGCCACUGCCGGAUGGGCCAGCCCUUCUCCAUCUACCAGGCAUACGAAGAGGACAGGACAGGACGGAGCAGUAAAAACGGGCACCCACCACUGCCUGCCAUCCUUCCUUCCCCUUCCUCUUCACCACGGCAAGGCAAGCCUCCUCCCCUGUACUGUACUGCUCGCUACACCAAGCGGAGGAGGAGGCAGGGAGGAAUCACGCGCCUGGCUCAGAUUUCAGUGCACUGCAGUGUGAUCGCCCCCCUGUUCCUCCUCUUCCGACGACGACGAUUUCAAUCAAGGUACCACCGCUACCUCCAACCGCAUUUCCCCCACGUCUUGCUUUUUGCUCCGCUCACCACCCAAAACCCCAUAGGCAACUGGCUACCAAAUCCUUCUCUGUUGUGGUUAUGCAUACGCUGCUGCGGCUGCUCGGGUUUAAUCUUAUCUGGGUGGCCUACUCUUCUCUUACUGUAGUGGUUUCGAUUCAUCGAUCAUGGCCGAGCUCCUUCCUUCCUGACGAUUGUUGCUUCGUUUGCUUGCGCUCAUGAUUCUGGGUGCGAUUUCGCUGCUUCUCCUCUCCGAUAAUGCAAUGUACCCGUCAGCCAUACCUAGUGUAUGUAUGUAGGUUUUUUCCCUCCCCCUAAUUGCGGUUACUUGUUCAUCAACUGGCCGUCUAGGAUCCCCCCCCCCCCCCCCUAAUUCUGAUUGUUCAUGAAUUCAGCAUGUCUAGUCCUAGCCCAAUUAUUAGUGACUUCAUGUACAACUUGUUUGCUUCCUUCAUUGAUUUUGCCCCGCAGCCCCACGUGAAAAAUAUUAUCUUGUGGUUGGACUGGGAAAUUGUAACGAUUCCAUCUACUCAACUGAGGCAUUCAUUCAACUGAUUUUGGUACUCCAUUCCAUCUUCAACAAAUGCAACUGUACCCAUUUCUUGACCCCACCUUUGUUUCUUGCUGCAUCUCCAUGUGCUAGUACAUAUCAACAGUCAGGAAAGAGGGACAAUUGCAUUUCUUGCACUUCAUUACUGCCCUGACUAUGUAAUGCAGCCGGCAUGUUUCACAUGGUUAAGCUUCAGCCAGACAUUAUUAACAUUAUUUGUUUCCUUCUGUUUCUCAUCUCGCUAGUAUCGGUACAAUGGUGAAGAGCAAAUCCUUGUGGAGCCAGGUUGUGAAAAGUACCAGGCCCACAAACCUGUCCAUUUCUGCAAGAAACCUCCAACCAAAAGAUCUUGGAGCUGUCAUAUUUGGUUGCACAAACAAUACCAUUGCAGAGUGUCACUCACGGCAACUUUUCGGUAUUUAUCUUAACCACGACUAUUCUCUUAAGUUAUGUAUUUACAAAACUGAGCUACUCCUUUAAUGCAUUUGUUUUCUUUUCCUCCGAGGGGAAUAUAUGCGAUGCCUCCCAAAGAAUAGCAAUUUGUUAGGUAAUCCACUGACCUAGUAACCAUUCGUGUGGUGUUUCAGGCUUGCCAAGAGCACAUAUCUCCUAUGUACGAAACAUUAAGGAAGGACUACCUCUCUUCCUAUUCAAUUAUGAUGAUCGCAAAUUGUAUGGUAUAUAUGAAGCUGCAGGCAGUGGUAAGUUCUGUCCUGAAUCAAAUGCAUGGUCAAAUGAUGGCCAGGGAAAGACAAGCUUUCCUGCCCAGGUACAAUCCCUUGUUUUUUGUAUCUAUGAAUGCCAUCUUCUUACUGACUCUCACUGAAAACCUCUGUGCAUGUCAAUGCCCUUUUGUUUAUUUAGGUUGCGAUGCGGGUAAGCGUGUGGUGUUUUCCGCUAGCAGAGAAUCAGUUCAGAAAUGCUAUUGUAGCCAACUACUAUCAGAACACGCCCAGUGUCCCUGGCCAGAAGCUUCAUUUUUUUCAGUUUGAAUUGGAUCAUGCUCAGACACGUGUUUUGAUAGAUAUGUUUACUCCAUCACCUCCUCCCAACAAUUUCUGGAUGCCCCUUGUUGCAGCACCAGCUGAUGAGCAUGUGAGAGAGUUAGUAUCGUCACCUGUACGGACACCAAAGCAUGAAGGGAAGGUCAAACCAGAAAAGGCACCUGUACGGACACCAAAGCAUGAAGGGAAGGUCAAACCAGAAAAGGUUGUAAAGUCAUAUGCAGACAUGGUAAAGAAGAACAAAUUUGAGGAAGUUGUGAAAGGAGAUGUGGACGAGGAACAUGCGAGCUCAGAUAAUGAAUCUUCUAAUGGUUUUGACGAUCUGGAUUGUGGAGAGACACCAACGGAGAGAGAAGAGUUUGCACUGUCAGAUCAGGCGGGUGAAAUUAAAAAGCAACAACACUCUGAUAAGAAGACAAAAGUGCUUAGCUUCAACCAUGUGUUAGAAGGGCAUGCAGCUUUGCCUGUGCAGCAGUGGAGUCCUUAUUUGUAUGCCAAUGCUACUGAGACUGAAGGCAAUGAUGCAUAUAGCUGCAAGUAUGCCCAGGAGGUCAAAUGCGCAAUUCUGGAUGGACACUCUAAUUUGCCAGAAACCUUAGAUGUUGAAGCUAAUCAGCUCUCCAUGGGGCAUUCUAAUUUGCUGGUGCAACUAUUAGAGUCUGAAUCAUGUACAGAAGCCAAGGUUAGAACUCUGUACUUAGCUGAUAGCUGCAUCCCAUGUCACCGUCCUUGUCCUUGUUUUUUGCGUAAAUUCAUUUAGUCUUGCUAAAAUGCUUACUUGUCUAUAUUUUCCAAAUUUCUCACACUAAUUUUGUUUGUGCAGAUGAUAGAUGUAGUUAAGGAGUUAUCUGGGCGCAUAGAGCUGAUGGAGAAGAAGCAGGUCUCUUCUGAUAGGCUAUAACCUAUUGAAGUGCCUUACAUUUGUUAUACCGAGCCAUGCAAGCUUAAAUUAUGAAUUGUUAUUUGAUAUACCUUAGCAUGAAUAGGCACUAAAAGUAGGGACCAAGUGAAUAAAGAAAGUAGCAUCACACCUACUUGCUUACUAGAAAUCAAAGAAGUAAGGCAGGACCGAAUUAAAUGAUUUUUUUUUAAUUGUUCUUCUGUUAUGGGUGGCCGGAGGACCAGCCCAUCUAUACUUUAAGUCAAGAAAUAAGGAUUAGGAAAGAUAUUAGAUCAGUUAGUUGGUUUGUUAGGACAAUUAUUAUGUUGUUAGAAGCUGGUUCUGUAUAAACAGAGGCACGGCAGUCAUAAAUUGGUCUUACAUCUAGCUAAUUAUUACCUGAUGAUUAUACUUUAAACUGAAGUUUGUUAAUUCUGGUGAGGAAUAUCAUAUGUUCUUGACUAAAGCGUGGAAGUCCUAGAAAAUUCUUACAAGGGGUUGGAUCUAAUUUGUGUUCAAAAUGCAGGCUUGGUCCAACAAAGAAGUCAAAUACUUACAAGGGAUGAAUGAGAGGUUACUGAAAAGAAUUGUUGAACUAAAGGGCACAGUGAAGACAUUGAAUUCAAAAAUAGACCCUUUAACCCUAGAUGAUUCACUUAACCAGUUUGUUGAACAAUGUUUGGGCUCAGAAGAUGUCAUUUAUCUAGUUGGUGGUUUUGAUGGCCUCUCAUUUCUGCCGUCACUAGACUCCUUUUCCCCUUCUUUGGAUAUACUAACACCUCUCAAACCAAUGCCUAUUGGGAAGUCAUAUGCUUCAACUGUUGCAUUAGACGGCAAGAUAUUUGUUCUUGGUGGUGGUGAUGGUGCUUGCUGGUUUGAUACAGGUUAGUAAUUGGUUUUUAAGUUUAAUUCCAUCUUGAGCUCUCAUUUUGCAAUUUCUGUCCUGAUUCUGCAUUUAUCUUUUGCAUGAAGUUGACUGUUAUGACCGAAGCCGUGAUGAUUGGACCACAUGCCCAUCAUUGACUCAUGACAAGGGGAGCCUUGCUGGGGUUAGUGUUAAUGGGAGAAUCUAUGCUUUUGGUGGUGGAGAUGGAAGUCAAUGUUUCUCUGACGUUGAGAUAUUUGAUCCUACUCAUGGAAAGUGGAUAAAGAAUCAGCCUAUGCUGGAAAAGGUAUCGGCAUCACUUUCCUGGUGUUCAUUUGGUCUAAACUCGUAAUGCUUUUUCCUGAUACAUUAGUGCACUGCUGAAGCAUUUAGUGGAAUGUGCAGAUAUUAGCCUAAGACAUAAAUAACUAGGGGAUAUAAUAAGCAUCUACUCAUGGAAAAGUGUGUAAUUCUAUGAUGAUGCAAAACUAUUCCUGAUUCCAUUUCAGUUUCCUGUACUCUCUUUCUUUUUUUGGAAAAAAUAUUUGCUUACGACACAUAAAGCUCUGCAUAAUAUGAUGAAUUCUUUAAUUUUCUUGACUUUUGUCACCUUGUUUUUCAGCGCUUUGCUCUAGCUGGUGUAGCACUUAAUGGUGUCAUUUAUGCAGUUGGUGGCUUCAACGGUGCUCAAUAUCUGAGGUACUGUCCUUUUCCUGCCUGUACUUAGUACUUGAUUGGUUCAGUUUUGAUCUGGUAGACAUACAACUCAUAAAACCUUCCAGCAAUUUUAAACCCCUUGCGGUGGCUUAUAUGGCUUAGUGUAAAUCCGAAUAAAGUGAAUCAUUUCACAAAUAUGCAUUAGCUUAUUCUCUAUUGCUAUCAUGGCAUCGAAAUUAUUAUUUCUUUGAAGUGAGAGGAACGCAAGAAAACUUUUCUACUAACAUUGUGAUGUGUGUUUCCAGCUCUGCUGAGAGGCUUGAUCCUCGAGAACCUAACUGGAAAAUGCUCCCAAUGAUGAGUGCAGGAAGGGGCUGUCAUACGCUUGCAGUGCUUAAUGAGAAGAUGUAAGUUUGUAGCUCUUUCUUUAUAGUAUGUUAAAACAAUGAACUGAAGAUACGUAGAAUGUUCCCUUUCAAAAAAAAUUAUUGUAGAACUUGUACCCAGCAAAUCAAAGGUAGGUGUGCAUCAGGGUGUAUAAUGUCUUUUCUUGAUGUAAUUUGGUCUUGUAUUUUCUUGCAGAUUCUCGAUUGGUGGUUAUGAUACUGGGGCUAAAGCAAUGGUAGCUACCGUUGAGGUGUACGAGCCAAGGAUGCCUUUAUGGGUGAUGGUUGAACCCAUGAGCUACACCAGAGGAUACCAUUCUUCAGCUGUGCUUGGUGGCUCGAUAUUCACAUUUGGCGGGGUGAAAGGUGAAGGAGAUACAAUCUUGGAUGUGGUAGGUACCUACACUUAGAGACCAAUUUCUUAUCAUGUCCAUUAGGCUGUUGACGAUGCAUUAAUUACUCAACUAAUCUGGCACCAAGACUCAAAAAUAUAAUUGCUUACAUUUGAUUUCAAGUGUUUGAUAGUGAACAGUCACUGAAUUAGUACUUGUCAAGGGUUUACCUGCAUCGGCUGCAUAUAUCGUUUGUUAUCAUAUCGGUCUUGCAUGAAAGCAUGUGUUGCACUUCAGAUGAACAUAGAUUCUUAGGUUCCUUAAGCACUUAGUUUCAUUAUCUUUGCUUUCCUGUCUCUACUGCGUAAAUCAUUUGUUACCAUCUCAGUCUAACGUGAAAAUGUCUACUGCAUUUCAUUGGAACAUGGAUUCUGGGGAUCCUUAAACACAAUUUUUUUCCCCUGUUCAAUUGUGUUGUGACUAACAGUAGAGCGUUUGUUGUUGGGCGAUUUGUGGUCAGGUGGAGCGCUACAAGGAAGGUUGUGGCUGGUUGACUACUGAUCUGAAGUCCAUUGGCAGGAGAUGCUACUGCUCCGCCAUUGUUCUCUGACCGUCUAGAAGUAUAUUGACAUGAUGAACUGACGUAGCUUAUGACAAUCAAGUGACCAGGAAACAGAUAUUAGUUAAGACUUAGAAGUCUCUUCCUUAGGCUGAACUGACAGCUGUAGACAAUGUGAAACUCUUCCUGCUCUUGUUCCUGAAUCGGAGAUGUGUUGUAAAACUUUUGAGUUGUUUGUGUUAUCUGGAUGGAUGAUGCAGCAACAUGACACGGGAUGCGAAUCUGAAUUGGUACUAAAAUCAAUGGAUGGAUAUUUGGUAUUCUGUAAUGGUGAUCUUAUUGACUCUUUCUGCUGAGAAGCAGCGGCGGCUUCACUGCAUCUGCAUCUGCAUCUUGUCCUUCUCUGCUUACCUUCUUUCUAUGUCAUAAAUUAAGAGUUGGUCUCUACAUACUUGCAUAUAUAUAUAUAUAUGUAUGUAUGUAUGUAUGUAUAGUGCACCCAGAAUAUAUGCUGAUUUCAUUCACUGGGUCGAUCGGUGAGUGUACAUCAUAUACAAGAAAGCCAAAGAAAGGAUGAAGGUUACAUGCACGCACAGAAAAAAUAACAUGAGCUUCCUUGUUGUAAGCCGCCUCAUUAUCGUAGUCCACCAGUUGCCGCCUGGUACGCGUCGUCGUCCGGCAGUAACGCAGGCCGCAGGCCUUGAUGAUGAUGAUCCUGCUGCAUGCACAUCAUCGUUCCUGCUGCCGAUGUUCACCGGCAAAGGUGGCGGCCCAGCUAUGUCGUCGUUACUGCUCACGACUUCCUGGAACUCCUCUGUGGCCUGCGGCAAUGGCGGCGGCGAACGUGGCGCCGCCCCGGUGCCGUCGUCGUUAUUACUACUUCUCAGGAUGUUCAUCUCCGACGACGGCGGCGGCUGCUGCUGCUGGCCACCUAUUCCAAAGAUCCGUGCAAGUAGCUGCCGGAGCCAGCCUAUUCCAUAUAUUCGAGCAACUAGUAUGGCAACUGCAAAUGCAAACAUUAUACAUAUGCAUCUCUCAAUGCAAUAUAAUGUGUUCCUUUGCAGGGAAAAAAGAUAAAGUAAAAAAUAGAAAUCAAAGUAAGACUUACCAAAGGAUAUUACUGCAAGACCCUCGUUAACAAUAUGCACCCACGCACUCAUCCAACCCACAUCCACACUAAACCUGAGGUGAAAUGCGUGCAAAAUAUAUAUAUUAUAUCAAACAUCCACCCAAGAAUAAACCAACACUUUAUUUUGAAUCUUUUUCAUUGCAACCAGGGUUCAGUGUGAACUUACUUUUCCAUUAUAUGAUGUGUGUCCCAGCCGAGAAACAACAUGCCAAAAUACAUGGAGCCCAUAGUGAAGAUAAAAUGGAAAAACCCGUAACCAUAUGGUACGUCAUCUUCCAAUCUUAUUACUAUGCCGUUCCUGAGCUGCAAAUAUUUGAGAAAUUCUUUUAUUUAACUGCUACAACUCAUUUCUAACUUUUAUUGAUUUGAUGGUUCGUUGAAUUUGAAUGAACAACAUACAACCUACCUGUAUAGUUUUGUAGUCCUUGCCCGUUGAAAAAGCGGAUGCGGCGGUGCUCAUCAGUUCACCCAGAAAACUCUGCCAAUGUUGAAACAUCAAUGAAAUAUUUGAUUAUAUAUAGAUAGAAAUCUUGACAGAACAAAGAGCAAACUUACUAUUAUGGUUUUCCAAUCUGCACCCGCACCGGCUUUUUCUUUCUUGUAGCAGCUCGUCUCUGGCUCACUGUUGAGGCAAAAUAUCAUAGACAAAGUGACACAGAAGGAUUAUAUUAUGUAUUAUUAGCUAGAUAGUCACAUCAACCAUAGUUUAAUUUAAAUAUUUUACUUUUUACCUUUUAAUUGCGGAAUAGCAUAGGAAUACACCGUACGCCCCCACUAGCCCUGGCUCCAUAUAAAAUCCAUUGGCCUAAUUUAGACAGCGGGUCAUAAAUUCAUUCAUGGUUCAGAUCCAAUAUUUCGACCAUUUCCUAAAUUUUGGCGUUUUAUAAGUGUGUGCUUAACUACCUUAGUCUUUAGUGCGAUUAGAGGCAUGAGGCACACCAACAAUGCUGUGGUGCCAAUGAACGCGAUGUUCAGCCAGCAGCUCGUGUACCACAGGGACAUCAGUAUGAUCCCUACCGUAGAGCCGCUAUACAUUAUGAUAGAGACCGCGAUCACCUCAAGGUAGCUGCAAAUGAUCACCAGAUGGAAACAACUGUUUACACUUACAGAUAAUGCUAGACAAAUAGUCCAAAAACCAAGGCAAAGCAAACCUACUGAUUUUCAGAAUCUCUAAUGCACCAUUUGUUGUUCCACCGUGUGAUGUAUCUGAUCACACUUAGGAGCUGAGUAGAAAGAAAUACCCUGUUCAAUUUCGGGAUACAAGAUAAUCUUGUGUUAGUGAGUGAAAGGGAAGGAUAAGAGCUAGUAAAUGCUUGAAAGAGUUAUUUGAGGUACCCUGCUCCAAAAGGUGCAACGACUUUUCCUAAAAAUAAUUUAGAUAGAAACGUCGUCGAUCAGUGGCGGCAGCAAGUGGUGAAAUUUCAAAAUUAUUGUUAUAAAAAGUUGUAAGAUAUGUCGGCACAAGAACUGACCGUAUAGUUGAAUCAGUUCGGAAGGCGCGAAUGUGGAGAUCAUGAUAGAGCCCGCCAAGAGGACAAUCUUGGCGAGCCACCACUGGCAGUGCCAUGAGUUUCUUCGGUCAUGUACCUUCCUCGUGCACACGGUGGAGAGGAACAUGACCAAGAAAAAGAGCUGAUGGAAAUUUUGUUAAGGCUAACACAAAUAAAAGGAGUGGAAAUGGAAAUUAAAGUUUCUAUUAUUAGGUGAAAGUAGUUUUAAUUUAUUUUCUGAGGAUACGAAGCUGGUGAGACUUAUCAUCAAGACACCCUCAGCGGCAAGGCAAUCACGGUCGCCGUGACAGCCAGUAUGGCGCUGUCCCUCAAAAAAUGCUACGUGGCUUUGACGUACCACCCAUGCAAAGAUGUUAGCGAGAAGGAAGAGCACUGCGUAAAUGUAUCGCACAACCAUAGGGUUUGGUUGCCAACAAAAACGAUGGAGGAUGCGAGGGUUGUCGUCGUCCCUGCUCUCGGUCCUCAUCAUCACGCCUGUCUCUGCUACAAUCUAAUAACAAAACGCAUGCAUGUGAGGAUGACGAAGAACAAAUAAAAUGGUUGAUGAUAUACUUACUUGAGAAGAGGUAGACAUGCUGGAUCGAUGGAUCAACAGUGGUGCUUGAUUUUGACUCCUACCUCGAUCAGAUCACUAGUUUGGUUGAUGAUUUUGGGUGUAUCAAUGGUUGGUUGGUUGGUUGGUUUGUUGUGAAGCAGUGAACGAAGCUAGCUGCUGGGAAGUGACAAGGCAACACUAUAUAUGCAAGUGCCUAGCUUGUGACUGACGCCGGUGCACGACUGCACUGAGCAAGCUUAUAUAUAGAAGAAGCAAUGCGAGGCCUGACUGGUGGAAGACAUGCAUGCAUCUAACGUGGAGCGCAUGAAUGGAAUGGAAUCGAAUCGAAUCAAUCCCCACGUACGUACAUACUGGACGUCGUCGCAUCGAUCGCAUGCAUACCUUGCUUUCUGUUUUGUGAUGACGCGCGCGAUCGACUUGACAAGGCCGGCCGGCCACGCUAGCUGUGUUCACGGCCUGACUGCGUGCCUGAGGGUAGCUCAUGCAUGGAGAUGCUGCGUUCGUAUUCCGAUCCGACCUAUCCUAGCUAGCAGACUCGAUCUGCUGUCUGCCGCUUUCGAUCGCUCUUCCUUCUCCGGCACCAUGACCAGUCCAACCCGACGACGACCGAGGAGGGCAAGCAAGCACCUUCGUACGUAAUAAAGCCUCCGAACUUGCGCGUGCACAUACAUUUUUCUAUCAGUUUAAAAUUCUAGCUCGUUAGUUGGUGCAUGCAUGCAACUCUAUUAUUGGUUAUGAUGUUUAAAAGUUGACAAAACUACAUAUAGCUAGGGAAAGACAAAAGAAGAAUUAAAAGUGCCAACCAUUUGUUGGCCGCUCAUAUAACUGUCAGAAAAGAUUAAACUCUUGUAGGGUAAAAGCCGGCGUGUAGGUAUGUGUGAGGUCGUGUCAUGUCUAUGCUAUUAUAUUACUAGUAUGUAUAUAUUGCGCCACUCCAUGAGCUUAUACAAAUUAUAUUUAUUUCGCUACUUUUACUUCACAGUGCCAUCUCCCGAUGCUAGCGUGCGUAGUAUGAUCGAUAGGUUGUGCAGAUACCUUGAACGUACCCACCCCUUCUUUUUACUCUCUGGAAGGUGCAGCAGCUAGCGCCCAGAGCCACAUUUAGUGAUUUCCUGAUGAAGGUUAGUUUCGGUGGACAGUAUUAUUGCAUUUUCAGAGGUCUAAACAGUGAGUACAGAUGUACAUGUUACAUAUGAGAUCAAUCCAUAUUUCUUAAUAUGAUUAGGUUCAGUAAGUUGGUUAUAUCGAAAUACGGUUAAAUUUUAAAAUAAAAUUAAGAUGGAAUACAGCUACAGCUAUAGCUAGGCAUAUGUACAAACCAAACCUUCUCAUAAAAGCACUCUUGUUCUAAAAUACAUAGCGCUUUCGCUUUCUUGCCCUUGUCUUUGCGUUGUUGCCCCGCAUAUUUUAACUACUAGUUGAUUAUUCUUCAUCAUUUAGCUAAUUAUUUCUUCAUAACAGAGUUAAUAAGUUGAUAGCCCUACGCUGUACAGCAUAGCCGCCAAUGUUUAGCUUAUGUCUUUGUUAGGCCAUUCUCAAUGUUUCCAAAAUGCCACAUAAAUAAGGGACCAUUAAUUCAUAGUUGUUCAAAUAGUUUCAUACAAUGUAUUGUUUCAUUCUUUGUUGUUUCCUAAACUACAUGCAAGACACCAAACUAUCUUGAAAACGCUGGUAUGACCCUCAAUUUAAUGGGAGCGAAAUUCCCAUUGAGAACUGUCUUACUUUUUUUUUAUCUUUCAUCUUAUCCGGUUUCUUGCUCUACCUGACUACCGGUUUCAUUACAAAUUGGGGAAAAUAUAAAUAUAGCCUUUAAUAGGAUCAAGGCGUGCUUUAAUCAGCAAUAAAUUAAAGGAAGGGGUCAAAGUAAAGAGAAUUUGGGUAGUGAUGAGCCCAUGGGCGUAGUUGUAGGCUUAUAUAUAUCAGCGAAGCCAAUUAAUGGUAUUUUAUACAUAUGGCUCUAGGUUAUAUGAAGGAAACUACAUGGAUGAAUUUCACAUAAAUUAAGGUCAAUGUGACUCAUCAUUUGGCUGAGGUGACAAGAAUAAAAGAAGUGAGAACUAACCACCAAAAAGUUAUCAAAAAAAAUAAAAAAGAGAGAGAACACAAUCUAUUAUUACAAUGUCUGGCCACUAAAACAUAUGUGUUUCUUAACACAGAACCAUCAAACCAAACAGGGAUGACAAAUUUAGAAAAAUAACAACUAGUUAACUUGUACUAUCUAUUGCUAGAAGAAAGCUAACUAGUUACCUAUAUGCUACCAUAUAAUUAUUUUGACAACACUACUUGAAGAUCAAGACUAGAAUACGAGAUGAUGUCUUCAAUUCUAUUUUGAGAUAACUAAUGUUUGCACAAAAGGCAAACACAAACAGACUGAAAUAUGUUUCCUUCACAUCUGUAUCCCUUUACAUAGGAACCAUCAGUGUAUUUGCCCUGGAUAAAACAAUUUGCCUUGCAAUAAGCCUUAAAGCAGAAUGGAUGCACUUUAACAAAUUGCCUGCAAGUUUCUGGAAGAAAUAUAUCUACACGUUAGUUGAUAAUCAUACUUGAUUUUGAUAAAAAAAAGUAGCAAUUAAAUACGCAGCAGUAUUCAACACCAAGUUUUAAACAAAGAAUAAAUGACUGAACACAAGCUAUAUGAAAGAACCCAAUCGAUGGAAGUCUAUCAUGCAUCAAUGUAUUAUCAAAUAUACAUGAAUAUGAUGAAAAAGUAAAGAUAAAGAUCCAAGGAACACAAACCUGCAGCCAAUGUUGGAUUUCCAUGUAAGACAAGGACUAAGAAGAAGCACAGAGCAACAUAUCUUGCAUCCAUAAUUGAACUUAGAUUGCGUAGGAUAUACUUUGUUGCAAGUAAGUGACAAAUGACUAUUUGCAUUUAUAGAGGGUGGAAGUACUAAUAAUAGAAAUAUAGCAUGACACAGCCGCACAAGUGCUCGGACUAUUUCAACUUGAACUAAUAAUUAGUUACUUGUAGAUUGAAACUAGCAAAAAAUGAUCUUGAAUUAACCACAUGCACCUAUAUAUGUAUUCGGUGAAGGAUCUAAGUCUUCCAAGAUCUGAAGAUAGAUCUCGAUCUAGAUCUAAAAAGAUUGGCAUCCCUAACACCACCAGAACUAACAUGCAAACUCCCAUAUAUAGGGGAAGACCAUCGAAUCUUCUGAAAAAGUCAUGUUUGCAUGCAUGCGUGGUACACAGAAAAGGACUAUAUUUUUUUUCUCUUAUUUUCUUCGCAUGCAUGUGCGGUGCUAAACAUAAGAUUAUUUUGCCAGACUUUGAUCUGGGUCAAAAAAAGAAUGCCCUUAUCAAUAGCAUGCAUAAUAAGCAUGUUGCUAUGGCAUUUGAUAUAUUUUUCCUUUGCUUCUUAUCAUCCUAGCUACACAUGCACAUACGUACUUCUGUAUGAAUGGAUCAAUGUUUAUUUUAUUUUGCAAGAUCCCAAUUUUUACAUGAUCCCAAUAUUCUUUAUUUUAUUUCUGCAAGAUCAACUAGUACAAGUCGUUAGCAGCAGCAGCCAAAAUUAGUACUCCGAUCCCUCCAUACAACAAAGUGGUGAUUUAAACUCUUUACAUGAAUAAGCAACAGCUGAACUAACUGCUCAAGUCCAUGGAGAGGAACAAGUUCUGCAUCCUUUUGAUCUAAAUAUGGCUGCCUUUGCUUCGAGGAACAAGAAGAAUCCAUGUGUGUACUCCCUGAUUACGUGAUAUGCUGGUUCUGCACCAAUCAAGCAGACCAAUAAAUAUAGAGAUGUAUGUAUGUAUGUUUACUAAAGCAGCAACAGCCUGAUGAUUUGUGCGGGUUGGGUUCUUUGCUUUGAGGAACAAGAACAAUUCAUGAUCUCAAAUGUUGUUUCUUUUGGUUCUUCCUAAAUCCAAUGUUUCGCUCAUCAUCAAAUGGUACUAGAAAUGCAUUCCUUUUUUUUUUCUUCUGUUUUUGGCAGUGCAGGGUUCAGGGGAGACGCUGGUGUCUGCCUCUACCUGCGUGGUGUUCCCACUGCAGAGUGCAGACAGGACUGCACGCGGAGGAGCAAAAGCAGACCACGACAGAUCGAUCGUUCCGAUGGCCCUCGGCGACGCCCCGCUGCCCAACCUCUCCAUCUCCGGCGCUGCCCUCGCCCGACGUGUUCUCUUGUUUCUGUUAUGAAUGUGUUGUCUGGUGAAAAUGUGUCAAAAGAAGACAAAAAAUGCUAAAUGGCUAAGUGAAAAAUGAUUUAGAAGUUACCCAAACUCUUUUUGAUGCCAUUUUCACCGUGCCCGGUAUUCUGCUACUUAUUAGAUGAAAAAUGAGUAUUGAGUUCAAGUGGUGUUACCGUGGACAUUUGUGAUACCUAUAUUACCAAUAUUCAGAAUUAUUUUAGUGAAGUUGCAAGUUUCAGCUCAUGAGAUCAACACUAUGUCCAUAAAUUUAAACCUUAGUUCUUGCUAUAUGAAUAUUUAUUCUUAUAUUAAUUUUCUUUAUGAAUUUACCUACAAUAGUGAGAUCUUAAUAUCUUCUAGAGUAGCUAGUUUAUGGAUAUAUCACAGAAAUAAGUACAUAUAUCCAUGUGUAGCUAGGCAGAGCACAAGGAAAGAAAAAAAAAUUAAACAUAAUAAAACCAGAUGAUAAUGCAUGUGAUUAAUAUGGGUUUGCUUCUAAUAAAAAAUGUCAGCAAAAAGCAUUCUCGCUAUUGCCACACAUUUGUAAACCGAGACAAAAAGAAUAUCAAAGCAAAAAAAAUGUAGUCACUUGUUUGGUGUAUGUGUGGCUGCAUGCAACCAAUGGCUCAUUCAAAAUAUAAAAGAUGGAAAAGGACAUGCAUGAUUCCAAGAUCUCCACUCACAAACGGGUUGUGCAUGUCAGAUCUGGUGGUGUUAGGAAUGCCGAUCUAUUUGGAUCUAGAUGGAUAUAGUUGCAUGUGGCUUAUCUAAUAUCAGCCUCUGCAGAGUUUAAGUCUACUAGUAACUAAUUGUUAGUCAAGUUGAAACAGUUCAAUAUGCAAUUGUGCGGUUAUGAUAUAUUGUGCUUCUAUUUAUGCUUAUAACUUACAAAUGUAAAUCAUCAUAGGCUGCUCACAUCCAACGAAGUAUGCUAUGGGUGUGAGAUAUGUUGCUCUGUGUUUAUUUUUACAUGGAGAUCCUACAUUAGCAGGUUUGUGUCCAUGAAUUUUUGUCUUUUUCACCAUAUUCACGUAUAUCUGGUAACCUAUUGAUACAUAAGACAUCAACUGAAUUUUAUUUUUUUCAGCACUUGUUUUUUCCUUACAAACCGAGUAUUGGAUACUGAUGCAUAUUUGAUGACUAUUUUAUUGCUAUCAAAAUCAAGUGUGGUUAUAAUCUACUAAUGUACGAAUAUAUUUCUUGCAGAAACUUGUAGGCUGUUUGUUAAACCAUAUCCAUUCUGUUUUAAUGCUAUGUGCAAGGCAACUUGUUACUUGGAAGGCAAAUUCUCUGAUGGUUCAUAUGUAAAAGGAUAUGAAUGUCAAUCAAAUGCAUUCCACUCUGUGUGUAUUUGCUAUUUGUGCAAAAAUUAGUCAUCUCAAACAGAACUUAAGAUGGCCUCUUGUGUUCCAAUCCAUUGUCAUAAGUAUUGUCCAAAUAAUUAUACGGUAGAAUAGUAAACAAGUUAGCUUUCUUCUAUCCAUAGAUGUAUUGGUUAACUAGUCAUUUUUCUAGACUUCUCAUUUUAGCUUGCUAAUUUCUCAUGUAUGUUUGUUUUGACAUUUUUAUGUCAGGAAACACAUGUUUUUGGUGACUAGACAGUUUUAUAAUAGAUUAUAUUCCCUUUUAAAUAAUUUUAAGCUUUUUUGGGCUUCUUACUUUUUUCUAUCAAUUUAGCCACAUCAUGAGCUUUAUUUUUAAAAUUAAUGCAUCUAAUUUCCUUUUCCUUUUGCUCUAGAGGCAUGUGUAUCUUUUGAUAUGUUCAUCGAUAUUCCUGGCUUUAAUGAUAUAAGCAUGGAGCUACACUUACGCAUUCAUUGCUAGAGAACAUCUCCAGCAAUAUUACCACCGACUUGUAAUUAAACCCGGCGGAGGAAGAAACAUAAUAAGAUAAAAAAUGCAGUAACAAGACAUAAGCCAAAGAAAGCAGAUACGCAAGACAACGCCAUAAGUGCUCUAGACAUACCCCAAAUUAUAUAUAUCAUAACAUUAAUAUAUAAAAGUAUAAAAAAUUUCAUUCAUGCACAAAUUAUUUUUUAGAUUAAUAAAGUUUUUUUUUGCAAAAAUCAUGUUAAAUCUUAAACAUCACUGCAUCCUCACCACCAUCUCCAGCGAGAGCAGUUAACACAGUCACAACGAUGAAUGAAAUUGAAUGAAAACGUUUUAAUGGAGAUCUACAUCUAACAUACUGGGUCAGGUCCAUCAAGCACGUGAUGGGCAACUUGCGCUCCGAGCAAUAGCUGCAUAGAGAGCUCGACUGACUUCCCUAGCUGAUACACUGAUCAGAGUACAAAGUUCAGGGUACAGCCGCUACAGCUCAGAGCUCCAACUCUUAAGUCUUGAGGCCUUCACCCCAAGGCAGGCCUGCCCCGGGGAGCACCGCUAGCCGCCGCAUGACCAGGUAAUCGACAGCCUUGAGAGAAAAGUGAGGGAGCAACACAAGAAGAGCUGGGUGGCGAACAACAGCCUUGGCACUGAGCUGCAUGUUUAUGCCUGCUAGCAGUCCUAUUUGGUCUUGGUGUGCUAGCUGCUUCCAAUUUGUCCAUGCUUAGCAAGCCUAAAAUCAAAGAGCUUUGCAUUAUGAAUUUUUUUCCUAGAAAAACACAGCGAGCCUGGUUAUGAGUCGGUAAAAAAUGGCUAAAUCUGGCAUGAACAUAAGGCACUGUAAAGGUCAAGCAAGCAUCCCUCUCUUCCCCUUGACAAAUCGUUAGCAGUAGCAACAACUAAAAUUAGUACUCCCUCCCCCUCCAUCCGACAAAGUGUUCAUCUUUAGGAAACCUCAAGUAGGUUUGUAUGGAGGAGAAAAGACGUGGGUGCCCUUCAUCAAGCCGUGGCUCCGUCUUGGACAGUUAAAUGCAUAGUUAACUCUCGAUCGAUGGUGACUUUUGGGUUGCCCGAGCCCAUUUAACUGCCGGUGAACCUGAUAUUGGGAUUGUUGUUCGCCGUCAUGGGCACUUAUCAAAAAUUUACAGGACUGUCCCAAAAGUUAACAAAUAUAACAAUAUACUAGAGACGUGAAGUUUCAGGCUGCAGCAAAACUUAUAGCUAAACUGGAGCCAAGUAUGGCAUCCAAGAGAAGAGAAGUCAGGGAAGGACAGGGGAGACGUGUUGUGCCUCUGCCUCCUUCCUACCCCUGCACACAUCAGAAAUUUUGAUAUUUAACAUCCAAUUCGCACGCCUUACGUCUUUUAACUCUUAAUUCGCAAGUUUUCUUUAUAUAUAUAUAACACUCCACGUGCCAAUUCUUUUGAUUCAGAGGAUUCCAUCUUAUUUCCUCUAUUUCUCUUAUUUUCUUCUUUCUUUUCAUUUUACAGCACCUGCGAACGGACGACUUUACCCCUUACCUUAUCCUUUUGCUCUCUCCCGUUCACUCGUCUCCCCGGUGCUAACUCCUCUUCCUCUUGGCUUCGCCUCGCCGCCGGUGCCUUCUUCUGCCUCGCCGUGCUCCUGCUGCGCGCGGCCGCGCAGGGGCAGCAGCACCGCGAGACGUCGCCGCGCUCUGCGGCCUGCACCGUGCGUUCCCACGAUUUGCCCGUCAAGGCCGACCUCUGCGUCUUCUGGUCCGGCGUCACCUGCCGUAGCCGGCUGCGUCGCGAAGCUUCGCCAGUCGUCGUCCUCCGCUUCGCCCGCGUCUUGCUGACUUUGCGUCCUAGCCUCGUGCGGCAAGGCAAGCUUUGCCCGGGGACGAGAGCCAAUCUGGCUUGCCUCAAGAAGCAAGAAAAAAAACUUGCUUUCGUGGACAUCGAGGUAGCCAGCGUACCAUCCAAAUGUAGAGCACGGUUCGCUCUCCUUGCCUAGCUGGGCAAGGCAAGCUCCGUCAAAAAUCCAAACGCACCCAGCCUCUCCGGCCCGAUUCCGGCGCCGCUGCUAUCAAUUCCUGGUCUCCGCGUUCUCGACCUCUCCAGCAUCAAUCUCACCGGGCCUCUACCGAUCCUUGUUGUAAAUACUUACGCGAGAUGGAGAUGCAGGGAAGAAAGCUAGCUGAUAUUUACAAAGGAAGAGAGACACACAAGAGCUCUUCCGGCAGCACACACAACUAUGCCUUUCCUCUUAUUUCUCUUAUAUCGAUCUGAUUACACGUACUCAUAUUUAAAGACUCACACCGGUGGCAUGCCGUCUCUUGCGCGUGCUCAACUAGCCGCAAGAGUCGGAUCACAACUGCUUAAACUCGUCCACUAAUUAACUACAUGCAUGACUCAUAACUAACGCGACCAGCCACAUCGCCAUCUCUUCAGGAACGCACGCCACGCACAUCUGCAUGGUCGGACCACUUCUUCCUCCUCGAUAUGCUCCAUGACUUGAUCAAACUCCUGGCCGCAACUCCCUACAUGGCUACCCAUGAAUACCUGCAUGCACUCAUCUCCUGGCCGCAAUUAGCUCACUAAUCACUUCUAAUUUGCCUUGCCAUGCAGCACGCACUCCUCUCACAUGGACUAGCCUAUUACAUUCUAAAUUCACAUGCACAAGACUAAACAUGCUGCUAAUGCAAAACCAACAAGAUUAAUCUAACAAUCCUGUCAGAGAAGGACAGUAAUGGAGCCAGAGUUCCGUUCAACGCUCCCAUUCCCCACGCUCCCGCCGCGCCGCGCCAUGCGAGGAGGUCAGCAGGAGAAAGGGGCUAGCGCGCGGAGGAGGCCGGCGAUUGAGAAGAAGAAGCGAGCGAGAGAGGAGAGGCCGGCUGGCAAUGGUUCAGUCAAUUCGAUCCAAACGGGUUCGGAUGACCCGUACUUUUUGCAUUUUAGCUUUUUUUUAAAUCACAUUUGAACUUCCAUAUUUCCGAAUUUUGAUCCUGGGGUUGGCGUCAUGACUCACGGCGCCAAGGUAACACAUCUCGGCACCGUGACUCACAGCACCGAGGUAACACGUCUCGGCGCCAUGAGCCAUGGCGCCGAGAUCCCUAAUGUAGCCGCUGAGUUGGCGCUGACGAGAUCUCGACGCCACGAGCCAUGGCGCCGAGCUCGGCGCUACAGAUCACGGCGCCGAGCCCUUAUCUACACGUCGCGAUCUCUUCCUCUCUCUCUCUCCCCCCCCGCACCCUCAUUCUCUCGCUCUUCCGCGCCAGCCGUGCGGCCGCCGGCGCCCUCCUCUGGCCGCCCCUCCGUGACCUCCUCUGCGGCCUCCUCCGGCCGCCCUGUCGGUGUUUACCCGGCUGCCCACCGAGGGAUAUGCCCAAGGUGGUAAGUUUUGGGUGAGGAGACGCCAAGAUCAGGAGCUCGAAGGUGCAAGGAACACAAGACUUAGACAGGUUCGGGCCGCAUGGAGCGUAACACCCUACGUCCUGUAUGGUUUGUAUUGCCUUUGAUGUAGAAUGACCUAAUGAUCUUCUGUUUUUAGAGGGGUCCCUGACCUCCCUUAUAUAUCCGAGAGGUCAGAGUUACAAAGAUGCCAACCAACUCCCGUCGAGGGAUCACACCAGAGCACAUCUCGAGUAGAUCCUCUCCGUGUUGGUUAGCUCUAUCUCCUAUUUAAACGGGAUAAAUAAGAGAUAAACAAAAUGAAUAAGAGAUAAGACGGGCUUAAUCUCCUAAACUUCCUAACGCGCCCAGCCCGGUGGCCCCGGGUCUGACAAGCCCCCAAGCUUUUCGUAGCUGAGUACUGCAGGCUUUUCGAGUACUUUCGAAGCAGUCUUCGACUUCUUCUGAAGCUUCGUCUUGAAGUCCUUCUUCGAGUACUUGCCUGGCUGCAUCGAAGCUAUGAGGUGCUCAUGCCCCGAAUUUUUGUUAUGGUGUGCGAUUUAAAAAUCGCACUUCAUAUGGAGUAGCCCCCGAGCCUUAGGUUGAAUCGGAGAAUCAGGCUGAGGGUCCCAUUAGUCUAUAAUCCUCCUUAUCUUUCAAAGAAAUUUGAAAAAUAAGUAGUCGAUGCCACGUACCCCGCAGCCCCGAGCCUUGAAUCCAAAUCCACAAAAUUUGGAGAUAAAGAUCCAACAACCGUGGCAUGCAGGCUAAAAAUGACAACUCGCCAAAUUACCAAACCAAUGGUACAGAUGAUGGAUGUUAGAUGAAUAAUUCGAAAAAAACGCUUUUUUCAGGCAAACGAACCCUGAAAAAAUGAUUAAUCGAAUAUCCAAUCCAAAUAACCCAUCAAACGACCCCUCAGAUUCGGAAUAUUCUCGGAAGUGACUCUUGAACUUCAGAACAGUAAUUUUUCCCCACCCCGCUGGUUAUUUAACCCCGCGAUAACUGUAGGAAAAAACCACGCUUUCAAUCUGCAUUCCAUCAAAAGCCCACGAAUUCCCCAAUCCGAGCCAAGCACCGCCUCCUUCCCCCCAAGAAAACCUCCCAUUCUGACCUCCCCGCCCCUCUCCCCGCAGCCCCCGAGCAUCUCGUGGCCGGCGCGUCGGAGAUGGCGUCCAAGAAAUUAGAGAUCGAGGAAAUGAAGAAGGAUGCGGGGCCGUCGAUCGCGGAGUGGACACACAGUAAGUGCUCCCUCAACAAUUUGAAAAAACUGGUUUCCGACGGGUUGCUGCAAGAGAAAAACCUUGUCAACUGGUGCCCCUCGUUCCGUGAGCCCUUCCCUAUGGAGAAUGUUGACGAAAUCGUCACAUUCUUCCAUUUUGCCGAACGGGGAUUGGCUAUCCCCACUUGUUCCUUCUUUCGUGGCCUUCUUUACUACUACGGGCUUGAGCUCCAUCACCUCAACCCGAAUUCCAUUUGCCAUAUUUCCAUUUUCAUUCACUUCUGCGAAGCAUUUCUCGGAAUCGAACCCCACUGGGAUCUGUUCCGCUUCCUCUUCCGCGUCAAACCCCAGCCGACCACAAAGAAACUUGCCGUGGUGGGCGGCGCAGGCAUCCAACUGCGACAGCAGGCCGGCGAAAAAUACCUUUCAUAUAAAUUCCCCUCAAACCUUCUUGGAUGGAAAAACCUAUGGUUUUACAUCGAAAACCAUGCUCCCCACCUGCCGACGAAGUCGAGCAGACCGCCAGUGGUGAGGGGGGAAUGGAACCUUGAACCCUCCGGCAUGGAGAUGAUACAGGUCAGAGAACUGCUGGAGGCCAUCGAGGCAUAGAAGAAGGAGGGAGUGACCGGCGCCUCCGUCAUGUUCUCAUUUUACAAGCGCCGCGUCCAACCCAUCCAACAACGCUGUUGCCUGGGCUUCGAGUACACCGGCCCCGCUGACCCUUCUCGCAUGUGCACAGAGGAGGUGCCAGACGAAGUUGCGCUCCAGCGAGUUCAGCGGGUGCUGCUGGACGUGAACGCCGUGCCGUACGUGCCCACCUUGUUCUCCGCGCAAAAUCCGCCCCCGCCGGUAAGUAUUCGACUUCUUUCACUGAAGAAAUCUGCUACUGCACCGGUACUGAACUGAAGAACUGUCUGCAGGGACACUCGGAGCUGUACUGCAGCUACCCCCCGCAGCCGGACCUCCCCCGAGCGUAUCACCUCCUCCCUUCUGCAGCCACGGCAGCCAAGAAGGCUCGCCUUGCUGCGGCUCAAAGCUGCAACGAGUCCGCCGAAUGCGUGGACUCGCAGGCGGGGGAAGAAACCGAAGGAGGAACACGCCCUGCUGCCGUCGUUGCCACCAAGACGGCUCGCCUUGCUGCGGUUUAAGGCAGCAGCGAGUCCACCGAGUGCGUGCACCAAGAACGAGCAGCAGCACCAGGAGCUGGAGGACCUCCGGGGAGCCGCCCAGGAGCUGGUGGACAUGGUGGAUCCGCCGAAAGAAGGCGAAGCAGGCCCGCGGCCCCUACUAGAGCGACUCCGCGAGGCCCCGAAGAAAAUGCUGAAGUUCCUAUCCGAAGCUCCAGUUGCGUGCGUGAGUAAUGCCCUCGCCUAUGUAAAGUCCUUCGUGCCAAAUGCGCAGCUGAGCAUCUUUGCGCAAGGGAUGGCGGCGGACUGCACAGACGAGCGAUUCGAAGAGUACUUGCAAGAGGCCCAACCUGUAGCGGAGCAAAUUGUACACAAUGUACUGCAGGAUUAGGGUGUAUGAAACAAUUAAUCAUUCUCUUAUGUAAAUGCUUUACUCGACAUCUCUACUUGUUUGCGUGUCUUAACUGAAUUGGGAUCCAGGCUUACGAGACUCAAGUAGUAGACGCCUCCCUGGGUGCAACGACCCGAAGGGCAGCUAGUAUUCGUCUAAUAGAAUAGCCACAACUCGAUCGAGCGGGUCUAAACUUGUUAGGAAAGAAUGCGAGCAUCGUCGCGGGGUUGCCGUGCGUAGGGCUUAAAAAUAAGACUGUCCCGAGUGCGGCGGCCGGGGUGUAGUUGAAGGUCGCUCCUGCUGUGAGUGUGCUCCGUAAGCUGGAGAAGACCCGGACGGACGGAUCAAGCUUGCAAGGAGCGAGUGCGGGCAGCGCCGCGAGCUUGCCAUUCCUUUUGGCAAAAACAAGACUGUUCUGAGUGCAGCCACUCAGGAUGUAGUCGAUGUGGCUUUUUAUGCGAGCCUUUCCAACGUACUAUGUGUAAGCCAGUCGAGCGGAUCGACUGUGUUGGAAAAAGUGCGACUGCUGUCGCGUGCGACCAUCGAAGGUCGCGGCGGAACUCGAUAUGCCGAGGAGUUAGCCGGAGCCGAGGGCUCUGUCAGAAACGAAAGUCGAAGGGGGAUGACCGUGGCCGUAGCCCCCGCGUCAUGCGCGACAAGAAGUCGAUAUAUAUAUAUAUAUAUGCUUGCACGUGACACUGGCCAUCGUGGAAGUAAGAAGGAAUGUACAACCCGAGUCGUGUGGCUCAUGGCCUCCAAAGUGAUUCGGGAAAAGGAGAUCUUCUGAGCCCCCGGGGAAUUAGCGAUCACCGCGCCUCGACUUAAGGGUAGAACUUGCGCAGGUUCUGAACGUUCCAGGAGUUCGGGACUUCACGACCCUCGGGGAAUUGUAGUCGAUAAGACCCUGGCCUUGUGACCUGCUUGACGACGAAUGGGCCCUCCCACCUUGAAUUGAGCUUGUGGAGGCCGGACUCGUCCUGAAUACGGCGCAAGACCAAAUCACCGACGCUGAAUGACCGCUCCCUGAUGUUGCGAUCAUGGUAUCGCCGGAUCCCCUGCAGGUACCGGGCUGACAGAACAAGGGCGGUACAACGAGCUUCUUCCACAGAAUCGAGCUCUAGCUGCCGCGCCUCGUCCGCCUCGCCUUCACUGUACAUUUCGACCUUUGGAGACUUCCACAUGAUAUCGGCUGGUAGAAUAGCUUCGGAUCCAUACACGAGGAAAAAGGGUGUUUGUCCUGUGGCUUUGGACGGCUGAGUCCGAAGCCCCCAGACGACAUGUGGCAACUCAUGCACCCAUUUGCCUCCCUUCUUGCUGUUUUCAUCAUAAAGUCUCUUCAUGAGGCCGUCAAUGAUCAAGCCGUUCGCCCUUUCGACUUGUCCGUUAGCCCUGGGGUGUGCAACCGAGACAUAUUUAACUUCAAUGCAAGCAUUCUCGCAGAACUCCCAGAACUGAUUCGCCGUGAAGUUUGACCCCAAGUCCGUGAUGAUGGAGUUGGGGAAGCCGAAGCGAUGCAUAAUAUCUGAGAUGAAGUCGACGACCCGGUCUGGCGUGAGCUUGGCUAUCGGCUUGUACUCGAUCCACUUAGUAAACUUGUCGAUAGCCACCAGAAUAUGGGUGAAGCCGCCUGGUGCCGUCGUGAAGGGCCCGAUCAUGUCAAGGCUCCAACAGGCAAAAGGCCAGGAUGGCGGUACGGUGAUGAGGCUAUGAGCUGGGACAUGCGUCUGUUUGCCGAAGAAUUGACAAUUUUGGCAUCUGCGCACGAGAUCCUCCACGUCGGUGACUGCAGUGGGCCACCAGAAGCCGGCCCUGUAUGCUUUCCCAACCAGCGUUCUUGAAGCCGCAUGGUUGCCGCAGACGCCUUCGUGGAUCUCCCGCAGUAUGUCGUAACCAUCUUCCUUCGUGACGCACUUCAUGAGAACUCCUGACCGAGCGCCACGCCGGUAGAGCUUGCCGUUGACCAGGGCGAAGCCUUGCUUCUUCGCAAGACGCGUACCGCUUCUGCACUCUUGGUGUCAAUUCCCGCUGGUAGCCGUUGGUCUUGAAUGAAGUCGAUAAAGGCCGCUCGCCAGUCCUUCCCCAGCACCAUAACCUCUCGAUCGGGUUGUUGGGAACCCGAGUCGAUGGUUACCUGCGGAGAAGGCUUGAUGGAUGGCUGAUCGAGCUCCUAGACGAAAACUCCCGGUGGGACUUGAGCGCGCGUUGACCCCAACUUGGACAAGAUAUCCGCACCAACAUUGUGCUCCCGUAGCACAUGGUGAACCUCCAAGCUGGAAAACUUGCUUUCCAGCUUGCGCACUUCCUGUACGUAUGCAUCCAUUGUCUCCUUGUUGCAGUCCCAUUCCUUAUUGACCUGCUGAAUAACAAGAAGAGAAUUGCCAUAUACGAGUUGUCGCUUGAUCCCUAGUGAUAUAGCCAAACGAAGCCCGUGAAGCAAGGCUUCAUACUCGGCUUCAUUAUUGGACACCUUCCAUAGGAUCUGAAGGACGUACUUCAGUUGUUCGCCAUGUGGGGAGAUAAGCAAAACACCAGCGCCCCCGCCGUUGAGCUUGAGGGACCCAUCAAAAUACAUGGUCCAGUGCUCUGGCUUGUCCACUGGGGUUGGGACUUGAUUCUCCCUCCAUUCAGCCAUGAAGUCGACUAGAGCCUGUGACUUGAUUGCAGUGCCUCGCUUGAAGUCGAUUGACAAAGCCCCCAGUUCCACUGCCCACUUAGAUAUGCGUCCCGUGGCAUCUUGAUUAUGGAGAAUAUCCGCCAGCGGAAAAUCCGUAAUCACCGUGAUCUUGUACUCGUCGAAGUAAUGGCACAACUUUCUUGAUGUAAUUAGAAUUGCAUAUAAGAGCUUUUGAACAGCUGGAUACCGUACCUUUGAUUCGGAGAGGACCUCGCUGACGAAGUAGACAGGCCUCUGCACUCCAAACGCAUGGCCUUCUUCGCCUCGCUCGACUACAACAGCACUGCUGACAACGUGGGUUGUCGCCGCGAUGUAGAGUAGUAGAUCCUCUUCCGGUAGCGGAGCUGUAAGGAUCGGAGGCGACUGGAGGUGAAUUUUCAAGUCUUGUAGAGCCCGCUCGGCCUUCUCCAUCCAUUGAAACUUGUCUUGGCAUUUUAGGAGCUUGAAGAAAGGUAGUCCUCUCUCCCCGAGUCGGGAGAUGAACCUGUUCAGGGCCGCAAUACAACCUGUCAGCUUCUGCACAUCCUUGAUUGUGGCCGGAGCCUCCAUAUUAGUAAUGGCAGUGAUCUUUACAGGGUUAGCUUCGAUGCCCCGGUUGCUGACGAUGAACCCGAGCAAUUUCCCUGAAGGUACUCCAAAAACGCACUUGGUGGGAUUGAGUUUCCACCGAUAUCUGCGUAGACUGCUAAAUGUUUCCUCCAAAUCUACGAUCAAGUUAUCGGAAUCCCUGGUCUUGACGACCACGUCAUCCACAUAGGCCUCAACAUUCCGGUGCAGCUGAUCCGCGAAACACAUCUGGAUCGCACGCUGAUAUGGUGCUCCUGCAUUCUUCAACCCGAAGGACAUUGUUUUGUAGGCGUAAGUCCCGUACGGGGUGAUGAAUGCAGUCUUGAUUUGGUCCUCCUCCUUGAGCGCAAUCUGAUGAUACCCUGAGUAACAAUCAAGAAAACAAAGAAGGACACAUCCAGCCGUCGAAUCGACGACUUGGUCAAUGCGCGGCAGCCCAAAAUGAUCUUUUGGGCAAUGCUUGUUGAGAUCGGUGUAGUCGACACACAUUCUCCAUUCAUUGUUCUUUUUCUUUAUAAGGACGGAAUUCGCUACCCACUCUGGAUGGAUUACUUCUUUAAUGAAUCCAGCCGCGAGAAGUUUAGCGAUCUCCUGUUUAAUGGCCUCACGCUUGUCGUGGGCAAACCUCCGCAGGCGUUGCUUCUUAGGCGUAGCCUUCGGGUGUACAUUCAAAGCAUGCUCGAUCAACUCCCUGGGCACCCCUAGCAUAUCCGCUGGUUUCCAUGCGAAUAUGUCUCGGUUAGCCCGAAGAAAGCUGACGAGCGUGAGUUCCUAUUUGUCACCCAAGCCCGCACCGAUGAUGGCGGUCUUGGAUGAAUCUCCCUCCUGGAGCUGGAUCGUCUUGAGGGCCACAUCAUCAGUCGACUGGAUGCUCGACUUGUUGGCCUUCUUGGAAGGAAUCUCCAGCCCGGUCUGGGAGAGCUGCUGCGCGGCCGCGAAUACUUCUCCCGAAGCAUCUGGCACGCGAGUAGUCGAAGCAUUCUGGAUCGCCUCCUGAUUGCAGUCGUACGACUUCUUCAAGUCGCCGCGGAGGGUGAGCACUCCACCGAGUCCUGGCAUCUUAAGAAGCAGAUAGACAUAAUGCGGCACUGCCAUGAACUUGGCAAGUGCCGAUCGACCCAGUAUUGCAUGGUAAGAAGAGUCAAAAGUAGCCACUUCGAACUUGAUGAAUUCAGUACGAUAAUUCUCCCGCGUGCCGAAGGUGACUGGGAGGACCAUCGUACCAAGCGGGUGCGCCGCGUUACCUGGGACGAUGCCGUAGAAGGGGGACUUGCUGGGAACCAGCAUAUCCUUGAAAUCCAGACCCAUCUUCUUCAAAGUGCUGACGAAGAUGAGAUUGAGCCCACUCCCGCCAUCGAUCAGGACCUUGGUAAGCUUGACCUCCGCCACCACAGGAUCCAGGACCAAGGGAAACUUACCGGGCUCGGAAAAGCUCGUCCACUGGUCAUCACGAGAGAACGAGAUGGGGACCUCCGACCAACGGAGUGGUCGUGGUACCGCCAGCUCAAUGGACAAGAUCUCCCGAAGAAGCAGCUUCUGGUCCCGCCUGGAACCGAAAUCCUCAUCUCCUCCGAAGAUAACGUUGACGACCUUCGAGGCAUCCUGGAACUUCGGAUUGCGCCCCUGGUCGUCGUGGUCUUCAUCCUCGGGUUCUUUGUCAGUGGGCUUCUUAUUCUUCUUUCCACCACCGGUGUUACUGAACGUCCUUGGAAGGUGGUAGCAGUCAAUGGCGGCAUGGCUAGCGCCCGGAUGCCAUGGGCACUUCUUCUGCAGGAGUUUCUCGAACUCCUCCUGCGUCGUCGACUUCUUGCCCCGUGAAGGACGAUCGAUAGCCGCGAUGACAUCAUCUGGCUUUUAUUUCCGGGGUGGCCCGGAAAAAUCCCGCUGGUCUUUAUCGCUGCGGUUGUCGUUUGGGCGCCGCAGAUUGUUAUCGUGGCGCCGUGGGAACCGCUCCUGCAUCUUCUCCUCCUGCUCGGACCAAUCGUGCAUCAUAUCACGAAGGCCCGCAACAGUUUUCGGCCUGUUCCGCCUGAAGUCUCUGUAUAUGCUCGAGUCGGUGAUGCCGUUAUAGAAACAGUCGAUGAUGUCCUCCUCCGAGAUGUUCGUGAUGGUGGCGCGGACGUCGAAGAAGCAACGCGUGUAGGACCGCAGGAGCUCGUUGCGUUCUUGCUUGCACUGGGCAAGAUCAUGUCGAGUACCUGCACGAGCAAUCGCUCCCUGGAAAUUGGCGAUGAAGACCUUCUUAAGUCGUUCCCAGGAGUCAAUGGAGUUGCUGCCGAGGCUCUCUAGCCAAGUGAGCGGCGCAGGAUCCAAAGCCAUCGGGAAGUAGACGACUUUGGUAACGUUUGAGCCCCCUGCUACCUCGAUAGCCGUGGAGUAACAACGGAGCCACUGCUGAGGAGCCUGCUUGCCGUCGUACUUGGUGAUGCCAAUGGAUUUGAAACCCUCUGGGUACUUGUAGCUGCUGAAACGUGCAGAGAAAGCAGGAAAUCGAUCGCUACAGUCAGUACCUUCGUUUUCGACUUCUUCGCGGGUCUUGCGCCUGGAAGAAAUCACGGUCCGCGCAUCACGGCCUUCAUUGAUGUGCUGGCGCAGAUCCUCCGGGGGAAGUCGAUGAUUGGCUUGUCGUGGCUGACCCCCUUGCGGUGGCUGGUGCCUCCCGCCAGGGGUCUGGCUCCCGCGAGCGUUGUCGUUGCUGGCUUGGUGUCGAGGACGGCCGCCAGCCGUUCGGCUGUGAGCCUGACUCCGGCUCUCACCCACAUGCAAAUCCCUGAUGGUGGGCGCCGGGUUGUGCUGAUCCAACUGGAUCCAGGCCCUCUGUGCAUAAUGGAGCGCUUGACGCACUUCCGGAUCAUGGCUGCGCUCGAGGAUGGCCGUUACCCUGGCGAUGUUGGCCACCGGAGUCCGGAAACCCCGCUCACUUACGGCGGAAAACUCAGGGUCAAGCUCGCGAUGCAUAGAUCGCCUUCGCUCGUUGGCCUCCUCCGCCGGAUCGCGCGGGCCCUGUUCCUGGCCCUCCGCGCUUCGCGAUCGGCGUCGUUCUCGUCACCGGCAUCGGCUGUGAUCUCAUCCUCAGAGAUUGCUUCAAAGUUGACGAUGAGGAGGUCCCCAUCGCCCUCGCCUUCUUCGGCCAUCAGCACCUGGCGGGAAGAAAGCUCAUGAGAACUUUCGUCGACUAGUUCAGUCGACCCCUCCGCCACGGUGGCCAAAGACCUGCCCUCUUGAAAAGGCAAGGGCUCAAGGUGGGCCACGAGUCGACCCUCUGCCUCGAGUAAAUUGGGGAGCGUCAUGCCCCUCCAGUGCACCACGUGCCCCUCCGACAGAGAGGUGACCACCAGAUCACCGGUACUGGAACAACCCGAAGCCCCCCGACACGCGGUGGCUUCAGGCUUUCCGACCUGGAGUAGCAAGUCCAGGUCCUUCUCUAACAUGGAGAGGGACCCAGAGGCGUUGGCCUCCUGAAGGUCAGUGGCCGAUUCGCACAAGCCGAGUUGAGAUCGGUUAUGCAGAUCCCUAGAUUGGAACAAGUCCAAACCAGGGGGAAUUGCCGCAACACCAGAAGAAGUCGAGGCUGGAGCGGACUCCAUCUCGAUCUGUGCUGUGGAAGUGUGGAGCGGCAAGUUGUCGAGCCCGUCGACAAACUUGUCGAGGUCGCUGCGGAGAUCCGCAAUGGAGGUCUUUGGCUUCAUGUCGACGAGGAAUCGCCGGAAACUGCCCGCACCAUCUGCGACGCAGACCCAUGAACCAAAAACGAAUGUCGUGCCCUGAGAGGGAACUGACCUGAUGAAUUUGAACGAUGCCAUCGAGCUCGCCGAUGGAUCUUCAACGCGCACCCCUACCUGGUGCGCCAGCUGUCGGUGUUUACCCGGCUGCCCACCGAGGGAUAUGCCCAAGGUGGUAAGUUUUUGGUGAGGAGACGCCGAGAUCAGGAGCUCGAAGGUGCAAGGAACACAAGACUUAGACAGGUUCGGGCCGCAUGGAGCGUAACACCCUACGUCCUGUAUGGUUUGUAUUGCCUUUGAUGUAGAAUGACCUAAUGAUCUUCUAUUUUUAGAGGGGUCCCUGACCUCCCUUAUAUAUCCGAGAGGUCAGAGUUACAAAGAUGCCAACCAACUCCCGUCGAGGGAUCACACCAGAGCACAUCUCGAGUAGAUCCUCUCCGUGUUGGUUAGCUCUAUCUCCUAUUUAAACGGGAUAAAUAAGAGAUAAACAAAAUGAAUAAGAGAUAAGACGGGCUUAAUCUCCUAAACUUCGUAACGUGCCCAGCCCGGUGGCCCCGGGUCUGACACGCCCCUCCGUGGCACCGGUCGCCGCUCCUCCAGCUCGCCGGCCGCCAGUAAGGUUUUUUUAGUUAGUUUUUUCAUUCAGUUAGGUAUUGUAGUAGUUGGCAAUUUAGAUAAUUUUAAAUAAUUCAUUUAAUUAGUUUUAGUAGUUAGUUAGGUAAUGUAGUUAGUAAUUUUUUUAGAUAGUUAGAAACUAUAUUUAUAAAAUGUAGUUAGACAGUAGAUGUAGGUAUUUAGUUAGGUAACUUACUUAGAUAAAUUUAGAUAUUUAGUUUGGUAAUUUGGUUAGGUACUUAAGUAUUUUUAAGUAAUUCUAGGUAUUUAGUUAGGUAAUUUAGAUAGUUAGAAAAUAUUAUUAGUUAAUUUUGUAUAUUAUACCCGUCAUAACCUUCAUGUUGUGCAUGUGAACUAGAUGGACAAUUUAGUGAUCUUGUAUCAUGGAGGCAAUGUCGAGAAAGAUGUACUUGGGAAUGUCACUUUUGAUGAAAUGCACGGGGUCUCCCUGAUAUUCAAUGAUCGGCCGUUGUUUAGUGAGGUGUUUGGUAGAGCUCGUGAUGAGAUUCAAUGCAUUUCAAGUGAGGAUGCCAUCUCAGUUCAAGGGGUCGUCCACUUUGGUAAAUCGGGCCAGAUUUUCAGACGGCUGGUCGCUAUUGCAUGUGAGGUUGAAUGGAAGAACUAUGUGAAUACUGUCAUGAAGAAUGAGUAUCAAUGUUUGGAUUUGGUUGUGCGGAAGUUCUCAAAUGCUCCCAGCCCUCAUGUGCAUUCAGCCCCUAAUGUGUCACCUGCUAACCCUCCGUUACCCAACCUUGAGAUGGAUCAGGAAGAUACGAUUGCGGUCCCUGAUGCUUAAUCCAUUCCGAAUAAGUUUGGUAUUUGUCACGAUGAUCAUGUACAUUGUCGGAUUGAUGAUGUCGGUGCGCCCCCAGAAGAUUCCUUUGACCCAGAACCAUCCAAGUAAGUAUCAUAGUAACACCACCUUUUCUUUUAUUAUUCGUCCUUGAUUCCAUUCAUUUAUCCUAAUGCCAUCUUUAAUUGUUGUUUAAAUGCAGGAAGAUAUUCCAGAUAAUAUUGGUGUUCCCUCUGUGCCUCCAUCUUCCAAUACAGGAUGGGAUUCUAAUAGUUUGGAUGUUCAUAUAGAUGAUGAUGAUGAGGAGCCUUAUGGGAAUGCAAGAGCCGUUGAUUCAGAUGAUGCCCGCCUAGUCGCAGCAUUGAGCGAAGAAGAUAUGGAGCGCAUUAGAUUUUUUUGUCCUGAUCAUGAUCCACUAGUUCAUGAUCAGUGAUCUCGGUCGUUCUCGUAGUGAUUAUGCAGAAGGAAGAGAUGGCGAGCUGCUAGAGGCUCCUGAGGCUGGGGAUAGCAUGGAAAUUAAGAAGGGCCUUACAUUCAAGGACUUGCCUACAUUGAGAAGGUGGUUACAGGAGGAGUAUUCUGUGUAACGUAAAAGACCAUUCAAGGUUAGGCACUCGUAUGUGGAGCGGCGCUACACAGUGGUGUGCGAGAAGGCUGAUUGCAAUUGGAGGGUCUGUGCUCGGAACCAGAAGGCCACGGGAAAGUUCAAAAUCAUCAAAAUUGUAGGUCCACACACUUGUGCGAACAUAGAUCUACAGCUCAGGCAUCGACAUUUGACCUCUACCCUCAUUGCUAGAAGUUGUACUCAACAUUGAAGUGUCAGCCCAAUUUGAAGGUGAAGACAAUUAUAGAUAUGACUGAGAAAAUAUUUGGUUACAAGAUCAAGUAUGGGAAAGCAUGGCGGGCAAGGCAACGGGUCUGGGAGAUGAUAUAUGGGGACUGGGAGGAGGGGUAUGAAAAGCUACCUGCACUGUUCAAUGCAAUGAAAGCAGCUAAUCCAGGCAUGCACUAUGAGUACAUUCCAAAACCGAAUGAAUGGAAGGAUGGGAGGCAUAUUUUCUUCCGUGCUUUCUGGUGCUUUCCACAGUGUGUGGAGGCCUUCAGGCAUUAUCGUCCCAUGUUAUCCAUUGAUGGUACUUUUCUGAUUGGCAAGUACGAGGGCACGCUAUUGAUAGCCAUUGCAGUUGAUGCUGACAACUCAUUGGUUACUUUAGCCUUUGGUUUGGCGGAGAGGGAGAACAAAGCCAGCUGGGGAUGGUUCUUGCAGCUAGUUCGGAUACAUGUUGUAGGCCCUGACAGGGAGGUUGGUAUCAUAUCUGAUAGAUACCAGUGUAUACUCAGUGCGGUACAGGAGCAGAUUCCAGGAUAUGCACCAUUGCACCACCGUUGGUGCACUCAGCAUAUGGCCCAGAAUUUACUAGAUACAGAUGGGAACAAGGAUAACUUUGCUCUAUUCAAGGAUGUUGCUCGCCAGCUUGAGGAGCAGUUCUUUCAAGAGAAGUUGGAGGAGCUAAAAAUGGCAAUAAACGAUGCAGGAAGGCGUUGGCUAAGAGGAGUUCUGAGGGAGCCUAGAAAAUGGUCAAGGGCGUACAAUGAUGAUGGCCAUAGGUACGAGUUUCAGACUAGCAACAUGGUCGAGUCAUUCAACAGUGUGCUUAAGGGGAUACGGGUGAUGCUCGUCGAUGCUACGUAUCAUUCACCUUCUACAGGCUUGUUGCAUGGUUCAAUAACAGAUACUUAGAAGCAAUAGCACUACAGAGCAAGAACCAGCUAUGGGCCCCCUAAACCUAUGCGUCAUCUUGGUAAGGCAGAGGAUAGGGCUCGCACACAUAAUAUUAAAUGUUUUGACCACACGACGGAAAGUAUGAGGUCACGAAAAGGGGUGGUACAACUUCCGAUGGUGACUUGCGGCCUUCGAGGAGUUAUAUUGUUAUUAUGAUUGAUUUCUCAUGCACAUGUGGGAGAACAAGGCAGUACCACUUUGUAUGUUCCCAUUAUAUUGCAGCAGCUCGGCACCGCAACUUUGCCUACAAGAGCAUGAUACCACAGGAGUUCACCGUUGACAGCCUUGUACGUACAUGGUCUCCCCGGUUUGAGUCUUACCUAGACGAGGGACAGUGGCCAAUGUAUACGGGUCCGAAAUACAUUGCGGAUCCAGGGGCCCGUUGGAAAAAGCCUGAAACUAGGAAGAGAACGAGAUAUAAGAUGGUCAUGGAUCAGGUUUCAGGAAGAACUAGAUGGAGGAGAGGAACCCCCUUUCUUUCCGACCCCGACGAAAACAAAUGUGUUAGAUGCGGCAGACUUGGUCACAACACGCGUACAUGCAGUUGGCCGCUUAGUCGCGUGCAAAUAGCUGUUGUAUACUACCGUUUUGUUUUAAUAUUUACUUUAUUUUAUGUAUAUGCAUGUCUUACUUAAUUAAAGUUUCUUAAUUUGUUCAUUUUCAUAAUUUGUUAAUUAAAUUACUAUCUUAUUUUUGUAGGAUGGAGGCACCGUACCUACUCGAUCCGUACUACAAGCAGAACCACCGAGGACGACGCACCGUGGAAGGGGAGGUAAUGAACAAAAUUUAUGUUCCACAUCAUCUGUUUGUGCCACUCUUUAAAAUUGACGUUGAGGUACUAACAAAAUAAUUCAAUGUCUCCAGGAAUUGCCUCUUCUUUGUCCUCGAACCCAUGGCAGGUUCCACGAGAUGCGGUACGACGACAGGUACACUCCUCUUCUGGAGAGGGCUGGCCUCGACAUUGUAUCGUACCAGGUUCACCCUGGUUGCCGGUUAUCAACCCCGCAGCGAUCAUAGCUUUGGUUGAUAGGUACAAUCAUUAACGACUAAUCCACUUCAUCUUCGUUUUCCAAGGUCAACGGGGUAAUUCACCAUAAGUUCUGUGCAUUUUUCUAUAGGUGGGGGCCGGAAACUCAUAGUUUCCACCUUCCUUGUGAUGAGAUGACAGUGACACUGGAGGAUGCUCAGAAGUUUCUUGGUCUCGUGUCAGAGGUCGUCCAGUCACCGGCUAGUGCAGGCCUGACGAUUGGAGGGGUCAUGAGGAGGCCUUCCUCGGCAGAGGGCUUCCUAAGGCAGUGCUAGCUACCCGAACCUCUAGAGUACCUAUCACCUGGCUUUGGCAGCACCUUUCUCACUGUCCGGAGGAUGCGAACGAGCAGAUAGUCGCCUACUAUUGCCGGGCUUGGAUACUUCACUUGUUUGGGUGUGUGCUCUUCCCCAACAGCAUAGGUGACAACGCGUCUUGGAUGUACAUACCUUGCCUGACAGACUAGGAUGCGGCAGGGAUGUAUAGAUGGGGGUUCGGAGUGUUGAGUUUCUUGUACCGCCACCUAUGCGAGGCGUGUCGCCGGGCUUCACAGCACGCGUCCAUCGGCGGCUGUGUGUAUUUGUUCCAGCUGUGGAUGUGGUCUCAUCUACCCGUUGGCCAGCCCACAGUUCUUGCUCCACGUCCGUGGUUCGACGUGGCCACCCCUCGACCCCGACCGAUGGUUGCUUACUUAUUGGACCAGGUCAAAGCUCCCUUCUCCAGGAGUAUGCAAGCAUACGUCGAGUACACUAAUGAGCUGGACACGCUCACACCCUUGAUGGUACGUCCAUUGCAUUCCAUUUUAUCUUUUCAUUUUGAUUUACCUAUAGUUGACUACAUGGUAUCCAUGCUACAUUUUGAUGUUUAGAUGCAGUUUUAGUGACUAUAUGUAGUUCAAUAUUUCGCAGGUAACUUGGCAACCGUACAAUGACAUAAGGGUGGCGCAGCUUGAGUUGAGCACUGCGUGUUAUGCAGAUGAAAAUCUGUACAGGAUGACGUGCCCGCUGAUCUGUUUCUACGCUAUGGAGUAUCACCUGCCUCACAGAGUUGCACGCCAGUUUGGCUUGAGACAGGAGUGGCCAGUAAGGCCAUUCUCGACGUCCGUGGAGUUGCACAAGUAAGUGUGAAGUACUUAAUUUAUCUAUUGUUGCCAAUAAUGCUGCCUAGUUGACUAUAUGAUUUAUCUAUUGCUGUCACUAUUGCUGUUACAGGAUAGAUCGUCAGAAGCAGAAGACGACAACCGAUUUCGAGACGCUGCACCACAAGCACAACGACAUGUGGGACCUUUUCCAUGAGAACGUGAUUGAGAACGACCAGCCGCAUACGGACUACAACUUCCGCAUGUACCUAUCAUGGUACCUAGCUGUGAUACGGACCAAAUUGAAGGGCCAAUGGACAGGAGCCGACUACGCCGACAUUCAAUCUUCGGAUGAUGAAGAUACAUCUUAUGACCUUGCAACACGGGAAGGGACGGUGGUCGAGGCCACACCCAUCCUAGAUCGAAUGGUAUGGUCACCUAACACUACUAUUCUGUAACAAUUCAGAUUUAUUGCAAUAAUAUGAUCAUGUACAACGACUAACCAUUUGUUUCAUUUGAGUGCAGGGAAACACGUUGAAGCAAUCCUUACUUGACAUCGAAUGUUUUCCAAGGCGAGGAGUGGACGAGACGACACUGAACAACUUCCUUGGAGUAAGUUUUUAAAAUUACUACAGAUAUGAACAUGUACCUCUCGUUUAAUCUUAUGCACUAACUUCAUGUUCAAAUGCAGAGACUUGCAGGUUGCCUACACUGUGCUGCUGCUUGUUGUGGUUGCAGGACUAGCACGGCGAUGGACGUGCACGGUCCUCCGAUAAGACUAUCCGACACCAGCGCAGGCCUCAGUACAUCAAUGCAGCAAGGCUCAGGCUCCAGACAACAGAGCUCAUCCAAGUCAACAAGGGCUACUUUUGAGGAUAGUGGUGGCGAGGAUGAGGAGGACGGAGCCGAGGAGAUUGAAGUGUCUUAGCUGGAAGACGCUCCUUUCACAUAGCCUUCACAGCAGGCAGCACGUAGGCAACGCUGUCCACAUGACCCUUACACUCCAGGUACCGACGCUCUUGGUAAGGGCAAGGGUAAGACUAGGAGGCAGUGAGGGUCAGUUUGUGGAUACUAUGGACUGUUCAGCUUGUAUGGACUAUUCCGCGCGUAUGGACUGUUAUGGACUAUGGACUAUGAUUCUGAUAUGUGUGGAUAUUCUGGUUCUUGGUGGAUAUGUUGGUGGUAUUUUAUUGAAUACAUGUUUAUAUCAUAUUAUGAUGUAUUAUUUUUAUUGUGAAUGCUCGUGAAACAAGUGAAGCUCUAGCAAAAUUUUCCCGUGAUUCGUUCAUCGUAGUACAGAGGCGCAUAUCAUGACUUUAUGAUAAUUAUGAACAUACCAGUAUAUUUAUUGCAACAUGUGUUGUCCAAUCGGAAAAAAGAUGUAUGAAUUGGAAUAGGCUUUUCAGUGUGUUUUUAUGUAGAUUUUUCAGUGUAUUUCCGUAUAGGCUUUUCAGUAUACUUUGAUAUAGGCUUUUCAUGUUAUAAACCUGCAUCGGUCUAUAUGUACAUAUUGCUGGAUGUAUUAUUCUAACAUCGAAAACAAGAGACACUGGAGUAAGAAUAUCUGGAGGGUCAUCCAGUGGAAAGGAUUUCGGCACUGGGAGAUGGAAGGGAGGAAGGAAGGGACCUCCCAUUAUGUGGGAGGGGUCUGUUGGUACUAAAUCCUAUUCGGAAGCAGUGUAUGAGUUUCCAGUUAAGAGCAAAGGUGAAUUCACCAAGGAGAAACCUCUUAGAGGAUACGAUGACCGCAAAGAAGAUUUGCCAAAAUGUAUGCAUGGUGAGAACUGCUCAGUGCAGAUGUGCGCCAAGGGGACCGAUGGAGGUCGUUGUUUCUUCAAAUACCCGCGAGCUUGGGUAAUUGUUACUGCAUUUCCUUUGUUACAUAUGUUUCUCUUCUUUUGUACAACUUACCUGAGAUAUUUGUUACAGUCUUCAGAUGCUUCAGAAAACUGCGGGUUCGUUAGGUGGGUCGAUCCUCCUCCACUUCAUCCGUAUCAGGAGUAUAUCUACUACCUGCAUAAUCGUAUCUUCAAUCUAGAAAGAGAAGUGAGCAGUGGUAACAAGGACGAUGAAGAGGAUGACAAUAGCAAUGGUGCCAGUUCACAGAAGGUAUCGUGCAUUGAUCCAUAUUGCAACUGCUCUUGUCACGGGAACAAGGGGCCUCAGUCACCACCGCCUGCAAUGGGAGGAUAUUAUGGAGAAGGGGCAACACGAUUUGCUAUAUAGGGAGAGUACUGGGAGUAACCUAUCUUAUUCACAUACUACAUCCAUGUGUUUAUUGUUUUAUUUAAUUACCUAAGCCAUGUUAGGUUUAGUUCAGGAUCUCUUUGCUGUUGUUUCGUACCAGUCCUCACAUGCCACUACAUAUGUUGUGCGUGUUCAAUUAUGUAAUGCACUAAUUUGUUAGUCUUAAUUCCAUUACAUUACCAAUUGAGGUCAUGGAAGAUGCAAUAAAUGACAACAAAAAAAGUCAAGUACAUGAGAAUACAAGGACAAAGUUAUUACUUGAAUAAACUAUACAACUAGCAAAUCUUGCAUACUACUGAGUCCAACAAGGCCACUUUAGCUUCCUCAAUGUAUCUGGAUUCUCCUCCAUUGCUGUCUUCGCUCCUCCAUUGCUGUCUUCGCACGGCGAAGACGCUUCAGCUUGUGUUCCCUCUCCUCCUUGUGCUGAGCAGCAUGCCUCCUUUCCAGCUCUUCUUACCGCUCUUUUUCUGCUACCUCCUCUUGCCGUCUCUGCUCCAACAAUUCCUUCCGCUCUGUAUCCCACUCCUUUAUUCUACGCAGAUACUCCUUAUUCUCCUCUUUGAUCUUAGUGUCGAUCCACUGCUCAAAGUCAUAAAGCGGGGUAGGGGUCUGCAAAACAUUCAAUUGAUACACACCUGUUACUACUCAUGAGGCAUACAUGAUUCUAUAUGACAGUGAAAUAUUAUAAAAAUAAAUAAAUAUUCUUACCAGCAACCCAAUGUGAAUCUGACGAGGAGUAGGGUCGAAUGCAUAAUUUUCACACAAUCCAAUACAUCUGGUUAUAUGAUUCCGCUUCGUCUAACUGGGCUACCUUGCAAGGAUCACCGCAGAAGCACAUCGGCACAGGAACACCACUAGGCAGCAGCAAACGGAUGAAGGCUGUUCCAGUCAUCACCUUUGGUUUACUAGAUUUAACCGCGCCUACGCAUCUAAGGUUGCAUAUUACAUAUAUUAAUAAUUAAACUCUAAACCUUAAGCAAUUACACUGAAUAAUAGAUAUAAUAUAGAUCAAAUCAAUACGUAAAAAUUGAGGAGGGGAGAAAGAGUACCUUGCUCUUAAAGAUCUAUGGAUCGAAUCAAAGUUUUCAAGAUCAAAUAUGUCGAUUGAUGAGGUUGGACGGGUGGGGGAAGAGACAGAAAAACCGAGACGGGGUAAGAAAUAUGGGAUGAAGGCUCGGACAGGGAAAGGGGCGGCGUUAUGGUAGCCAGCUCGGCGCCAUGAUCUGCGGCGCCGAGCUCGGCACCACGACCCAUGGCGCCAAGCUUGGGGCCAUGUCGGCGCCAGGUGGGUGGGCAUGUGGCAGCUGAGCUAGAUACCUCGUCGCCGUGACUCUUGCUAGUCACGGCGCCGGGACCCUGCGUUCAAAUUCGAAAAAUACGUUUUCCAGGAGUUCAAAUAUAGGUUUUUUUUUCAAAAAAAAGGCUAAAAUGCAAAAAGUCCGGUCGGAUCGACCAUGUUUGGGGUAAAAUGGUCCGUUCAUUUGAUCUAUAAACUGAAAAGAAAUGACAGAAAUUGAGAAAGGAGAAGAAAUCAACCAAAUCAAAAGAAUUCGCAAUAUUUUUUAUGAAAGACUUGCGAAUUGAGGGUCAAAAGACGAGAGUGAUGUGAAUUGGAUCGAAAUUUCUGUGCACAUAUGGCCCGUUGGUGGUGGGCGGCAUGAGGAUUGGUUCACCGUAGCUAAUUUUUUUGUUUUGUUUUUGGCCGACACUGCCUGCGGGGUUGUUCGUGUUCCUUGCUACUACUGCAGUGCAGGCAGGGGUAGGACGGCACGUCCGCACGCGGAGCCGGAGCACAAGCAGACCACGACACAGGUCGAUCGAUCGAUCGUUCCAAUGGCCCUCCGCGACGGCACCACCAACCUCUCCAUCUCCGGCGCCGCCCUCGCCGCUCUCCUCCACCGCUGCGCCGCCGCCACCGGCGACUGCGACGGCCUCCUCUUCGGCCGCGCCUCCCACCUCCCCGCGCCGCCCGCCGCCCUCUCCGACUACGACGACCUCGCCACCGCCCCGCCCACCCCCGAGCUCACCAUCUCCGUCUCGGGCCACUGCUCCCUCUCCCACCCAUCUUCCCUCUCAGAUCCCCUCGGCCGAUUCCACCCCCCCUCCUCGGACCCCUCCUCCGCGCCAGCGCCCGCCGCCGUCGGCUUCUUCUCCUCCCGCCGCCGCACCGCGCUCCGCCCCUCCAUGCGCGAGCUCGCUCUCGCCCACUCCCUCUCCAAGACCCUACAAGGACGCACCACCGCCCACCCCCUCCUCUUCAUCCUCGUCUCCCCCUCCGCCUCCCCCAACUUCUCCACCCACUCCUACGACUACCGCGCCUUCCUCCUCCUCGCCUCCCGCCUCGUCCCGGCCUCGCUCACCGUCGUCAACGUCGGCCCCGGAUUCAGGGACCAAUACCACGCCUUCUCCCCAGAGUCUCCCAUGCCCUGCCUGCCAUCCUCGCCUGCGGCCGCAGGUCACGCUCACACCAUUGGAGAGCAGAAGGCGGUCGAUGAAAUGGUCGACGGGUUUGGGAUCGGGAGGCUGCAAGGGCUCCUGGGCUCUGCGGCAGGGCAGGCGGCGGAGAUGGAUGACAUGUAUGCGGGGAUGCUCAGGAACCUGGAGAAGCUCGCCAGGGAGGUGGAGAACAGCAAUAUCCGUGUUCUCGAGCAGGUCUGUUUCACAAAUCAGUGCAAUCCUUGCUUCUAUGCUAUUACUGUUCAUCAAUUGAUUCUUUUGCAGAACUGCGUUUGUGUGUAAUUGGCUUAUUGGUUAAAACUGCCUAGUAGUAGAUGAGGGAUAUAUAUGUUCAUCAGUUAUUCAUAAUAUGUUCUUUCACCCUAUCCUUGAAUUGCUUUCUGAAGUUGAUUUUGUUACCUUUUGUUCAUAUUAUGUUUGUAGGAAAAUCGGAACCUGCUGCUGAGGUUCAGAUGUGCAGGAAUGGAAUAGGACCAAAGUGUUUCUUGGUCCUAUUAAGGUAUGUGUCGCAAGUUGAGGGGUUCUUCUUGUAUGUCAUGCAGGUUUGAAAUGGCUUGAAUUGUUCAUUAUUAGUUCCAAGUUUCACUCAUAUAUUGUUUUUUUAUGUGACCGUACUGUCUUGUGACUGACUGCUUUUGGUAUAGUAAUCAAAUGAUUCUGAAAAUAACAAUAACAUACUUUUUUAUGGGAAAUGGGAGGGGCACUGCCCUUCAUAUUACUACUGUAGAUAGGAAUUACAUAGAAACAUAGGCUACUAAAGUAGCCCGUUGCAAAGCUACAUUAUUCUAAAGCUAAGAACAUGAAGCAUCAGCUAUGCUGUCUGAAAAAGCUUUAGUUCACCACUCUCUUCACUCUCUUGGUGCGCUAGCCGGUGCAUGUUGAUCUGUUUCAACUGCUAUAUGUGUUAAGAUUUUGUCGCUGCUAUAUGUGCUGUGUUACAAGUUGGAAACCGUGCAUUGCGUGUUAAGAUUUCAACUCGUUUUAUUAUGUGGUAGCUGGACAUGGUAGUUAGAUUUUUGAUCUUUGUUAGAUACCGUCACUUUUUUUUUUUGAAAAGAGCAAAGCUCGGCUUUUCUUGAAAGCAAAAGGUUUAGGUACAACGCUGGGGGAAACCCAGUUUACAAGAGAAGAACAGGAACACACAUAAGGAAAGCUACAACUCCACUAUAUCAGAAACUGGAGCCUCACUCGGCAAGAAGUUGUCUAGCCAUGUCUUCAUCUUCAUUCCCAGCCCAUCGAUCUCCGUCUGUUCCGCCUCAUUCAGCAGCAAGCGCCAUUUCUGCACAAAGGAAAUACCAGACCAGAUCACGUCCAAAGGAGUUUUAGGGAAAGAUUUCUCAAUAGCCAUCUUAUUGCGAGCCCUCCAAAUAGCCCAGGACAUCCCCUCAAAAAUGAACAAAUUUACAUGUUUCGGAACCUUGGACUCAGCAGCAAACCCGUCCCCCAGCAGGUCGCUAGCUGACAUGGGACAGCGGUCCCAACCGAGCGCAUCCCGGAGACAGCCCCAGGCAAAUCUCGCAAGGGAGCACUCAAAGAACACAUGUCGGGCCAACUCAGGUUUGCCACAUAAGCAGCAGGAGAUGGCACCCUUCCACCCUCUGUUUUUCAGCGAGGUGGCUACCUGCAGCUUGUCAUGAUGUAACUGCCACAAGAAGAUUUUGAUUUUGAGGGGAAGUUUUGUUUUCCAAAUAUUCUCCGCCUCAGCCACACACACACCCCUGUGCGUGAUAAAUCUGUACAAAGAUUUGGUAGAGAAAGAUUUAGUACUAUCUAGGGCCGAAGGGAUCUCAUCUCUGCCUUCAGAGAGGACAACCUCUUGUAGUAAUUGCAGUAGGCUCUCCCAGCUCACUGCUUCCCUAGCAGACAAGCUUCUCCUAAAGCAGACGACCCAGGCCACCCCCGUCCCAGCAGUCUUCUACUGUCACUGAGGGAUCCUCACAAAGACAGAACAGUUCUGGGAAUUGAGUCUUAAUCGGAGCAUGGCCUAACCAAACAUCCCCCCAGAAGCUGGUUAGCCCUCCAUCUUUCACUUUGUGCACGGCACCCCAUUUAAAUAGGUGUUUAACCUUAUGCAACCCUUGCCAAAAUUGAGAAGUACCCUUUUGCUCCUUGACUUGAAAAAGUCCCCAUCCGGCAUGUAUUUUGCUUCAAGUACUUGUACCAAGUAUCAUCAGAGCCCCGAGAGAUCUUCCAGAUCCAUUUGGUCAGGAGGCAUUCAUUCAUGAUCUGUGUGUUGAUGAUGCCCAGGCCACCUUGGUCUUUUGGCCUACAAAGCGACUCCCAACUGGCCAUAUGAUACUUGAAAUCCUCCCCGGCACCCUGCCAGAAGAAUUUGCUUCUCACCGAGUUCAUCCCCCCAUGGGAACUUUUCAGUAGAAGGUAAGUUGGAUACCGUCACUUGUGUCACGUGUGGUCGGCAGCCCGGGUGGUCAUUGGCAGUAGCAGUAUUGAUAGUUUCUGGAUCCUGUUGUCAUUAUGAAUCAUCAUGUGCCGAAUUGCUGGUGACUUUUUCAUCUCGUUUUGCAGGGUUACUGAUGCUAUGCGCCUCUAAGGCAUAUAUGAUGCCAGAGGUUUGUCCUCCAAGUUGGGAGCUGAAUGUGUGCAUUGGACUUGGCAUGCAUCGACUAGGGACUAGGGAUGGUGGAGUGUGUGUGGAGAGCAUGUGUUUGUGUGGAAGAAGGUGCAUGGCGUCUGAGGAUGGAUGAUAGAGCAAGAUGUGUUGGGCAGAAACGGUUUUGUGUAUGGUGGUGGUGGCGUCAUUGAUGGGAGCAGAUUGGUGUAAGUAAGUUUGAUGCAUGAAGCAUCAGCGUUAUAUGGAGUUGAGUAAUGUAAUGCAAUGCAAUCCUUGUUGGAGCUUUCCUAUCGGUCGUUGCUGAAGAAUUGGAAAGGAAAAGAGCUUUAGUUUGCUCACUCCAUGCUAUGCUUUCACGUACAGUACAGUACAGUAGAGUGUAUAUAUAUAUAUAUAUAUAUAUAUUUCAUUUGAUUUCAUGUCAUAGAGAUGCUUAUUACGGUACUACAGUAGAGAGUUGAACUACCCAGAAUAAGACACUGAUGGGUCGGUGACUUUCUGUGAAGAAUGAACUUAUAAAGAGAAGGGAAGAUGCCCAGGACUUGUGAUGAUAAUUCAGGGAUGGAGGACGAUGCCUAGGGUGCUGCUGCGGUGGAGGUUGCGAUGCCUGCUGGAGUGCUGGUAGGCGCAGGGAGGGAGGACGGGCAUCAUGUGCUGGAUGGAUCAUCAUGCCUUGCCUUGGCAUUGGCACUUUGGCAGUUGGCACCACCAAGCAAAGCAAACCAGAAUAGAUAGAGCCUUCCCAGGAAGAGCAAGGUGAGUUCUUUGCUUAUCAGGGUGAGGUCACGACUGGGCUGCUGCUGCUGAUCAUCACAUCAUAUUCAUCGGAUCAUAGUGGGUCGUCCUUUUUAGGUACGGCUCCGCACACCACCAACGUCAACCAAUGUUUCAAACUCAAACUGAAGAAAGAAACACAAAACAAGGCCGCCCGAAUGGACAGAGUUUAGGUAUGUGCAACAAAAAAACUGCCUUUGCUAGAUGCCCAACAGUCACUGUGAACGGUCCAGAGCUUAUUAUUCGAGUACCAAUCUUUUUGGAAGCAAGUGGAACCAUCUCAUCUCCAGUUAGGUCUGUAAUUGACAAAUACCUAACAUUCUUUUAAUUCCUCUGUCCACAUCUAUCGUCAGCUACUGUCCUUCCUAGUUAUGCUGCUACCUAGCUAAAAAAAGAAGCAUAUAUAUGAUACGUUUCAUAUAUACUGUACUUUUCUCUACGACGGCAGCAUAUAAGCACUACUGAAAUCCAAGCAUGCCAGCACAUCAAAAUUAUUACUAAGGUCUCGAAUAAAACAUAUUAAGGUUUUUAAAAUAAAAACGAAGAAGAGGAAAAUACAACUGGAUUGAGACCGUGGAACGUGGCAGGGUCGGGUUGGCUUAUUUUCAUUUUGUGUGAAUUUUUAGCCCUCUGACAGUGUCGGGGCAAAUAUCAAGGAUCCCCAAAAUAUAUUUUCUAGAAAGCUAACUACGUAUUAGCUCUCUCAAAAUAUGCAGCUCAGCAGUUAUGAUGUGGCCACGGACGGCCCACUAAAAGAAGGGGCGCAAUACCAAGCUUAGACGAAGGGCACCAGCCGCCUCCCUUGACCACCAGAGGUCUGGCUUCGCCUCGCCUGAACCCUAAGAUGCGAGCAUGGUCUAGCACGACCCCUAUAUGAGAAGCUCCACCUCGCCCGAUCCUGUAGGGAAGCUCCGCUUCGCCUGACCCUGAGGGUACGGAUUCGGCUGUACCCGCCCAGAGACGUGGGGCCCUAAGGGUCUCACGAAAUGACAGGUCGCACCGGGGUCAGACCUCUGGCGCGAGGGUAGGUAAGGGCGUGCCUCGACAUGACCUCCGGAGAGGACAGUCCAUUACGACAAGCCAUAGUCAUCCGUGGCGUCGGGGUCAAACCAUAGAACGCGCCGGCGGCUCAUGCUGCCCGUCUCGUCAGGGCACACAUCGCCCACCAAACACGUCGGAUCCCGCGCCACCCGUCCUGUUGAGACGCACGUCGCGCAUCGCGCCAUGGAGCAGCGCAGGGACACCCCAUCAUCAUCUACAGGGCCAACGGGGUCCACACGCAGGGAGGGAGGAGGAGUAGCGGGAUCCCGGCGACCUACUCCCUCUCUGCCUUUCUCUCUCAUGUAUCCGACCCUACCUCUUGGCAUAUGAAAAGGAAGAGGUGGACCCCGUAAAGGGGGAGACCGAACUCAAACACUCAUACGCUCACGCGACACUUGGCCACCAGAGACUUAGGAGUCCGCUCCCUCUCUCGUCCGUUUGUAACCGCUACUGCAAACCAGUGUAAGAACACGAGCAGCUCGGAUUGGACGUAGGGAUAUUUCGCUUACACGAGCAGCUCGGACUGGACGCAAGGAUAUUCCGCUUGAACCGGUAUAACCUUCUGUGUAUUCCUUACAUACCAUUUGAAUCGGACGUGCGGAUACAAAUUCACUGGUCGGCGGUCCAAACCCGAUAGAAUUAAUUAAUUAAUUAUUGUGGCUAGCUAGUGUCCGUACCGGUAGAACCUGGUAAAUUACUACGGUGGGCACGACGGUACGGGAUUGCGUGUCGCUGACAAAGACACCACGAACGGAACGGAACGGGGAACGCCGAGCCGCCCCCGCCCCCGCCCCCGCCCCCGGGGAGGCCGGGACCAGUCAGCAACUCUCUAGAGUAAGUGCACGCGUCGCCGGCUCUACUCACGCUCUGAUUCCAAUGAGUCCCAGGCGCGGGGCCCACGUGUCGGUGGCACGGGUACACCAAGCACCCGGUAUGUUUAGGCUUGGCGUUUCGUACCCGUCCGCACUCGCAGGCUGUACGAUGCAGUCCUCGUUCGUCCUCCCCCGCAUCGUCCUUCCCCACUCCACUCCUCCCUCACUCUUUUCCCCUUUUCCACUUCUACCCCCGCAGGUACGCCCUCCGUACCGUACCUUCUCUCCAAUCAGAUUCCCAUGCCACUUGUCGAUUUCCCAUAAUACCCCCACUGACUGCAGACCAACCUGCAGGAGCCUAGGGGCAAACAUGGGAAAACACACGCGCAACUCGCCGCGCCCAGGACAACACGUUCCAGGGGCACUCUCGGCAUCACAUCUUCUCUCCUUGGUUAGUUAUUCUUGUUGCGUCAUCGCCUGGCCAUCAUUCUCCGCCUCCCUCCCUCCAUUCCGAUUCAGACCAAGAAUCCACCAACAUCAAUCGCCCAUGGCCGCAGCGGCAGCCCACCGGAACAACAAGCGCCGCCGCUUCUCCCCGGCUCCCGGCCCCACCUCCGCCACCGCGCCCCCUCUGGACUCGCUCGCCGACGAGCUCCUCUUCCUCGUCCUCGACCGCGUCGCCGCCGCCGACCCGCGCGCGCUAAAGUCCUUCGCCCUCGCCUCCCGCGCAUGCCACGCCGCCGAGUCCCGCCACCGCCGCCUCCUCCGCCCGCUCCGCGCCGACCUCAUCCCGGCCGCGCUUGCCCGCUACCCGUCCGCCUCCCGCCUCGACCUCUCCCUCUGCGCGCGCGUGCCCGACGCCGCCCUCGCCGCCGCCCCAUCCGGAUCAUCCCUCCGCGCCGUCGACCUCUCCCGCUCAUGGGGGUUCGGCGCCGCGGGCCUCGCCGCGCUCGCCGGGGCCUGCCCGGACCUCGCCGACCUCGACCUCUCGAAUGGGGUCCAUCUUGGGGACGCCGCGGCGGCCGAGGUGGCGCGGAUGCGGACUCUCCAGAGGCUGUCUCUCUCGCGCUGCAAGCCGCUCACGGACAUGGGGCUCGGCUGCGUCGCCGUCGGCUGCCCCGACCUCAGGGAACUCUCGCUCAAGUGGUGCCUUGGGCUCACCGAUUUGGGGCUCCACCUCCUCGCCCUCAAGUGCAAGAAACUCACCAGCCUGGAUCUCUCCUACACCAUGGUGAGCGCCGCAGCUUUCUUGAUUUCUUCACCCUUUCUGCUUGGAUCAAGGCGGCGGAAAAUUCUGUCUUUGAUUCCUUCCUCCUACAGUAAUUUUCUUGAUAUCAAGGCAUGGGAUCUCCCCUCUUAAUCCAUCAGACUACAAGUACUUUGUUUUCUUUUUCCCCUUGCUAAAUCUACUGGCUUCAAUUAGUGUGCUUAGGGUAUUGGACCACAGCAAUGUAUGUAUCGUACUAUUGAUCUGCAAGUGCUCUUAUCUAUACAUAGCAAUUGAUCUAUGCAACAAAGGAUCAUAAUUUUGGGUACCCAAUUUAUUUUGUCUUCUCGUCUCUACAUUUUGUGUGGCUACAGAUUCAGUUUCUCUUGCACUCCCGUGAGUACCAACCAGACGCACCUAUCAUACCGUGCUCAACUAAUGGAAACAUAUCUUGCAUUCUUGCAGAUCACAAAAGAGAGCUUUCUUGCCAUUAUGAAGCUACCCAAUCUCCAGGUGUUGCCACUGGUGGGGUGUAUUGGAAUUGAUGAUGAUGCUCUUGGUAGUCUUGACAAAGAAUGCAGUAAAUCACUACAGGUGUCUUAGUAGUCAUGUUGACACUAUUAGGUUCUGAACUUUGUAGAUGCCUGAUCUGAACCAGUCAUGCUGUACUAAAACAUAUGUUUGAUAGUAGCACAAAACUCUGCUUACUGACCUUGCAUGUUUGCACCGUUGCAGGUUCUUAAUAUGUCUCAUUGUCAGAAUGUCACUGAUGUGGGAGUUUCAUCCAUGGUGAAGUCAACACCAAAUCUAUUGGAACUGGAUCUUUCCUACUGCUGUCCUGUAAGUAGCUAAUCAUCUAGUCAUAUUGUUGUAUCAUCUGGGCAUAACUUGAGCCCUUGAAGCUUAAUUUACAUCCUUCCUGUAGCAGGUUACUCCUUCUAUGGGGAGAAGCCUCCAAACGAUUACUAAACUGCGGAUACUGAAGCUGGAAGGCUGCAAAUUCAUGGCUGAUGGACUAAAAGCCAUUGGAAGCUCUUGUGUUUCGAUCAGGGAGUUAAGUCUGAGCAAGUGCUCUGGAGUAACAGAUACUGAACUCUCUUUUGCUGUGUCAAAACUAAAGAACCUGCUGAAGCUGGACAUCACUUGUUGUCGCAGUAUCACUGAUGUUUCAGUAGCUGCCAUCACUAGUUCAUGCACUUCCCUCAUCUCUCUGAGGAUGGAGUCUUGUAGCCAUGUUUCAAGUGGAGCACUCCAACUGAUCGGGAAGAACUGUUCUCACUUGGAAGAGUUGGACCUUACUGACAGUGAUUUGGAUGAUGAAGGUACUUACUGAACUGGCUAUUGACAUACUUUUUUGUCAAAUCGACAUAAAGUUGACUAUAAAUAUUUUUUGUGCAGGGUUGAAAGCUCUCGCCGGAUGCAGCAAUCUCUCGAGCCUAAAAAUUGGUAUUUGCUUGAGGAUAAGUGAUGAAGGUCUGACGCACAUUGGAAAAUCUUGCCCAAAACUCGGAGACAUUGAUUUGUACAGGUCAUUACUAGAUGUGCCUUGUGGUUUUCUUUCUUUGGUUUGUUUUCUCGCGAAGCUGACUUGUAGUUUCUGUUUCAGGUGUGGAGGCAUUAGUGAUGAUGGGGUUAUUCAGAUUGCUCAAGGCAGUCCAAUGCUAGAAUCUAUCAAUCUAUCCUACUGUACAGAAAUAACAGACCGUUCACUGAUGUCCCUCUCAAAAUGCACAAAGCUAAAUACAUUGGAGAUUCGUGGCUGCCCCAGGGUUUCAUCUGCUGGGCUCUCAGAAAUAGCAAUGGGUUGCAGGCUGCUUUCCAAGCUUGAUAUCAAGAAAUGCUUUGAGAUUAAUGAUGUGGGCAUGCUCUACCUUUCCCAGUUCUCUCAUAGCCUCCGUCAGGUAUUAGCUCUUUCUCCUGUAAACUGAAAUCUAGUAGUACCAUGUGUUUUUACUUUCAGUUGUGCUGAUAGCAUGUAUGUCUCAUCGCAGAUAAACUUGUCAUACUGUUCGGUCACCGACAUUGGACUUCUUUCACUUUCUAGCAUAUGUGGCUUGCAGAACAUGACCAUUGUACAUUUAGCGGGUAUUACACCUAAUGGCUUGACAGCUGCUCUCAUGGUCUGUGGUGGUUUGACAAAAGUGAAGCUUCAUGAAGCAUUCAAAUCCAUGAUGCCUCCUCAUAUGCUCAAAAAUGUUGAGGCGCGGGGUUGUAUUUUCCAGUGGAUCAAUAAACCAUUUAAGGUAUUGUGCAUUGUUCUUUUACCUUGCCUGUAUGUCCCUGAAUUAUGUUGGAUCCUUGUGUCCAUCACACCGGCAAGACUGUGUCAACUUGAGAAAAACUAGUUCUAUGAAACUAUUCUGUGCAGUUAUGUUUAACCGUCAAGGAGGUUAUGCCCCCCUUUAUUGUGGUGUCUUCGCCUUUUGUUUUAGAUAGUAUUGAAAAAUAAAUGAACAUAGCACCGCCCUCUUAUUAGCUUUAGCAUUGGAUGGAUUUGCGUUUAGUAAAAUUACAAACCUGUGAACGCCAAAGUGUCUAACAAUAGGUGAGGUCUUGUGCAGGUUGAGGUGGAACCUUGUGAUGUGUGGAAGCAGCAGUCACAAGAUGUUCUUGUACGAUGAGAAGGCCUGAAGUGUGGCAAUUGUGGGAAGCAAAGGGCAUGCGCUGUGGCGAUGGAUGGAUUCUUGGCUGGCUUCGUUAUUGGAAGCAACAGUCACAAGAAGGGAAGCCUAAGGAACGAGCUAAAAUUUUUGUAGAGUAAUUGGCGAGGUACUGUGACAAUACUUCAGUAUGAAGAGAGGUAUGCUGAUGUUGUAUACUAGACUAGAGUAGCUUUUGUUUGGUUAAGUGUCCAAACCAGGGAGUAGGUCAAAAUUUUGUCAAACAAAAUCAGGAAGUUCUUGUGUUGUAUAUGUAUAGCAGCAUAUAGAGAUUAAUGGAAGAGAUUGAUAUUGAAGGUUUGGGUGAUGAGAGCCUUGUGUGAUGAUAUGGCUUCAACUGCUUGUGUGAUGGUCAUGACCGGUGCAUGAUGGUUGGAAUGCUGGAAUUAAGUGGCUUACGUGUGUUUGGAAUCGAAACUGAAACAUGCUUGUGGAUGUAUCUGCCUGACUGCCUAUUUGUAUUGAAGUGAUGUCUUGUCUCUGCUUACUAAGUCUGUUUUGGAGGGGAAAAGAAUGUGGAGUCAUCAAAUAGCAGCAGCAAACCAGAGGAGGUUUGCACAGUCCAGAUGUAUGAAUGAGUCUCGAGGGUAUUGUAGUUUGUGCGGAAGUAUUGAAAAUGAAGUCGUAGGAGUAGGCACAUGUGACAUGCUUUAAGUUUGGAGGUGUUGUUGGAAAUUGGUUUUGCCAUUCAUGGAACUCAAGCACACAGACUGAAGUGAAGGCAGAGUGGCACGGAAAGGUAGGGAGCGAGAGCACAGCAGGCUUCUCGCCGCAAGUGCAAUGCCAAUGCAAUUAGGCAAAGCAGGUCGAGACAGCUAGGUAGGUAGGCGGCCAUGGACAGCUGACGACCAUGGUGUACAGGCAUCAUGUGACAGCUGACGACCAUGGCUGGUGCCUGCUGGAUGUCGGACGAUGCUCCGAUCCGUUGCCGUUCUUUAGUAGUAGAACUAGUAAUGCAGGAGAUGGCAUCUCCAUUGGCAUGCUUCAGGAGGACUGGACUGCCGGCAGGGCAGGGGAAUGAAUUGCCUGAAGCGUUGUUCAAGCGAGCCUCUCAACAUCGUACCCACCGGAAAAUGGCAGCUGCUGCACUGCAACGUCCUUCUUCCUUCCUUGCCAUUGCCUCCAUCCAUUCCCUGGUAGCCUUGUAUGCCCGCCUGUUCCGUCGUCCGUGAUGCCUUGCCACCAUUCCGUCCGUUCCAUGAUCUCACUACUCCCUACCCGUCCUCAUUAAUGCGAGACCCCACCCACAUUGAGAACCAACCAGAGAUACAUCCCUCCCCUCCAUUAAACAAGCAAGGCUCCUGCUGCUCCUUGGACAGGACAGGAGGGAGAGGGAGGAGAGCCAACAGCAACAAUGGGGAUCUGCUGCAGCAAGGCCAAGGCACCAGCAGGGGACCUCGACGACGGCGAGCAAGGAUUCCCAUGGAUGCACGACGACCUGUUCCACCACCACCUCUGGACCAGCGCCGCCGUCUCCAUGCACACCAAGCAAGGAUGGAAGGGUGCCAACCAGGACGCCAUGACCGUCUCCCAGGUGACUUCUCUCUACCUCCCAGAGGGCCUAGCUAGCUGUCCCUUGGCCUCCUUGUAAGUAUCGUCUCGUUUUCGCAUCACACAAGCUGCCGCAAGGCAUGGUGCUGCUACUGUUACCAUGCCAACUUUAAUUUGCUUACCCACUGCAACUUGCAUCCACAAAUCUUCCCCUCUUUUUUCCCCCACACCAUUGCAUCCGCAACUUUGUUUUAUUGUUUAACAACAAUGCACCUUUGGAUCCGUCUCGACUUACUGCAACCUGAAAUGCUCCUAAUGUUCCAACCACCUGUGUUUCUGGGUGCUGUUGCAAGCUUCUCUACCCAGUACUUCACUAAAAUUUACUGCCUAAUGAAAUAUGUAGGGAGGGGGGCAAUCAAAAAAUGAAUUUUUACAAACUAAAAUUUGCCUCAAGUUAUGUACUUCACUACCUUUACUGCCCACCAAUGUCCUGAAUGUUUGAAUUCACCUCCAUAUCUUGUACUACAUUAUUAGCAUCUCCAAUGCAAGUACAUUAGCCUUUCUCUUUUUGCACAAUAAUUCGAUUAAUCUUCAUGUGUCACAAUUGUGUCAAGAUGCUUAGGACUUUGCUGGCCACAAAGGCCACAUCUUCUGCGGGGUAUUUGAUGGGCAUGGCCCUCUUGGCCGACAAGUUGCUCGCCGUGUCCGCGACACCCUUCCCUUGAAACUAUCCUCUGCUUUGAAGCCGAAAACUGAAGAAGAAGAUCCCUCAACCCAUACUUCCAAGCUCACAACUGAAGAAGACCACUCAAGCAAUACAGAUUUGAAUUCCUGUGACAAGUCAGACUCCACCUCGUUUAGUGAUGAUACAACCGAUGAGAAGCUCCUGUUGUCAACUUGGAAGAACAUAUUUAUGAAGGCAUUUGAUCAGGUGGAUGAGGAGCUCAGGCAACAUUCAGGAAUUGACUGCAUUUGCAGUGGCACCACAGCAGUCACUGUUGUUAGGCAGGUACUAAUGCUACUAUUAUCCCUCAGUAAUCCUGUACUAGUUUUGGUGCACAGUAAAACUAGGAUUCUGAAAGAGCAGGAACUGAACCAGCUGGGUUGGAAGCCCUGUUUUAUUUACUGUAUUCCCAAUUAUCCAUAGAGCAACAUAACCAAAGUAUAAAUCUUAUUCUGUUCCCCAAUUAUCCUUCUCAUGUCAAGGGUGAUCACUUGAUUAUCGCCAAUUUGGGUGACUCGCGUGCUGUUCUUUGUACCCGGGACAGCAAGGACCGUAUGAUCGCAGUCCAACUGACCACUGACUUGAAGCCAGAUCUUCCAAGUGAGCUAGCAUCUAAACAUCUCAUUUCUCAGUUCUUGAAAUAUGUGUGUAUCUUUCUUGAUUGCAUUUUGUACAUUGUUGUGCACUGGCGAUAGGUGAACUCGCAAGGAUUCUGAAUUGCAAGGGGCGAGUUUUCGCCAUGGAUGACGAACCAGACGUGCCCAGAAUGUGGUUGCCGGACCAGGAUGCACCAGGCCUUGCCAUGGCAAGGGCCUUUGGGGACUUCUGCCUGAAGAACCAUGGCCUUAUCUGUACACCUGAAGUCUACUACAGGAAGUUAUCUGAAAAGGACGAGUUCUUGGUGCUUGCAACUGAUGGGGUAAUAAAUUCAUUUAUUUGAUUGGCAAUUUCAGAUUUCCAUCACUUCAUUUUAAGAAGAAUUUUGCAAUCGUAUUCCAAAUGUUCUGGGUACAAAAUAGCAUAAAUCCCUUUUAUGAUUAGACUGACAACAGAAACUGUUAACUGAAAGUGACAUUUCUCUGUCAUCGAUUUAUUUCAUGAUAGGUUUAGCUGAUAACGAUUUGUUCGGACAAUAUGUUUUUACACUAGCAUGAGCAAAAAAAGUUCUAUUUUACGCUAGCUGGAAAAUCAUUUCUGUAGCCAUUUUCAGUGGUCCGCCUUGUUUAAAAAAAAGGAAAGAUUCCAUUCUGCACCUUUUCAGGGCUACUACAAAUUGAGUGUGAUUAAGUAGUAGGAUAAAGCCUUUAUGGUAAAUUAAAAGCGACUGCUAACUGUACGCUUGAAACCAAUACAUCACCGUCACCUAUUUAAUCAUUAUUCUAUACAUCUGAUUUGUCUAGAGAAUACAGAAAAUAUUGCUAGACUAUAGUAGCACAGCAUGAUGAUGAAAAAAAAAAUGCAGAUUUGGGACGUGCUGUCGAACAAGGAGGUGGUGAAGAUUGUGUCUUCAGCCAGCGACCCUUCCAAGGCCGCGAGGCAGCUGAUCGACCGUGCGGUCCGAUCAUGGCGGCGCAAGUACCCGACGUCCAUGGUGGACGACUGCGCGGUGGUGUGCCUCUUCUUGAACAGGCCGGCCUCUCGUCCCGACGAGAAGGCGCCUCAGGCCGUAUCGUCGUUCACGGGGAGCUUCCGCAAGGUUGUGAGCGGCGGCCGUGGCGUUGAAGCGUCGGAGGAGGGGACGACGGUGUGGAGAGCCCUGGAGGGUGUGGCGCGGGCGAACUCGGUGAUGAGGCUGCCUCGGAUCGGGCGCGUGCUCAGCUGGCGGAGGCGGUCGUCGAAUUCGCUGAUGGAUGAAGACGACGACGACCGGGAUUGAUGAUUUUUUUUCAUGGUGGGAGCAUGCAAUGGCCGCGAGCUUUUAAUUGGCAGAAAUGAUUUUAGGAUUGGAUUGACAUGAUGCCGCGUCGCAUUCAAUUUGUUGAGAUGAGGUGGAGCGGUAGGCCUAACUGCUGCUGAGACGACGACGCAGCAUGCUGUAACUCGAGAUUCAUCAGCUCGCUUGCAAAACCAUCAGCAUGAUUCAGCAGGAGAUGGCGGCGGCGUUGUGCGGGUGCAGAACCAUCGCCGGCGGUUUGUUUGUUGUGCGAUCAGCCACGACGGCCAUCGAGAAGGACCCUCGCACGCUCCUAGCCGGAGAACACCUCGCCGGUGAAGUAAUCUUACUUGGCCGCAUCGGUGUGGUCGCCUGACACGGAGCGCGGACGAGCCGGCGAGACGUCCAGACCCUGGACGGUAUUUCAUUUACCGUCCGGGCUGAGCUAUCCAGAGCCGUCGGAUCUAAAGAGUAUGGUCAGGAUUCGAUACACCAAUAUGAGGCCCAGUUACCCGAGCCCGAUCCUUUCCUUUUUUGUAGAGGCCCCGUUUGCGCGGGCGACGGCCAACGACGACCGCCGCCGGCAUCGUCCUCCGCCGGCGUGUCGAUGUCCGACCGCGUGCAUACAUGUCCUCCGGAUGACGCGACGAACGUCGAGUUCUUGAACCCUAAAGGAUCGGAUGAGCUGCUUUCAUCAUCAUCAUCAGCAGCAGCAGCAGCACAAAGCUGUUAGCAAGCAACAAGCAUGAAUCUGCAUCAUCUAUCUCUGUUUUUUUAGAAAACAGGAGGGGAGAUCCCUACCGGAUAUAUUAAUAAAGAAAAGUUACAAGAUUCUAUAUUACAAAUAUAUGGAGCCAAGCUGUCAUGGUUUGUAUAUUCUUUGCCUUGGAUCUAUGUAUUACUGAAGAAAAUGCAGCUUUAAAAUUGAUUUGGACUGUUCUAACAUUUUUUUGCUGUCGUCUCAAAGAUGAGAGCAUUGCGCGAGAUCCAUAUAGACCAACACAUAACGAUCAAAAUCUCCAUGAAGAAGGGUACCCGCAGUCUGUUUCUGAAAAGUUCCAAUAUCUGUAGAGGUUCUAGAUUAAGGACACUAUUCAGGCCCAACGUGCUCCAACAUUUAAUGGCAAAUGAACAUUUUAAAAAGAGAUGCUCCACUGUCUCUUCUGCUCCAGGAUCACACAUAGCACAACUAUAAUCCUCUAGAGUCAUGUUCCUUCUUCUCAAAACACCUCUUGUGCUUAGCUUGUUGUGUAACAUCAACCAAAAGAAGAUUUUAUGCUUUAACUGACAAGAUGAGUUCCAAAGCCACCUGAAUGCACGGUGAAUAUCUACAUGUCCUUUCAAGUGCUUGUAUGCCUUCGAGCAGGAAAAUUCUGCUGAUUCCCAAAUAUAUUUCCAUGUAUCUUUCUCUGCAGUUUCUGUAGAUUGAGCAAUAGUCUUUGGAGCUCUAGAAAUUGCACAAAAGCCUCUUCAGAAAGUGGGAGGUGAAAUAUACUAUGCAGUUGAUCCUGCAAAAAUUUAUCUUUCUGCAGAGUGAUGUUUUUGUUCCGGGCAAAUGAGUAGAGCUCAGGAAAGGUAAUCUUUGGAAGAACUUCAUCCCACAUGUCAUCCCAGAGGUAUAUGGUAGAACCAUACAUGGAGUAUGCUGAUGCCAUUCUUUAUAGAGGUCCAAUAAUUUAAGUAAAUCCCUCCACCAAAAAGAUCCUUUCUUAACUACACUUGGAAGUCUGCCAUUCUUAUAGUAGUUCUCCCAUAUCAAAUUGACCCAUGGCAGAUUUUCUCUGUUAUGGGAUUUAUGUAAGCUUUUGAGCAAAAGUACAUCAUUAUGAGUUCUGAUAUCAAGAACUCCCAAACCUCCUUCCUCUUUAGGUAGACAGACUAGUUUCCAAGCUGCUUUUGGUAGCUUUUUUGAGUUGAUAUCUGAACCUCUCCAUAAGCAACAGUGGCAAUUUCAUUGAACACAUCAUGAAGGUAGGAAGUGAAGAGAUGACUGAGUUAACCAUAAUUAAUUUUCCAGCUUGUGAUAGCAUGUUGGAAGUGACUAGAAGUCUUGUUUCCCAUUUCUUCACCAGUGGCAUGAACGCUUGCACUGUUGGCUUUGUUGUUCCCAGUGGCAAGCCUAAAUAAGUGAAUGGCAAGGAACCAGUAGAGUAACCCAAACAGUUGGCAAGGGAGGUUAGUAUUAAUGGGCACUAUGACAGACUUUGAAAAAAUAACCUUUAGACCAGUCGAAGAUGCAAAUGCAUCUAGUAAUUCUUUCAGAUGAGUUAACUGACUUUCACAUGCUUCCAUUAUAAUUAGUGUAUCAUCUGCAUAUUGGAUGACUGGGAAGUUAGUUCCUGCUCUUGUUGGCAGUGGCAAACUUAUAUGUCCAAGCUCUUUAGCCCUAUUAAUCAGGGUUUGAAGGAGGUCAGCAGCGAGCACAAAUAGUAAGGGAGAGAGUGGGUCACCCUGUCUUACUUUUACAGUGAAACACUUUUCCGGACACUCCAUUUAGAAGGACUGAAGAGGUCCCAGACUGGAAGAUCAUUUCCAUCCAGUGCAGCCAUUUUUGGCCAAAGCCUUUGUGCUUCAUUACUUGUAGCUUUAGCUGGUGCUCUACUUUGUCAAAUGCUUUUUUAAAAUCCAAUUUGAGAAUGACCAGCUCCUUUCUGGAUUUAUGACAAAGAUGUAAGUACUCAAAAGACCAAGCUAGGCAAUCUUGAAUUGUCCUAGAUUUGAUAAAGUCAUACUGAUUCUGAUGAACUAUGCUUCUGAUCACUUUCUAGAGCCUGUUAGCUAAAAUCGUGGUGAUAAGCUUGAUGGAACAAUUGAGCAAGGAAAUAGGUCUAAAAUCAGAUGCUGUUAGAGGAUUGCCCUUUUUAUGUACCAGUGCAAUGAAAGACCCAUUUAUACUUUGCAGACAAAGAUUACCUUCAAAGAAAGCCUCCAUCAAUCUGUAGAAAUCAGGAGCAAUGAUGUGCCAAUAUUUUUUUAUGAAGUUAGUAUUAAACCCAUCUGGGCCUGGGGAUUUAUCUAAUGGCAGCAAUCUGACCACUUGAUCUAUUUCUUCUUUUGCGAAAGGAAGUUCUAGAUUCUGAAGAUCCACUGAUCUUUCCAAGAGAUUCUGCAGGUCCAAUUGGAUGUUAGCAAGUUCAGAAAUUCCAAGUCUGUCCUUAUAUGCCUCCCAAAGAAGGUCAGCCCUUCCUGAAUGUUCUGAAAUCAAUUCCCCAUUACUGUUAUGAAGGAAUGCUACAGAAUUUUUUCUGAAUUUUAUUGUUGCAUUUGCAUGAAAGAAUUUUAUGCUGUCAUCCCCAAACUUAAUACUUUUAAUAUUGGCUCGCUGCUUCCAGUAAAUUCUUUGCUGAUCUAGCAAAGAUGACAGCUUUUCAUUUAGAAUUGCUUUAAAAUUCCAUUCCUGAACAGAUAAAUCCCUAUAUUCUUCCAGAAUUUCCUUGAACUGCAGUAGGACUUUGAUCUUUUCCAUCAAGAGAGAAAGGCUGGAGAUAUGCUGCUGCCAUGAUCUGAGUACUCUUCUCAGAUUCUUAAACUUAGCCAUGAUAAUCUUAGCUGCUGCCAGUCCAGGCGUUCCAGCAGUGGCGGGGUUUGUUUAUUUGUCCAUGUAAAGGUUCUUCCUUUUAAAGAAAUCUCUACUAAACCAAGUGCACUAAUUGCUUCAUUAAACAUGAAGAUUUCAUUUGCAUUUGCUCCCGGUUUAUUUCUGUCCUCAGCUUUCCUGAUAAGAUUAAAAUCUCCUACCACCAACCAGUCUACAUUAUCUAGCAUUUGAAUAUUUCUAAACCAUGUAGUGAACAUCCUCUUUCCUUCAUCAGUACAUGGUGCAUAAACAAUUGUGAGUAGCCAUGAAGCUCCAGAAAGCAGAGAUGUAAACAUGAUUGACUGUGCAUAUUCCUUGGUGAAAACUGCGUCCCCAUCAAAGAUGUUCCCUUUCCAGAUGACUAUGGAGCGCCCUGAUGCCCCUCUUGAAGGUAGGAAAGAAAAUUUAUUGAAAGCUGCUGGAGAGAUUUUCCGGAUAAAGAUUGAAUCAAACAUCUUUUUUUGUUUCCUGGAGGCAAGCAAUGUCACAUUUUGAUUCUACUAUUUUAUCACGAAUUGCAUUCCAUUUAUGCUCCGAAUUAAGGCCUCUGACAUUCCACGAGAGGACUUUCCAUGAUCUAUUCUGAGAGUGAUUAUUCAUGGUAAACUAAAUAGAAAAGAUCGAAAGCCAGAUGCACAACAAAAGGCAAAUAAAACUGGGCAGCCACAAAAUAGACACAAACUUGACCAAGUUCUGACAUAAAAGUGUCCCAAUAACCAAACAACUUGACACAAAUCGACUGACAGUUCACUGUGAUGAGCAUAAUUAAAAACAUGUCCAGAGACACUUCAAAUGUAACUAAACCAGGUCUUGACAAAAAGAGAGACCCAAUGAAUGAAGCCAGAUGCCUUCUUCUUGGACUUCUUUCUUGGUGUGUCUUCAUCUGCACUGGAUUUCUUGGAUUUGGCCUUGGAGUUUUUUGAUGGGGCUUGGCUGGCCUUUGGAACUUUGCUCUUGCCUUUCCUAUGAAGGACUGCAUCUGAAACUUCUUCCGGGGCCAUUUUGGCGAAAGUGAUCCUCAAAUUCUUUAUCGCAUUUGAGGAGAGUGUUGGAGGUGUUGCUGAACAAGCCAGGCAAUGCUUUUCAGAACAGCUAUUGCCUUUGUAAUCUUGUUUCAUCAGACUCGUGUGUCUAUUAUCCCUCCCGUCCACAGCUAAAAAUAGCCUCUCAUUGUCAUGUCCUUCAGUCUCUCGCAGCCAGCCACACUGAUUGAUGCGCAUUGCCCACAAACAGGGGAGCAAAGCCAAGAAGCAAAUGGAUCGGAAGGGAUGAUCACUUAGCAGGCAGCAAUAGCAUCCAAACCCUUGUAAAUAGCAUCAGAGGACGAAUUCAAUUCAAUUCAAGGACACAUGGCGGAGGUUGCCAACCUCUCGUCGGGCUCCCUUGAGCCGACGGUGAAGCCGCUGGCGGCGGCGUGCUACGACAACAACCUGGUGAACUCGCAGGGCAUGUUCCUGGGCGACCAGCCGCUGCGCUUCUCCCUCCCGCUCCUCCUCGUCCAGGUCUCCGUCAUCCUCGUCCUCUCCGCCGCCGCCCACCUCCUGCUCCGCCGCCUCGGCCAGUCCCGCUUCGUCACGCACAUGCUCGUCGGCGUCCUCCUCGGCCCCACCGUGCUCGGCCGCAGCGAGUCUUUCCGCGGCGUCCUCUUCUCCGAGCGCGGCACCUACAUCCUCGAGAGCGUCUCCCUCGUCGCCCUCAUCCUCUUCCUCUUCUCCAUGGGCGUCAAGACCGACCUCAGCCUCCUCCGCCGCCCCAGCGGACGCGCCGUCGCCGUCGGCAUCACCGGCUCCCUCGUUCCGCUCGCCGUCACGCUCCCCGUCUUCCACGCCCUCCAGCCCUCGCUCCCCGAGGACCUGCGCGGCUCCUCCCUCAUCACCGAGCUCGCCGUCCGCCUCUCCCUCUCCUCCUUCCCCGUCAUCGCCGACGCGCUCUCCGAGCUCGACCUCCUCAACACCGACCUCGGCCGCAUCGCGCUCACCGCCUCGCUCAUCACCGACGUCACCUCCUGGUUCCUCCGCGCCUGCUCCGCCGCCGUCUUCCUCGUCUCCGAGGCCAAGUCGCCGGCCUUCACGGCGCAGAUCCUCGCCUCCUUCGUCGCCUUCGUGCUCUUCGUCGGCUUCGUCGCGCGCCCCGCCGGCCGCUACAUCGCCUACAAGCGCACCCCGGCGGGGUCCCUCCUCUCCGAGGGGUCCUUCGUCGUCGUCGUCAUCGCCGCGCUGCUGUCGGCGCUGGUCACGGACGCCAUCGGGUUCAAGUACAUGAUCGGGCCCAUGAUGCUGGGGCUGGCGCUCCCCGGCGGCAUGCCCAUCGGCGCCACCAUGACGGAGCGCCUCGACUCCUUCUUCAUCGCGCUCUUCCUGCCCGUCUACAUGGCGCUCUCCGGCUACCGCACCGACCUCGCGGAGCUCACCAAGGAGGAGACCUCCGAGAAGUGGUGCGCGCUGGAGCUCUUCGUGGGGCUCUGCGUCUCCGGCAAGCUGGUGGGCUGCGUCGCGGCGGGGCUCUUCUUCGCCAUGCCGUUCCGCGACGCCAUCGUGCUGGCGCUGAUGCUCAACAUCCGCGGCAUCGUGGAGGUGGCGGCCAUCAACAACUGGGGCGACACCAUGAAGGCCACGGCGGAGCACUACAGCAUCCUGACGCUGUCCAUGGUGCUCAUCACAGCGGUGUCGACGCCGCUGAUCAAGCUGCUGUACGACCCGGCGGGGCAGUUCAUGCGGGCCAAGCGCCGGACGCUGGAGGACCUGCGGCCCAGCGCCGACCUCCGCCUCCUCACCUGCCUCUACAGCGAGGACCACGCGGCGCCGCUGAUCGACCUGCUGGAGGCGUCGGCGGGGUCCUCGCGGGAGAGCCCCGUGUCGCUCAUCGUGCUCCACCUCACGGAGCUCGUCGGCCGCGCCGCCUCUGUGCUCAAGCCCCACCGCCAAAGUAAGAGCGGCGGCGGCGGCGGCAGCAGUAGCAGCGACCGCAUCAUGAACGCGUUCCGGCACCUGGAGCAGCAGGCGGCGCCGGGCGCCGUGACGGUGAGCCCCUACGUGGCGCAGGCGCCCUACAGCUCGAUGCACCACGACGUGUGCUCGCUAGCGCACAGCCGCAAGGCCAACCUCAUCCUGCUGCCCUUCCACAAGUCCUCCGAUGGGGCGCGCAGCACCGCCAACAACUCCAUCCGCUCCAUCAACCGCGCCGUCCUCCAGUACGCGCCCUGCUCCGUCGCCAUCCUCGUCGACCACGGCCUCGCCGCCGGCUCCGCCUGCGCCACCAGCGCCAACAGCCUCCUGCAGAGGGCCGCGCUCUACUUCCUGGGCGGGCCCGACGACCGCGAGGCGCUCGCGUACGCCGCGCGGAUGCCGGACGCCGGGAACAUGUCCCUCACCGUGGUGAGGUUCAAGCUGCGCAACUGGGUGGGGAUGGGCGGCAGCGACGAGGCCAGGGACGAGGAGGUGCUGCACCAGUUCUGGACCAGGCACCGAGACAACGACCGCGUCGUGUACGUGGAGAAGACGGUGGAGGACGCGGAGGGCACCGCCUCCGUGGUGCGCUCCAUGAGCGAGAAGUUCGACCUGCUCAUCGUGGGCCGCCGGGGCGGGGACGACAAGGACCUAGAGGGAUCGGCGGCGCUCACCAGCGGGCUCUCGGACUGGAGCGAGUUCCCGGAGCUGGGCGUGCUGGGCGACAUGCUGGCCUCCGCCGAGUUCGCGUCAAGGGUCUCCAUCCUCGUCAUCCAGCAGCAGCCGGUCAAGAACGCCCCAGCCUGUUAGAUCAUGACGCACUGCACUGGUGUUAAUUAAUUUUGAUUUGAGAAGAAAAUUGUUGUCUUUGUUCUUGUAAUCAGAUCAUGCUGGCUACAUACAGUUUUACACCAAAUGGAAAUCCAGACGAAAUCAAUUUUACAGUAGCAUUUGGUUUUUCAAGCAAGAUUUUGUGGAAUGUUGGAGAAAAGCACGCAAGACCGAAUGGUCGUCUCAAGUCAAUGACCUAUUGGUCUGCGCCGGUCAUUCUCCUGAAUGAAAUGAAGGUCUACUUGUUUCCUUUUCUUGUCCACUUGUAGUCGGCCUGGCCGGUCCCCUUCCUCCCUCACCUGCUUUAGUUACAAGUGAAGUGGAGGAAGCGGCAGCAGCCAGCAGCUUUGCAGAGCAGAGAGUGAGUGACCCAAAGAGAAGAGAGGAGAGAGCUCGAAGAAGGAAAAGGAAGGAAGGGAUCCAUCUCCUCCCAGGCCAUGGGAAACAUCCUGAGAAGGUGCUUCGCGGGAGGAGGAGGAGACAACGGUGAUGACGAUUACUACCCCUACUACAGCUACAGUCCAUCCUCCAGGCCCCGCUACGAGCUGCAGAUCGGCAGGUGGGAGAAUGAGCCUGCAGCAGCUGCCUCUCAGACUGCAAUCGGCUUCACGGGGAGAGACGACGACGAUCACUACCCCGACGACCUGCUCCAGAGCGGGAGCGGCUGGGUGGAUCAGCUUGCACAAGACUCUUGGCUAGUACAUCACGACGUCGCCUCCCUGAUUCAGGACAUCCUCUACUUCGAAUACACAUCCAUGGUAACGUAGUGCAAAUCAGCUUACCUCUGAGUUUGUUCUGAUCCACUUUUUGAUCUCUGAUUCUGUUAACAUUUCUGUGGAUAUGUGUGCUAGCAACGACUGAACUGCAGCGGUAAUAAAGCGACCUUGCAACCACUAGCAUAUUCUAUGAAAAACGCUUGCAGAUAUUAAGAUUUUGAUGAUUCAUCAUGGCAAAUUCACAGCCUUAUUUUCCCAAAAUCCUGUGGCACGUUUUCCAAUGAUGAAAACACAGUAAAUAAAUUUUAUUUGUCAUAUUUUCAGGUACCUGAAGCGCUCGGACAGAAUGUUACAUCAUCCAAAAAAGCACAGGUUAAAUGGUAGGGAGCACUUUCAAAAAGCCAAUGCACUUGUUUUUUUAAUAACAGUACAUUUGGUGUACCUACUGACGUCAUGUCAGUGUUGCUUUAAUUCCUCCCCGAAUUCAAAUGCUGUUUGAGUUUUCUUACCCAAGGUUGUCCAUAUACACUCAUCCAAGCAUAGAACAAGCCAUGCUUCUUGCUUCAACAUGCAGAAGUAAAAUAAGCAGGACAAACAGAGCUGAACAACUUGAUUGUCCAUUGGACAAAGUUAAUGAAUGCUUUGGUCAUCUAAUUCUCACAAUACUAGGUACCGGAAUAUCUUGGAGGCAUAUAAGAACUCGAGCUCCCCACUGAAAACACCAGCAGAGGCUGCCAAACUAGUUGCAACAGCCCUAAGCAGGAUUCAGAGAGCUGAUUUAGAGGUAAACUUAUUUUUCCCACUUUUUCUACUUAGAAAUAUUAAUAGGGACCGUACAGGAAUAAUGCAUUGAUUAGCAAUAGCGAUAUAUGUUUAAAAUGCAGACCAUCUAAAUUUGUCAACCUAUUUUACAAAUCAGAGGGAUCCUCCUUUCAUUGGUACAAGGUGUUGUCUAACUGUCCAAGUAAACACUUUGGCCAAAGAUCAGUUCAAUAAUAUAUGAGUUAUCAUAAAAUUGAUAUCACAGGAAGCUUAGAAAUGAAUGGAAUAACCACGCAUGAAGCUUAGAAACCCUAGGAAGUUCACUACGAUUUGCAUUGUAUUAUCAAUGUUACUAAUAAUGACUGCAUAUGUCCAACUCAUUCCAUACAAAAAAGCGUUUUUUAUCCUCAGGCUAUUCUUGCAUUUUACAACCUCCCGAUCCCAUUACUCCCGGCAGCAUCAGCAUCCUUAGACCACCAUCCAUCCUCGCUGCCAGAGGGUGUACAGUUUGUGCUGAACACUUUGCCGGUCAGAUAUGAUCAACCAUUCCAUGCAAAACUCUUUACCAGCAAAUGCCAUAUUUUGAACAAUGAACAAUGUAUUUUAUAAACAUUUUUUAAUGAUGGUCCCCAUCUAUCACUACUGCUAUUAGGUUAACAACAAGUGCAUUGGAGAUGGCGAUGGCUUUAGUGCCUAUGUUGGCACAGCCGACCCACGGGAGCCUGCAAAUGUGCCGAUGGAAGUGCAUGAGAUGGUGAUUAAAAGGGCUCAAGCACGCACUGAUAGGGAUUACCAGAAGGCUGAUGCUCUUCUAAGGAGCCUCAACAAAGCAGGAUAUAAGUACUCAAACUGAACCUUUACAAUCCUUUAUAUAUCAUAAAUCCAUAUAUAACCAUUGAAGGUUUUUUUUAUUUUUUAAAAUUGAGAUACAUUCAGUUACUUGGAUAAUAAACUGGGUCUCAAUUGAAAAUUGGAUAAAAAUGUCAUAUUAGUUUAGCAUUUUUUUACUUUUUAUGGAAUCACCAAAUGCGCAACUUAUUAAGCUUAAUUUCGAUGAGCAGGAUAAUAACCAUUUCAGGCGAAGAGAUACUUGCAAGGAAAUACAGAAUCAGAAUGAGGUAUCUGUUGCUCUAAAUUGAACUCGUACACCCAACAAUAUCGGAAAUAUUGUUCUCAAGGGCAUAUAUGUUCUUUAUUUCAUGACUUGAAGGGGCGUUGAUGCACCGGAGCUUAAAAUGGCUAAUGGGAACGAAUCGAAGAACGCACUGGUGAAACUCAUUGGUGGGAAAAGGGUCACCAUUUAUGUGUAUGGGCAGGACCAGUUUGGGCGUUACGUGGGUGACAUAUAUUGUGAUGGUGUGUUCAUCCAGGUGAAGCAUAAACUAUUUAGUAGCUCACAUAACCUAUGAUUGUAUUGCUUCAGUUCUUAUCUUUACAAUGUGUUUCUGGAGUUUACAGGAGAAAAUGCUGAAGAAUGGCCAUGUAUGGCAUUUCAAGACUUACGAUAAGCGUCCAGAAUUUGCGCAGGUAAGAAAUUGAGAUUCCAUUGUACCUAAACGCCCAGAAUUUCCAAAUUCAGAAUUAUGUGUGUAUGGAUAUUGUAGUGGGAAAGAGAGGCAAGAGCUGCACGUCGAGGGCUUUUUGCGUCAGAGAACCCUGAGAAGCCGUGGGAUUGGAGAAGAGACCAGCGCAACGCAAACAUUCAGGUCUACUAAUGGGGCUGAACCAAAUGAUCUGAUAGACACGUAGUUUCUUGGUGAGGUUCUUGUACAGCUUGAUGCAAAUGAACGUAUGUGCAUCAGAAGUGCUUGUUUAGUGUGAAUCUGGGAAUGUACAGAUGAACUGUUGUCAAAUAAGUAUCAGGUGUUCAUUGUUUGCAACAAAAACAAAAAUGAUGUCUGGCACUAUCUGACAUCUGGAUGAAGGAAGGAAACUGGAAUAUCGAUCAACAUUUAGUCAUCUUGAUAUCUGAGGUACAUUACAGAUAAAACACAUGAGCAAAUAAACAGAACGUAUUCCUUCCUUUCAGCAGAAACAAUUGAAUGGAAAAUGAACUAUAAUCAACCUGCCUAAUACUCUGCCACUGCUAUGCUUCAAUCACAACUCUAGCUGGCUACAGGUUUACAUCAAAUGAAAAUAGAGAUGCUCCCUACUCUCAUGCUGCUCAAAAUUGCAACAAGCUGUAUUUACUACCAAUAGUCAUUGCAAGAACAAUGGCCAUCUCUAAAGCAAUGAAAUCGAUUGUUAUCUCGAACAAUAAUUUCACGAUUGGUUAUCCUAGAUAUGAGCUUGAUGGCGGAGUGGCAAUCACUGCAAACUCGGAGGUUUUUGGUCACCCUUAUGCUCUCGCCUGGUUCAGUGGUGACAAGGCUAAAUGCAAUGGCAAUCUUCUCACUAUGAUGCACUAGAGUGUGCUCCUUCUCUUCAUCUUCAAUGUCAAACAUCACCACCUCAGUAGUCGGUUUAUAACCCAUGAUCUUCAUUUCCAUGCCCAAUUCAUCGAGCUUUUCAUAAAUUUUAUUUGAGAGGGGAUGUCAGUUAUCUCCGACAUGGAACUCGUGGACCUUACCAUCAAGUUCAACCCAGCUAGAUGCAGGGACCUUCUCAACCCCCCUUGCCUUCAUUUCCAACCUGAGCUUUGCCGCAUCUUCCCAUCUUCCACUGUUAAGAGUAUAUGUUAGAGAGCAUGACAUAGUUUCCGGAAUUCCAUGGCUCCAGCAGGAUGAGCUGCUUCAAUGCAUGUUCAGCAAGGCCAGCAUCACAGUGGAUCUUGCAACCACCAAGGAGUGCCCCCCAUAUAACUGCAUUUGCCUGCAUUGGCAUGUCCUCGAUCAGCUGAUGAGCCUCCUCCAGCAACCCCGCACGUCUGAGCAGGUCGACCAUACAACCAUAGUGCUCAAUCCUUGGGCUUAUACAGUAUGACUGAGUCAUGUUAUGAAAAUACCGCCGCCCAUCCUUUACAAGGCCAGUAUGCGUACAGCUGCAGAGCAAUCCAAUGAAGGUAUUAUCAUUCGGUGUCAUACCUGACUUCUCCAUCUGACCAACAAGUGCAAACGCAAUCUUCUCAUGGCCAGUCAUGCCGAGCCCCAAGAUCAUUGCAUUCCAAACAAUGAUGUCCCUCUUCCUCAUCUGCUGGAACACCAUCCACGCCUCACCUGUGCUCCCACACUUGGCAUACAUAUCGAUCAGUGCAGUCCCCAGGACUGGGUUGUCAAGACCCUCAUCCCAGUGCACCAUUCUGGCUGCUCGCCGUCCCAAAUCCAAAGCACCUAACCUUGUACAUGCUGAGAGUGCCCCGGCCACUGUGUAACAUUCUGGCAUCAUUCCCUCUGCCUGCAUUGCAAAGAACAAUUCCAGAGCCUCCUGCGGAUGCCCAUUGGAUGCGUAUCCACCAACCAUAGCACCCCAGGCUACUGCAUCCUUGUUCUGCAUCUUAUCAAACACCGCCCUUGCCUUCUGCAUCUCCCCGCAUUUGACAUACAAGUCCAAUGCCGCAGUUGCCACGAACACAUUCCCUGCGAUCCCCUCCUGCUCCACCGCCCUCCACACUGCCUCCCCGGUGACCAAAUCGGUGACGCGAGCGCAUGCAGUCAGGACACGGACGGCUGUGAAGCUGUCAGGACGCAUGCCACUGGCAAACGCCUUCCGUGCAACUCCAACGGCUUCCUGGACGCGCCCCGCGUCCAUGUACGCGGUGAUGAGCGCGGUCCACGAAACGGUGCUGGGGUGGGACAUUUCGUCGAACGCUUUCUGGGCGUCGUGCAAAAGGCCGCAUCUUGCGUACAGGCUGAGGAGCGAGGUGAGGACGUGGGGGUUGGAGUGGUAGGGGAGCUUGAGGGAGCGGCCAUGGAGUUGUAGGCCGGCGGAGAGCGGGUCGGGGAGGCGGGAGGCGGCCUUGAGCGCGACGGGGAAGAUGAGGUGGGAUGGGUUGGGAAGGAGGGAGUGGACGCGGAGGGCGUGGAGUUGCAGGCCGGUGGAAGAGAGAGCGCGGAGGAGGAGCGGGGAGAGGUCGGUGAGGAGGUGGAGGCGGAGGAGGCGGGCGUGGAGGAGCUUGACCGUGAGCGGUGGGAGGUGGUUGUUAGGGCGCAGGACGCCGGUGAGGAGGCGGCCAACUGCGGCGGCAGCGUCCGACAUGAACGGGAUGCUUCCCCUUCGCAGGGAAACGGUUAAAAGCAAUUUCCUCCCUUGGACAUGAUCCACAAGUUUUGAAUGUCGUUUUAGUUUUAUAUCUCUUAAGUCAAAUAUAUUUAGCUUUGACUAAAGUUUGCACUUAAAGAUUAGUAACCAUGACAUAUGUCUUUAGUGUAUUUAUUUGAAAUUAUAGAUGCUGGUAUACUUUUUUAGAAAUUUGAGAAGUUUCAUUAUUUUUUUAAAAGAAGAACAAAACUACCUACACUACACAAUGGAGGAGGGAGCAUUCUCAAGAUACAAUUUUGAUUGGAUUAUCUUAAACAUUCCUCCAGGUAUAUGAGUCUGCACAUAAAUCAAUCCCUCUACUUGUACGUGGUGGUGAUCAUCACCGGCACCGCCGGUGCAUCGAUGGCUACGGCAUUGCCAGCGGUCCAUGGCACGGCGCGCCCUUCCCUGUCCAGAGGCGCCAUUGCUGGUUUUUCUUUCUGCUCGACGUCGUACAGGUUGCCCGUCCUCACCUCCUGCGCCAGCGCACACGGCGCGCAGAGCAGCCACUUUACGUAGUCCGCGGUCGCCGGCCGGCCACCGCACACGGAGCGGUCUGCCGGCAGUCCGAGCCGCCGCCUCAUCUGCGCGCGCCAGAAGCCACUCCCGAGCGUGGCGUCGUGGAUGUUGAGCGCGGCGACGGCGAACACCAGCACCGGCGCGGCGCAGAGGAGCGCGAACGUGAAGACGUGCACGUACAUGUUGCCCAGUCCCAGGCGCUCCAUGUUCCAACCCAACACGCAGAACGUGCACGUCAGCCACAGCGCCGCCACCGCCGGGUCGUCGGCGAGGUCGAACAGCCCGCCAGCCCACUCCGCCUUGGUCACCACCACUCUGCCGCUGUACUGCGACCGCGACGCGUUCACGGCCGUCGACUCCUCCAGGGCCAGCACCGCCUCGUCGCUGGACUCCCGGAGCACCGACUUUCCGCCGCCGAGCGGGCCGUAGACCAUGUAGAGUGCGGCAGCGACGGGGAAGCCGAGGCCGAGCGCCAUGCACAGGUUGACAGCCCAGUCGGGGCGCGUCUGGACAGUGAAGCUCCAGAAACAGCGCGCAGUAGGCGUACUGCGCGAAGCACGUGGCGUGCAGCAGCAGCAGCAGCACGACGCCGACGUGGAGCCGCUCCCGCCGCGCGCCGCCGGCGUUGCUGCAGUACACGCCACGGAGCUCGCGGGCGUCCGCGUCGCGCCACCGCAACAGGAGCGCCAGGUGGUGGCAGAGCCGCGGGUGCUGGUACACGCACAUGACGGUGAAGAGCGCGUUCAGCACCUGGUUCGCCACCUCCGUCCACCGCCUGCGCCGGGACGCGUCGGGCACGGCGGAGUUGAGCGCCCCCGUCAUGAGCAGGAAGACAAACGCGACGCCCGCGGCGACCAAGGCGAGCCACACCAGGAGCGCGGCGUUCGUGGGGUGCCUCGCCCAGGCCUUGCACCUGGCGCGCAGGGCGCGCCAGUCCACGGUGCGCGCGCGGAGGGUGGUGACGCUGAAGCGGUGCAGCCAUAGUUUCUUGGAUGGAGCUGCCCUGAGGCAGUCCAGGAACCUCUCCUUCUUCUCCUUGCCGUGCCUCUGCGUGGCAGUGGCGCCAUGGCUUUCCAUGGAUGUCUCGUGAGAUUCCAUGGUGGGUAAUCAAAAGUGCAAUUUUAUCUUCUUGUUUUGUAUUGCUGUUCCAAAAUUCUCCUUGACAGUCAGUGCUGUGUGGGGGGAGAUCCCUCCAGCUUCAAUAUAUGAUCUGAAUCUGUACACGGUGCUUGAAAUUCUAUAAGUAAGGAAAGGGAUUAGCUCGGUGCGCAUUCUUUCCAGUACAAGAGUGAAAAAGUGACAAAUUUGGCAGGUAGCUGCUGAAACAGAAAUCUUGGUCUCGUUGCUGAUGCUUGAAACGGUCAGAAGGUUUCACCACUGGAAAAAGUCAAGGCGGGCGGCCGGGCACAGUGAAUGGAUUGGACCGAUUCCUGCAUUGCUGAUGUGCAAUCAUAAGAGACUUCCAGCGAAUCAACUUUGGCAUGCUGACAAGGUUCUGUUCAGGCUGCACAGGACGGCCAUUCAGACUGGACUAAGGGCCUGUUUAGAUCAGUUUGCAAAAAUGCAAAAAAAAUUUUGCAAAGAAAUCUUACCAAUUUGAAGUACUAAAUGAAGUCUAUUUGCAAAACUUUUUGCAUGGAUGGGUUGUAAAUCACGAGAUGAAUCUAAUGAUGCUAAUUAAUCCAUGAUUAAGCAAUAAUUAGCGGAUGGUUACUGUAGCAUCACUGUUGCAAAACAUGGAUUAAGUAGGCUCAUUAGAUUCGUCUCGCGAUUUACAACCCAUCCAUGCAAAAAGUUUUGUAAAUAGACUUCAUUUAGUACUUCAAAUUAGCUAGAUUCCUUUGGCAUCUUUGCGUUUACAGCUUUUUUGCGUUUUUACAAACUGAUCUAAACAGGCCCUAAGCUGCGUGACUGCGUCUUGUGGUUUUCACAUGAUUACUGUUGAUGCUAUCAAGAAUACUUGAAUCUGCUCAGUACGCCAAAAACGAGUUUGACAACAUGUAAUAUGGACGGCAAAAAAAAAAAGAGGAAACAUGUAGUAGGUGCUUUCAGCACACCAUGUAAGACUUUGAUGCUGUUUAAUUUGAUGGUCUUCAGAUUUUCCUUUUUUGAAAGAUGGUCCGCAGAUUUAGAUAAAAAAACAGCACAACCAUGGUAAUCAGAUUCCAGAGGUUCAUAAAAAUAGGCGGCCAACCGGGAUCUGAAAGACUGGUAUUUCUGCAUAGGUACACUCUCGUGUAUGCCGUUCUGCUUUUUCUUCAAAGAUUUAUGAAUAGACACAGAAGAAUUCAGGUUGAUUAUCUACCCUGAUCAUUCGCCUCUAUUAGGUUCCCUGCCAUUUCAAUGUAGUGAUAAAACGAACAGACAAAGUGAUAUAAACCAUUGCUAUUUCUUGUUGGCCUUCAUCUAUGCUUUCAGGCAUGCAAUCCAUAUGCUUGAGGAUUGUCGCGCCAUUUUAAAAUUAGUUUCUGAAACACAAUACGCAUUCACUGACUAAACUGAAACAGACAGAAGAAGACUUAAAAAAUGUCUUUUUUACUUGUUCCUUUUUGCAGUUGGGGUUUAUACUCUCAUACAUCACAAAAGUAUGUGUUUUAGUAUAUACACACCAAUGAACUCCAUAACAAACCGAUUUCCUGUAAUCCUGCUUUCACCAAGAUAAAAAGGAGUGGAGAAAUAGGAAACAUGUAGGAGUAAUCUAUAGAGUUCAUGCAAAUCCUAAGCUACAUGUCCGAUUCCUUCUGCUUCUCUAGCUAGAGAACAAUUCCCCUUGUGUACAAAAGAAUGAGCCGAGACACCAGAGUCACCAUAUUGAUGAGCUUCUUCACCUUCACCCCCCCCCCCCCCCCCCCCGCGCCACGCCUCCAAUUUUCCAGCAGAUGAUAAUCUAUGGUCAUAAUCAUUCACCAUUGCUUGGCUCGGCUCUGACAAAGAUUCAUAUUCCUCCCCCGGCGGCACAGAUGUCGGUAUCCAAGAGUUGACCAUUUCCCUAUGAAGAGAAACGCUGCAUUCUUCAGGUUUUUCAUCCUCGAUUUGAACCACUGCAACCUGAUGAACCGGUGGAGCCAUUGUCGUGGUUUCGUCAUGAACAACAACCAGAGGACCAUUUGCAACCGUGAUAGUUGCGCUCAACAACACGUCGUCAUGAUCACUGGACACUGCGAGGAGCAACGGCUGCCUCUCCUCGUGGCCACCGUCAGCCACCUUCGAGUAGAGGAUCUCGCCGUCGACGUGGUAGAGAUUCGCCGUGCGCACCUCCAGCGCCAGCGCGCACGGCCAGCACAAGAGCCACCGCGCGUAGUCCGUCAGCGACUUUGAGCCGCAGCACGCCCUGCUUCCCGGAAGGCCGAAUCUCUUCCUCAUCUGGAUCCUCCAGUAGCCGCCGUAGAGCAGCCCGCAGGCGCAGAGCACCACGCCGGCGCCGCCGACCAUGUCGCUGAUGGCGUAGUCGCGGAUGUGCAGCGCCGAGACGCCCAACACCCAGAGGGGCGCCAUGCACAGCAGCGCGAACGUGACGGCGUGCACGUACGCGUUGCCGAAACCCAGCCUCUCCAUGUUCCACCCCGACACGCAGAAGGUGCACGGCAGGGAGAGGCACCAGGCCGACGACGUGUCGCCGCCGCAAUCCAACAUGCCGCCGGCCCACUCGGGCUCGGUCACGACGUGCCCAAUGGGGGUGGGGUGCAUUUGUGACUGUGUCUCCGCGGCUGAAUUGGAGCAGGCGAGCUCGUGGCACUGGCCGUCUUUGCCCAAGGGACUGCACACGGUGUACACGGCGGCGGCGACCGGCGCGACGACACCGAGCACGAAGAAGCCGUCCUCGGUGAGCUCGGGCCUGGUGGCCUUGGUGUACCGUGUACCCCCAGUAGAGACCGCAGAGCACGUACUGGCAUACCACCGUGAGGUGCAGCAGCGCGACGACGACGGCCAUGUGCACGCGCUCGCCGGCGCGCCCUUGCAGUAGGCGGCGCGGAGCUCGGCGGCGUCGUGCGGGCGCCAGCGGCAGAGGAGGAAGAGGUGGUGGCAGAGCGCGGGGUGCUGGUAGAGGCUUAUGAUCGUGAAGAGUGCGUUGAGGACCUGGUUGUUGAUCUCGAUCCAGCGGUUCCUUUCCGCCGGCGCCGGGAACGCCCCGUCGAACAGGCCCAAGAGGAGGAGCACCAACAUGCCGCCGGAGAUGCUGACGAAGAGCAGCCAGAGCAGCAGCGCGAUGUUCGUGGGAUUUUUGAGCCACUACUUGCACGUCCGGCUGGCAGAGGUCCAGCUGACGGCCAGAACGACACGGCCGGCGAAUGGUUCGUUGCCGGAUUUCUGGCGGCGGAAGGAUGGAAGUUCGCCGAGGCAGUGCACGUGCUGCUGCGGCGUGUUGGGGAGGUGGUGCUCGGCGUCGGCGAGUGGCGGCGUGGAAGGCCGCCGGUAGUUGAGGAGCAUCGGCGAGAGCAGCGCGGCGGCGCCGGUGGUUGGAGCAUUGUCAUUAGAGCUGGCAACGGCAAGGGCCGCCAUGGCGAAACGCUAGCAUCUAGCAACGACAACUUCUGUGCUGGUUUUGUGGAGAGGGAGAUGGAGAUGGUCCUGGGAUGGAAUGGAAGCCGUCAUCAAUCUUGGGCGUCUCCUUGGUCAAACUCGGGUGCUCAUAUUCAUUUUCUUCUUGGAGUUGGAGACGGACGGAGGUCAGCAGCUGCUCUGCUCUGUGCCUCUCGCCAUCGCCAUCCCCUUCGCCUUCUCCACCCACCCACCAUGCAUCCAUGUCCUCGCAGCUCCACGCGCGCACGGCGCCGGUCGGCCUGUAUCCGGGCCGAGCAAGCUUUGCAGAGAAAGACCCCUCGGGCUGCUUGUCUCUAUGCUCAGUGCCGAGCAGUGAUGAUGCCUAUGUAUCGCUGUCGAGUGUCUAUGCUGAAGAUGGAGAGUGGCAGUCUGGAGAGGAGACCGGGACUGGCUGAGAAUCAAGUGCAAGAGUUGCCAGCUUACAGCAGUGUUGGGUUUUAGCCAUUCAUGGAUGUUGCAUAUAUUGAAGGAGUACUAGCUGGUGCUGAAAACAGAAUAACGACGUUAGGGAAGGGGCAGCAACAUUUUGUAUUGCAGUGAAUGUGAAUAAUAAUGAUUUUUACCGGGCAUUUCAUAACAAACAGCCACACAUAAACACUCCUGAAAACAUGUUAGAUCAGCUGUUGUUCGGGCAUUUGCUACAUAAUGCAUGCUAAUGCAGAAAGGAAACUGUUCUGUUUCUUUUCUGUGCAAUCAUAUUUUGGGAUAAGAGAAAUUCAAAUAAUGAGUGACAACAUCCAGUAACCAGAUCAACCGCUCAUCUAUGACUAAACUGGCCAUUAACUAACUACCUCGGUUCACAUAGUUCAUCAGGGAUAAAAUCAGCUAAUGGCGCCAUCAAUCUUGGGCGUCUUGGAUGGUCAAAAUUCGGGUGCUGAUAGUGAUAUUCUUAUCCGGCUAAUUUUCUUUUCGAGAACGCAGCAAAUCAUAUGGCCGUCAGAAAACAGACCAGAGCAAGGAAGCAUCAGUCUCAUGUCAUCUGCUGCUCUGUGCCUUGGCCAAGCCACCAUUGCCUUCACUUCACCUUCUCUACCCUUGCCAGCAUCCCUUCACCAUCACGAAUGUCGUGGGCUCUACUCCUCGCUUUUCACUGCCUCAGCCACCAUCAAUGGGAUCGCAGCUCCACACGUCCACCAUAAAGCUCGCCCGUGUGAACAGUUUUCAGCAUAGUUUGCAACCAGAAUAUAAAGAUCGGUAAUAGUUGCUUGAUUCGAAAUUCACUAAGCCGACCAAAUUACUUUAACCAUGAUAGAGGCCUCAACAAUCUUUAUUUGUUGACUGUCAUAUCCAUGCUUCUUUGCUUUGAAGGAAGCACAGCGUUCAACUUCAUCAAUGACGCCUCCUCUUUCAUCACCAAACUUGAACUUCAAAUGCAUCCAAGUAUUUUGUACCACCGCAGCAACCACAAACCUUCUUAAUCCACGUGGCUCACUAAUAAUGCCAUGAAACAGCUGGGUUUCUUUCUCUAGUCCGCUAACAGAAGAACUAAGAAGCAAACUGAAACCAUUCCGAUGAUGAACUACUUGUAUGGUUGCCUCCACGGCACUGUGAAACAUAGCUAAUGUUAUGUCAACUGCGCCACCGACACCAUCAAUACGACUCAAGAACGGUUUGCAUGAUGGUGUCAUCGAAAUCUGAUACUCCAUCGAUUAAUUGCACUCUCAUCUGCUUCCGGUUCUCCUUUCUUCUCGAUCCUCAUGUCAUACUCUAUUAGGACAGCAGAGUACCAGUGGCGGAACGUGAGCUGAAUUCAAGGGGGCUAAUUUAAAAUGGCUGCUAAGAGUAGAGAGCACAUUUACAUGGAUGCAUGCAUGCAUGGAGCCAUACAAGAGAGAGAGUUUUCACAGGAAGGGGGGCCGGAGCCCAACUUCGCCUCCAUUGCAUUCCGCCAGUGCUCGAUACCUCAUCCUGUAAAAUCAUUAUUUCUUUCAGUAACUAUUUAGAAAUAGUAUUUAUUUCUAUAUAGAAAUAUGCCCAUGCAUUUGUGAAAUUUGAGUUAAGAGCAUAUAUGAUGGGAUCACCCCUACUCCGAUUAAAUAUGUAUAAUUGCGUAACGAGUCUCGAGUGUCACGCGUAGCGAUAUAACCAUAUAUCUCCACUGAAGCAGAAGCAGUAUCCCAACGUAACUGUAUUGGGAAUAUUUGCAUCAUUGGUCGCGUGGAAUGAAGUUGGCAAGUUUCCUGCAUGAUUGCACUGUCCAAAACACCGACGCGUUACAAACUCCAUGUGUCCAAAACACCGACGCGUUACAAACUCCAUGCGUCGGUUUAAUCGGUCAACUGCUUCUGCAAUGAGCUUGGAAUUGAGUUUUUCUUCGAUUUUCUUCUGCUUUCCAAGUGUUAUUCGAUUUCUAUGUGUUGUUUAGGACUGAGCUUGAGCAGGUAUGCAUGAUUUCAAGGCCAACUUUCACUAGGUCAAGCUACUAAUUAGGAGCCCCUCUUAAUAUUACGGUCAAAGGCUAAAAGCUACAAAACCUAAACUAAAUCUAGUGUCCUUAUGACACUUGACACUAGAGAGGUGUCCAAGCCCUUGACACGCAUUUCCAUGCAAAUUGAAAGGUCUUCUUUCAUAUUUCAUUUGCGACAACCAAUAUUCGAUAUCCGCUUCAAAAUACACGUUAAUCACAAAUGGUUAUCAUUAGUUACCGAAACUUACCAAAUGCAUCUAUCGGCCUAAGAUGCUUCAGCGUAUGUGUCGCUAUCAGGUCUACGCUGAAGAUGGACCGGCAGUCUCGGCCUAAGAUGCUUCAGCGUAUGUGUCGCUAUCACGUCUAUGCUGAAGAUGGAACAGCAGUCUGCAGAUGACACCAGGAGGAGGAUGUCUGAGAAUCAAGUGCAGAAGAAGGCGCAAGGUUACAGCAGCGUUGGGAUUUAGCCAUUCAGAGAUGUUGCACAUAUAUACGAGGUGUGGUAAUUGGUGCUGACAACAGAAUACUAACCACGUUAGGGGCAGCAACAUUUGUAUUGCAGUGAAUGUGAAUAGCGAAUACUUUUUUUGCCGAGCAUUUGGAUAGCAGACAGCCACACACAACUACUCUUGAGAACAUGUUAGAUCACCUGUUCAGGAAUUUGGUGCAUAAUGCAUGUAAAUACAGAUCAUGCGAUUCAACCGUUCAAAUAUGACAGGGAAAAUCUGACCAUAAACUAAGUAGCUUGGUUUACAUAGUUCAUCAGGAAUGCAAUCGGCCAAUGAUGGCAACCAUAAAUUAACUACGUUGGUUCAAAAGCUCCCAUCUAUUUUUGUUUCACAGAAUUAUCUCUGAACUGGAAAACUCAGUUUUUUUUUGCGUGUCGAUACACUAUUAUCAUUGGAGGAAGGCCCUUACAAUUGGAGUCAACCACUACAAUUUAUUUUAUGCUCAUAUAUCUCCCGCAGACUGAUUUGCCUCCAGCAAUGAAUGCAUCCCUUAUAUUUUGGUCGUCUUUCAGAAGAUUUGCUGUUCUCUAGAAAUACAUCCCUAGUUAGAUUCCACCAAUUCACCACUUUGGGGUGCUUCUUGCUUAGGAGUUUCUGUUUCCUCACGCUGCAUCACUGCAGCAUUGCUUGGUGGCUCCUCCUUCACAUCACCAAUUCACCACUUUGAUGUGCUUCUUGCUUAGGAGUUUCUGUUUCCUCGCGCUGCUUCAUUGCAGUAUUGCUUGGUGAUUCCUUCACAUCUGUAGCGUCCCUCUUAAAUUGCAAUGCUACAUAGGCGCUCACUGACUCCUGCUCUACAACUCUAGCUUCCAUGUUAGGCUUCACCACUUCAGCACUAUCGAGUGGCUCCUGUUCCACACAUCUAGCUUCCUCAUUAGGUUCGGCCGCUGCAGGAUCUCUGGGUGGCUCCAGUUCUAUUAUCCUAGCUUCCUCAUCAGAUUGCAGCAUUACAACUUCCUUAUUGAAUUGAACCAUUGCAGCAUCUCUAGAUAAGUCAGGUUCUACUCUUCUAGCUUCUUCAUGGUGUUGAAGCGUUGGAAGCCCCUGCUUUACACUUCUAGCUUCCUUAUCAGCUUGCAGCAUUGUCAUAUCUCUAAGAAGCUCCUGUUCCAAUAUUCUAGCUUCCUCGUCAGGAUGCAGCAUUGUACUGUCCCUGCAUGGCUCCUCUGUUAUAGUUGCCUGCAUUGGGACAUCAGAAUCAUGAACAUCCCCAGCCUCCCUAGUCCUAUCCUUUUCAGCAUCAACAAUCUGGUCGGUCUUCCUCAUGAAUUUCCGCUUGUUCCAUUUCUUUUUUCCACCACUUUUCUUGAUUUUAAGUGAUUUGGGGGUUUCAGUUGGCUUUUUAUCUGUCUCCUUAACUUGCCUUUGUCCAGGAACAACAAUGUACUUCAUGGCACCAUUUGCACAACCUUCUGAUUGACCUGCACAAAACAUUGCCCAUUAAUGGCCCAAUCCAAGACAAAUCCAUAAAGGAGGGAUAAUGUUUGCAUACCGAAUGGCUCUGGAUUGAAUAAUAAGAAAAUUACCCUGGAUUGCAAGAAGAGCUGUUCGGGCAGCUUUUAUCUCUGCAUCCUUCUUUGUUCUAGCUGCAGCACCUAUGUAUUGUAUGCCACCAAUCUCAACAGUGCAUACGAAAGGAGCUACACCUGAAGCUUGCUUAGAGCAAAUAUAAGAUGGAAUGGCGUAAUUCAUCUUCUGAGCAUACUCCUGAAGAAGAUUCUUGCACAGGCCAGUCUCUUGCUGCAAAGCAUAGUAAGAUGUAUCAAAGCAACAUGACAGUCAAGAAGAGGUACUGCGCUGCUAUGCUUCUAAGGACUAUAUGAUAUAUUCAGAUUAUCUAGAAACCAUGUGCUAUAUGCAUGGCUCACAAACUGGGCAGAACAAAUUCGCAAGCAUCUUCCUGACUAAUUCCCUACUAUAUUUAGAGGAUAUCUUAGCAUAACCGAGAGCUUCAAUAGUUACAAUCAGAUGGAAUAACAUAUUGAAUUUGGGGAAAUGCCAUGAAACCUAAAACAGACUUUCAUGAUUGUACUCAGGUGCUGUUAGAACUUAGAAGACCACAAUUGAACUAAUCGACAUUACUUAAAAAGCUAACAACAGCAAGGAACAUACAUUUUAUUAGCAGUCUUCCAAUACAUUCCCUGAAGGCUUCACCAUGGCAAGUUAAGUAGGGCUAAACAUAUGUAAUUUAAAGAAGCAUGUACAUGUUCUAGGCAGCAUACAACAGUGAAUGAGUCAGUUCGUUUUUGCCCAAGCACAAAAGGACAAAAGAUUGCAGAUUGCCACUCAUUCACAUAUAACUUGAAGUUGAUGGAAUGAAAAGAUUUUUCUUGUUGGAGGCUGAUUUUGUAUAAAACUUAGAAUCUCUACUUCCUUAGCAACAAUAUCUGCGUAAACGAGUAACUUACUACUGCUGGGAUGCUUUUAGUUUCAGUUGCUGGAACAGACUUGACUAUCUCCAUAAGCGCAACUUCAGCGGCCGACUGUUCUGCAGCCUUUCGGCUGAAGAAUCCAGGCAGCGAAUCAUACUUGGUGUUGUUAACAACCACUGUGGACUUGAAUAUUGGUUCAUGGGACGGGCCCUCUUUGAGGGUAUGAUACUCAGGGGUUGGGAGACCAGCUUUCUGCGUGUACUCUUGCAGGCGGCUCUUGAAUACGUAGCAAUUCUCAACCCCUGUGCGAAAUCAAGCAUACAGCAACUAAGAAAACGGCAGUAUUGCAAUGUUGUUGAAAAAAGAACAGAAAUUUGGAAUGAACUACCCUGGAAGCCUCCGGUAGGAUCAGGGGCGGACCCAGCAUAGGACAUGGGUGUACACCCGAUAAUUCUUGCAAACGAAAUCGAAGUUAGUAGGUAAUAUAUUGUAACUGGAUUCAGAUCCGAAUAUAAAUACUUUUGUUAGGGUUUGGGGUGCUCCGUCUCGCACAGCAGAAGUAAAGAGAAGGGGUGGGCAUACCUGGAGGAUGCGCUCGUCGCCGGCAAAGGGCUGGGCGAAGACAGGACAAAUGGCGCCGCCGCUCGCCCAGUCGUCGCCGCCAGGGAAGGAAGAGCAAGGGAGGACGGAGGAGAGAGUCCGAGAGAAGGGAAAGGUUUAAGAAACAGAGGGAGGAGAGGAACCUCAGGCCCUGAGCGGGGAGCGGCUGAGCCCAGGGCUGUCUAUGAGCCGAGCUCGAGCGACGGAGCGAGCCUGCCACUAAAGCUGGAGGAUCCCGAGCCGAGGUUGAUCCGAGCCCGAGACGUUUAACAUUUGCGAGAGUAUAAAAGAACAAUUUUACCGUAGCGAUACAAGACGUACGUACAAAGGUGGUCUUAGUAGAAAUUUUAUAGAUAUUAAAUGUUAUUGCUGAUAUGACAGAGUUAUUACGAGAAGAGAUAGAAAGAGUGCCGUACAUGUGAGAAGAGUUUCAUCCAUAUAACACUCAUCAGUUCGGUUACCAAGUUUUCAUGGUCGUUUGUAAUAGUAUAAUAAAACUACGCACUGAGAUUUAAACGCAUUUAAUUCGAUAAAUGAAUGAAAAGAGAAGCAUAUUUAGAUAUUUAGUUUUAUUCCCUCUAUUUUCUUUUGAUAGUCCUAUUUUCAAAAUUGAAUCAUUCUAUUUUGAUAGUCUCAUUUAAGUUGGUAUCUUGAAAAUAGUAUGGAUGGUCGUUCGAUUUCCGUGUAAAGUGAUUUCUCUUGAAAAAAGAUUAGUGUAUGUAAUAAUAACAUCAAAAAUAACAAGUCGUAGUUAAUCUCGUAGUUAAUGAGAUGAUACACAAGGUUCUUCUUCUUAUCAUUGUACCAAGAUAGAAAUACUAUAUUGUAUCUAUUUUGCUUGUGCAGCACAGUAGUUCGCUAGCUAAUGCAAUACUAUAGCCUCUAGCUAUAUUAUUUUAACUUUUGAUGGUUGCAAAUUUAAUUAAUAGAGGUAGCAGGGUGCAUGCACAUGCCACGUAAAACUGAAAUACUCGAGUUUCAACGUCAAUCUCGGAUUAUUGGAGCUCACGAGCUGCAGGUUAGAUCCAAGCUUGGCUUGAUUGCAAAUAUAGAUUAGCUUGAAUUGAACUUUUUAGCAAGUCAAAUAUAAAUAGCUCGUGAAUUUUGAGCUUUUCUGUUAACCCUACUUAUGGAUAGGGGUGAACCGUAAAUACUUAGCAGGUCAGCAAGUGUAAAUUAGCAAGUCAUCAGACCGUAGUGUUGGGACGAGUACGCAUGUUAAUACGGUGGGCACCCUCAUCGUUGCUAAAGUCAAGGUCGUGACAACCAGCAUCGUGAAGAAUGGGAGGAAGAUUUUUUAAUGAAGGAGGAUGGGUAGCAUGUAUGAAAGUGUUAAGAAGUGUUAGAGGUCAAAUUUUAUUUGAAAGAAUUUUGAAUGAGAUGUUGUCAUACAAAAUUUAUUUAUAUCGUAAUCAUAUCUAAAUCGAUAAGGAUAAUAAAUGCUUCAUAGUAUCACCUGUAGCAACACACAGGCAUAUUUGUUAGGGUCAUAAUAAAUUAUUCCAACUAAAAGAAUCUUAUUCUACCUAAGUAUUAGAAAACAUAUCCUGAAAUACUUCAAAUCAUAUAGUGGAGCAAAAUAUUACAUUGAUAGAUAUUUUAUAUGCUAGCUAUAUAACAACUAACAUCAUCUAUAAAUAAAGUACUCAAACUACUAAACGAACAUGCACAAGAUAUGUAAAAUUUUUAUUAUUUAUUUUUGAGAAGCUAUUGCCUAAAGAGGAAUGGGAUGUAUGUUUAAGUAAUGCUUCUUUAGCUCGUAAAAUAAUAUAUGUUUCAAACUAAACCAUAAUAAUUUUUAUUCAGAAUAUGGUUAAGUACUAGAAAAAUAUUUAAUUUUAAAGAUCAUGUAUACCCAAGUUUUAAAGUUUAAAGUUCAGAUCCGCCACUAUGUAGGAUGGAUUAACAAGCUACCUGUAAAGAAAAGAAAGACACUAACGGCGUAAACUACUUAAAAAAUAUUUAAGAUACCUUCUGGACGAACAUGUAGCUGUAUGAAGUGACUGGGUACUAGCAAAGAUCAUCCAAGAAAUUGAGCGAAACUGGCAAGAAUCAGAUGGUUGGGUUAGAGGGGAAGAAAAUGUUGGGGAAGCUUACUCAUUCCGAUAGAACGGCCGCGAUGAUGGAUCCAGCAGAGAAGUUUGUGGUGGCAUAGGGGUUGUGCGUGUUUGGCUCUAGCAUUUUUAUAGGUAGGGAUUUCAACUGAACGGCAGUGCUUAAAUGCAAGUCCCACCGAACGGUGAUGUUCAGGUAUUAGAAAUUGUGCGUAGUCAUGGAAGAAGCGGGGAGCUGCGGCCACGAUGCACGCACGGGCUUACUGUAAAUGCACAACAACUCUCUUUCAAAAUAUAAAUGCACAACAGCAGCCAGCAGGCCUGCUAAUUGCGGGGGAUUAUUGCUAAUUGCUGAAGGAAGUCACUACGGCGGCCUCCGAGCAUGGACCCUCGUGGCCUGUCACACAACGCUCCUUCUCCCUCCAAUGAGCUGCUCAAACGCCGACGCAUCCAACCGGCCCGCGCAGCCGUCACGCAGGACUUCCAGCAGCAGCCCCCGCGCCCGCGCGAGAUGGCCGCCGCCACGCAGCGCGCCAACCAGCUCCGACAGCGCCGGCGCAUCCCACCGCAGGCCCCGUCUGACCACCUCCCGCGCCACCUCCCUCGCGGCGUCCAUGUCCCCAGCGGCCACGCACCCGGCGACCACGACGCCGAACGUCGUGACGCCGGGCGGGCACCCUGCGCGCUCCAUGCACCCCAGCAUCCGGCGCGCGCCGGCCAGGUCGCCCUUGUCGCACAGCGCGCCGACGUAGACGUCGUAGACGCGCGCGCCCGGCACGAGCCCCCGCAGGAGCAUUUCAUCGAACGCCUCCUCGACGGCGUCGAACGAUCCGUUCUCGCGGAAGGCGCGGAGCACCCGCUCGAACUCCGGGAGACCCGGGCGCGCCCCGUCGGCGUCCAUCUGCUUCGCCACGACCUCGUACGCCUCGGCCACCAUCGCCUCCCGCAGGAGCGCGUCGAGGACGGCGUGGUGGUCCGACCGGCUGGGCGAGACGCCCCACCGGCGCAUGUCGUCCAGGAACGCUAGCGCGUCCCGAGCGGGGGCGCAGCGGCAGAGGGAGGCGAGGACCGCGCGGCAGUGGCGCUGGUCCGGGUCGAGCAGGAGGCCGGGCAUGCAUCGCAGGAGGUCGACGGCGGCGGUGGGUCGCUGGGCGCGGCAGAGCGCGGAGGUGAGGAUGCGGAAGGUGGUGGCGUCGGGGGCGGCGUGCGGCGCGGCGCGGAGGAGGACGGAGGGGGCGACGCGGAGGAACGCCGGGGAAGAGCAGAGCGCGGCGAGGAGGGAGUUGAGGGCGCGGGUCGUGCAGCGGGCGGUGGAGAAGAGGGUGGCGACGGCGGCGAAGCGGCCAUGGCGAGCGAGGGUUACCAGCAGGCGGUGGUGGUGGCCGGUGGCUUCCGGCGGCGCUACGUCGUGCCUCAUCUUCCCUUGUGCAGGCACAGCAGCUUGUACUCUGCUCGUGUUUCUGACAAAACAAGAUGACGCGGAGCCUUUUUGUUUCUGUUCCUGAUGGCUCUGAAUUCUGAAGCGAGCCCAAUGCCAAUGGGCCGGACCUGCCUGGUGAUCACUCACCAAGAGCCAAGAGACAUACAUCUCCUUUCUAUCAGUCCACUCAAGGGUCCAGUGAUCAAUCAUCACAGAUAAGCACUAGCCCCAUGUAUUAUAUAUAUACACACCACAAGGGCCUCAGGAAAACACAUCUUCGCACACAUUACACUGGCUCAAGACCAGAUAGCUGACAACUGUACAAACACGAUCCGUAAUUUACAAAAGGGCAAUCUGAAUGCAAGUGACUCGAGGACAUUCAUUCAGGCCAUACCAACCCCAUCUAGUGCUAUAUUAGCUGGACAAAUGCAUCUAUCUAUUCGGAGACAUGUGCAUGCAUUCUAUUUCCACCUUGGGCCCAUAUGCACAGCACAACCCCACUUAACCCAGGCAGCAGCAGCCCCUACCACACCUGAUUUAUGGUAUCAACCAUCUCCAAACCUUUUUACAGUUGGUAAAAGCAAAGGAACGGACAACCCGAAUGAGGUGACUAUUUACAUUUCGGUUAACCUAGGUAUGAUUAAUUUAUUUGGGGUGAGCCUCCAAGUUCAUUGACAGGACCAGGGUAGGGGUUCACAAACCUUCUGCAAGGAGGCUAAUGAAUCUUGGCUUCGCUGUAUCUUACAAACUGCACACGUCGCCCAACAGGCAAUAUGAACCGAGAGCUCCGGUCAUAUACCACCAUGUUGUCGGUGACCGGGCUUCACAUCAUCUUGGAUCUUGUAGCUGGACCUUGGUGUGGACCCAUCACUUGGCCAAAGAGAUAAGGCCUACUGGUUGCAUUGUUGAUGCAUGUCAAGGGAUGUCGACCUCAUCUUACUUGUAAUUUUCCUCAGCAUAGAUAGAGACAAGAGCAUUAUCACCAGCACCAGCGGCCAAGAGUGAUUUGUACGGGUGGAAAGAAAGGCAGUUUACACUGCCUAUUCUUUGGCCCAUAAAUGAUGGCUGGUAGCGAAUUAUCGUCAACUGCUCUCCUUCAAGACUGAACACUUUAAUCAUCUGCUUGGCUGAGCCACUUGCAACAACUGGGGCAUGCCGAUGAACAGCUAAAGCGGUAAGUGAACCCCUGUGUGCCUCAAUAGUCAGGUAGGGUUCUGCUGCCCUUCUAACAUCGAGAAACUGAAUGUCUCCAGCUUGAGAUGCACUUACAAUCUGUGAUACCAUAGAUGAUAGAAAAGGGAGUCUUGUAAAGCUUUGAGCAAGCCCGCAGUUGCUUUGACAGCUGAGAAUAGAAAACAUAGCAAUGCAAAGAAGUGGUAGUACAUACCUUGUAUGGAUCAAACCCAGGUUGAAACCCUAUGCCCACAACCUUUUCCAUUCUUGGGGCAUGUGGCCUUGCCAUAUAGAUCAGCCUACAGUAUAGGAAAAGAAUAUUCAGAGUAAAAAAAAUGAUAUAGGUUGACAGAAAAGAAAGAGGAAGGAUGACAUUUGACAUUGGAUAGGGCACAUAUAACAUUUGCAUGGUAUGCUGGCAAAAGGACAGAGGAUGUAGAUGCUAUUGUACUUACCUAUCAGGAGAGCGAACAUCAAAUAUCCUGACAGAACCAUCAGCAAAACCAGCAGCAAAGUGUCCAGAGCGGACCUGAGACGCAGACUGAAACAGAAGCAACAAGCAAAGGUCAUGCUCGAGAACAGAUAAUGCAAACAAGAUUAACAUAAAAUUUCAUGUCUGUGGAAUGAAAAUACAUGUGUUCUUGAGAACUUUCAAUAUGUUAUAGGAGAAUAACAAGAUAAGCUGAUAAACCAUUACACUGGAGCACAGUACUUAUUUUUUGUUAGUAAAAAAACAUAGUUUUAGACACAACAGGAGAAAAUCCUUUGGAAAAUUCCUAUAUUUGCCUCUUCUCACAUUGUUCAACCUACUUGAGACAAGUUGACAAUCAUACAGAAAGCAACACCAAAAGCCACUUCCACUCAUAAAACCUCGCAAUUUCAACUGCACACAAUUAGGAGUCUAGGAGGGUGCAUGUGCAUUAAUAUAGUGUACCUCAACUCUUUACUACUACAUGUAUUUUGUUGUCAAUGUAACUAUCAAAUACAAACCCUGAAUUAUAUGAUACUGUGCCUAGCAGUCAAAUACAGGUACACGAUAAUGUUGCAAGUUAUUGAUUAAUAUAGCACAGGAAUAUCAAGUAAACACAGAAUCACAGAUCUAUGGUUAUUUCCUCAGUAAGGAAGUGCAAAAUAGCCUACUCAAAUAACAAAGGAAGUUACUUGAACUAAUAUUUGAUUGCUCAUAUAGCACAUGGUAACAAGAACUUACCAGGGCAGAAAUUGCACUGUCAGCAGAUGACUGAAUGGUGCUGAGAAGUUGUUCCUUGUCAAGAUCCCAUACCAAGAUGGAAGACAUGUCACCAGAUGCAUACUAUUGAACAACAAAAGGAAGCAAGUUCCUGUAUUAGAACAGCCUACAGCACAUAAAAUAAAAUUACAGAACCAAUGGGAAAAUAAUAGAAUAUUACCAGGCAACCAGAUUGCUGCUGCCAAUCGAUCACAAUACUGCGACCAGCAGCUCGAUGACCCUGAACCGAUGAGAAAGCAGUUACAAGUUUUUGUCCUCCCUUUUGAGUAAAGUUUUUCCAUAUACGUACAUUUCCAUCACCUGCAACAUGAAAAUUAGAUAAUGCAAUGAUAGAAGAUAUAAGUAUACAAGGAAAAGCAUAGAGAAGAGAUGCAUACUUGAGGCAGCUAAAAGCAAGCUCUCAUCAAGCUCAUUGAUAAGCAAGAGUUUCGAUAGCCCUCUGUCGGACAAUUUAUGGUUUUGAAAAGAGUUCACUGGUAGUGCAUCAUCGUAGUUCCACACUCUGACAUGAGACAGAACUUUAGCACAACUGCAGUAGUGCAUUUCAAGCACCAGGAUCGUUAAUUGAAAUAACAAUUUCACCUUAUUUGUUCAUUUUCAUCAGCUGCAAUGACGAUUGGAGAAAAUGGCAACAAUAAUGCUGCUUUUGUACCUGAAUCAAACCUUGUAUCCCAACUAGCAAUUUGGCUUGUCAUCUUGCAAGCUGCUAUUCCCAGGGCCCACAAUAAUAAUUAAAAAACAGAUAAAUAAGCAAGAAUAUCAAUAAAAAUAAUGUAACGCCGACUAAUGUAGGCCACGUACAUGAUCGCUGGCACUUAGCAAUGCAAUCUAGUGCAAUUUGUUCUCUCUCUUCUCUUCUAGCAUGGGCUUCUUCAUUAUCAUCAGAACCAGUUAAAAGUGGCCUAGCAAAGUGUCCACAACUCCAGUUGUAAAUUGUUGAUUGGGGAAGUAUGCUUAGUUCAGCAUUACUGGGAGUCGCAGCAGAGCUUAAAAGGGGAUCAGCUAAGCCCUCAGGAGAAUUCAUAGGAUGUGAUUUGAACUCCAUAGAACACACUCGGCGUAAUCCUGUAAGAUAAUCAUGUUGAGGGGGGCUAACAGGAGGCGUCCUAAAUGCAAUUGAGAAGUUUCCUGCAAAAUAUUCGAAGACUCAAUUCAAUAAUUAUUGUCUUUCCCUGAACAACCAGCGCACAAUAUUGAGGUAUUCCGGCCUCCAAGGACAGCAAGGAAAGUGAGGGAGUAAAACUCACCAGAAUUCAUAUCAAACCAGGAAGAAGAGCGUGCCAUUCCAAAGUUUGAUGGAGGUACAGAUGUCUCUCCUUGAUGUGCACCUCCACUGUUAAAUCUACUAUUUUUCAUGACCACUUGCUCGACACCUAUAAGGGACAGUGCUCUCCGACCAAUAGUUGCAAUUCUUGGGUAAGGAUCUUUAGCAACAGAACACAUAGUUGAUAUAUAUUGAGAAUAAAUGACACUGUCAACAGGCCUCGAUCUAGUGUAGCUGAGGCCACCAUUACUUGCAUUCUCCCUCAGUAAUAUGCCUGAAUCAGAGUGUUGGGAAGAAUCAUCUGACUGGGGAGAGCCAUGCAUGAUGCUACUUGUUGCAAUCGGGCUGCUCGUAGAAACCUUUCCAUCACGACCAGUGGCACUGCUAUCACUGCCAACCCUUAGCACAGGACCAAUAUGAGAAGCAAGGCCACUGCUGCCUUGUCGGAUGUUGUUGGGACUGUAGAUAUUGUUUGGACUACUUAUAUUGGCCAGUGAUGGUAGUGACUUCAGCAAUGAAUUGGUUUGAGGUUUCCAAUACUCAGCAGCAACAGAUUUGAGAUGCUUAUUGUGACCAGAUGCAAAACGAGUAAGCGCUGGAAAAACAUCAGAUCAACUCAAAAAGGUUAAAAAGAAUAUUCUAUGUUCAACAUAAUAAAAGGGUGCCCUACAAAAAACGAUAUAGUUUUUCUAAUGCACAUACCUAUAGCAACCUCACAUCUAACAAGGGGGCUACCAUCUGAAGAGACCUGCAGAAGGCUUCGAAUGACAUUUAUUUCAGCUUUUACUUUUUCAUCGUCAUCAGAAUCAUCAUCAACACCAUUUGAUGAUGUUGAUCCCAUAUCCAGGAGAUUCCCAAGUGCAAAAACAGCAGAAGCUCUGACCUGGCAAGACCAAAUAUUUAAUAAAUAUAUUGUGAAGAAAGCAAAGGAAAGAACAGAUGAAAUAUGAAGGCAUUGUACCUCAGGUUGUGGCUCCGAUAACAAAUAAAUUAAAAUUUCUGGUGCAUUUGAUUGCAGACCAAGUAACUGAGCCUCAGGAAAAUCUUCCCAGAGUUUGCCAAGGCAUAAACAAAGCCACUGCAAAAGCAAAGGCUCUGUCUGUGCAUCAUGAGGAUUUUCAGGUUGCAGAUGUCUCAGACAAACAUCUAUAAGACAUGCAUGAAUACAGGCCUCUUGACCCUUCCUAUGCCCAUCCACAAUAACUGCUAAAACGAAAGCGGCCAUUGCACGCUGCUCUGGGUAAGCAUCCAAACUGUCAAGAAAUCUGAUAAAAUAUGCAUGUCCUCCAUCUUUAACCAAGUCAACCUGGCACGACUGCCAUUUGGGGAAAAGUAUAUAGGUUAAACACCUGAUCCUUACAAUACAAAGGAACUUCACAAGACUCCAAACAAGAGUGCAUACCUUAUCAAGAGAUAGAAUUUUCGUCCAUAUGAACACAAGAAUUUGACGCAACUCCAUUGCACUUGUUUGAAGCAGUUUGAGCACAUAAGGGAAGAUUCCAACAGACAGGGCCUAAAAGAAUGCGGCGAAACGGUUUGGCAUAGAAUAUAAAUAACAAGCACUUGUAAAAAGGUACAUGCAGAAGAGCUCAAGUACAAACCAAAUCAACUGCCCAUGGUCCCAUGUCAAGAAAUCUUCCAAGCAGAACAAGUGCUCUAAAUCUAUGUGAUUGACUAAGCAGGACCUGCACAAAACUGAUGUAAGAAAGAAAGGAAUGGGAAAAGAAACAUAGUAGAUAGGAUAAUUUAAGGGAAAGCAUGCGAAACAUUUUACUAAAUUAAAAUUAUAGAAGCGAAGAGAAAGGAAAUGAGGUACUUCUAAGGUUGUGAUUGGUAGGCUGCAUAAGGACCUAUCCGGGCUUGCAUAGUGCAGGCUUGGAUGUUUGGUAGCCUGAAUAGGCCUGUUAGCCAGGCUCCGAUUGUGCAAAUGGCCCUGUACGGCCUGCAUAGUGGGAAACGCAAAUGAGGCUCGUCUCCAGUUGUGCAGGCUGCACAGCACCCCGGAUGGCCAAGUUUUGGCCCCAGCCUAGCUACAACUGUGCAGCCUAGGAAGCAAUGCAGCCAUUCAAACAAAAUCUUAUGCAGGCCAAUACAAGAUAUGCAGCCAACCAAACAAACCCACAAAAUACUACAUAAGCCUGGCUUGGGCUGGCCCUGCAUAACUCCUAGCCAGGCCAGAAAUAGACCAAGUAACCAAUCACACCCUAAAGAGCUAACAGAGUUAGACUGGGUUUUACAAAUGAUACUGACCUUUACGAAACUGUAACAUAAAAAUGUCUUACCUGAAGAACUAUAGGUAACUGUUCAGGGGGCUUCUUGUCCUCAGAACCAUGAUCAAGCCACACUUCAAAAGCCGUCAGUUGUUCCGUGAAAAAAGGGCUCGGCUGGUUUGAAUUAGCAGACAAAUGAAUUGGAUAUAGUGAAGUGAUUAUAUUCAAAUGGCAAAAUAAUACUAAACAACUGAUGUAUUUCUUAAAGGGCUAAGUAACAAGUAGAAAACCUGAAACUCUGCAUUUGGAUCAGCAAUUAACUGAGGAAGCUUGGAAAGGCAAAUCUCAGCAGCCAUGUCCCAUGCGUCCCUGGGAUUUCACUAGUUACAAAAUGCACAAAAUAGCUAAUGCAAAAACAUAAGGACUAGUCAGGUUAGCUACCACAUAUGGUGUUGAUGUGUCGGUGGUAACAACGGGUAAGAAAUUGGAGAACAAUUUGCGGAUCGCAUGAUUCUCUCAGCAAGCAAGAAGUUACGGAAGAGACUAGCAACCAGAAGAUCUUGCCUGAAAAGCCUUUGGAACAGAUCUGCACAGUGAAACUUUGUCAUAAACCCAAUACAGCCAGACAUUUACUUUAACUCAAAUGAUCUUCUCUGAUUUUCUUUUUUCUCAAAAAGAUUAUAUCUAUCUCCUAGAUGGCGUACCAUGAGGAAGAACAUUCCAUGCAAUAGUGUCUGUAAUGGCAGUGAAAAUCCAAUUCAGCUCUCCAAGAAGAGUUUUACGGUCAUUUUGCCUUCCAGGAAUUUGGUCAAUAAGAGAAUGAUCCAUAGAACCACGGAGUAAUGAUCUCUUACAAAACCUGCAUAGUUUAUAGGCAUGGCCCCAUGUAAGCACAAAAUGCAAAGUAGAGAGAGAGAGAGAGGGAGAGAGGGAGAACAAACCAGUGCAGUGCCAUCUUGAUGGGUGUUGUGAGGCAAGCCGUAAACACAUCAGCAGGAAAUUCUGCACUCUGGGGAAGAGUUUGAUGUGCUUCGCAGGCAGCAAGAAGAAUGCAAUCCUUCUGCGAAGAUGAAGAGGAGCUAGAACUCCAGUCUAGGCGCUGAAGUAAACAAAAGUCACUACGUAAAUUAGACAAUUCAGGAAUAAGAACAAAAUAGACACAUAAAUCAUGAUUACCUUCAACUUCAAGAAUAAGAGAUAUAAAUUAAUAAGCAUACAGCAUACCUCUAGAAAAGCUUUCACAAUAAUUCCAGCUGCUGAGCAGUCAAAAACAUAAAUGGAAGGUGUUUUUAGCCAAGAAUCAAGAUCAGUAAUCGGAAGUGGAAUAUACUGCGUGUAACUCUGCAAAAAAUUACAAAAAAGACAUUUCAUGAAAGACGCCUAUGAUAAGUACAUGCAGCAAUCAGUACAGUGUCUUAGUAACAUUUACCUUGUUAAACACCCAAAUCUCACCAUUAGUUGUAGCCUUUGGUACACCAUGGCCAUUGUAAUGGAAAAGGACUCUCUCUGAUCUGGCAUAUUUGCGGCAAGUAUUACAAAGCUUCUUAACUUCCUCCACAGUUGGAUCUAGCUGAAGCUUGUAACGAGCCUGCAAGCGACAUUAGUAUUUAGGACAUGAAGAUGCAAACCAUCAACAUCAAAAUUCAAAAUACCACAGAAGUUAAACAGGAAAGCAAGUUCCUCACCUUAGGUUGCCAGCGCUCAUACUGUGAGUGCAACGUUUUUCCAAUAUUUUCAAGGGCUUUAGGAGGUGCCAUAGAAAAUGGAUCUGAAAAGAAACAAAAAUCUAUGAGCAGAUCUCAAGGCAAUUCACGAGGGAAAUAACAGUAUUUAAGUACAAAACUAUCAACCAAUAUGAAUUCCCAUGUCUAAAAUCUAGUAAAUAAAUUUUCCAGUUUCUUGACAAAUAAUUUUUCAAGCACUACAAAGUUAUACAAUUUUCAUCCCUGGGAUUGGUACAUAAAAUGAUCUAAAAACUAUGGAGCAAAAUAAUGUCAUAUGGGAACAGUAGGUAGCAGACAGUUCAUUGCUAUGGUUAUUUGGCACUGAGAUGCAAAAGGUUACAAAAAAAACACAGUUUCAAUCAAAUGGUGAAAAACAGAUCAUUUUUUAGUGCAUCCUAACUUGCAAGGCAUAUUCACAUAGAGAUGAGCUCAAUUCCACAAACAUCAUCGGCAAAAUCAGAUGCAGAUAACUGUAGUUUUUCCUCAGCUAAUAAGAAAUUUGAAAAUAUACACUCAAAUAAACAUUUACCUAUCCAGCACUCCAUUCUUGCGCAAGGGGAGAUUUUAAUUACAUCUGGUGGAUCAACACUAAUGUUUAAACAUAAUACAAGUGCAACACAUCCAGUCUUCAUCUGCACAACCAAAAUCAUCAUUAGUAAAUGUCAUGUAAACAUGCGGACAACAUACAAAAAACACGGAGAAUCAUCUCAUGGACUGACAAAACAAAACAUUAAAUAGCUAUAAAUUCCAUAAUGACAUAGUAAUUUAUGUUGCAGACCAACACUCAAACCAUUGCAUGCCAGCUAUAAAUACCCGAUGCCCCAUCUGGUCUGGUGCUUCAUGCAAUUGCAAUAUGCACAAUGUGGCAUCCCUAAAACCACUGUGUGCUUACAAGCCAGCUUUGUUACAGUGGAAUCACAUAGGCAUUCUUUAAGCCUCCAGUGGCACUAAUAACUUGGGCAGCAAACUUUGCUUCACAAUGGGUACUAAACGACAUGAUCCAUGUUUUAACUUAUAGUUUCACCAACAGUAAACCAGCAACCAAGUAUUUCUUUAACAAUAUGAUGCCAGUCACUGAUAAGUAGUGUCACUUGGAAGGGAGACAAGUCAUUCAUUCUGAAUGCAAUAGCAACUAUUGGAUCCCAAAAAUACUUUGAGGAUUCUGCAAUUUCCAUUUUGUUGUAUAUGUAGGUAUGUGGAAGCCACCAUAAUCAUCACAACAUUGACAGGACCUGUUAGGCAAGUCCAGGGUAACACUGUUUACUUGGUAUCCAAAAACAGACUGGUCAAAAACUGGUCAUCACCAUGCUAUGCUUAACUGGUCCAAAAAAUUAAGAAUGCGCACGAGUCUGAUGUCAUAGCAGGCUACAACAAUUUCCAUUUUGUAUUAAUUAUUGUUAAAGCCAAUCAGUGCGAUACACCUCAGAAGCAGAAGAUACUCAGCUGUGGCAAACAAUAACUCACUCCACCACAUCACAAUUGUCAUGCUUGCAAGACUAGCGAACGUGUCAUUACUUAUUAUGUGACUUUCGAGGUCUCAUUACAUCUGGCAGCGCCGCAGUUAAAAUCGUUUUUUGUAACGGAAAUUUUGAUUAACGAUGUUGAGUUUGCAGGUACUAUAUAACAACUUCACCCGACCAGCCGCUGCCCCCUAAUUUACCAUUUUUAAGCUUAAUCAGUUAAUUGCAACCCUAUGAAUCCCCCCAAGCCGAAACACACCGAAUCCAGCAAACAAUCAAGUAUAAUAGCAGAAUCGGUAGAAAGAGCAUCUGCAUACUGGAUCGCAUCCAUUACCCGGUCCUUUGGGCGCCACUUGGAGACAAGGCCGCUGGUGGAGGGCCCGGCGGCGGCCGCCGCAGCCUCGUCGAUCCCCUCGUGGCGCUGCUCGCACAGCACCACCACCUGGGGCAGGUACGCCACGGGCGCCGGCUUCUCCACCUCGGCGGGUUCCAGCCCAUUCCUGGGCUCCGGCCCGUUGGCGACGGGGAGGUCAUCCGUGACGUGGUUGUGGUGGUGAUUCGGCAGCGGCGCCGUGGGCGCGGCCGUCGAUGGCGACGGCGACGGCGACGGCGAGGACGAGGAGUGGACGAGCCUGGACGCCAUGAGAUCUCCCAAUGCCAUGGACGCUUGCUGUGUCUCCUGCCCCCUCAGCCCGCAGCCAUGAUGAGGUCGGGGAGCUUGGUCACCUACAUCGAUCGAAUCCGGCCAGCUUGGCGAAUCGGGAGGGGGCAGCCAGGUGGUCAGUGGGGCGGGGAAGAUUGGGCGGAGGUUGUUGGGGUGGGAGGGGUUUAGGGUUAGGGUUUGGACGCGGCUGGAGGAGAGAGAAAAGGAGGAGGUGGGAAGCGGCGUCCCGGUGCGGUGCGGGAGGAAGCAGGCAGGCCGACGACGCGAGAGGCGAGGCGAGCACAGAGAUGGACGGGCCGCCGGAAAAUCACUCUCUUUUUCCCAUGUUUUUUUUUCUCCACUACUAGUAUAUGUAGUUUUGGCAUGCCACGCGUAUCCAAUUUUACAGUUUUCGCCCCCAUUUAUUUCAUCCACGAUAAGAGGUCUUAUAUCAAUUUUAGAAAAAAAACGUACGCAUACCUUUAUAAACACACACGCAUGCUCAUCCUUAUAAAUAUACGCACGCAGCCCUAUCUUUAUAAGCAUUUUUGAGAGACUGAGCUGACAGACGCUAUAUGUAAUUUAUGUAACCGGCUUCUUUUAUUUAUCGAACAGAUAUAUACAGAAAAAAUAAAUACACAUGUUAGAAUUGACUUGCAGUAAAAACAUAAACAAAAGCAAAUAGACCUAUAAAAGCAAAUAUGUAGGGUUCACCUACUACUACCUCCGGCAAGAAAAUUUACAUAUACAUAUAAGAUAUAUACAUAUAUAUAUAUACAUAUAAGAUAAGAUAGUACUCUUAGAACAUAGAAUUGUAUUAAACAACUUAGGUUGACCAAUUAUUGAACACCACCUCCUAGGAACAGGGUUCGGCAAUGUACACCAUGGAAUCUUCAGUUUAUCCCUCAAUCUUUAUACCUAGUAACUUGCCACGUGCUUGUAGCAAGGGAUCUCCAAAAUCUAACUCCCAGUCAAUAUGCACAUCCGGAAUGCACCACUGGUAAUCUAGAUUGGCUGAUCUGAUUAUUCUCACCCAUCACUAAUGUGGUAAUCAUGUUCGACCUACAUAACCUAUAUUUUUUAGAAAUACAGUACAGACUCAGACGUCCACAAACACACGCACGUUGGUGUGAAGCUAAAUCUGAUUACAUAUAUACUUGCAAAGGUGAGCUUGCGAGUCGUGAUAAAGUUGCAAUGCAGAAGUAGCAUUGGUGCAAACGUUUAAAUGAAAUAUUUUAGAAUGCACUAGUGCAAUAGUUAACUAUGUUGGUUCAAUUUUUUAUGCUCGUGCUGACUCGGAGAAACUUUGCAGAUGAAGAGCCUAACCAUGGACUGCUAUGGUUCAGUUUUUUUUCUUGUGCUGGACUUCCAUCCAGCAUGCCAAAUCUUGAAGCUCUUGCCAUACAUUCAAAAUUAGAGGUAUGAGAACUUUAGCUGGUUGUUAAUUUGUUAUAGGCAUAUCUUAUGAUACUACUACAGGUCUAAUUAAUCUGACCUCUUUAUGCGGAGGGCCUAUGUACCAAUGUUGUGUAGCAAAUUCCUCUUCCUCGGGCACUUGAGCAUUGCUCUUAUUGGAGCACCCGUUUACCCAACCUAUGAUUAUUUGUCCUUAGCUUCCUUAGCUUCCUUUUUUUAUGCUGCUCCUUCUCUGGAAACUUUCAACUUAAAUGUGAGUUGCCAUUCGUACUAGUACGAUAUUAUUAGUAUCUGUGGUAGAAAUAUGGCUUAAUUCUGUCCUUUUGUAUCACAGGUAUGACAGCGAUACAUGAAGAAUGUUUCGAUUUUUGCAGAUCCUGUGGAUCUGAGGCAGAUGCAAGAACUGCAGCAUCACAAUCUUAGCAGCGUGAGUAUCACAUGAUUCAGCUCUGCGAAGAGCUUGGUUGAGUUGACAUUUCACAAGAUUAUAAUCUCACUUGAGUGCUUGACAUUGGAAGCCCCUCAGAGUUGUGUCAGAUGCUCUGGUUCUGCCAACAAAUCUGGCAAAUACUCCCUACUGGCCUUGGAUAUUCUCAUGGAAGGUCACAAAGCGGUCGUGGCUAUCAGAAAGUAUAUCGAACCUAGAGUCCUCUCCACAGUGAAGUUACAUGUUUUGGAGCCUUGCAGCUGCCAUGAUGUUGAACUUCAGUUGUCAUGUUUAUCUUAGUUAUUCAAUGUUUUAUCAUGCUGCUGCUGCUAAUCAUGCCAUGAUUUUUGUAAUGCAUAAUGAAGGAAAAAUUUUCAUGUGUACCUUUGGAACAAAAGACGCAAUGGAUCUUGGAGGGAAUCUAAUAAUGUUUCCUUUUCCUGUGCUGUACUCCGCCCCAUUGGCAAAUUUCUUGCAAUCUAAGGAUGAGCAAAUGUCAACCAGUCAGAAUCAUGCGUUUUCCCCUGUGCGUUUGAAAAUCCUGGGCGCCAUACAUAGAAGCCCUCUCAGUAAAUAUUUGUCGACUGCGUUCAACCCGACGUCCUGCUGACCGAGAGACCUGCAGUUGCAACGGAGAGCUCAGGGAGUAAUCACAAUCAGCGGAGGACUCGGAGUUGGCAGAGGAACAGGCGGCCGCAGAGGAGCUCCGUGGGCUGGCUGGUUGACCUCGCGCGUCGCGAGCAAGCCACGCAUGCGAUGCGUGAUGGCCUGGGGCGCUGGCUGACUGGCUUCGUUCACAGCUGCGUCGACGGCCACCAAGCUCAGCGUGCCGCUGGCCAUGAUAUCCAGAUAGGCUCCGCUGCACCAGCAAGUAAAUUUAAUAGAUAAGUCAAGAGCCUUCUUGCAGUGAUUACCUGCUCCUGACAGAAGGCUCUUCUACUAAUUUAGUUUGCUCACUCAUCCGCACCAGUGUAUCUGUGUAUGACAAUGGCAGACUGCCCUGUGUUGGUUUCCAUAACUAAUCAGAUAAGUCAAGUGAUCCAGUUGCUUAUCAACUGGGAUCACUUGAUGUUGGUAAAAGAAAAAGCCCGCAUUAACCUUGAUGUUCUCCUGCAAUUUAAACUUUGCCUAAAUUUUGGAUUAAUGAUGUUGAUAGUCAAUAACAUCGGGGUCAGGUUUGGUUAUCCUCUGUCUGCUGUGCCUUUAGAGUAAGGUAACUCUAAAAAUCUCUGCAAGGUUGCAAAGUACCAUUGAAGAAAUCAAGUUCUUUGGUUUGAAAUAUUGGUCAAAGUCUUCUUUGGGUUUGGAGUGACAAUUGGUGCAGAACGGACUCAUAUACGAAAGCAUACUUAUUGUUUGGCCUAUGAAGUACUUUCACUUUUACCAGGAACAUAGUAAGCUGUCAAAAUCUACAGUAGCGCACACCUUAUUGACCAAUAUCAUGGUUUCUGAUGGACUCAAAAGAACAGCCAUAAUAUUUCUCAACCAGGUCAAAACCUUUUACAACAGAUACAUCAAGAAAUGGAAUAAGUGAAAAUAAUUAGGAUCAUGUGUAUAAGUAUAAGCAUUGGGCAGCAAUGACUAACAGAAAGAAUGAGCAUUGGUUUUGAUGAUACCGUCUAGCACAUUGAGAUGACCUACCACAAAUAUAAUACCUCUAAAAUGGGAUUUAGAGUGAACUAAGGCUUGAGGACAUCUUUUCUAGGUGGUGCUAGGGCUAACAUCUUCACUAGUUAUCCACAGAUUAUUGUUCUUCAAAAUUAAUAUAAACUACAUUAAUAUAAUACUUAAAACAUUGUUCAUGAUAAAAUGUUUGGUGUCAGUACACCAAAAAAGCAACAUUCCCAUGAACAGCCUCCACAUAUCGCACAAUAGCAUCCUUGUUCAUUUGAUGCAUUGCUCUUGUCAUGGCAGAAACUGCCAGAGUUUGAAACCUAGUUCAGGUACUAAUGAGCAUACAUGUUCCAUAAAAUGUUGUGGUCAAAGACUCAAAAGUGGAAAAGAGAAAGCAUUACUGGCACAUAGCCAUGUAGGUUACAAAACAGAAGAACAUUUGAGAUAAUCUUAUACGCAGUUUACACCAUUAACUAGGAAUAUACAUUACCAUCCAUCAUAGUACAACUACAAAUUCAAAGAAGCCCUAAAAACUGAUAAGUAAUGAUGGUCAAAGUAAUGGUACAACUAAUGUCCACAGCUCAACCCAGAAGAAAACCGAGACAUCCAAGUUUAUAGGGGGUACUAAGAUGUCAAGUACAAAUGUAGCGGGAUGAAUUCCACAAGAUUUUUUGUUUUAUAAAUUAACGAACGAUGCACCCAAGGAUUUAUGUAAAUAGGUUUCAGCUGUCCAAAUAACCACUAACAAUUCAGCUUCACUGAUGUUGUAGAUAUGUCUGGGUCAUGAAGGGUCCCUUAUUGCCUACAAGGAGGCCAGAUAACUUUAUAUGGCUGUGUCCAAUUUAUAGGAACAAAAUAGGGGCCAUUCAGCCAUUUUUCCGCAGCCUAAUUCAAAUUUUAUCCUACAGAGUAUAGUCACAUGAAAAUACAUUCAAAAUGAUCACAAAACCCUCAUGAAAGUAGCUAAAAUGGAAUAGAAAAAAAAAACAAUUUCCAUUUCUCUAACUAGUACUGUACAAAGAAGAAAAAAAGGAAAAAAGAGAUAGGUUUCCGGAUCAUUAGCUGCUUCAGAAAUUAAUGAUUAUGCCUAUUCAUUAAUUUCACAAACUAGUACUAAUAGAAAACAAGCAAUAGAAACUAUAAACCAAGAGCUGGCAAAUAAAACAUCUAGAAAUUCUGAUGCCAAGUUAUAUCUAUCAGUAAAUCCGACAAGCUUCACACACCUUUCACUAGCUUGAAAUUGACUGCCUCCAGUUCAGCAACGGAACAGGAACAACCUUAGGACCAUAAAGACAACCCUUAAUUGAGUUUGGUAGUACAACUUUGUCUUAUCAUAACCUAUGACUAUGAGUAACCUAAGCAUGCUAAUGAGAUCAUCUUAAAGCUAUUGGUCCCAAAACAACUUCCAUAACUGAUGGAAACAUUCAAACACAACAUGAAAAAUGAACUAAGACUGCCUGCCUAGAUUUUAAAAUCGAAGCUCACUUCCAGGUCUCCUCUGAAGAAUUAACUGGAAGCAGAGCAUCCAAGAGCAAUGUUGGGCAGGCAACCUGAACUCCCAUUGACAUUCACCCAUCAAUCAUCUAUUUCUGAACCAAUGCUCUUCCUUAGUCCCCUUGGUGGAUCAACAGAGACACCCCUUCCUUUUGGUAUCACGAAAUUCCCUAAUUAGCAAAUCCAAGCCCACAAAAGCAUCCAGAACUUCACCUUACUCGAGGAAUAGGACAAACUAAAAGCAUAUACAAAAUAAGAUCAUAAGAAUAUAAAUUAUGCACACAACAGAUCUGUAGCUGUAUGCAUAAGCACAACAAACAGAGUUGAAGAAGCACGCAAAUUAAACAAAGUGGUUGGACUGCGGUGGCACGGGUGCAAGAGCAGUAACAACCGUGGCAACUACAAGCUGAGACAAGAGCAAACAAUAUGGACGCUCCCCAAGAAGUUAUGAAAAUUCAGAAUGUUCCAAUAGUAGCAACUUGUAGCAAAAAGAAAUUGCACCAUUAACUAUAACAAUUCAGACCACAGGCAACAAUUUCAACAACAUAACAUUCAGAAUCACAGGAAAAUCUAGUAACAACAAACCACAACAUUCAGAACAUAAGCAACUGAUGAGAGCAACGCAAGUAUAUAGAUGCGAGUAUUUAAGGAGCAAUGGCAAGUGCAUAAGAUCCAAUCACAUAUAGUCACUGAAAUGAUCGAAUGAUCCUUGGGAACCUUUCAACUACUAGACAAAAACUAUAGCAAUAGAUCUAUACAGGCUGGGGCAUCAAGGACUCAAAACUUCAUGGACUAGCAACCGGUUCCUUGACCACGACAACGACUUGCAAAAAACACUAGCAAUAGAUCUAUACAGGAUCGGGUGUUGACGGACUCAAAAGUUAGUGCACUAGCAAUGGUUCCUUGACUACGACGACAACUCACUUUGCGCCGCCCUUGGUGCCAUCUUCCUCGUCGGUGUUGGACUCGUCCAUUGGCUCCAGGCCCUUGACGGAGAUGUUGGCGGGGAGGUCCUGGCCCUUGACAGAGCCCGGGUCGACCGCCGGGAACUCGACUGCCCAGUCGAGGCACAUCUGGACGCUGUUGCCAUGUCAAGCUUGUUCAAGUAUCUAGCUGUUAGUGUGUUAGCGUGUCAAGGGUCUAUGCAUGAGCUCACGGACUGUGUGCGGCCAUGCAUGCGUUGUGGGGGAGAAUAGCUCGCGUAGUCCGAGUUCUCCGCGUUCUGGACUCGCUCUCCCGUCGUGCGUCGUGGGGAUGGACGCGGCAAUGUCACGGCAGGAGAAGCGCUCCAGCGCUGGUUUUUCCGUUUGAUGUAAUCGCGAGUAAAAGGAUGAAUAGAGUCAGAAAAUGCUGCGACAUUUUGGCAGCUCAAAAACUCCCUCGUGCUCGUGUGUUCUAGUGUUUCCAAGUGAGCUCUGGCUGACAAUUGGUACCAGAGCAUUAAGCUGGGACUCACGCCGUGAUGCAGUCACCAAAGUCCCAAGGAUGUUCGCCGCUGGCGGCGGAAAAGGUCGGAACGUCGAGCGGCGACAAGAAGGGCUCAGGCGGGGAGAAGAUGCCGCCGCACUCACCAAAGCGCACGCCGUCACCAAGCUGCACGCCCUCGCGUCGGUCGCGCACUCGUGACGCCAGGGGUGGGCACAGGCCGCGUCGCUCCCGGGAGAUCGUCGUCGAGCGCGUCAUCCAUGAAGGCGGUGGCUUCGGCAACUGGCCGUAAUUGACCGAGGCGAAUUACAACUCGUGGUCACUGCUGAUGAAGCUCAAGCUGCAGGCGCGCCAUCUCUGGGAGGCGGUCAAGGUUGGCGACGUCGACUUCCAUGACGACCCCACCGCGCUAGAGGCGAUCUGCAGUGGUGUCCCGACAGAGAUGGUCCCCAUCCUGGUGACCAAGGCGUCAGCCAAGGCGACGUGGGAGGCAAUCCGGACGAUGCGGAUCGGGGAUGAUCGGGUGCGGAAGUCUACGGCUCAGAACCUACGCGCGGAGUAUGAACAGAUUGCAUUCCGCGACGGUGAGCCGGUGGAAGACUUUGCCCUUCGCCUGACGAAUAUUGUGCAGCGGCUGUCAAUCCUCGGCGAUCCAGAGCCGGAGGCCAAGGUGGUGGCAAAGUACCUGCACGUGGCCUGACCAAGAUUUCGGCAACUCGUCGUCUCAAUCGAGACACUCCUCGACAUCGACACGCUCUCGGUGGAGGAGGUCACCGGGCGCCUCAAGGCGGCGACCGACGACGAGCCGGCUCUGGUACGCGCGGAUGGAAAGCUCUACCUCAUGGAGGAGGGAUGGAUGGCUCAUCUGCGGCAGCGGGACCAGGGCGCCCACGGUUGCGCGGGUGCCGUGGCGGAGGCACGAGCAAGAAGGAUGGCGGCCCAAGUUCCUCGUCGGGCGGAGGGUGCAGCGUUGGGCCGGAUCAAUGCCGGAGAUAUGGGAAGACCGGUUAAUGGGCCCGGGACUGCCCAACGAAGCCCAAGCAUGCGGAGGCCCAUGUGGUCCAAGGAGAGGAGGAUGACAGCCCUACCCUUUUUUUUUUGCAGCGGCGUCGAUCGGAGUUGAGGCGACGCCGGCAUCCGCCGCUGCGCACCUAAUGGAGAAGAAGGUGGUGCUGCAGCUAGAUGGAGAUGCCAAGCGCGACACGGGGCUUUGGUAUUUGGAUACUGGGGCCACAAAUCACAUGACGGGUGCGCGCGACGCCUUCACCGAGCUUGACACCAGCAUACAAGGCAUGGUCAAAUUUGGGGAUGGAUUUGUGGUCUCGAUUGAGGGCUGCGGAUCCAUCAUGUUCGAGACGAAGACCGGAGAGCACCGGCGCCUCUUGGGGGUCUACUACAUCCCGCGGCUCACGGCGAAUAUCGUGAGCCUCGGGCAGCUAGAUGAGGGAGGCUGCAAGGUCGACAUCGACGACGGCGUACUACGGAUCUGGGACCAGCGACGGCGACUGGUGGCGCGGGUGCGUCGUUCCCCGGGACGCCUGUACCUCCUCCGCAUGAUGAUCGCCAAGCCGGUGAGCAUGCUGGCACGAAAGAUUUGGGCACCUUCACUUCGACGCACUGCGGAAGCUGGCGCGGGAUGACAUGGUGCAAGGUCUCCCCGAGAUCGAGCACGUCGAGCAGCUCUAUGACUGCUGUAUGGCGACGAAGCAGCAGCGCCCCUCGUUCCCGGCAGCAGCCAAAUACCGGGCGCAGGGGAUGCUGGACUUGGUCCGCGGCGACCUCUGCGGGCCCAUCACGCUGGCGACACCUGGAGGCCGGUGACACUUCCUGCUACUCGUCGAUGACCACUCACGGUACAUGUGGGUGAGGCUGCUGAAGACAAAGGACGAGGCGCCGGCGGCAAUCAAGCAGUGGCAAGCACUCGUCGAGGUGGAGACGGGUCGAGCGCUCCGGGUGUUGUGCACCGAUCAUGGGGUGAGUUCACCUCAAUUGAGUUUGGCGAGUGGUGCGUAGGGCGUGGCGUGCGCUGGCACCUAGCGGCGCCAUACUCGCCGCAAUAGAACGGCGUCGUGGAUCGUCGGAACCAAACGGUCGUGGCGAUGGCACGGAGCCUGCUGAAGGGAAGAGGUGUGCCUGCGGAGUUCUGGGGCGAGGCCGUCGUGACGGCCGUAUAUCUCCUCAACCACGCGCUGAUGAAGAGCCUCGCGCGGGCGUACACCGUAUGAGGCAUGGCACGGUAUCAAGCCGGCAGUGCAUCACCUGCACACGUUCGGGUGCAUGGCGCACGUGAAGACGGUGAAGCCACACCUGAGCAAGCUUGAAGACAGGAGCAAGAAGAUGGUGCUGCUCGGGUACGAACCAGGGGCCAAAGCAUACCGGGUGUACGACCCAGCGGCACGGCGCGUCCACGUCUCUCGCGACGUCGUGUUCGAUGAGGAUGCGGCCUGGAGCUGGAGUGACGCCGAAGGGGAGAAGAGCAAGGAGUUCGUUGUGGAUGCAGCGUGGGAGAUGGUGCACCAGGAGAGGCCGUCACAUGCUAUGACGGCACCCAUGAAGGCAACAACGUCGCCGGGUGCACUAGCACGGGGUGGAUGGUCGCCUGCAAUGGCGACACCUGCGAUGGCCACUUCUCCUACCUCGACGCCCUGUACCCCGACACCAACGCUCCCAGGCGCGCCCGCGACACCGAUCGGUACUAUGCAUGAGAACGUGGCCGGGCCAGGACAGGAGCCAACAAGCGGCGGAGUGCCGGACAAUGCCCAGUACACCGGUGGGGUACUGGACAGCACCCACCUCGACGCCGAUCACAACAGCAGCUGUCCGCUCCGGCUUCGCUCCCUCGACAACAUCAUUGGGGAUGCGGAAGUCCCGGGCAUGGCGGGGCGAGAGUUUGACUAUGGAGAACUCAUGCUGGCGGUGGGAGAAGAGCCUGCAACGUUCGCCGAAGCGGAGCAGCACGCUCCGUGGCGUGGGGCAAUGCUGGAGGAGAUGGAGGCCAUUGAGCGGAACAAGACAUGGCGCCUCACCAACCUCCCCCCGGGCACCGACCAAUUGGGCUCAAAUGGGUGUACAAACUGAAGAAGGAUGCGCAAGGGAAUGUGAUCAAGCACAAGGCCAGAUUAGUAGCUAAAGGCUACGUGCAGAAGCAAGGUGUGGAUUUCGACGACGUCUUUGCACCGGUGGCGCGGCUUGAGUCAGUUCGAGUGCUGCUCGCCAUGGCUGCCCAGGAGAGGUGGAUCGUCCACCAUAUGGACGUCAAAUCGGCUUUUCUCAAUGGGGAGCUGAGCGAGGAGGUGUACGUCAUCCAGCCGCCGGGCUUUGUGCAAGAAGGGGAGGAAGAGAAAGUGCUACGGCUCGACAAGGCCCUGUACGGGCUGUGCCAAGCUCCCCGGGCGUGGAAUAUCAAGCUGGAUCACAGCCUCUGUGAGAUCGGCUUCAAGAAGAGCAGGUGUGAGCACGGAGUUUAUGCUCGCGGACAUGGCACAUCAAGGCUCCUGGUGGGUGUGUAUGUUGAUGAUCUCAUCAUCACCGGGAGCGACGUGGAUGAGAUUAACAGGUUCAAGAAGGAGAUGACGCGGCUAUUCCUGAUGAGUGAUCUUGGACCCCUGAGCUUCUACCUUGGGAUUGAAGUGAAGCAGGGAGCUGAGGGAAUCACCCUGAACCACUGAACCAGAGCGCGUACGCGGCAAGGAUCGUGGAGAAGGCGGGCUUGGCUGGCUGCAAUCCCGUGCAUACUCCAAUGGAGACACGGUUCAAGCUGAGCAAGGAGAGCUCGGCGCCGGCGAUGAACAUGACAGAGUACUGCAGCCUCGUCGGAUGCCUACGCUACCUCGUCAACACGCGCCCAGACCUUGCAUACUCGGUGGGGUACAUGAGUAGAUUCAUGGAGAAGCCCACCACCGAGCACCUGGCGGCAGUCAAGAGGCUCCUGCGCUACGUCGCCGGGACGAUCAACUACGGGUGUCUCUACACCAGGCAGGACAGCGAGGCCAAACUGAUCGGCUACUGCGACAGCGACAUGGCUGGCGACGUCGACACCCGAAAGAGUACGUCUGGUGUUCUCUUCCUCCUUGGUCAGAACGUGAUCAGCUGGCAGUCACAGAAGCAACGUGUUGUGGCGCUGAGCUCCUGUGAAGCGGAAUACAUCGCAGCCACCACAGCAACCUGUCAAGGUGUGUGGCUGGCACAACUAAUAGGCGAGCUGAGGAAUGAAGAAACCAGGUCGUUUGCACUGAAGAUUGAUAAUCAGUCCGCCAUUGCUCUUGUGAAGAAUCCGGUGUUUCAUGAGAGAAGCAAGCACAUCGACACACAAUAUCACUAUAUUCGAGAAUGUGCAGAUGCAGGGAAGGUGAAGGUUGAAAGCAUCGGGACGGAACGGCAACUGGCGGACAUUCUGACCAAACCCCUGGCGCGCAACAAGUUUGUUGAGCAGCGACUGAAGAUUGGAGUUCUAGAAGUUCAGUGAACAAAGCUUGAGGGGGUGAAUUGUUGCCAUGUCAAGCUUGUUCAAGUAUCUAGCUGUUAGUCUGUUAGCGUGUCAAGGGUCUAUGCAUGAGCUCACGGACUGUGUGCGGCCAUGCGUGCGUUGUGGGCGAGAAUAGCUCGCGUAGUCCGAGUCCUCCGCGUUCUGGACUCGCUCUCCCGUCGUGCGUCGUGGGGAUGGACGCGGCAAUGUCGCGGCGGGAGAAGCGCUCCAGCGCUGGUUUUUCCGUUUGAUGUAAUCGCGAAUAAAAGGAUGAAUAGAGUCAGAAAAUGCUGCGACGUUUUGGCAGCCCAAAAACUCCCUCGUGCUCGUGUGUUCUAGUGUUUCCAGGUGAGCUCCGGCUGACAGACGCGAGCUCUGAAAUCGCCGAUCCGGUCCUCUGAAAGCUUGUAGUCGAUGUCCAUCCUCAGGGCCUGGCGGGCAGCUCUCUCGAGGCUGUUUGAGAAGUAGCUGGUUAGGUGGAUGAGAAGAGGUUGUUGACCUAUAGCCCCUUGGUGAAGACGGCGGAUCGUCUGGUUCCUGGAUUGGAGACCGCGGAGGUCUCGACGUCGGUGGGGUUGUUCGCGAGCGUGGGGAGGAUAUCGGCGUCGAGGGCGGUGAGCAUGUCGGCGAAGCGAGCGAAUCUGGCUGCUGGCUUCCUUUUUAUUUUAUUUUUAAUUCCAAAUAGUAUCCCAAGAAUCAAUUCAAUUAUAUUUCAUUCAUGGCUUGUUGGACAUGUUGUCCACUGAUAGCAAUUAAUCUUACCUUAAUUAGAAUCUGUUGUCUUGUCAUCAUGGAUGCAUCUGAAGAACUGAUUGUCUAAAUGGCCGUCCUGAUAGCCAUAAUCCAAGCCUAGGAGUGAUAUUCUUUUCUUGCGAGGAGAGUGAUAUUUAAACUUCAGCCGUUAAGAUUUAUAUCAUUUUCUUAUAUACUCCAUUGUAGCUGUUUAAGUAUGAUAUGAUGCACUCGAUCAGUCCAGAAGUGCAUGUCCUUUAAAUAUGUAAAUCUAUCUAUGGUUUGGUUGGUACAUUCAUCAAUAACAACCAUGCAUUCAUUCCAGUUCCUUCUAUCUCUACACCUCACGCUUUCUUUUCCAAAAAAAAAACACCUUACGCUUUCCACCGAGUGGAUCGUUCAUUGGCAGACAAUUCAAUUCGACGAGGAAUGUUUUUCGUCAAUCUGACUGGUGGAUUCAGUUAAAACAAUGUGAAGAUCCUUUUGCCAAUGUGGGCGGCACAGGCAAUCUGAUUGAUCGAUUUGAUUUAUUACUCAAAGAAUAAGCUCAAACAAUCUGAUUGGGGGCAACAUGCCAACCGUUUCUAACAGCCUUUUCCGAUCCAUCCACCUUCAAAGUUCACAUGAUAGGCAAGGAUAUUCAUAUGCUUCUGCAAACCAAACAAAAAACAGGUCCAGAAGCACUUUGAGCCCAACUCUGUACAGGAUACAUGCAACUCAGGGCAACACUAACAAGUAGUAAUACUCUCACUCAUCUUUCAUGGCCGUCUCGUGCCUCCUUUUCUGUGCAACCUCUACAAGCAGGGUCAGCAGGGCUUCGCAUACCUGCGAUGUGUCCGCCUCAUCGCCAGGCUCUUCUUUCAGCGAGGAAUACACCAUCCAUGCGUGGUCUAGCUUCCUCUCUGGCCGGACCACCACCGAUCCAGGAACCUCAGCAUCCUUCCUCGUCACAAGACCAUCACUUUUCUCGCCAUACCUUGCCACCAGAAGCUGAGAGCAUGCUGCCAUUGCAGCUGAAAGUGGCAUUACAACCGGUAUCCUGGUGGAAUUGCCAUCGGCAGCAAUCGGGAGCUCCAAGUGCGCAACAUGAGAAAGCGCGGUGAGCACACUAGGAGUGAUGCUUGCCUCGGUGUGGAAUGAUACGAUUGGAACCUCCUGAGGCAAUGGAUGCUGUCGCAGGAAUUCUUUCCUCCUUUCAUAGGUCAGAUCUUCUAGAGCCUGCACAUCACCCUGAAAAUAACACGACAAAUAGAGUCAAGAACACUAUCACUCAUUGUUAGGCAAGCUGGUUAGUGGCUGGAAUGAUCAAGGCAAAUACCUUAAGGACUUUGGAUACCAAGAUCUCCAUGAUUUUACGCAACCUGACAUAGUCACCAAGCUGCCCCUCUCGCAGGAUAUCUGAAGCAACUGGGCUUCCUCCAUAUGGACUUUGAGCUAAUACUAAACCUGCAACUUUGUCUUUCAGCUGUGGCCAGUAGAGGGAGAGGGCUGCAGCCGAAUCUACACCGCCCUUACUAUGACCGAGAAGUAGCACCCGUUUCCUUGAUCCCCAGUAUAUUUCUUCUAUGUAUUCCUUUAUCUCUCGUGCGUUUUUACUUACUGAAGACUGCAAUGUGUUUUUUCAUGUAUUUCUUAAUUAGAACAAAUAUCAAGAGGCAAGUUACAGGCUAAUGUAUGGAAGUACCUCACUAUGAAUUUUGGCAAUAUGACAAGCUAGACCCAUCUUGGAGAAGUAUGCCUUUGUCUUGACAAAGUAUAGUGGUCCAUGGUUACUAAACAGACCUAUAAAAAUGUUAGCAUAAAAAGUUGGAAAUUGAUAGCUCACAAUCGAAGAGGUAACCGACUGACCUGGAACCAGCAAGUAAACAACUGAAUCAGGUAGCUUGUGCUCAUUUUUCCUGAAGGGGAGUGAGAUGGUCCACAUGAGAUAUAGUUCAGAUUACAUCUUUCAUUAGAAGCAUUUUUACAAAUCAUCUGCAUUGACAUGCAGUUUGGUGCUUUUCCUGUCCUCACAGAGUCCAAGAUCUCCAAGAAUCUGGCUGUCCCAUCCUCAGUUGUAGGUAAGCUUUGAUCCUGCUGGAGCCAGCCGAUAUCAUCUGCCGAACCACGAACAGUUUUCCGUGCACGCUCUACAAGGCUGCACAAGGUAUCAAAGGAACAUACUAUGUUGUGAAAGACUAUUACAUCCACUAAAUUUGAUUUUCCCAUCCAAAUUUACUAAAAAGAAUUGCACCACUAUGGCGUCUGUUUUCUACUCUCAGAUGUAGAGUUUAAUCUUCAGUAUGGACAAUACAUCCCCAGCAUAGCAGAUUCUAUGAGAAGUGCAGCACUACAUGUAUUGAGUCCUUAAUGCAUUGAUUAGAGCUUGCAUCUGAAGGAACAAAGCAUAAAGAUUCAAGAACAAACUGUACCCUUGAAACAGCGAAGUUCCAUUCUGAAAAACAUGUGAAGGCACCAUUUGACCUGUGUUUUCUUGAGAGGGGCUUCCACUGCAAUCUGCCUGACCAAGGGAUGAAUUGGUGCCAGCAGACGCUAUGGAAGAAUUCUGAACAGAAAGCCUGUCUACUGCUGAUGCAGGUGGCAGUGUUACUAACUCUUGAUCCUCCUCAGAUAGACCUGCAUUAAGAUAAUAAACACAAUCAAUCUGUUAAAAUGGAAUUACCAUAAGAGCCCAGGUUGCUUAUGCAAUUGACGUAGGGAAUCAUUUUUCUGAAGAAAGAAAAAGAACUAACCCACAUAACCAGGUACAGGGAGGCACUGGGAGAGAAAUGAAGCUGUGUGGGCAAGAAAAGAUGCAGCUUGAUUUAAAGCGGGUACGGAGAGGAAUAAUUGUGAAUCUUCAACCCUGUCAGCUGAGCAACUAUCAUCAACCUGUAUUAAUCAAGUAACUGUUAAAGAAAGAAAUAACCAAAGAGAUUAAGUACAACUAUAGAACUUUUGCCAAAUAUGAAACUUUACAUAUAAAAUCAAUGGGAUUUAGUUAUGCUGUUAAUGGUGGUCAUGUUUGAAGCAUUUGUGAAAUCACCAAUUUAGGUGGGGUGCAAUAUUAUAACAGUGAUAAUCUUUACACUUAAACUUUUAAAAUUUUGUAUUCGAAUAACAGGGGUGCCAAGGAUAAUGAGUGGACAUGAUCAGUGUACUAAUAAUAACUUUAAGGUUUACAUCAUGAGCAACUGAAAAAGAAAAGAGGGUCAUGGUUAAUUGGUUCAUAGAGUGACAGAAAAAGGAUAAGAGUUGAACAAAGUUUUGGCAAUUCAGUGCACGUGGUAACAGCUGGGAAAAUUUGGAAAUUCAACAUACCGUAGCAGAUGUAGAUGGCUCCCCCUGUGUUGAAGGCGAUUCCCUCAUGUUUGGUAUGGUUAUCCAGAGAAUUGAAAUCUGCUAGCAAUGCUCCCAUUUGUCAGGACGUUCAAUGUGCAACCAAGCAAUGAAGCUGCAUAAGGAGAGUAAGAGGAAAAAUAUGGUGGAGCUAGCGACAGAUCAGAAGUUUAUGACAAAUAGAACUGACAAGGAAACACAACUGGCGAGCAAGUGAUGAGGUCCUUUUAGAGCAAAGGAAUCACAAGUGCACAAGUAAGGAAAAGGUGGUACUCUUAUCGUGAAGAAGGAAAGGAUCAAACGCAUCUCCAAUCAACAAAGGCAUCGGAGCUUCCAGCAGGUGCAUACGUCAGAAGCCAAUUUCCUUUUUUUUCUUUCUUGUUAAGAUAAAAUAUAAAAAAAGGCCAGCGCGAAGCCUGCGCUGCAACCUAAGAGGAAGCAGGUUUCUCUGGAUAAAGGAAAGCUGAAAAUUCUUGCACGGAUAGAAUCAGACGACCUUAUGGUGAUGCGAGAUGCUAAGUGCGGAACUGAAUCAGGAGAUGAAGUAUUGAAGGGAAUCAGUAGGUGAGAGAUCUAACAAUCUCAACCAAAUUGAAUACGACUGGAAAACGAAAGAAAAAAAAGGGGACAUCUAUCUAUUUACCGGAAUUCAGAGCGGUGGAUGCUGCCAGGACACUAUGGUGGAUCGGAGGGGAGUCUUCGUCUUCCGGCAGCCGCGUCUCGGCUUUCGUCUCCCACGCCGCGCCGCCCUUCUUUACUCUUCAGUUUUUCUUCCCCGUUCUUCUUUUACGUGGCUCGCUCUCAGUCUGAGUCAUCUGAUGGGCCAUGGGCCGUCACUGCAUCCUCCUCCUCCCCCGCCGGGCUGAAAAUAUAGCCCUGCGGGCUGCGGCCGGUUUGGCAGUCCCACACGGGCUUUCUUUCCUCACGUCAGUAGGGGGGUGCACGUAAUAUCAUUAUACAGUACAAUAAAACAAGCAGCAUACAUGACAUUUUCAAAUUCCAAAGAAUUCCUAGAUUCUUCUCCUCUGGAUAAUGCAGGGAACACCUUAUCACACACUGAGAUACAAUGUUUACUAAGUGAUGUGUUACACAGUGCUGAGCACGUCCAUUCCUUUCCCAGACUGAGAAACACAAAGAUUCAGUAAUCAUCCCUUCCUCACAUUACAUUCAGCUCACACACUAGCCUCCAUACAUUUACAACUGCACCUUUCCCCCGCAAUUUCAUAUCACCAUUGCUCGUCCCCUUCCACCUCUACUUCUUCCUUUUCGUACUCGGAGCCAGAACCCUCCGUGUCUCCAAAAGGAUCCUCAUCAUUGCUACCAUCAUCAUCAUCCUCAUCCUCUGACAAUUCCUCAGGAUAAUCAAAAAGUGGAUUGUCUUCAGCUGCAUGUUAUGCGAUGGAAAAGUUAAGCUAACUAAAAUAACCAAGGACCUCAAUUCUCACUGAUCAAAUAUGUGAGCAACAUGAUCGUACAAUUACCAUUUGAAUCAUCUGUGUCGUACGGGUAGUCUUCGUCAUCAUCCACUUGUAACCUAACAGUCAAAGAUUGUUCAGAAGGCACUCUCAAGGGAAUGGAACAGAGAUGCCCCCAUGCGAUUCGUAUUUACCGUGGAUAUGAAGCUGCUGACAUAUCCUCCAUGUUUGUAUCAUCCACCUCCUUGACAGUGUAGAUGUCAUAAACUUCUGAAUAUGCUUGUCAGAAAAUUUAUACUCAUCAUAACCAGUGCUGGAGCUAAACUGUUCACCUUUACUAUUUCAGCACCAGCACUAUUACAGAUUGAAAUCACUUCUUUUAUUACUAAUGAAAGCAGCAAGAAAGUCUCCACUACUGUUGAGAUCAUCUCAAGGCAAGAAGCUUGCAUACCUUCUGAUUGCGCCCAUGAAAUAAUAUCUGACUCGAUUUCCACAGCAGCUGAUGGCAAGUACUCCCGUAUAAGUGGAAGAAAGUUGCAUAAAACAGCACCCUCUUCGAAAGAAGUAAUCCUGCAGGGACUAUAGUGGGACAAAUUACAAUAGUACAACUUCAAAUUAAAAAGAACUGGUAAAUAGUUAGAAAGCAAGACUUGCCGUGGUUCUGCAGGAUUCUUCUCUUCAUCUGGAUCUACUUGGACAGCAUCAUAAAGAUGGCAUAUUUCUCUCAGUGACUCAUCAGCUUCAUCCUUUUCUCCUUUCCGACUCUUCCAUAUUUGUGCAAAGCGGGCAUUUCUUCCCAGAUCCUGUAUGGUCAAUGAACAAAACCAUGCAUAAGAAUGACCGAAGCAGAGCAUCAUGGAGUUUAAGAAAAAUAAAGUACUUGAUCGCAGUUUUCUAGUUUCAGGAAAAUUAAGGAAUAGCAUGGCUUCAUGAAACUGACACACAUAAAUAAACACGCCAAGGCCCAUGCUACAGCAACUCCAGGGACUAGCCCUACUUAGCUAAAAGGGAAUAAAUUAGUACAAAUAGGUCCUUGAGAAUUCUAUACUAGUCUCAAAUACCUCCUUGUAACUUGCAACUAUCAAAUAUUACUCAACACAACUAGUCAACCACACAUUUGCGUGUAUCCCUAUUGGUCUGAGCCUAUCCACUUGGAACUAUCAAAUAUGCCACUCUCAAAGAACCAAAUGAUCUUGUAAAAAAAAAGGAACCAAAUGACCACAUUGCUCAACACAAUAAGUGUCCAGAAACAGGAUUUGGCAGUGUACAGUGUACACCAUAGAAUCAUUUAUUUAGUCCACAAGCUUCGUAGCUGUAAGUCUGCAUAGCUAGCUUGCCAUGUGCUUGUGGCAAGGGUGUCCAGAGUCUAACUCCCAACCGAUAAGCACAGCUGAUGUGCACAGUGUAAUUACAGGAACCACUAGAUUCCUCCUGUAGUUAAUUCUGUGCUUGAUUUCUGGCACAUUUCAUGAUUUACACCAUCCGUCAAACUAAUUGCCUCAUUAGUAUUCGUACACAAUUGAGAAUCACGAGCUGACUGCAGCGAGAAUAAUAUGAUGUGCGUACCUCAUGCCUUUGCCUGGCUGCUGACCGUAGCUGGUCUGGUUUCUGUUGGCACAAGAAGGGAAAAAUUCAUAUAGGAUAUGCGAGAGUAAUAGGAUGUGCGUACCUCAUUUUAGAAUUCCACCAACUAAAAUUCAUAUAGACAGCUCGAUAUGGAAACACUAUUUCCCAGAUUGUAAACGCGGACUGACAGCCACGUUCAAGGGAAAAACUAAACAGUUCGAUUAACUCAUGACCCUCGUGAGAUCCAGCAGAAAAAAAAUUAAUGCGGUAGACAGUAGAACAAAGUUUCUGUUACUUUGUCUUGCUUGAUUCUGUCAUUCCACUCCUUCGUCUUGCUCUUUAUCUCUUUGGUAUUUGAGUCAGCAAGCUACAAAAACAAAUAGAACUGUUUACCAAAAAAAUCUCAUACACGUUAUAGAACAAGUUUUGUCGAUCCAUCGUGUAGCCAUGUUUUAAUCUGUAACAGAAACUGAGACCUCUUUUCCAUGCAAGUGAACAUCAAAACGGCAUUCAAGAUGUGAUGAAGAUUCAAAGCCAUCUCUAUAGAGCUCACAGAAAUAAAAAUAACAAGAGGUCAAAUGAAGCAGGAGUAUCGUUGAAUACUAAUGAGAAAUGAAACAUCUACCAAAAUUUAAACAUGAGCCAAGAAAGAGUUAUGCCAUGCAGAGAUGCCAAAUCUGGAUGCCAAACCAGUUUGACAAGAACAUAACAACAACAACAACAACAACAACAACUUAGCCUUUUGUCCCAAGCAAGUUGGGGUAGGCUAGAGAUGAAACCCACAGAAACAAGAAUAAGAAACACAAAAAGGCACAAGCCAAAGGAAGAGUUAGGGGUUAAAUAAAAAGUAACAAAGGUCACGGUUCAGGUACAUUAAUUGCUAAUCUCCAAGCGCUCCUAUCCAUAGCUAAUUCCUUAGCGAUAUUCCACUCCUUAAGGUCUCUCUUAACAGUCUCGUCCCAAGUUAGUCUAGGUCUACCUCUACCUCUCUUUACAUUAUCGCCCCGCUUUAAAACUCCACUACGCACCGGCACCUCGGGAGGCCUCCGUUGUACAUGUCCAAACCAUCUCAACCGAUAAAAUAAAAAAAACAAAUGGAAAAGGAUAGGUAUAUUACCAAAAGAGAGUGCAAAACAUGUUCAACGGCUUGAGAAUGGUGCACUGUUUCUAUGUGUUGAACAAGAAGCUUCUUAACCCGUGGUUGCUCCUCUGAAGCUGUGGGCAUCCGGCAAGACAGUAAGACAUUUUUCAGGUGAAGGAGGCACUACUACUACUAUAGUACUAUGUUCUUUCUGGUCUAUAAUUUUUUGUCUGAGUGAGGAGGAUUUGGUAUUAUAUCAUGUAUAGUAUCGAUGUAGGGUGACAAAGUUGUUUUUGGCAAAGCACCAUGGCGUCAAGGUUACAUUCUGUUUGGUCCGUACCUUUAGCACUGGAGGAGGAAGAGGAUGGUUCGAAGAUGGAGAGGCUGGAGAAAUCGAGCAUUGCCUUCUUCGCUGGCCUUUCAUUAAUCUCUAGCCCUGAUAGAGCAAAUAUUUUUUUGUGUGAAAACAUCUCCUUUUAUCAAGUAGAAAUUCAAGGAGGAAGGGGACGGGGCAAUGCGAAAGGAAGAUAGAAGGGGAGCUCACAGAAAGCGUCCGGGCGGGUUUGCGAGGGCUUGCGCUUGACCCGGACGACGAUGGGCUUCUCCCUCGCCGCCGCAGGCUCCGAGGUGGAAGCUUCUCCGGCGGCCGCCGCCGCAGACGCCAUGACCGGCGAUUGGGUAGUAGGAUUAAACAAGGCGCGGCCUGGGGCGACGGUGCUGUGCACGCGGGCGGCGCCGCGCAGGCGGUGCUGCGCAGGCGGGCUGGCCGAGCGGCAGCGCUGCGCAGGGGCCGGGCGGUGCGUCGGCGGGCAGGCCGAGCGGCAGCGCUGCGCAGGCAGGCGGCGGCGGAGCGUAGCUGCGCAGGUGGCAGAGCGGUGCGGAGGCGGGCAGGCCGCGUGGCAGAGCUGCGCAGGCGGGCAGGCCGCGCAGCAGAGCAGUGCAGAUGGGCGGCGGCGGAGCGCAGGCAGGCGGGCGCUGCGCGAGCGGCCGAGCGGCAAAGCGGCGCAGGCGGGUGGUGCCGGAGCGGAGGCAGGCGGGCGGGUGGUGCGCAGCAAAGCAGCAACGCGACAAAUUGGCGGCGCAAUUUGGCCAGGCGGCGGCGCAGCAGGGAGGGGAGGGGAGGGGAGGGGAGGAGACGAGAAGGGGAGGAAGAGGAAUGGUGGCUGACGGACGGGUCCCACGUAACGGAGAUUCACAGAUUAGGAGCGAUUCGAUUCUCCUAAAAAAAACUAUUCCAUCCCUCCAACCAAACACAGGCUAUGGAUAGAAUCAUCUCACCCUAAAAUUUAAAAUGGAACCAAUCCAUCCAACUUAACUCUCCAAUCAAACACUAUCUAACUUUAGAUGGUGCUUUAGACUUUAGAAUUCAUGCACACGGUAUCUGACGAAUAAGGAGAGGAGGAGCAUGGUUGGUCGCCAGCGUACAGCGGCGCAGUCCAAUACCAACAUCAACAACAAUGAAUAGAUUGUUUGAAUUUUGUCGCCAACAUCCUCAACAGUAUAGCCUCAUCUUGCGCCCCCAAAUACAGGCUCCAGAUAAGAAGAAGCGGACGCUGAAUUCUCAUCGACACAGCAUCUUAUCUAAGCUAUCAUGAAUCUGCCGCUGACAUCUAUGCAGCGGUGCCAAGCCCAAACCACCAAUAAGCCUACUCCUCGUGCCUUCCUUGGCCUCCUCUCCGAUGUUAUCACUCAUCAUGUUACUUCAACGGUGCCCUUUUGUUCUCCUCUUGUUAUGUUGUGAUGUGAAUUUGUUCAUUAAAAAAAACACUAGGAGGAGAUUUCGAUCCAACGGUAUAUUAAUUUUAGUGGUGGAUAGUCUUCCUUGUGUUGCUCCUUCUCACUUAGACUAAAUAAAAGAGAUUUGGUGUAGAUUGGAUUGCUCUUGAAAAAAUUAGUAUGAUCAAUUAGAGUUUCCACCUUGAACUGAAAAAAACUUUAUCUUUUCAUGUUUGGAUUUGGAAAAAAAUGGUAGCAUCAUCACAUAAGAUUGGCAAGAGAAAAUUUAGUUGUUCCUCUAUGUGUUGAACAAGAAGCUUCUUAACCCAUGGUUGCUCCUCUGAAGCUGUGGGCAUAUGGCAAAGACAGUAACAUAUUUUGCAGGUGAUGGAGGCACUACUACUACUGUAUUCUUUCUGGUCUAUAAUUCUUCGUCCGAGUGAGGAGGAUUUGGUAUUAUAUUAUGUAAAGUAGUGAUGUAGGGUGAUAAAGUUGUUUUGGCAAAGCACCAUGGCAUCAAGGUUACAUUCUGUUUAGUCCGUACCUUUAGCACUGGAGCAGGAAGAGGAUGGUUCAGAGAUGGAGAAGCUGGAGAAAUCCAACAUCGCCUUCUUCACUAGCCUUUCAUUAAUCUCUAGCCUUGAUGGAGAAAUUUUUUUUUUUUGAAAACUACUCCUUUUAUCGAGUAGAAAUUUAAGGAGGAAGGGGACGGGGCAAUGAGAAAGGAAGAUAGAAGGGGAGCUCACAGAAAGCGUCCGGGCGAGUUUGUGAGGGCUUACGCUUGAUCCGGACGACGAUGGGCUUCUCUCUCACUGCUGCAGGCUCCGAGGUGGAGGCUUCGCUGGUGGCCGCCGUUGUAGAUGCCAUGACCGGCUGUUGGGUAGUAAAGUUAAUAAGGUGGCGUCUCGGAAGGACGAGUGGUCCCUCUGGUACUCUAGCUAUGGCGGUGCUUCAGGAUUCGUGCGCACAAUAUCUGACAGACAAGGAGAGGGGAGCAUGAUCGGUCGCCGGCGCCCGGUGGCGGAGUCCAGUCCACGAAAUCUGUAUUGGCAGUUCACGGUAUCAUGGCCACCAAGAUACCUUAACGCCUUGGUUGCGUGACGUAAUUGAUACUGAUAUCAUCUAAACUGUCCACACUAACUUCCUAUGUGCCAUUCUUACCGCAACCAACUCGUCUCGAAAUACUGGUGGGUCCAGACAUCUUUAUCGGAAUUGCAAAAUUUUAGCGAUACAAACGCUGCUUUGUGACCUAUGAUAAGUGGAUUUCAUAAAAAUCCACAAGGGGGCACUUUUUCCAAUUUAGCUUCUCUAGGGUGAGACCUCACACGUUGCAUCUUAAUCUCGGCUAUCUCUCGGGUACUGUUGGGAUCAAGUUCUAUUGUGGAUAGGUCCAUCGACCUGUGAAGUUUAGAUUAACCUCUUGCUGCCAGCAUUUCUAGAUUGCAAUUACCGGACGCAUCGCUGCAGUUUCAUCUAGAAAUACUGGUGGUAAUGUUAGUUUAAGCUUCAUUAGCUUAUGGCCCCAGUCAUAGUAGAGCAAAAGCUCAACGGCGCUCCGUUUCCUAUCGGCUUUCUAGCUAAUAGCUUUCACGCUUUAUUAUCACCAAUUAUAUGGAUCCGAUUUGGACAACCGAUGAGCCGCUCAUGCUUUGCUUAUCAGGAUACUAGGAUCAGCCUUAUGGCUUAUUAUUCAUUUAUCAUGCUUUAUUAGCAUGUCGGGUGACAUAGUCUGUAGCACGUACCAUGAUUGCUUUAGUCAUUUACACUACAUAAUUAUAUUCAAUAUCUAUUUACAUAUGGUGUUUAUUCAAAGUACCCCUAUCUAUGAGCACACGAAGGCUUCGCCGCCUAUCAGCUCAUGUAUUUUAGGCUUCUCUUGUCAGUUGCAGGUUAAAUUGAGUGGCACGCUUUGCACCUAUACGAAGCUAAUUGGAGCCUGCGUCGGAGUAAAGCAAAUCUCUCGGGUCCUCGCGUGUGGUCACGUAGAAAGCCGAUAGCCGGUUUUUUGAGUCAACACCAUACCAUAGCAUAAAAGGUCUUAAGUAGGUGAUGGCAAGAUCACCAUGUAGUAUAGUUCUGUCAUGGUAGGGUAGUCACGUAAAGAGUGCAAGAGUCUUCGUGUUAUAUCCUAUAUUAUCGUGGUGAAUAAAGAGUUGAGUCCUGGUAGUCUCCCAUAUUGGUAUUUAUGUGAAGGUCUUAUUGAUGUAGUGUAGGUAUAGAGUCCACAGAAGAAGUGGUAUCACAGUAGGGUAUCGCUUCUUGAAAGUCGGCAUCGAUUUCUCAACAGGCGUAUUGUAAAUCUAGAAGUAACACCGGUGUCAACCUAAGACCGCCCUGGUAAAAUGCAAGCAUCCCGAAACAACCUUGCUCAUUAGGUGGCCCACCACAUGUCACACACGCUGUCACUUGACACGCACCACACGCACCUAUCAAUGCUUUGAUGCAUAGAUAUUCAUUCGUUUAUUUUGCACGCGGAGAUAAACAGCCAUGCUAGUGGAAACGCAAGCACGUCUCCUUCGCGCCUCGCAUACAGUUGCAUUUCACAGAUGGAAGUACGUCCACAUCAUUUGAGCCGCACCAAAUUGGUCACUAGUUCAUGGCAUGUGGGUUUUGCAGAGGUAACUGGGUGGCAACUGAAGAACCAGAUUGCAGGGAAAGAUGAGGUUGAUCGCGGCGUGUUUGACUUAUGCAUGCGCCGCAUUGGGCCAGGCCAUUCGAACUAGAAAGAUCGAACCAGACAUGCAUAUGUUCAGCAUGACUAUGAAUUCAGCAUGCGCUAUCAGCAUGACUAUGAAUUCAGAACCAUAUUAUAUUAGGGCUUUAUACAAUGUUAAAGAAUGCAUCGAUCACGUACAGUGAUGUACCUGUCCUUCUGUAUCACAGGUACGCCAGCCAUACAACAUGAAGAAUGUUUCGAUUUUGGGGAUCGGAGGCAGAUGCAAGAACUGCAGCAUCAGAACCUUAGAAGCGUGAGCAUCACAGGAUUCAGCUCCGCGAAGAGCUUGGUUGAGUUGGCAUGCCAUGUUCUCAAGAGUAUAAUAUAUAAUUAUUUAUAUACCGUAAUUAUUCGAUGUUCAGUUAUGUAUGUUUCUAAAAUUAAAUCAGCAGUGUUCUCCUGGCUUUGGGGGAAAUAGUUGAGGAGGCGAAUGAGAGGUUGCGUUUGGUUCAGCUGUGAGAUGUGAAAAAGCUGCUGUCAGAUAUCUGCUGUGAAAAAGCUGCUGUCAGAUAUCUGCUGUGAAAAAGCUGAAAGUCGUUUGUUUCAAACUGCUGUGAGUUGUCGACUGUGAAAAAAUUAUAUAUUGUCUUUAUGCAAAUUGACAGUAUACAAUAUUUCUUUGUGAUGAUCAAAUUAUUUUUCCUUUAAAUCUUUAUUUUUAUAUAAAUAUGAAAAUAUUUGGAGUUAACUUUUUUAUUAUUUAUUAUUUUUAUUUUUCUAUAUAUGAAAAUCUUUAUUUUCUUAUAUAUAAAAAAUAAUUGAAAUGGUAUAUAUGUAACCAAUAGUAGGUGUGUAGUUUUCAUAAAUUUGAAAAAACUGCAAAAACAGGGUACAACCUGCUUUUAAAUUUUUACUAUAGAAAUCAGCUUUUCAAAAUAGCUACACAAAAACUGAAUCCAUUUGAUUUAACUUCUGCUUUCUGAAAGCAAAGCAUUCUGAAAGCAAAGCAGAAGCAGGUUUAGAAAGCUGCCUGAAUAGUUCGUUGCGUUUGGGGCCUAGCGGGCUGGAGCGAGACUCCUUGGUGGGCCUUGCAUGGUAUGUCCUCUUCCUCCUCCUCCUCCUCAUGGGCCGCGACCAAAAGAGGAGGAGAGGCUCGGGCACUGCACAUGGCGAUGGCGGCCACCACUCCGCUCCUCCUCGUCUCCUCCCGCCCCUAUCCACACCGCCACCGCCACCGCCACUUCCCCGCCAACCCCAAGCCUAACGCGCUGCCCCAUCCUCUCCUCUCCCUGCGCACCAGUCCGGCCGCCCCCCUCGUCCCCCUCCCGCGCCGCCGCCGCAAUGUCACAGCAGCCUACGGCGACGACGACAUGGACGACGACUUCGGCGACUUCGACGCCGACGACGCGGACGGCGUCGGCGACGACGACGACGUCGACAACGAGCAGGACUACGACGUCGACUACGACCGCCUCCUCGCCCCCGUCAAGCCGCCGCCGCCGCCAUCUUCGCUGCCCGGGGAGGAGGGGGACAUCGCCAUGGUGGCCGCCGACAGCUUCGUCUCCACGCAGGACUCCGCCUCCGACACCGUCGUCGACUACGCCGUCGACGAGGACGAGUUCCGCAAGAUCAGGCUGCUCCACUGCGACUUCCUUAUCCGGAAGGUGCCCGACCCCGACGACGACGUCUUCGACUUCAGAGAGGUAAGGUCUCCAUCCAUUCCCUCAUUAGUCAUUACUACUGCUGACUAGUGCGUUCUGUGACAAUUGCCUGCGGCAUUUCAUCAAUUUUUCCCUGAUGCAUUUCAUUUCAUCGAAAUUCGAACACGUGUCUGGCGAUGCUAUCCAAAUUUACAUGAUCAUAGAUACGAGUCUCUUGAGUCAAUUGCCUGGUGCUCAUUUUGCUGAACAUGGCAUUUCCUGUGCACCAGAUGUAUGUCACGCCGCCAGACACUGAUAUCUACUCCAUUCCGAGGGUUCUUGCCCCGAUGCCACAGAAGGUGCCACUGAAAGUUUCAGUCAUUUGGUAUUUCUGCUGAAUCUGAACUGGCCUGACGUGUAACUAACUGUUGGUUUCCUUGUUGCAUUUAGUACGUGAGGUGCACGAAGAAAGGUUUCGGCCGUUACAACGUGACUGAACCACCAGUUGAGCAUUUGCGUGAUCCCCUGUACAAGACUGAGAGGGAAAUCAUGAAGGUAUGCUGGCAAUUUCAUCUGCUCUCUUUAGUUUCCCCCCCCCCCCCCUGCCACCCCUAUUGUGCUUCUUUCUGCCAAAAGCCAUGGUGGACUUGAUAUUUAGCCCUUAUGUGUAAGCUACUACCAUAUUUAGCAUCUUAUGAAGCACUCUGCGGUGGUUCUAUUUCUCAUGUACCAGCUUAUUUUUUGAAUGUAUAGCUCGUCUCUUGUCCUAAUGGUCCAAAUAUUGAAUAUCCUAAAAUAGGAAUAGAUGAACAGUAUAGUGCAUAGGUUUCAGUUUUUUACCUCUACAAAAGGCAGCCAUGUGCUUUUAUGUGUUAAUUAGCAAUAUUAGUAGAAAGUAUAGAUGGUGACCUCUUACAACAGAAAAUUUACAAUCAGAGUGCUAUGAGGGACUAACACGCUGUUACAGCAGAGAAACAAGAUGUAUUACAGACUAAGAUUAGGGGAUAGCAGCAUAUUGGUGGGUGGCCCAGCAUUGAACCAUACUGAGAACGCACUUCCCCAGAAUAUCUUUGUUUCUGAAGAGCCUGGAUCCUGGUCAUUCCAGUCUUCCAGAUUGUCCAGAUCAGUUGAAUUAGAGAUGUCCGCCUAGGAUUAUGUACUAUCCUACUUUGCUUACCCUUGAUCAGUGAGCUUCUAUGUGGUCAGCUUUAACUUUUAACUUGAUUCUACCCUGGAAUGUGAAGCGUGGCUGUUGUUAAUACUUAACACGUAUUAAAGAUUUAUUCGUAUUGUUUAUGUACAGCAUAGUUUGACACUGGUACAUUGCUUCUCCAUGUUAUGAUACAGUAAGAAUUUGUGCUUGUGGCGUUGUGAAUUUCAUAUUCAGAAUAUAUGUCUCAUGUUGUUUCGUAUUGCAGGUUUUCUUAACCAAACACUACAGAAACAGGCGCGCUGAUGACCCAGACUUUUUCCUUGAUUUUGAGGAGAUAUAUGUUAUUGACUCGAAAACAAGGUCAAUCACAAGAGCGAAAGUUGUGGUAAGAUAUUCUGUAUCUAGUUCGGUAUAUACUAUUCAAACAAUACUUCUUUUGAUAUAUUUGGGUUCCACGAGGUGUGUUCUGAAGAAUUUUGGAGUAAUUCUCCCUCUGUUUAAUGAUUUUUGAGAUACUUGUACAUGACACCAAGUAUCAAAAAUAAACAAAUAAAUAAAGGAAGUAUCUACUUAGGUCACUGAUAUCCAUCCAUGUUUAACAGGUUAGCGUUCCUGAAGGAAAGAAAAGAGAUAGGCGAAACGACCUGCUACUGAUACGUGAUGGAGGGGAGUCUUUUAGAAUAAUCGACAAGGUAGUCUGCUUGCUUCUGAUAUCUAGCCUUCUGUUUCGUUGAAGUGGGCUCCAAUAGUAAUUUUGGGUGGCUAAUGAUAUCAUCACUGUAUGUCUGUAACAGACUAAAAGGGACGAUGCCACCACAGUCAUCCAAAGAGAGGAGUGGGCAAAGUCGAGACAGGAUGUGGAGAAGCAUUUCAGGAAGCUUAGAGAUUUCGACCACUCAAAUUGGUUCUGAAGAAAAGGUGUGGGAUUUGUUGCAGAGAAGAAUGGAACGCAGCGAUUCUGCCGACUCUGCUGCUGAUUGAUUAGAGCAGGCUACCGGUGUGAUCAAGUGAGAGAUGCCAUCUUGGAGUAGAUAGGUUGUUGUAACAUUAGAUGUAGCAAGUAGAAUGUGUGCCAUAUAGGGAUCGUAGUAUGUAGGCACAAAGAUUGAGUGAGAUCUUAGGGAAUCCGCUACUUGUUGAGUAGCCAACCGAAGGAAUAUGUGGCAGUUGGGCUUGUUCUCCGCAGAUUUGCACUCUUUUGAUAGACCUCAGUUGAUCAUUAGGAAUGUGUUUUGAAAGCUUCCAGUCUUGGUGGAAAACAAAAGGAAAUUCUGUUGCUCCUGCCCUUGUUGUUUCUUAAGAAAACCUGUUGCGGCAGAACAGAGAGAAGAACAUGACAAUAACGUGAGAAGAAAUUCUGCUGCAACAGCAACAGAGGAGAAAACAUGAUAAAACGUGAAAAGAAAAGUUCUGCUAUAACAGAAGAAGAAAACACAUGAAAAAGGAUGCGUGGGGUGUUGCGAGAAUCGAACUCGCGACCUCUCGCACCCGAAGCGAGAAUCAUACCACUAGACCAAACACCCAGCGUGCCUUGCUGUCGAUAAUAUCGGAACAAAUACAAAUUCCGUGCGCUCAAAUUUGUUUGGAAAUGUCCCAUGCGGGGCAAAAUCCUUGCAGUAUAUAAUAAUAAUAAUAAUAGAGCACGACAACAAAUAUAACAGAAAAUUUGAACCACGAGAUGUGAUGCGAUACGAUACAAGGGAGCUAGCGAUGCCAUGGAUGCAAGUCUCUAUGGCUAUGGAAGAGGGAGGCACGUACGAGACAUCCAUCCAUCCAUCCAUGGCUAUGGCAGGCAGGCUGUUUGGAGGCACGUACAGCUCACGCCCCCACGAGAGCUUGUUGUAUUAUGCUUCUUAUCAUGUAGCCGCCAUGCAACAAACAAAUUAAAGCACACAAGAACACAAGCAGGCUCUUGGAAUGAUUAGAGAAAUUGUAGUUUUUGGCGUAACUGCCUUUUGAACAGAAAUUGGCGUAACUGCCUUUCAAACAAGACACACGCGCGCUUGUUUGCGUCACCACGCAAUGCAAGCAUCAAUCUAUCUUUCUAUCCAUCUCUCCGUGUCUCUCUCUUCGAUCUUAAACCCUCCCCAAAUAAUGUAGUUGCUUGAUGUCAAUUCCUUGAUUACCUUUUUGGGUGCCUGAAAGCUCCUCCGAUCCUCGGCCAUAUUCAAAGCUCCACAUAUUUGGUUUAGUGCAUGUCUCGGAUGCAUGAUUGUGAAUGAAACCGUGUUGACGCAACCAUGCACGGUCCACACAGAAAGAAAGAAAACGACUACUGUAAAACCAUGUAUGUAAUCAACAAUAAUAGUCGAUCCUUUGUCUUAGGAGCAUCCGAUCCACUGUGCAUGUCAUGUGCACCCCAAUGAUCGAUCGAUCAGUACUCAGCGCAUACAGUGCCGUCUACUGAUCUUCGAGAAAGGGAAAAAUAAGGGAGAUGAGAUCUCGAUCAUAUCUGUCUGCAACUUACCCGUCCUUGUAUAUAUAUAACUAACCUGAGGAGCUUCCUUCCUGACAUCCUCAUUGCAGACCUACUAUGCUCUGGGGAUGUUAGGGAGAUAUAUAUGUCAGGAAAGGAGAAGAAACUCCAGCUUCUGCGCUCCGUUACAAAGUCGAAUGCGGUAAUUUCUACUGAGCACUAUAUUUCUGGCCAUCUAAUUACAAGUGGAGAAAGACGUACUAGCUAGGAAAGAUUCAGUUUCGUCAGUUCGCUGCUGGAAACUCGAUCGAUGUGUUUUUCUGUGAGCAAUGCAGGCAAACAAGACGUCAAUCCUGGUAGAUGCGUCGAAAUACAUCAAGGAGCUCAAGGACAAGGUUGAAGAAGCAGCCGCUGCUUCAUCGGCAGCUGACACUGACAGUAGCAGCUCCAGUAGUUCUGGCAGCGCCAUGGCAGCUGCAACAGUACGCACAUAUAUACGUUACAUUUCUGCUUGUCGUUAAUUGCAGAGGCAAUUAUAUUGCACACAAUUUAUAUAUAAGCGUUCACAUUAAGUGAAGUGAAUCAUCUCGGUUCGUUGAUCCAUGCAUGCACAUGAUGUAUUGUGUUUAAGCAGGUGAGCGUCUCAUCAGUGGAUCUGGAUAACAGCAACAAUAGCUGCAGGAGAGGAUUCCGGAUCAACGUGUCGAUGGAGAGGACCCGGCCUGGGCUGCUGGUGUCCGUCCUGGAGGCUUUUGAGGACCUCGGCCUCGACGUCCUGGACGCCGACGUCUCCUGCGCCGACGACACCGCCUUCCGCCUCCAGGCGCUCGGAUCAGGUCAGGGCCAGCAGCAGGGUGGAGGAAGUGGAAGCGUGGAUGAGCAAAAGGUUCGCCAAGCGGUGUUGCAGGCCAUCAGCAAAUGCAUGAACGAUGAUGGCGAUGAGUAACAGAUUGCUUAUCGGUUGCAUUGCAUACAGAAGAGCAUGAAAGAAUAAACCUGAACUUUGCCAUUAUUUGUCCUUGGAGCGCAAGCUGCUUGGCCAAGGAAUAAUUCGUCAAGUUAAAAAUAUAGUUUUCUGUCGUUCCUCAGCAUGGUUAAUUUCACAACGGACGCUACUAGCUACUUCAAGUGGUCUUGUUACUUUGUAAUAGCAUUUUCUAUCCAAAUAAAAGAAGGUAACUAAGGGACAAGCAAACGAAUGUGAAUUUUUCCAUCAUCAGUUAUGUGGUCACCUCACCUGUGCGUUGCAAUGCAUGGAAAGUCAAAACUAAGCAAGGGCUCUGUUUACAUCCUGAUCUAUGCAUGAUGGGGAUCCGAUCGAUUUAGUUGUCGUCGUCGACAUCUUGUUCAGCAGCGCCCGGGUGAUCUCCACGCACAGCGCCGCGUUCCUGACGGCGAAGCCUUCGUACUCUGGCGAGAACACCACCUGCUCGGCGUGCUCCAGCACGGUGCCCAUGGCGCGCUCCCUGAGCACCGCGCUUGAGCUCAGAUCGGCCACCUCCAGCGUCCGCAGAACGUUCCGGGGCUCCACGCGCGCCGCCAGCCUCGCCUCGCAGGCCCGCCGCAGGAACGGGAUGUCGUACUUGUCGGCGGCGACGAGAAGCGCGUGCAGGUGGCGCUCCGGCAGGUCCUGGUCGAGGGCGCCGGUGUAGAGGAAGGCGAGGAGGAGGGAGAGCUCGUCGUGGGAGAGCUCAGGGAGGGAGAAGGAGUCGGCGGCGGGGGCCUUGCAGUGCUCGUCGGCGGACAGCAUGUGCCGGAAUACCUCCGACCUCGCGGCCUGCGUGGCGUGCAUUCCGUUCCACCAGAUGUGAAAAAUUGAUCCGAGUUGGGCUCAACUGGAACUUUAUGAGUGGAGGCCCAUCAGCAGGCUAAAAGACCCGACCCGACCCACUUACCAGGAUGGCUUUGUGGGCUGGAAUUGGGGCCCCAGUGCCAGGUUUCACGACGAUGUCGGUGUGGAUUCCCUCCUUCCACGCCAGCGCGAAGCCGUGUUCAAGGAAGGCGGCUCGCUGGUUGGUCUCCUCCGCCCUGUCUCUCAUCUCCUUCACCUGCUCCCAUGCAUCUCUCAUUCCCUGCAUUCAAUCAAAAAAAAAAAGUGAAUUCUGUCAGUAAAUCCCUUCAAUUUCUAGCACCUCUGGCCUUACUGACACUAGCCACUACUUAAACAUGGAUCGAGCACAAAUUGCAGAAGCUGUUCUUUCAACUCUCAAGGAUCGACGCUGUUCCAAACGCAACAAAAGUAGAGUGUGAUCAUCAAGGAGAAUAUAUUAUGCAUUGCAUAGCAGCAGAGGCUAAACUGUUGCUGAAACAAACUUUAAGCAUCCAUUGACAUCCGCGUCAAUUUUAGAAAACCUUUCAAAUUAAGCAUAUAUAUCGUCCUGCUAGGAGGCAAACAGUGCUAUCAAACCGAACGUCAGUGAACCAUCACAUUGUACAACGAACAAAGGGUGAAAUCCAAUGCUAAAAUUCAUAUUUGCAAUUCUAGCCUUUCUGAAAUCAAUCGAGAUUCUUAGCGGACGGGCCUAUUCACUGGAGAUAAGAAACAUCUGAAACCAUAAGGAACAAGUUAGGUUAGGAGCUCUUACCUUGUUCGAGCUGUUAAGCUUCGAUGGCGCGUGGGAGUUGACUGAACCAUGGCCACCAUCUUCUUGCUCCUCAUCCUUGUUCAGGAAGCCGAUGAUGGCCUUGGCACCUUCAUGGCAAGGAGCACAGACAGAAUUCCUCGGAAGCCUGUACAUGGUGGCCAUUGGGCUGCAGAUGCAGCAAUCCAUGAUUCUGCCACCUCCGGCGAUUCCUCCUUGCCUUCCUUUCCUUUGCUUCGUCCUCGUCCUCCUCCCCCUCCCUCUGGUUCUGCAACUGCAAUGACAAUGAUGCUAACAACAAGCUGUACGUUCUCCAUUGCUUUGCGUUGGGUGAGGGUAUAAGAAUGAAAGGAGGAAGAGGCAGCAGGAAAGGAUGGUGUGCUGCUAUUUCUUUUUCCAGAACUGGUAUGCGGUGGUUGCUGACGGAGACAAUCAGGGGAAUAAAAUUUCUCCUGCUUUCUUAACUGUGCAAGGCAUGAAUGUAGUCGGUGCAUUGACACUCUUUUCGUGUCAGGUACAUUUACUAAACUGACCUCAGCAGGGUAUCCUCCAUUUUUCCAAAUGGAAUGAUUGUUAGAUUAGCGGUACAACAACUAAUCAUGCAAAAAUGUGAGUGGUACUGCAGUUAGACACAGCACGAAGAAGUAAGUAUACUAGUGCUUAAAGCAAGAGAAGACAUUGUCUUUGUGGAUUUUCCUUUUAUUCGGUGCAAGGUUAGGUACAAUUUUCUCAUGCUGGCCAAUAAGCCAACUACUGUGUACCUAGAACAGCCUGUUCAUGCACUCUACCGUAGAGGCUAGUCAUUGUUCUAACUAAGGGUUCUACGGCAUAGCUAGUGCAAAUGAAUUAGACCUUAGCUGGCCCCAAAAGUAGUCAGCAACGCUAGUAGAUUGCUGAUACGAAAGCUGUAAAUUUCUUUAGUUGUGUUUUUAGUGGUACGAUUCGUGUGCUGUGCGAGUUUUACUCCAAUUAAGUAAUGUUUUUCCAUAAAUUUCUUUACUCCAAUUGAGUCAAUGAAGACGGAAGGUCAUCACCGUGUUUUCCUCUCAAGGUAUAAUUAAGUAGGUACCAGACUUAAAAAAAUUCAGACAAAAUGAUGAUUGCAUAUAUGAUUAUAAGAUGAAUGGAGAGAAUCAUCAUGGGCCAGAAGGUUGAGAGUGACUUUGUAACCUGCUAAUAAUUAAAAGAGACCUGCUUUGGGGGAGCUGAAAUAGAAGAUGUGGAUGUUGGAGACUUGGAGGGUGGCACGCUUAGGCUAUGCUGCGUUAACAAGUUAACCACUCACCCGACAUCAGGUACGUAGGGCCCCAGCCAGCUCUCUUCAAGCUAUGCUAGCAUACCACAAGAAUAUAUAUGAAUAUACUAAGUAUCAUUGCAGAAAAAGCAAUAGUAAUAAUAGGUGUGAAAAUAAUAGUGCGAGUAGUUAACAGGCAUGAAGUUAUUAUACCUGUUUGAUAAAGGGCUAAUGUCCAAUAUAUUAUUAUUAUUAUUAUUAUUAAUUAUUAUUAUUAUUAUUAUUAUUAUUAUUAUUAAUAAUAAUAAUAAUAAUAAUAAUAAUAAUAAUAAUAAUAAUAAUAAUAAUAAUAAUAAUACCUACGAUUUGAGGAUAUGUUGGGUUGGUUGGUUACCACACACAUAAUAGUCGUAUGGUAUGUUGCGUGGCAGUACAAUACAAUUAGCUGAUUGUUCCAUUCAUAUAUGCUUUUGUGUAUGUCCGCUGCAUUAGAUUAGAUGAAUGCAAUGCAAUGCAAUACAGGGGGUCAUCAGAGCACAGCAGGUCUUAGCUUACGUGGGCUGACUCCUGUGCACUGCUUAUAGACCAUGGCCUAGUGUUCACUUUCUGUGUGUGUGCAUCGGCCCACCGCCCACAUGGGGGGGGGGGGGGCCGGGGGGAGUUUUUUUAAAAAAAGGUUAAAAAAAUUUAAAUUCGAAAAAGGGUGCCGGUUUGAAAAAAUUUGAAAAAUGGGGGUCUCCCGCCCGAUCAACGGGCGGGAGGCGUGGGGCCAGAGACCUCCCGCCCAUCCAACGGGCGGGAGGUCGAAAAAUAUUUCCCAGGCCCCCGGGAGGGGUCUCUUCGCGAAAGAAAAUUUUUCUUAUUCGCAAAGAGACCCCUGACGCGGCAUCCCGCCCGUUUAACGCGCGGGAGGUCUCCCGAGGGGCAUCCCGCCCUCCCAACGGGUGGGAGGUUCCCUCGAGAGGCAUCCCGCCCUCCCAACGGGCGGGACGUCAUCCUCCCCCCCCACUAUUUAAGCCCCCCACCCACCCCUAAUUCUCAUAAUAUUCAGCAAAAAUUAACAAAAUAAGAAAGGGAGGAGAGGAAGAGAGGAGAGGAAGCGGCGAAGCCCUGUUCACACGUCGGUUUGGAGGUAUAUUCUUAUUAUAGUCGUAUAAUUAUCAAUUGUUUUUACGAAUAUUUGUUAGGGUAGUUAUAUUUUGAAUAGUUUUCAGUAUUUUCAACAGCUUUUAGAAAUAUUUAUUAGGGUAGUUCUAUUUUAAAUAGUUUUUAGUAUUUUCAAUAGUUUUUAGAUAUAUUUUUUAGGCUAGUUAUAUUUUGAAUAGUUUUAUAAUUUCAAUAGUUUUCAGAUAUAUUUCUUAGGGUAGUUAUGUUUUGAAUAGUUUUUAGUAUUUUCAAUAGCUUUUAGAAAUAUUUGUUAGGGUAGUUCUAUUAUAAAUAGUUUUUAGUAUUUUCAAUAGUUUUUAGUAUUUUCAAUAGUUUUUAGGAAUAUUUCUUAGGGUAGUUAUAUUUUAAGGAGUUUUUAGUAUGCAGAUCGAUCUGAUCAACUGCGCGGAGGUCGAAGCUACAUCUUAGAUCACCUUGCUAGAACAUGGAGUACGUGUACCGGACGCACGGUACAAAGACAACUUUCGUAAGAUUCAAGACAACUUGACGCGAGCGUUACGUGCACUGACGUGUCGUGGCAGAGACGACGUGGGGGCCUCCAGUUCGUCUCAUGCGUCUGCCCACGUGUAUACAGCUGGCCCGUCGACCCCUGCAGCACCGCACACAGCGUCCAGCGGUACUGCCGCUAGUUCCAGCUGUAAGUCCUUAUAAUUGCCAUUUCGAUCAACUUUGAUUUACACGACUAAUUUUGUUUGUUUUCAUAGUCAUGCACUCGACGGCAAUGGGACCUCCUCCUGCAAGAAUGGAGCCUCAGACGUUUCGCACCUAUGCUCCAGGAACGUCUCUCACGUCGGGUUCGACGCCAGCUGCUCCGUACUCUCAGGGCUAUACUCAGCAUGCAUGGUCGAUGGGAGCUUCUGCACACGGUGGUCCAUUCGGUGUGCCGGACUGGGACGACUGGGAGGGCGGCUCCGUCACUUGAUCGGAGUUGGUGGGUGGCGGCUGUCGGUGUUUAACCGGCUGCCCACCGAGGGAUAUGCCCAAGGUGGUAAGUUUUGGAUGAGGAGACGCCGAGAUCAGGAACUCGAAGGUGCAAGGAACACAAGACUUAGAUAGGUUCGGGCCGCACGGAGCGUAACACCCUACGUCCUGUAUGGUUUGUAUUGCCUUUGAUGUAGAAUGACCUAAUGAUCUUCUGUUUUGAUAGGGGUUCCUGACCUCCCUUAUAUAUCUGAGAGGUCAGAGUUACAAAGAUGCUAACCAACUCCCGUCGAGGGAUCACACCAGAACACAUCUCGAGUAGAUCCUCUCCGUGUUGGUUAGCUCUAUCUCCUAUUUAAACGGGAUAAACAAGAGAUAAACAAAAUGAAUAAGAGAUAAGACGUGCUUAAUCUCUUAAACUUCGUAACGUGCCCAGCCCGGUGGCCCCGGGUCUGACAAGCCACCGAGCUCUUCGUAGCUGAGUACUGCAGGCUUAUCGAGUACUUUCGAAGCAGUCUUCGACUUCUUCCAAAGCUUCGUCUUGAAGUCCUUCUUCGAGUACUUGCCUGGCUGCAUCGAAGCUAUGAGGUGCUCAUGCCCCGAAUUUUUGUUAUGGUGUGCGAUUUAAAAAUCGCACUCCAUAUGGAGUUGCCCCCGAGCCUUAGGUUGAAUCGGAGAAUCAGGCUGAGGGUCCCAUUAAUCUGUAAUCCUCCUUAUCCUUCAAAGAAAUUUGAAAAAUAAGUAGUCAAUGCCACGUACCCCGCAGCCCCCGAGCCUUGAAUCCAAAUCCCACAAAAUUGGAGAUAAGGGUCCAAAAAUCGUGGCAUACAGGCUAAACAAUGACACGUUAAGGGGAGAUCAAAGUGAUGAUACAAAUGAUGUAAUUAGACCAAAGAAUACCAGGAGCAGCUCAAGGCAGAGAAGAAGGCGCACCAAGGUAGGCCCGCACUUCCCUCGAGUACUUUUCCUCAGUAACUCCCUUUAGAUGCUGAAGUGCCCUUACCACAGAGCUUAGGAAAAUAACAAAAUGCAAAGAGGAGCUGCUUACUGACGUGAAGAAUAUGCUGUAUCGACGUACAGAUGAUGUCGAAAGGCUGCAGAAGGUGAUCGGCGACACUGAACGUCAGUUCGUCGACUGCCUUCAGCAAGUCAAAGCGCUGGGCGAGAAGAACGAGCAGCAGCACCAGGAGCUGGAGGACCUCCGGGGAGCCGCCCAGGAGCUGGUGGACAUGGUGGAUCCGCCGGAAGAAGGCGAAGCAGGCCCGCGGCCCCUGCUGGAGCGACUCCGCGAGGCCCCGAAGAAAAUGCUGAAGUUCCUAUCUGAAGCUCCAGUUGCAUGCGUGAGUAAUGCCCUCGCCUAUGUAAAGUCCUGAGCAUCUUUGCGCAAGGGAUGGCGGCGAACUGCACAGACGAGCGAUUCGAAGAGUACUUGCAAGAGGCCCAACCUCUAGCGGAGCAAAUUGUACACAGUGUACUGCAGGAUUAGGGUGUAUGAAACAAUUAAUCAUUCUCUUAUGUAAAUGCUUUACUCGACAUCUCUACUUGUUUGAGUGUCUUAGCUGAAUUGGGAUCUAGGCUUACGAGACUCAAGUAGUAGACGCCUCCCUGGGUGCAACGACCCGAAGGGCAGCUAGUAUUCGUCUAACAGAAUAGCCACAACUCGAUCGAGCGGGUCUAAACUUGUUAGGAAAGAACGCGAGCAUCGUCGCGGGGUUGCCGUGCGUAGGGCUUAAAAAUAAGACUGUCCCGAGUGCGGCGGCCGGGGUGUAGUCGAAAGUCGUUCCUGCUGCGAGCGUGCUCCGUAAGCUGGAGAAGACCCGGACGGACGGACCAAGCUUGCAAAGAGCGAGUGCGGGCUGCGCCGCGAGCUUGCCAUUCCUUCUGGCAAAAACAAGACUGUUCUGAGUGCAGCCACUCAGGAUGUAGUCGAUGUGGCUCUUUAUGCGAGCCUUUCCAACGUACUAGGUGUAAGCCAGUCGAGCGGAUCGACUGUGUUGGAAAAAGUGCGACUGCUGUCACGUGCGACCAUCGAAGGUCGCGGCGGAACUCGAUAUGCCGAGGAGUUAGCCGGAGCCGAGGGCUCUGUGGGAAACGAAAGUCGAAGGGGGAUGACCGUGGCCGUAGCCCCCGCGUCAUGCGCGACAAGAAGUCGAUAUAUAUAUGUUUGCACGUGACACUGGCCAUCGUGGAAGUAAGAAGGCAUGUACAACCCGAGUCGUGUGGCUCAUGGCCUCCAGAGUGAUUCGGGAAAAGGAGAUCUUCUGAGCCCCCGGGGAAUUAGCGAUUACCGGGCCUCGACUUAAGGGUAGAACUUGCGCAAGUUCUGAACGUUCUAGGAGUUUGGGACUUCGCGACCCUCGGGGAAUUGUAGUCGAUAAGACCCUGGCCUUGUGACCUGCUUGAUGACGAAUGGGCCCUCCCAACUUGAAUUGAGCUUGUGGAGGCCGGACUCGUCCUGAAUAUGGUGCAAGACCAAAUCACCGACGCUGAAUGACCGCUCCCUGAUGUUGCGAUCAUGGUAUCGCCGGAUCCCCUGCAGGUACCGGGCUGACUGAACAAGGGCGGUACAGCGAGCUUCUUCCACAGAAUCGAGCUCUAGCUGCCGCGCCUCGUCCGCCUCGCCUUCACUGUACAUUUCGACCCUUGGAGACUUCCACAUGAUAUCGGCUGGUAGAAUAGCUUCGGAUCCAUACACGAGGAAAAAGGGUGUUUGUCCUGUGGCUUUGGACGGCUGAGUCCGAAGCCCCCAGACGACAUGUGGCAACUCAUGCACCCAUUUGCCUCCCUUCUUGCUGCUUUCAUCAUAAAGUCUCUUCUUGAGGCCGUCAAUGAUCAAGCCGUUCGCCCUUUCGACUUGUCCGUUAGCCCUGGGGUGUGCAACCGAGACAUAUUUAACUUCAAUGCAAGCGUUCUCGCAGAACUCCCAGAACUGGUUCGCCGUGAAGUUUGACCCCAAGUCCGUGAUGAUGGAGUUGGGGAAGCCAAAACGAUGCAUAAUAUCUGAGAUGAAGUCGAUGACCCGGUCUGGCGUGAGCUUGGCUAUCGGCUUGUACUCGAUCCACUUAGUAAACUUGUCGAUAGCCACCAGAACAUGGGUGAAGCCGCCUGGUGCCGUCGUGAAGGGCCCGAUCAUGUCAAGGCUCCAACAGGCAAAAGGCCAGGAUGGCGGUAUGGUGAUGAGGCUAUGAGCUGGGACAUGCGUCUGUUUGCCGAAGAAUUAACAAUUUUGGCAUCUGCGCACGAGAUCCUCCGCGUCGGUGACUGCAGUGGGCCACCAGAAGCCGGCCCUGUAUGCUUUCCCAACCAGCGUUCUUGAAGCCGCAUGGGUACCGCAGACGCCUUCGUGGAUCUCCCGCAGUAUGUCGUAACCAUCUUCCUUCAUGACGCACUUCAUGAGAACUCCUGACCGAGUGCCACGCCGGUAGAGCUUGCCGUUGACCAGGGCGAAGCCUUGCUUCUUCGCAAGACGCGUACCGCUUCUGCACUCUUGGUGUCAAUUCCCGCUGGUAGCUGUUGGUCUUGAAUGAAGUCGAUAAAGGCCGCUCGCCAGUCCUCCCCCAGCACCAUAACCUCUCGAUCGGGUUGUUGGGAACCCGAGUCGAUGGUUACCUGUGGAGAAGGCUUGAUGGAUGGCUGAUCGAGCUCCUGGACGAAAACCCCCGGCGGGACUUGAGCGCGCGUUAACCCCAACUUGGACAGGAUAUCUGCACCAACAUUGUGCUCCCGUAACACAUGGUGAACCUCCAAGCCGGAAAACUUGCUUUCCAGCUUGCGCACUUCCUGUACGUAUGCAUCCAUUGUCUCCUUGUUGCAGUCUCAUUCCUUAUUGACCUGCUGAACAACAAGAAGAGAAUCGCCAUAUACGAGUAGUCGCUUGAUCCCUAGUGAUAUCGCCAAACGAAGCCCGUGAAGCAAGGCUUCAUACUCGGCUUCAUUAUUGGAUACCUUCCAUAGGAUCUGAAGGACGUACUUCAGUUGUUCGCCACGUGGGGAGAUCAGCAAAACACCAGCGCCCCCGCCGUCGAGCUUGAGGGACCCAUCAAAAUAUAUGGUCCAGUGCUCUGGCUUGUCCACUGGGGUUGGGACUUGAUUCUCCCUCCAUUCAGCCAUGAAGUCGACUAGAGCCUGUAACUUGAUUGCAGUGCGUGGCUUGAAGUCGAUUGACAAAGCCCCCAGUUCCACUGCCCACUUAGAUAUGCGUCCCGUGGCAUCUUGAUUAUGGAGAAUAUCUGCCAGCGGGAAAUCCGUAAUCACAGUGAUCUUGUACUCGUCGAAGUAAUGGCGCAACUUUCUUGAUGUAAUUAGAAUUGCAUAUAAGAGCUUUUGAACAGCUGGGUACCGUACCUUUGAUUCGGAGAGGACCUCGCUGACGAAGUAGACAGGCCUCUGCACUCCAAACGCAUGGCGUUCUUCGCCUCGCUCGACUACAAUAGCACUGCUGACAACGUGGGUUGUCGCCGCGAUGUAGAGUAGUAGAUCCUCUUCCGGUAGCAGAGCUGUAAGGAUCGGAGGCGACUGGAGGUGAAUUUUCAAGUCUUGUGGAGCCCGCUCGGCCUCCUCCGUCCAUUGAAACUUGUCUUGGCAUUUUAGGAGCUUGAAGAAAGGUAGUCCUCUCUCCCCGAGUCGGGAGAUGAACCUAUUCAGGGCCGCCAUACAACCUGUCAGGUUCUGCACAUCCUUGAUUGUGGCCGGAGCCUCCAUAUCAGUAAUGGCGGUGAUCUUUACAGGGUUGGCUUCGAUGCCCCGGUUGCUGACGAUGAACCCGAGCAAUUUCCCUGAAGGUACUCCAAAAACGCACUUGGUGGGAUUGAGUUUCCACCGAUAUCUGCGUAGACUGCUAAAUGUUUCCUCCAAAUCUACGAUCAAGUUAUCGGAAUCCCUGGUCUUGACGACCACGUCAUCCACAUAGGCCUCAACAUUCCGGUGCGGCUGAUCCGCGAAACACAUCUGGAUCGCACGCUGAUAUGUUGCUCCUGCAUUCUUCAACCCGAAGAACAUUGUUUUGUAGGCGUAAGUCCCGUACGGCGUGAUGAAUGCAGUCUUGAUUUGGUCCUCCUCCUUGAGCGCAAUCUGAUGAUACCCUGAGUAACAAUCAAGAAAACAAAGAAGGACACAUCCAGCCGUCGAAUCGACGACUUGGUCAAUGCGCGGCAGCCCAAAAUGAUCUUUUGGGUAAUGCUUGUUGAGAUCGGUGUAGUUGACACACAUUCUCCAUUCAUUGUUCUUUUUCUUUACAAGGACGGGAUUCGCUACCCGCUCUGGAUGGAUUACUUCUUUAAUGAAUCCAGCCGCGAGAAGUUUAGCGAUCUCCCGUUUAAUGGCCUCACGCUUGUCAUGGGCAAACCUCCGCAGGCGUUGCUUCUUAGACGUGGCCUUCGGGUGUACAUUCAAAGCAUGCUCGAUCAACUCCCUGGGCACCCCUGGCAUAUCUGCUGGUUUCCAUGCGAAUAUAUCUCGGUUAGCCCGAAGAAAGCUGACGAGCGCGAGUUCCUAUUUGUCACCCAAGCCCGCACCGAUGAUGGCGGUCUUGGAUGAAUCUCCCUCCUGGAGCUGGAUCGUCUUGAGGGCCACAUCAUCAGUCGACUGGAUGCUCGACUUGUUGGCCUUCUUGGAAGGAAUCUCCAGCCCGGUCUGGGAGAGCUGCUGCGCGGCCGCGAGUACUUCUCCCGAAGCAUCUGGCACGCGAGUAGUCGAAGCGUACUGGAUCGCCUCCUGAUUGCAGUCGUACGACUUCUUCAAGUCGCCGUGGAGGGUGAGCACUCCACCGAGUCCUGGCAUCUUAAGAAGCAGAUAGACAUAAUGCGGCACUGCCAUGAACUUGGCAAGUGCCGAUCGACCCAGUAUUGCAUGGUAAGAAGAGUCAAAAGUAGCCACUUCGAACUUGAUGAAUUCAGUACGAUAAUUCUCCCGCGUGCCGAAGGUGACUGGGAGGACCACCGUACCAAGCGGGUGCGCCGCAUUACCUGGGAUGAUGCCGUAGAAGGGGGACUUGCUGGGAACCAGCAUAUCCUUGAAAUCCAGACCCAUCUUCUUUAAAGUGCUGACCGACAGAGAGGUGACCACCAAAUCACCGGUACCGGAACAACCCGAAGCCCCCCGACACGCGGUGGCUUCAAGCUUUCCGACCUGGAGUAGCAAGUCCAGGUCCUUCUCUAACAUGGAGAGGGACCCAGAGGCGUUGGCCUCCUGAAGGUCAGUGGCCGAUUCGCACAAGCCGAGUUGAGAUCGGUUAUGCAGAUCCCUAGAUUGGAACGAGUCCAAACCAGGGGGAAUUGCCGCAACACCAGAAGAAGUCGAGGCUGGAGCGGACUCCAUCUCGAUCUGUGUUGCGGAAGUGUGGAGCGGCAAGUUGUCGAGCCCAUCGACGAACUUGUCGACGUCGCUGCGGAGAUCCGCAACGGGGGUUUUUGGCUUCAUGUCGACGAGGAAUCGCCGGAAACUGCCCGCACCAUCUGCGACGCAGACCCAUGAACCAAAAACGAAUGUCGUGCCCUGAGAGGGAACUGACCUGAUGAAUUUGAACGAUGCCAUCGAGCUCGCCGAUGGAUCUUCGACGCGCUCCCCUACCUGGCGCGCCAGCUGUCGGUGUUUAACCGGCUGCCCACCGAGGGAUAUGCCCAAGGUGGUAAGUUUUGGGUGAGGCGACGCCGAGAUCAGGAACUCGAAGGUGCAAGGAACACAAGACUUAGACAGGUUCGGGCCGCACGGAGCGUAACACCCUACGUCCUGUAUGGUUUGUAUUUCCUUUGAUGUAGAAUGACCUAAUGAUGUUCUGUUUUGAGAGGGGUCCCUGACCUCCCUUAUAUAUCCGAGAGGUCAGAGUUACAAAGAUGCUAACCAACUCCCGUCGAGGGAUCACACCAGAACACAUCUCGAGUAGAUCCUCUCCGUGUUGGUUAGCUCUAUCUCCUAUUUAAACGGGAUAAACAAGAGAUAAACAAAAUGAAUAAGAGAUAAGACGGGCUUAAUCUCUUAAACUUCGUAACGUGCCCAGCCCGGUGGCCCCGGGUCUGACAGCGGCGCCGAGCCUGACAUCAUUGGUUCCUUCCAGACGUAUGACGCUCCAGGUGCACUGUCACAGGAUGACCCGUUCACGCCUGCACCUCCUCCGCCUCGUCCUCACCGUGCUCCAGAUGCAUUUACGUACUCGGAGGACCACAUACGCCGAUAGCCUAGGACUAGGGGGGAGGACGAAGAGAGCGCGAGGUACGGGACAGGCGGGGUAGAUACUCUUAAUUCGGUGGACUUUUUAGAUUUAAACUGUUUUUGUAUGAUACUAUUUUCUUUUUAAUUGGUUUAUAUAUCGUAAAAUUGAGUUAAAAUUUUAUAUGUAUACAAAAGAGUAUGGCGAAUAAAUAUUGUAUUUGAAAAAAGUCUGAAUUUCAAAUAGUUUGUAAAACAUAAAUUCCAACAAAAAAUAACCAAAAAAUAAGUAGGGGGACCUCCCGCCCACUGGCCGGGCCGGAUGCCUGCCUCAGGGACCUCUUCGCGAAUAAGAAACUUUUCUUAUUCGUGAAGAGGCUCUCGGGAGGGGUCUGGAAAUUUUUUUGGAACCUCCCGCCUGCUGGAUGGAUGGGAGGUCCCCGGCCCCACGCCUCCCGCCCGAUCAUUGGGCGGGAGGUACCCAUUUUUACAAUUUUUCGCAACCGACACCCUUUUUCCAAUUUUAUUUUCAUGCGAUGGGGGAAUGAACAGCACGUUCAGGAGAAGUUGAGAUGAAGAGGAAAAGAUUGUGAACUAUGGAUUCCAUUCCAUUUCCAGGCACCACAUCGCAUCACAGGCCGUCACAUCGAUCACAUUCACCAUUUUCUUUAAGAAAGGAAAAAAAAUCAUUGUCGACGUCAUCAUCACUCACCAUUCGAUUCGAUGGAUCAGAUGGUAGUACAGAGGAAGAAGGCAGCAGCUUCUUGCAUUGCUUCAGCUUCAACCAUGGAAAGAGAAAUGCCACGCUACACACAUACAUACCCAGCUGCCCAUACAUACAGACAUCUCUACUCCUCGAUCGAGUCGUCUUGUCGUCUCCGGCUCCGGCCAAACAGAAAUGCUCCAGCCGGCCAUGACGUGGAUGGAUAAUGUAAAGUAAACGAAACCAUGGGCGUCUUAGCUGGAUGGAUUAGGACAAACCCGCCACGUCAUGCACGCCUCCCCCAAUUAUUGCUGCAACUACUAGUAGUUUAUUGAGUUUCCCCCCAUUGCUUCUUCUCCAUGGAUCGUCUGCAAGCGAGUUUACCAGCUCCAUCGCUCGUUCUCGUUGCCGUCGGCGUCGGUUGCCGGCGGCAGAUGCGAGUAGAAGUCGAGAUCCAUCUUGUCGGCGCUGCUCUUGCUCUUGCUGUAGUAGUGCAUGACGGCUGCUCCCCCGAGCACGGCGAGGGUGAGGGCCUGGGCGUGCAUCCUGGCGUGGAUGAGACGCAGGCUCGUCGCCCGCUGCGGCGCCCUCCGCCGGCUGUACGCCACCGACGCGCCCACCGCCGCAGCCCACACGCCUCCUGCACACCACAGUCUCAGAUUAAUCAAGCAAGCAAAGCAAGAGAGAGAGAGAUUCAGGUGAGGGGCUGAGGGGAUGCUGCUGACCGAUGCUUGCGAGCUUGUGCUCCUCCACCCAGGACUGCACCGACGAGCUCAUCCUCUCCAUCUUUGAUUCCAUCGAUGAUCUGCCUGCCUGCCGAUGACAAGGAGUCGUGUUUUGGAUUUGGUGGUGCUUGAUGAUGAUUGAUUGUAAAGAUGAACGAACGAAUGGGAGUGCUGGAUGUGGAUGGAAUUGGUGGCACGCAGCAGGUGUGUUUGGUCAGAUACUUAUAGGAAGGAAGGAUCGAACUCACGAGUGGAGUGGAGUGUGUGCGGUGUGCCCACUGGUUUUGAGCUCACCAUCGAAGACGGAGAGGAAACCAGGGACACCCAGCCUUCUGUUUCUGUCGUGGCUUCCUGCUGCUGCUGCUGCUGCUGCUGGUUUCCUUUGCUUGUUCUUGUGGGCGGGCACUCGCUUUCGGAUUAUAAGGUUUCAGGCAGGCCCACCUUAUCUGCUGCCGGCCAAAAAAUAAAAAGAAACUUGCCCUGAUCAGACACAGACAUGUGGGCCAUGCUGGGACCUCUGUCAGUGACUGCUCUUAGCUUGCGAUGACUAGUUAUUAAGCAUCUCUGUGGACUGAAUUCCAACCUCAAACUCCAAGGCUGGGAUGCUUAAUUAGAUUUUUUUAUAUUUAAUUAAUUCCACAGCAGCUGUGUGCUACGCUGGUAUAUUCCAUAUGAAAACAACUAAUCAAGUCUGUCUUGAUGAUGGUUUCCCUUCCUUUUUGCGAAAAUGAAGUAGGCCUGACUCCAACCGUGGGCUCAUGGCCCAUCCAAAAAAUCAACAGCAACCAAUCAACAAAGUAGGCCCACCGCAAUCCGGCUACCUCACCACUUCUUCUCCAGUCUUCCUUCCAUCCCUUGGAAGAAGCCGCCUCCUCCUCCCCCUCCCCAGAUGAGGCACCCCGCCACGGCGCCGCUCUCGAGCCCCAAGUCUGGCGCCAUCAAGCGGCAGCGGCCGCUCAGCGACGUCACCAACCGCCUCCUCCCCGAGACCCCGACCCCCAUCAAACCCAGAAGGACUGGACUCCGGCCCCUCCCCACGCCCUCCGACGCCUCCUCGACCUGCUCCUCCACCGCAUCGGUCACGCCCGCACCCCAGCCUUCGUCCGCCGCCGGUGAGUGAGCCUGCUCUGCGUCCCCCAUUUGUGCUCGAUCUCGCUGCGACUGCUUCUGCUGGCGGCGUCUUCGACCCCCAUUGGGGCCGGGAAUUUCUGAUAGUGCUUCUGAUUCGCAGUCAUCGAGGAGGAGCGCAGUGCGGUUAAAUCCCCCAUCUCCACGGUUUACGCGAGGCGCGGGACUACUGAGACUCGAAGGAGGAGGAGGACGAACCCCACCGCCACCACCCCCCCCAAGGGCAAGGAACCCGUUGCUGCUGCUGGAACGGCGAGUUGCCCUCCUCUUGGAAAAGCCACAAGGAAGAACAGCAGGUGAAAUUGCUUUAGCUUGCCUGAUCCCAUUACAAUUUCACCUGUGUUUGGUGUGUCCAGAUUCAGCCACCCUCGGUGCUCCUGCUUCUCCUUGCUGCAAUUGAAUGUGAGAUUUUUGGACAAAGUUUGUGGUAGCUUCUUCUGUGGGUGCUACAGACCUCCCUUGUAGUUUGCUUCUCUUACAGCCAAGUUUGAAGAAUGCACGUACCUGAUUGUCUCUAAGAAUUAAUAGCUUGUUAUUGGAAAGUGUACAAUGAUAUAGUAAUCAGUGAGAGUCGCCGUACAUCAGGCUUAACAUGGUGCUCAUCCUGUAUGCUCAUCCAACUUAGCCUGUUAGUAACAACUGUCCAAGCCCUCACUGUUCCACACUGAUCUGGAAUGUUACAUUUCUUACUAUUUCCAGGCGAUGGAACUGCUGUAGCACUCUACGCCUUGAAUGCUGGCAUUCUUGCUGUAAAAUGCCAUGUAAUGAUAUAGAUUAGGCUAGAAGAACUUGGGCGAAGUCUUUCACAUUUCUGGCAGAAUAAAAUAUCGCAUCAUAUAAUAUCACAACUCACAAGUAACAGGAUAUUAAAAAGUCCAAACUUUAGUGUUCCUUUAGUUCAUCACAGUUACAGUCUGAGUGCAUUUCAGUAUCUGAAAUAUUGAAUUACAAUCCUGUUUCAGGAAAGACUCUAUGGCUCAGGAUACCCAGCCCAUUUCUUCUUCAGCUCCUUGUCAUGGAGCUAAAAAGGUAAGAGUGCCACAAUCUGAGUGUAUUCAUGCGUAAGGGACCUACAAAGUUUUCUAUUGUUAAGACUUAAGAUCAUGGUGCUCUCUUUGAUGAUGUACAUAAUGAAAUACUAUUAAGUGUGUUUUUUGUUAGAACUUGUUAUGUGUUAAUAUUUCUGAAAUGGUGGCUAGAACAAUAGCAAUGGUGUUCAUCUUUCUGACUGCCUGCAGUGUUUUAGACAGAAGCUAUCGAUCUGGAAACUAGGACAUCAUUGAACUGUUUGAGAAAACGAGCUAGUUUAUACAGCACCAAUCGCUUGAUCUUUAGUUUGUUUGCAAUGAUGUUCAGCUUUCUGACUGCUUGCGAUGUUUUAAACAGAAGCGGCCCCCUCCAAGCAUACCCAAGUUGCCAGAAGACUUUGUGAAGAAGCAGAGAGCAUACUUUGCAGAUGUGGAUGCAUUUGACCUGCCCGAGGAAGAGGUGUCAGAAUCUGAGCUCGAGUGAAAACUGAAGCUGAUCCCAGAAUAUAUGGCCGUUUUUUCUGUACAGACGUAGUUUACUGGAAUUACGCUUACAAUGUAAGUUUGAGUUAUGGUGGUAGCAAUGUAUAGCUCUCGUAACACGAGGAAGAGGCAGUGUAACCCUUUAGUGAUCAGCGGUCAUUGGCCCACCAACGACCCUUUUAGCAUAGUAGUAUGACAAAUACUGAGACCUGAAACGAAGCAAGCUUUGGCUGCACGAGGAAAUGAGCCAGUUACUCAGUACUGGGCACUCGAUCUUUUAGCCUGUCCCGAAGCAGCUACUCUGGAUUAUAAUCUGUGCCCAUGUUUGUUCAUAGUUUCUUCUUGUGUCGUCAAUUCUGCCGUUGGAGCUGAACUUGGGUAAACAAAAUCAUUGCAAAUUUAGUUGGUCUUGGUAUGAUAUACGUGUUACAUGCGAUCUGUCAAGUAAAGACUGCACAGUAAACCUGCAUCUUUGGCUUGGUUUUCUCAGUGACCUUACGUGAUCGAUCCAACAAAGAAGAAUGUCGAGAAAAAUAAGAGGAUUUCUAGAAUGUUGGAUGGACCGUAACCACUGGGAAAGACAUCGGCUGGCCUCUCUUCUUCGUUGAUAGUCUUUGGAUGCCAAAUAUGAUAGGUGCCGCCAUUCUCUGUUCCGUAUUUCUUUUUUUUUUAAAAUAGAGGUACAUAAUAAUAACAACAACGGAUUAAAGAAGCAGCAUACUCCCGAGGGAAAUCCUCCAAACCAAAAUAUUGAUAACAAAAACUGAUGAGAAAACAAAGAAAAGGAGAGAUUUUAAAAUCAAGCGAAGCUUCCAUAGUUUGGGGGUUCUCCGGACACGAAGCAUGAAUUUCGGUACCAUUGUAGUAUCUUACUAGCUCGCUCAUACUUUUUAAGAGAAGAAAGGAGCUAAAGGUGGUUCAUUGCGCCCAGUUUGUUGACAAAGCAAGAUUCGGCCAAAUCGGAAGGGUUCACACCUGAGAUAAGAUAGAGCUUAUGGCCAAACUGAUCGAUACUCAGGACUCACUGAUAUGCUCUGUAACAACCACUCCAACUUGGAGACGCUUUCUCUAGCUUUUCGGCGCUAAAUCACCAACACUCUUGUUAAUGGCUUGCUUGGCCAAGUCAUUAUCCACAACUCCCCACUCAGGAACAUGUUCUAAAUGCCUCGAUUCCCUGUCGACUUUUGACAUAAGUUGAACAGUACUCCCAGGUCACCAAAUGAAAAUUUAUACUUCAUACUCAUGGUAAUUUCGUAGUUAUGCUCCAGUGUCGUUCAUGAUAAACCAGAGGCUCUGCAAGCUUCUAGUAUUCUUUUUCUUUGUUCCCCUUUGCAGAAUAAUAUGAUGACGCCACAUUUAAAUGCCUGUUAUUUUGUAUGGAUCCAUCUGUAUAUUUGGCCAACAAUUCUUCUUCGAGUUAUGUUUUUUAAGUUAAAUCUUCGCCUCUACCAUCCAUCCUUGCGGUUCCAAAGCACUGAAAAAAAAAUCCCCUGAGAUAAUUCAGUUCCGUUUCUGUUCCCAGGCAAUUUUGCUCUCACAUAGCUUGCGAAACAAUGUGGAAGUCAAUUUCAUUAGAUAUUUAUCAACUUAUAUCAGGAACCAAGAAGUGCAGAUGAUUGCUAAACAUAGUCAAACUCUUCUCAAAUACGUCAAUCCACAAAAUACUUGGCUAAAUUCUAUCGUACAAUAGCACCUUAGGUGAGAAACUCCGAUAUUAAUAAAAAAAAAUGAGCCAAGAACGAAAAACAAAGAAUUCUCUACUAUGAGCUAAAACUUGCCACCAUAAAAUAGAUUAACAUUCUCUUAACAGAUCUGAUCACACGGAGCAUAUUCAGGUUUCCAAAAAUCCUUGUAUGAAUAUUCUCUUAAAUCUUCUGUCACCAGCCAAAUUAGGACUAACUUUAGUUGGCAUAGUAAACCACAUAAUAUACAAGUCAAUGUAGUCAUGCCUGUGUCCGAUCACAUCUGUUAAUGCAACGUGCUUUAGGAGUACAGACCACUCAACUUAGCCCGAUAAAGAAAAUUAAGGAAUAUUCAAAGCCACUAGCAUAAAGUUAGAAACUUAGCAUGCGAAAAUAUUCUGCCUAUAAAUAUCUGCGCACAUGGACACUGGCCAACACACUGCUCUAAAACCCUGAGCAAAAUGGCCUCCCAUAAACCCCUCGCUUGCAGUGUCUCGGCCUUCUUCUUUGCUGCAAGCUUAGUUUCAUCUCAGCUUACUGCAAAUUUCUAUGACAAGUCAUGCCCAAAUGCACUGUACACCAUCCAAACAGCCGUAAGAUCUGCUGUGGCCAAGGAGAACCGCAUGGGUGCAUCAUUGCUCCGCCUCCACUUCCAUGACUGCUUUGUCAAUGCAAGUGUCACCAAAUCUGCAGAUAGUUUCAUACUUACAUUUUCUGGAUCAUUAACAUGGAAAUGCUAAAUAUACAGGGUUGCGAUGGCUCCGUGCUGCUUGAUGACACCCCAACCUUCACAGGGGAGAAGAGCGCUGUUCCGAACAACAAUUCCCUGCGUGGAUUUGAUGUGAUCGACAGCAUCAAAGCACAGAUUGAGGGGAUCUGCCCGCAGGUGGUAUCAUGCGCUGACAUCCUUGCUGUUGCAGCACGCGAUUCCGUUGUUGCGGUAAGCCAAAACAAAAAAAGCAACAACAUCUAAAAUUAGUUUAAAAUAUUAAAUGUUGAUUCUGAACCACAUGCAGCAAACUACAAUGAAGUGCUUGUCCGUAUUUUAACUGAAAUGAUGAUGGCAAAGUCUUUAUGUUUAAGAGACUAUGAUAAAUUGAUAAACAUAGACCUAAACAAAGCAUCAGGAAGCACUAAACUAAACUACUAAAGUCAACACUCCAUGAUAUCCAGAGAUUACGUAGCAACUGAUUGACUAAGCAUAUUUCAUGCAUUCCAACACAAACAAACAAUACUAAAAGUUGACAAUUUCUAUUUCAGCUUGGAGGCCCUACUUGGGUUGUCAAUCUGGGAAGGAGGGACUCAAUGACAGCAAGCCUAGACACUGCAAACAAUGACAUCCCAGCACCAACCCUUGACCUCAGUGAUCUUACCAAGUUGUUCUCAAACAAAGGACUGGGUACAACUGACAUGAUUGCACUCUCAGGUAAUGAAAGACUGCAAUUUUUGUCAUUAACCAUAUGCCUGGUUCAUAAAUCAGUCCAAGCUAGAUUUGUUCCUUGAAUGCCAAUAGUACUACUACUGAAUAAAGACUGACAUGAAACCAAAAAUUACCAGGAGGGCACACCAUUGGGCAAGCCAGAUGUGUCAACUUCCGCGAUCGCAUAUACAGCGAAACUAACAUUGACACAUCCCUUGUAACAUCACUGAAAUCAAAUUGUCCAAAAAAGACUGGCGACAAUAAUAUUUCCCCCCUUGAUGCCUCAACACCCUAUGUUUUUGACAACUUCUACUACAAGAACUUGCUGAACAAGAAGGGUGUUCUGCAUUCUGAUCAGCAAUUGUUCAAUGGAGGCUCAGCAGACUCCCAGACUACCACCUACUCUUCAAACAUGGCAAAAUUCUUCACCGAUUUCAGUGCGGCGAUGGUGAAGAUGAGCAACAUUAGUCCCCUCACUGGAUCAAGUGGACAGAUAAGGAAAAACUGCAGGAAGGUGAACUAGGACUCACAUUAUUGCCGCCUGUGCUGGUGUGUGGUUUAGUACCUUGUAAUCAUCAUUGAAAGGAGAAGUGUCCCUUUCAUGAUGCAGUAGUCUACUCCAAAGAUGUAUUCACUGCUUUCAAAGCAUACAUGUGCAAGGAAUAAAAUGAUACGAAGAAUACUUUUAAUGCAGUAAUUGGUCUUACCUUUCAGUGUUUCCGCAUCUAUCUUGAGCAUGCAAGCUCACGGACAAAAGUUGCUCCGAUAAUGGCACAAGAAUAACACUAGGAAGACUUGACCAGAUCAAGGUGUAUUUUGAUCAAAUAUCGUCACUUUGGAAUUGAAGGGAUCAAAGAUGGUACUCAUAGCAGAGAUACUUGGCAAGGAUUCAUUUUACAGUUUUGUACGGAAAAACAGGAAGCAGUUGUAUACAAGAGGGUUUCCAGCUCGCAUGAUUCGAAUCAGCACAUCUAAUGACAUGAAUACUUCCUAAAGUUGUGAUUGCAGGUAAGAGUCAUGACUGAUGAAUAUUGCGUAUCGCUGCAUUGAUACUUUUACAGUCAAAGUCCAUGAUCUUCAUCCAGUUCUCGAAAUCUCCAAUUUCCUAGAGAUAAAAUUAAAAACCAGAUGCUUCAGCAGCAGCAGCAAAAAAUAAAAAAAAUACUGUAUUGGAUGUUUAGUUUUAUGCACUGGUUCAUCUAUGGAAAAAAUGAAACCAAACCUAAAGGAACAGGCCAAGAGCAUACUAGCCCCUGGCCUAAAAUUUCAGUUGGGCCAUUUAAUAAUAGGCCUGUGAAUUUCGAGGGCACGGGAGUAGCAUAUCAUGAGUGCGAGUCACCUUCAAGACUGAGUUGAUUUCGUUGGUGGCAGCCAGCCACUGGUCAGUCUGCUUUCUGUAGCGCGCGAUAGUGAUGAGAAGCGCGCGGGCCUCAUGCUCGAUGCGCUUCUCGUUGACGAAGAGCUCCUGCACCCCGCCGUCGACCGUGUCGACGAGGAGAUCGGACACCCGCACCGCGCUUCUCAAGGCAUCCUUCUUGGCUCUCUCUACGUGUGUGUGAAGGAAGAUAGUGUCAUGCUAAUUUGAGAGAAGAAGUCAUAGUAGCAAGGAAAGAUGGGAAUUUGCAUAAUCGAAAUCAAGGGAAUCUGUAGGAACCGAACACAGCGGCGUACCAGUUUGUUGGCGUUGGCGGAAGGAUUGGUGGUGGUGGUGUUGUUGUACGAUGUGGAGCAGUGCCUCUUCCAGCUCCUGCUUCCCACCCGCCGCCGGCGGCGGCUUGGCUCCGUCCAUCCCGUCCCAAUCGCCGCCAGUCGCCGGAGCGAUUCCCCCUUUUUUUUCUUUUGCUCCCCCCUCCUCCGAAGUGAAAUCACACCCCCUGCCUUGUGAAUAGUUAAUGGGCCACAGCCCAGAUGAUAUCAGAAGGCCCAACAACACCCAAUUUUAUUUCAGUUAAUUAAUUAGAAUCUCAAAAAAAAGUUAAUUAAUUAGAGCUAUCUUUUUCAAAGCCGCGGCUGUUAUUAAUUUGUUGUUGAUUCCUGUGGUACGUAUAUUGUUGUGCUGGAAAUUAAGUUUUGGCAAACUAAUAAUUCUACGUCGUUGCAGAGUUUUGGCUUUGAAAAUUUUGGUUAAUUAUUGAUUACGACAUGCAUUCGUGAAGUCAGCAAAUUUAAAGGCCGCCCGGUCGGUGUGUCAAAAUUAAAUCAUACUAUACACAGUUGCAUGGUAUAAGGCCACUGCCAAUGAAAAUUUUAUAAAGAGUUUCAUAGCAUUAAAUUAUAUAUCACAUCAUUAAUUUUGCUGACAUAGCAAGGAGGGAAAAAGAGAAAGUUUCAUCCCUACGAAACUCAAGCAGCCCAGUUAACUUAGUUCUUAAUCUGCAGGGCCCAUCAGGUCAGAAAGAUUUGAGAUGUACGUGGUCAGGUCACACAAGUAAUUAAUUUAGUUUUCUAUACGCGCGCGGGUGUCGUCUUGCGGUCUCCUCCAUUCAGUUUUGGGUCUAUCUGAGCACCAGAACAUGUCCACAUCCAUGCAUGGAACCUGAAAAUUUACCGUUAUAUAGUUUGUCUGCAGCAGCUGCCCGGUUCUUGUCCGCAUGAUUCGAUUUCAUUAUUGGUAAAGCCAGUUUACCUUACUCGAUCAAAUUUUGUUUAUCCACGUCCAUCUUUCCAUCUUUAAUUUUUAGGUGUGGAGUGCGUAAGAUAUGCAUGCAGUCAAUGUCAUGAGCUCAAAUUAAUUAACCUACAGUACAGUCUCAUCCUACUCACGUACGGCAUCUAUCCAUCAGCACUAACUUUUUUUUUAAAUAAUGCAGGAGCUCUGCUUGAUCAUUAAAGACGAGGAGAGAAAGUCCAGAGUCCUUACAUAUAUAGAAGAUCAUCAGCACUAACUAGGAGCCUAUUUGGUAGAGCUGAUUCUAAUUUUUUAUAAGAGCUGAUUCUUUGAGAGAAGUGAUUCUGUGAUUGAAGAUGAUUCUUUUUUAUUCUCUAGCAUAAACUUUUAAAAUCAGGAUGGAGAAUCACUUCUCAUAGAACUAGAAGAAACUAUUUUUAUCAGCUCCCAGCCUCCUAGUUCAAUUUAAACGAUCACUCCGCAGAAUCAGCAGAGAAUCAUUUCUCUGAAAAAUUGUUUGACAGAGCUCCUGCUGAGAAUCAGCUCUACACCAUUUCAUAGUAAAUUGUUCUCUACGUACGCCUCACUUCGUGUGUUCAGUUUCCACCUUUAGAUCGAUUCCCUUGAAUUAGAAGCAAGACACAUAGACAGCAAAUCUACAACUAUAUAUAGGAAAGGAAUUAACAGUCCAAGCCUAGCUAGGUAGCUACUGCUUCAGUCCAAGUGACCAAGCCCCCAAGACUCCAAGAGGGUGGUUGGAUGUGUGAACAGUGUACCUUACCUAAUGACUUCACUUAACUAAAAAUAUUUUUUCAGAAGAAACAUACGCAAGCAGAUAGUUCUGGUGCAGGCAUUAUUUUGCAGAAACUAAAAAAAAUCACGGGUUGAACUUUCCUGAUCUCGUGGAUGUAUAUGCCUGUCCUAUCCCCCAACAACAUUGAAGCAAAACUACCUGCUCAGACUGGGACUGUUGACUCCUGGCCAUGUACAUUAUUGUUGUGACUAAACAAAAAAUGGAGAUUACUAACGCCAUGCAUGACGACUUUAGAGAAACAGAUAGCAUAUUUUUUUCCCUUCAUCAUAAAUACUCCUUUGUAAAGUACUCAAGUUGAAGGGAGAAUCUGUAGCUGACUAGUCACUGCCCAACAUGUUUGACCAUGGUCCAGAUGCAAGGCUGCUGCAUGUAUGAGGUGAUGAGGUGGAUGAUUAGAAUGCUUCCAGCAGGCCAGCACCAGAAAAUUCUUGUCCCCAUCAAGCUUGACAGUUUGGAAAUUGACAAAACGCUAAUCCAAGGGGAUGACAGAAACUAUUAGGAUACAUAAUGGUGAAACCUCGCCGUGUUGUUUCAUAACAGAGGGCCGAUCAUCAGUUUACCAAAAAGGAAAAAUUAAAUUACAUCCAGAUGGACUGAUGGGCAACGUGCAUAGCGGCUAUACCUGAACCUGGUCGACCAGCAGUUUGGUUUGAUCCUACAGGUCCAAGUGUUCCCAUUCACCAGAACCCCAACAACUCAUGCUGUCCUAAACUACACUAGUCUACAGUUUGAUGCCCUGUUACAAAGUCGCAGGCGGCCGGCAGGCUGGCAAUCAACGACAUUUCAUCUGUUUUGUACCGCCAAUCAUGACGAGAUGAAAAAGCACAUAUGUCUGUUUAGUACCAUCAUUUUUUGUAUUCUGAUGUACUUGUAAAACCUACUGAAGUUAAAUAUCAUCUCCAUUUGCUUGAAGCUUGAUUACACUGAUCACAGUUAAAAGCAUACACCAUUUGGAGCAAGACAGAGAAGAGACAGAGACAGCAAGUCUAGAAUAAUGCCCAAAUGAAAAGGAGUUACUGUACCAGUCCUACUACUUGAUGUUUAAAUAGGGGCGGAUCUAAAGGGGGGAUCAAAGCGCCCCCGCCACCUCUCAAGAUCAAUGGAUACCCUCUGAGCCGCUUCUCUAUUUUCUAGACAAAGAAUGAAGAAAAAUAGGGGAGGAAGAAAAAUAAAAGAAGAGGAGGAGGAAGAAGAGCCCUUCUUCACUUAGUUGCUGGAUGCGCCACUAUGCUCAAGUAACCAUGCAUGACUCCUAUGGGGUUAUCGGCCCGUGGCGAACAGCGAUGAAACCGUGCCUAAUUACUUUAUCGUAUAAUUUGUUGACCAACAAUGAUAAACAAAUAUUUCAAUGACAUACAGUAGUAGAUAGUUCUGGUGCAGGAAAAGAUACGCAUGCAUCGUAGAAACUUCACAGGGUUGAACUGUUCUGAAAAUGUGGAUCUAUAUCAAUCUUAAUAUUACUAAUUGGAGACUUCUCGUAAAGCCUCCAGGUGAAGCCAUUUAGAAUACUAAGUGGACACUCUGAAAAAGUAGAGAAAUUCUCACAAAAAUCAUAAACAUCCGAACAUCAAUUCGACAACUCUAAUCAUAAUUAUAAUAGUCGUUGUCAUUGGAUCUGUUAUCUUUCCUAAUAAAUUACCCACACUGCCAUUAUAAAAAUAGACUAGAGUAACUUCCUAAACAUGUAUCUAAAUUACCCAUCUCUACUAUUAUAAAAAAACUAAAGUAACCCCCUAAUCUUCAUGUAAAUUACCCACCUAUGCCAUUAGAAAAUAAUACAAAUAACCUCCUAAAUUUGCAUAUAAAUUAUCCAAUUAUGUCACCAUUAAAAGUUGAAGUAACGCCUAAAACUGAAUCUAAAUUAUAUAAUUAUAACAAAAUAUUAAAGUGCACCAAUAUAAAAUUAUAAAUUAAUAUUUCUAUCAUUAUUAAUAUAUUAUUGGUAUUAUUGUUUAUAUAAAAAUACUACGAUAUGUGUCACCAUGUAUUAAUGUAUGAUGGAAGAGAUAAGAAUACCAAUUCACAAACAAAUGGUUCAAUUAAAUGUAUAUCACAUACACAUGAAGGUGUGAUGCAAAAUAAAAUUUAUUGCAACUAAAUAAUGAUAAAUAUGUAUUCUAGAGUAUGCGUUAGAAUAUUUAAUAGAUGAAAGAGGACGUGAGAUAGAUGAUUAUAAUUAUUAGCUAUAAACCUUAUUUUAUAUUAAUUUUAAUUAGCCCGUGCGGGAGCACGGGUUCAUAGGCUAGUGUUUUAAAUAGCGGGCUAUAGGAUUUAGAUGCAGGGUCCAAAAAACGCUAUUAGUCCCGCUAUAGCCCGCUAUAGCGUGCUUUUUCUACUGUAAUGGAUAUAGUGGCAGCUCCGCAAAUCCGGCUAUUUAAAACAUUGAUCUAUAUGCUUUUCCUAUUCCAAACAACUUUUUAACUUUUGAAGCAAAACAUUAUGAGAAUGGAGACUGUUGACUCCUGGUCAUGUACGCUGUGGCAAACAAAUGGUGAUAACUAACCAUGCUCGACGACUUUAGAAAAAGAAGAGCAUGCAUGGGACAUAGCAUAUUUUAUCCUAGUAAUAUACUAGUUGCAUAUGCUUGUAAAGUUGAAAGGGGCCUUUAUAGUUGAAUACUAGUGGGUCCGUGCCACACAAAAUUGACCAUGGUCCAUGCAUGUCGAUCUGCAGCAUGAAUGAAUUGUAUGAUGUGGAUGACCAGAACAACUAUUUCAUUUCCAGCAGUCAGAUUAACUUCGCAAGAUCAACGAAACUAACCUUAUUAUCAGAUGUUAUCAGCAGCGAAGUACGGGUGGAUUCAGAAUGAUGGGCAACAUAGACAGCAAGUAGCAGAGGAAUGGCACCUUUGCGUAACCAUGUCGGCCUGCAGCUUGCUGCUUGGAUACUACUAGAGAGGUCCGGUCCAAGUGUUCCCACUCAGCAGUCAGUGGUGUACAGGGGAUGGGACCCUUUUACAAAGUCGCACAGGGCGGCCGGCCGGCUGGCAGGCAAUCAGGCCUUCCUCGACUCCACAAUAACAACGACAGCGGCCAUGGUCUGAAACGCGUGAUUCCUGUGAGGCCAACACGCAGGCAUUCCUUGGUCGGUCGAUUGCUUUCUUUUCAACUCAAAGUCCAAAGGGCGCGCGGUGUAAUCUAAUCAUAUAUGAUGGAUCGACGCGCAUAGUAUGCUGCAGUACGAUACUGUAGUCUAAACAUGCAAACCGACUCCAGGUAUUAGUUUCUGCCAGCUAUAAAUAUCAGUCAGUGUCGUCCAGGCAGGCAGCACUCUCUGCUCUUCCUGCAUCUUGUUCAUCAUUUAGCAGCAGCUCACCGUCAGAAGAUCACCAUGGCUGCUCGUGCAUCAGCAGCUGCAAGAUGCAUCGCUGUCCUCUUGAUGCUGGCCGGCACCUCGUCGGCGCAGCUGUCCACCAGCUUCUACUCCAGCUCCUGCCCCGGCUUGUACAGUGCCGUCAAGUCGGUGGUGCAGUCCGCCAUCGCCAGGGAGAAGCGCAUGGGCGCCUCCAUCGUUCGCCUCUUCUUCCACGACUGCUUCGUCCAAGUAAUUACUAAUACUACUAAUAAUAUCACUCAGAAGUACUACCUGAUGAUCAACUUGAUCACCUAUUCUUACUUAUUUAUUAUCCGCAAUUUUCAUUAUUCUGCGUGCAGGGUUGCGACGCGUCGUUGCUGCUGGAUGACACGGCCAGUGUCCAGGGCGAGAAGAUGGCGACGCCCAACAACGGCUCCGUGAGGGGCUUCGAGGUGAUCGACGCCAUCAAGUCCGCCGUUGAGAAGGUCUGCCCCGGCGUCGUCUCCUGCGCCGACAUCCUCGCCAUCGCAGCCAGGGACAGCGUAGUCAGCGUAAGCUAGUUGCUUGCCCCUGUCAAGAGCCUAAUCUGAUCAGCAAUUAAUUAAUACUACUGUGACUACAUGCAGCUUGGGGGGCCGAGCUGGGACGUCAAGGUUGGGAGGAGGGACUCGAGGACGGCGAGCUUCAGUGGCGCCAACAACAACAUCCCGCCACCGACGUCGGGCCUCGCCAACCUGACAUCACUCUUCGCCGCGCAGGGGCUCUCCCAAAAGGACAUGGUCGCGCUCUCUGGUACGUCAAACUACACAUUUCCUAAAUUCGUAAACAUCUCCUCAGACAAAAAUUGCACUAAUUGCUACUUGCAAGCUAGGGACUUGCAUCUUUUUGAAGAAAAAAAAUCAACUAUAUAUAGUGGUGUAGAGUGGGAGAAUAAAGAACCAGUCCACACUAUGCUUCUCAAGUAAAGAUACAGCUGGUAGACACUAUCGCCAACGGAAUUGAUAGAGACCUGUUUUGACUCUAACCUUCUUCACAUAAGCCGUGCAUGACAGGAUCAUUUAUCCUGAUGGUGAAUGGACCAUGGAUAAUAAAGCUUACAUUAGUUGUCGGUUAUUACUAACAUAUAACACACGUCCAGCACGAGAAAGUUGGUACAGAUAUGGAUGGAAUGACAUGAAGUUCGUAAAGGUGACAGCGAGGCCGGCCACACAUGUUGUCGGUAUGGCCGGGUUUCUGGAAGGAAGGAAAGUUUGUGUGUACAAGCUUUAUGCUUUCGCAUGUUAUGAACCUGGCCAUAUAUAUAUAUAUAUAUAUAUAGUAGCAACUUCAACGAACUGUGUCUGUCUAAUUGAAAGAUCAAUCAACUAUCAGAUAUGCUAGCUAACUCGAUGGUAUACUAAAAGCAAGCAUAAAGUCAUCAAUCAUCGGUCGACAUCUCCCAGCUAGAUAUAUAGCAAUCAAGUUAACUACAACCACACACAUUGUUCCCUUUGGAUCGCUAGAAUCGAAUAUUUUUUCCUUUCUUAUCUAUUUGCAGAAUCAAGACCACCUGUUUCAGAAACAUUGUUUGUGUUAUAAACCAGUAAUUUGAUUAAGUAGAGUGGUCCGUGCAUGCAUCUUCUUUGCAAAAUAAACAAAUAGGUCAACCAUUCACUUCUUCCAUUUUUUUUAAAUACUAGAUUACUAUAAUAAAUUAUUUCCUUAUUGCGUCUUGAUUAAUGAACUCUUAAUUUUUGCCACCAGGUGCUCACACCAUAGGUCUAGCACGUUGCACCAACUUCAGAGCCCACGUAUACAAUGAAACCAACAUCGAUGGUGCCUUUGCAAGGACAAGGCAAUCAGGUUGCCCUAGCACCUCAGGUACAGGUGACAACAACUUGGCACCUCUGGACCUUCAAACGCCGGCCGUCUUUGAGAACAACUACUACAAGAACCUUGUUAGAAAGAAGGGACUUCUGCACUCUGAUCAGGAGCUCUUCAAUGGCGGAGCCACCGACGCACAAGUCCAAUCGUAUGUUAGUAGCCAAAGCGCAUUUUUCGCAGAUUUUGUGACAGGCAUGAUCAAGAUGGGUGACAUUACACCUUUGACGGGUUCCAACGGGGAGAUAAGGAAGAACUGCAGAAGGAUCAACUAGUGAAGAUGGAAUGUGCAUUAGCUUAUUUGAGGCUUUUUCUUCAGUCACAUUCAACAACUUUGUACCCUUUCCAAAUUUUCAUUCAACAAUUGUGAAAUCAUCAUGUUGUGUCAAUGUGUUGACAUGUUAGUUCAUUUAAAUAAUGAAUGAAUGUAUCACUUGUUGCCUACAUCAUCUUUUUUUGUGUGUCUAAAAUAAUUUGCAUGAGAGAAUAUAAUGCAUCACUUGUACAUGAUGUCAAGGUAAGCACGCCUCCUUCCAUGCAUGUAUUGUCCUCCCUCUCAACACAGGAUCGAUACAACUUAAUUUGCCCAAAGCCAUCUGCGGCGAGCCUUAAAUUUUCGUUGGGAACAACUGAAUAAGCAACGCAGCUAUACAUAUUAGGUUGUUGGUACUAGAACUGGGGUUAGGUUAGCGUGAUGUAUUCAGAUGUGGUUGAUCCACCUCGCUGUUUUAAAUUUUGUUUGGCUAUGUUCAUAUAUGCAGUCAGCUCAAAAUUGAAAUCAUCAUACAGUGUUGCCUGGUUCGGAAGGAUAACCAAACCACACCUGCAACCUGCACAAGUAUUAUGUACUAUAGGUUCGCCAUCGUAUAGAAUUAUGAACACUGAUCGAGAUAGAAUUGAUGUUCUUCACAAGACGAAUUACACAGGAUAGGAACCCCAGGAUUCUUUCUAACAAUAAUUUUCCUAUUACUAAUUGGAGGGUUUUUUUGACGUGAAGCCACCUAGAAUCCUAAGUGGACACUCUAAAAAAAUAGAGAAAUCCUAGAAAUUCUUAUAAAAAAAAGAGAAAUAUCCGGCCAUCAACCCGACAACUCUAAUCAUAAUAGUCAUUGAAUCUAUUAUUUUUCUCUAAUAAAUUACCCACCUCCGCCAUUAUGAAAAUAGGCUAAAGUAACCCCCUAAACAUAUAUCUAAUGUACCCACCUCUGCCAUAUAAAAAUUAAUCUAAAGUAACCUGUAAUCUUCAUGCAAAUUACCCACAUAUACCAUUAUAAAAAUUAAUGCCAAAUACUCCCCUAAGUUUGUAUAUAAAGUAUCUAAUUAUAUCAUUAUUAAAAAUUAAAAGUAACUUCUAAAUCUGAAUCUAAGUUAUCUAAUUAUAAUAAAAUCUUAAAGUGGACCAAUAUAAAAUUCUAAAUUACUAUGUCUAUCACUAUUAAUAUAUUAUUUAUAUUAUUGCUUAUAUAAAAAUACUACUCAUUUGUCAUGUAUGGGAGAAGAUAAAAGAGUACCAAUUUUUAUGGUUCAAUUAAAUACAUAUCAAAUACAUAUGGAGGUAUGAUACAAAGUGAAUAUAUUGUUACUGACUAAACAUAUUACAUUACAACUAGAUAAUGAUGAGUAUAUAUCUUUAGAGUAUCGUACGUUAGAAUAUUUAAUAGAUGAAAGAGAACAUGGGAUAGAUAAUUAUAAUUAUUAGCUAUAAAUUUUAUUUUUAUAUUAAUUUAAUUAGCCCGUGCGGGAGCAUGGGUUGAUAGGGCAGUGAUCUUAAACCAGCCGGUGAUAUAUAUAUAUAUAUAUAUAUAUAUAUAUAUAUAUAUAUAUAUAUAUAUAUAUAUAUAUAUAUAUAUAUAUAUAUAUAUAUAUAGCUUGCUGGAAGUACAUACCCUUUUGAUUAGCUCCGAGCAUAGUUGUUUUAUUUUUUUUUGAUACCCUGUGCCAAACACCCAACGAUUGAGGUGGAAUAAAGUGGCCACGUUAGGCACGUAGCAUUAAACUCAAUUGGACUGUGUGACACUAUAUAUACUACAGAGGUCUUUAUAGCUAACUACUCCAGUCAUCAUCGAUCAGUCACAAGGUCUUCAGAACUAUUCUCCGUCUCCCAUCGUUGUCGCGUUGAAAAAUUCACCUGCAGAAGAGUGGCAACUGGCAAUGCUGUCAUCGAUCGAUCUCCAUGCAGUGCUUCCAGAGUUACAUAACUUGGAAUUUUUCGCACAUUACAACUCUAGAUACCAGCAGCUGGUCAAAUCCCCCACGUCCUUGGUGCAUCUUCCUCCGGUCCUGUUGCUUGCAGAUCACACUCUCCAAAUGGAACAUGCAUUGUUGUUGAUUCUUCAAUUCGCUGCUGCAUGUCAAGCCGGGAGGGAGUACGUCGUCAUUUUCGGUGAGAAAAGGUCCACUCUUUUUGACAUGCCCAAUCUGAUACACAUUGCUCUGACCAAAAGGGACCUGCCAUCUCUCGUCAAAGGGACAACUCCUUGAUUAGUAGCUAGGUUUGUGUUUUCUCAUAUAUAGUUGUUUGGUGCAUGGCCACCCACCCACUCUCUUUAAUGUGCUUGGAACCAAAUGUCUAGUAGGUUGACGAGCUAGCUUGAUUGCAAGUUUUUCUUUCUUCAUAGGGCAAAGCAGUACGUACGCUCCAUGAACCUGCAGUGUAGAUGACUACGCUAAGAUUACUAUACCUUGAAAUUGUUGGAAUACAUAUAUAGCUAGGAAGACAACACAGAACUAACACCAUGCAAAAUUUGGCGACCCACCCAACUCUCUUUAAUGUGCUUAUUACAAAAGUCAAAGUUGACGUGCUUUGUUGUAAAUCUGAGGAAAUUCACAUGCAGCCUCACUGAACUGAACUGAAGCGACGCAAAGCAACGACCAUUCUGAUCCCCAAAAGCAACUUUGCUGAAACUGAACUGCCUCUUUUAGGCACAAAUAACACCUUUGGAAUUUUCACUGCCUUUCAGACAUAAUUUGACCACCUAACUACCCCUUGAGGUCAUGGUCUUCACAAUACAACUUGGGAAUAUAGGACAAUUCUGAAAUGAAAAUAUUUGGUACUAGUUUGGGUCGCAAGUGGAUUAUAUAUAUUUAAUGUGCCAACUUCCUGUCCCUUGUAGCAUGGAAAAUCCAGUUGAUUAUCGUGGAAAUUAGAGUGUGUAUGUGUAUGGUUGAAGUUGCCACUGCUAUAGUGCUAGGUAGCCACAUGCUGCAUACAAGUUUGAACAUUCCCCACAGGCAUGCGUUGCUUCCCUGGAUGGCUGAUGGGUAGGUUUAUUUAUUUGUAGCUCUGGACUCUGAAUGCUGCCGGGCAGCCAUCGUGAUGAGACUGUUGAUGAACAGCUUGAUAUAUCAGGCACGCAUACAGGUUUGACCAUUCCGUAGGCACCUCGCUCCCUGAAUGCUAACUGGUCUUCGCACGCGAGACUCUGCAACGGACCGGCCGAUACUACAGGCUGCAGCAGAAACGGGUAGCUUCGCUGAACUGCAGCAAACCGUGUUGUGCUGUGUUGCUCUUUUUGCUUUGACACACAUCACACUGCAGGCCCAAGCGUUCCCAUUAACCAAAAUAAAUUAAAGCAGAUCGAGAGCUGAUGAGCUCCAUGCAUGCUGUCCUGAUAAAUUAUAAACUAUAAAGUGUACGCGCAGAGAGAGAUGCUGCAUGCUGGGGCACCCGGCAAUCAAGCAGGCCUCAACUCUUCCUAGCUCCUCCAGUCAUGUAUCCUAGUAGACUCUGAUCUAUAGUAGCUAGCUAGCUACUACCAAAUAAAUACUCUCGCAUACAUUAAUACUACACACAUCAGCUGGUGUGAAAACGUACGUGGCUGUGAUCCUGGGCUGUUGCUGUUUGGGCAAUUAUAUUUAUGCAAGCACGCCGUACCCUUGAUUGGCGGAUGAUCGAUAGGUUGAUUGCUUUUCAACUCAAAGUCCAACAGAGUAGGUAGGUGAUCGAGAAAAAAGCCGGCACUACACAUAUGUUUUUUAUGCAUGCAUAUAUGGAGUGCUUCUAUUCUACUCCUAUGUAGCACUACUACCUAGCUUCAUUCUGCUGCAAACCAAUGCAAGACCAGGGCUUGCUAGCUCUCGAUCGGCUAUAAAUAUCCAUGUAUGUUCCCCAGCUGAGCUGAUUAAGCACACUGCACUGCACGCAGACAGCACUUGCACACCAAGCUAAGAUCGAUCACCAGAGAAUAUAUUAAGCUGUCUCUCCAGGCAAGAUCCAUUGUAUUUUUGAUCUAUCGACCGAUCAUGGCUACUCGAGCCGCAUCAUCAGCUGCAAGAUGCGGCAGCGGCGCCGCUGUCCUCUUGAUGCUGCUCGCCGUGCUGGCUGGCACCUCUUCGGCGCAGCUGUCCACCGGCUUCUACUCCUACUCGUGCCCCGGCGUGUACGACGCCGUCAAGUCGGUGAUGCAGGCCGCCAUCGCCAGGGAGCAGCGCAUGGGCGCCUCCAUCCUCCGCCUCUUCUUCCACGACUGCUUCGUCCAAGUACUAGCUUACUACUACUAAUAAUAAUAUGAUCAAUAAUUGCUCAGUCAAAAUUACUUCCUGUUGAUCAACUUGAUCGAUCACUUAUUCUUACUUAUUUAUUAUCUGCAAUAAUUUUCAUUAUUCUGCAGGGCUGCGACGCGUCGUUGCUUCUGGACGACACGGCCAGCUUCCAGGGCGAGAAGAUGGCGACACCCAACAACGGCUCCGUCAGAGGCUUCGAGGUGAUCGACGCCAUCAAGUCCGCCGUUGAGAAGGUCUGCCCCGGCGUCGUCUCCUGCGCCGACAUCCUCGCCAUCGCAGCCAGGGACAGCGUCGUCAGCGUAAGCUAGUCGUCACUCCUCACUUGAAGAAAUCAAAAUGGAACUGAACCUGCAAGCGUGGUGUGUGCAUAUAUAUGCAGCUGGGCGGGCCGAGCUGGGACGUCAAGGUUGGGAGGAGGGACUCGACGACGGCGAGCUUCAGCGGCGCCAACAACAACAUCCCGCCGCCGACGUCGGGCCUCGCCAACCUGACAUCACUCUUCGCCGCGCAGGGGCUCUCCCAAAAGGACAUGGUCGCGCUCUCCGGUGUGUGUUAUAAUUAAUUAAUAUAUAGAAUUCCCUACUCCUCCAUGCAUUGCAUGGUCACCAAAAUAUAUCACCAAGGGAAGAAGGGGAAUCAUUGACAUUUCCGUUCCGUUUUGACUAGGAGGAUCAAUUGUAUCACAAACCAAACUAUGACAUGAUCCCUUAAAUUAUUUUAUUACUUUAAAAAUUUUAAAACUGGGCCACCAACGAAAAUAGACAACUGUUAGUGGCUGAAAGAUCAGUCUUCCACCAGAUAUCUUAAUUCGACCAAAUACUAAAGCAAGCAUAAAGCCUGGAUACAAGGAAAGGUAGAACAACAAUACAUGUGGUUCCUUUUCUUUCAAUUCAUUUCUAGAAUGAAAUACCUUUAUCUUUGUUACACUGAGAGAACCAUGAACAGCCUGUGCUGCAUAUUUUAAAAAGAAGAUGCUUCAAAACUUUGUGAUAAAUUAAUUUUUUGAUUAUUCUGGAUCAUGUUGCAUACUAUAGAUCUAAACAUAGAAUUAAUAUUCCUUACUGUUUCUUUGCCAGGAGCUCACACCAUUGGACUAGCACGUUGCACCAACUUCAGAGCCCACGUCUACAAUGACACCAACAUCGAUGGUGCCUUCGCAAGAACAAGGCAAUCAGGUUGCCCUCGAACCUCAGGUUCAGGUGACAACAAUUUGGCGCCCUUGGACCUUCAAACCCCAACCGUAUUUGAGAACAACUACUACAAGAAUCUUGUUUGCAAGAAGGGGCUUCUACACUCUGACCAGGAGCUCUUCAACGGUGGAUCCACCGAUGCUCAAGUCCAAUCAUAUGUUAGUAGUCAGAGCGCAUUCUCCGCUGACUUUGUGACCGGCAUGAUCAAGAUGGGUGACAUCAUGCCAUUGACGGGCUCCAAUGGGGAGAUCAGGAAGAACUGCAGAAGGAUUAACUAAGCGGCAGUGCACUGUACACUAUAUAUAUAUAUAUAUAUAUAUAUAUAUAUAUAUAUAUAUAUAUAUAUAUAUAUAUAUAUCUUGAGACUCUUCAUUAAUAAUAUACCCACUCAUGAUAUAUAUAUAUAUAUAUAUAUAUAUAUAUAUAUAUAUAUAUAUAAAUAUUAUCUUGCAAGUUUGUAUAACCUCUUAGUUUUAAAUUGAGCAACUGUGAAAUUAUUAUGCUGUACCAAUGUGUGUUCAGAUAUGAUGUUUGUUUUCUUAAAUAAUGUUUAAUCUAUCUAUAGAAUGGACGUACGCAUCAUCAUAUAUGCUCCAGCUUAAUUGGAGAUCGAUGAUCUGAUGAGCAAAGGAAUUAAUGUACUAUACCCAGGUAAUAAUAUAUAUAAUCGUACAUCGUCCUCAUCAACGGUGCGUACGCAAUUAAUCUACUAGCUCUUUCAUCAUCAGAUUGAUUAUAUAUAUAUAAUUAACUUACUAGUGAUCUGAAUAUCUGAUCGAUGAUGAACGACCUGCUACAACUAGCAGGAGGUGAUCUGAAUAUAUUUAGUUUAUUAUAGCUAAUAAUUAAUGAGCAAAUACUGUCGUCGUUGUGCGUGCAUGCCCGCAGCAAGGAUCCUUGGUCAAACUGAGUCUCCACCCCAAUGCUGAGGUGGAUCCCUCUGGCGUCAACUUCGCCAUGGCCGGCGCCGGCGUCUGUCUCAGGGUGGGCCGCCGUCGCUUGGCAACCAGAUCGAUCAACUCAGUAGGCUGGUGAGGCAUGGAAUCAUCGAGGACAACGACCUGGAGGAGUACUCGGUGGCACUCAUCGCCUUCACGGGCGGCCACGACUAUGCACGCCGACGACGUACUCUAUUAUUAUUAUUAUUGUUGAUGAUCUCAUUCGUUCGUUCACCGUUAUCGUCUAUCUGCAUAUAUAAUUAAAUAAAUAAAAUAUGCAACAGAUUAUGGCCUUGGCCGAGGAGGUGACCGACAUGAUCGCUGACGGUGCCAAGCGGCUGCAGGAGCUGGGUGUGUCCAAGGUGCUCGUCAACCUGACGCCCCCAAUGGGCUGCCAACCGUAUCGGACCUGGAUGACCAACUACGCCCAAUGCGACAGCCACGUCAACACGGCGAGCAGCAUCCACAACGCGGCUCUCAAAAGGAAGAUGGACGACUUCCAAGACGUGCUCGUGCUCGACCUCGACUCCAUAUUCAGCCAACUCAUCCAAUCCAACUCCGGUACGUGCAUGCAUGCAUCCCUAGCGGCUACAUAUGAAAAAUAAAAUAAAAUAAUACAAUAAAUUAAUAAAUUUUUGCAGAGUUCAAGGGCAAGUACACACCGUGUUGCGAUGCUACAUCUAAACCAGAAGGCUAUUGCGGACAGGAGGACAGCAAUGGCAACGCGCAGUACAGCCCAUGCCCCAACCCGGAGGAUUUCUUCUACUGGGACUGUGUGCACCCCACACAAGCAGGCUGGGAGGCCGUCAUGAACCGCCUGGAGCAACCCAUCCUGAAUUUCUUAGGCUUGUACUCCUAGAUAGUUACCAUGCGUUUGCACACGCAUGCAUGCAUCAGAAGUAGCGCUGUAAUAAGCUACUAUUAGCUAGGUCGUCUUAGGAUUAGGCAUCAUCAAUUGCUAUUAGUUUAUUUAUUGAUUAGUCUUAACCAGCUCGAAAUUUAGUUAGGUUCUUGUGCUCGAUCGGCUUGUGCUAUUUAUGAGUCAUGAAUAAAUUAAAUGACUGUUGGACAUGUUUAAUUACUUACUGUUCGGAUUAGGUAAGCGAUAAUAACACAUAUUCAUGAAAAAAAAAGAGCAGCUGAUCUGAUGAUAGCAAAAUAUUGUGAAAAAACAUAUAUAUAUAUAUAUAUAUAUAGAGAGAGAGAGAGAGAGAGAGAUAUAUGUUAUGUCACCCAGCGCGUGUAGUUUUUCUUGAAAAGAAAGGAUUGAAGUCUCUUCCAUCCUAUUUAUAAAGAUGAUCGAGUUCAAACAAAAAACAAUGAGCUAAAUAAUCUUCAACAACUACUUCCUUGAUCAUUGCUAGCUCUCUAUGAAACAAUAACAGCCUCAUCUAUAAAAUGGUACCGUACCUUCACGCACACUUGCAUUAUAUUGCACCACGCCGUCACGCACAAAUAUAUACAGUAGCUGCCACUCUAUCUGUGAGGUGGAUGUGUGUGUGUGUAUAUAUAUAUAUAAUAAAUAGGAACAGCGAAACUAAAGAACGCAACAGAACCCAGUUUCAAUGUUUAAACAAUAAACAAGCAGGAAGCUGAAGAGCAGCAUAAAGUGCUUCAUGCUUGCUGCUGCUCGGUCGGAGUAUGUUGUAAGCUUGGGUAAUAAAUCUGUGUGUGCGUGUUUGCCAAUCUGAAGUGAGGAGCAGUCUCCUUUUUGUACUACUCCAGUAACAGUAUGCAUAUGCAUGUCGAUCAGUUUGUGUCAGGAGAUCGAGCUGAUGUUUCUUGCGUGACAUGGAACUGACCGACUUUCCUGGCCGGAGGAGUAUAUGCAAGAAGCCGGCUAGGAGUAGCUGCCUGCAUAUUUAAAGCAAGGUUGAGUUCCUCACUAAAAGAACGAAGCUGAUUCAAAAUUGUCAAGCAAAGGGUGAGCCAAUGCAAGGAUUCAGUACAUAUAGCAACAUCUCUUCAUUUUUGAACACAUGCGCGGAGGCACGCCGCCUCUGAUGUAUGUAGACGGUAGGCAGCUCUUUAUCCAACAUUUGGUUCACUCCAAGAUCUCACUGUCACUCUACCAGCUACUUGUUUUUUUUCUCUGGAAUGAGAUAGAGACCCUUAUUGGGUAGAGGAUGGACAUGCCAUUUCAUUUUUAAAAAGAGAUAGCAGAUGCUCACAUCAAUGGAUCGGCGUCUAAAUAUAAGGUGGCUUGGCUCUCUCUAUAUGUUGAAUGGACAAUAUAUGCGUUCCUAAUCAUGCAACAAGCAUCUAUGGGUACCGUUGCAGCAUGCAAAAAGCUAGGCACAUAAUCUGUUAGCCUAUACUAUAGGUGUGAUGUGGAAUAUUUUAUAGUUGUUGAUGUAUAUGUUAAACUGUUGUUGCCUAGUAUUUGGUUCAUAGAAAAUGAAAGAAUAAAAAAUAAAAUACCUCAUGGCUAAGAAAGAUGCAAAACCACACCUCAUCCAUUGGAUUCUGCUACUACAAACUUGAUAUAGAAAUCCGAGAUUAGAAAGGGAAAGAAAAUCUUAUGGUUGACCGAAUUGAGUUCAAAGAAAUAUAAGGUCUAUCCAUCAAUAAUUACUAAGAGUUGACACUAUGUAUAUAUUAGUUGAUGGUGAAUACUGUACUAUCCUACUAUGUAUAUAUUAGUUGAUGGUGAAUACUGUACUAUCCUACUUGUAGAAUGAGUGUGCGGUAACUAGGUUCUAUGCCCAUCGCGUGAAACACUUAUCCUAGAAGGUGGUGUGGUGUAGUCCUUUUUGUGCCCAUGGUCUAAAACAUGUAUAUUGUUGAGCUCAGCGCUGGUGUCCUAGAUAAGGGUUGAUUAAUGGACCAUUACGUCGGCGAAGAUAUUCUGAAAGGGAGGCAACUCCACGAAGACCCCUCUCCGUCUCGCACUAACGCGAGAGCCUUCCGGAUAACGAUCCCACGUGGACCCCACCCUAACCUCUUCAUCUCCCCGCUUUUCUUGCACCGCUCUCCCCCGGCCCUUCAUCUUCCUCACAUCGCCCCGCGCUCCCGCCCUCCCCCUCGCCGGUGUCGCCUCUGAUGCCGGCGUGGACCACCCUCUCCUUCCCCUCCCCGUCCCCCUCCCCACCCCUUCCCCUUUCACCAGAUUCCCCCGCUGCCGGCACCAUCCAACCGCUAUCCUCCACCACCCGCCGGGCUAUGCCAUCGCCGCCGAUCUCACCGCCCACAAUCCACACAACCACCGCCGAUUUGGUUGUGUGCAAUAGUUGUGUGUGCUUGCAUGAUCCGUGCAUGUCUUUCUAUCACUGCUUGCACGUGACUGUCGUCAUCAUUUCAAAUAAUGACUAGCUAGCUAUGUAGCGCAAAUUAAAUGAUGUGGUUGAGUUUGUUUUGCACGCAAAGAGUGUUGGUUUCUAGAAUAACAAACAUUAUAGGAACAAAGGAGGUGAACCAUUAUGCAAUCCUUCAUCCAAUACACGUAUGUAGUAUGACUAAAAUGCAAGGUGAGCAACUAAACUUGCACUAAAUUCUUACCUAAAAUCACUUAACUUGCAAAUGGUACCCAACACAUCAUCAAAAACUUGCAUCCUCGUUCACGAGGUCCUUUUCUUUUUGCCUGAUUGAUUAUGUCUUCUGUAGGCGAUAACAUAGAAUUGGACUUGCAUUUAUAAUGUGUAUAUAUUUCUGUGAGAUGUGAAGGCGUGAUGCUCGUGGCCAGUGUAGCGGGGCUAUCGCGGCACAUGCGCUAGCACGAUAGUGUCUAUACCAGCCGCGCGCGCGUCAUGACAGCUAGCGCGACUAAAAGGCUCACUGGUGUAAGAAAAAGUUCAGGCCGGGUUAUUUUUUUUAAAAGAAUCAUUAAAAAAUUUUGAAAUAAAAAGGAAAUUCUCCACUCUCCAGGCACCAGCGUGGUGGCGUUAAGCCUCCGAGCUCCGGAUCUUCUCCGGCGGCGCCCUGCAUCCCAUCGCCGAAACCUAGGCACGACCAGGUCUUGCCCAACCAGAGCCAGGCGACCACAGCAUGUCCUUCAAGAGCAGGUGUCUCCCUCUGAUCAGCUUUCGGGCGCACUAGUACUUCACAGCCUUUGCAUUGGCUAGUUUCAUGGAGUAGUGGAGCAUAUAGAGUAUAGAUUGCACUGGAUGCCGAUGUGGGAGAAAAGGGGAGGUUAUUGGCUCUAUAAAUUUUGUUCAGUUUUUCGUGUAUUUGUUGUUUCUACUUGAAUAUAUACUCAUCCAAUUAUUUACACUUUAGCUGAGUUUCAGAAGUUCAGAAACAUAACUUGAUACUCAUAAAAGUUACUCGAACUGAUGCUCAAAAUGCAGCAUCUUGCAUAUUUAUUUGACACAUACUCAACUGAUUGAUUUUUCGUUUCUCAAUUUAGUAUCAUCACCAAUUGUACAUGCUGAUAUGAGCUUGUUUCUUGUUAUAAUUUAUUCCCCAGGUCUCCCAUACACAUAUACAUGCACACAUACAUGUUUCAUUUAUGAAAUUAAUGCCACAGCCUGGGUGUCAAUGUGAGCACAAUCAACUUUGUCGACAAAUAAAUACUGCCAUUCCAACACAGAAGGUCUAUUUACUGAAGGAUCACAUCACUGUUUGUAGUGCUCCCUCCAUUCUCUUUGAUAGUCCUAUUUCCAAAAUUAAAUUAUUAUCUUUAAAUAUUCUUAUUUGAGUUGCUAUCUUGGAAAUGAAACAAACAACCCUUUCGAUUCUCGUGCAGAGUAACUCCUUCAAAAUAGCUUAGUACAUGCAUAUGAUGACAUCGAUGUCGAGGAGUUCCGGUGGAAAAUUUUCCUACUACAUAAUGACUUGAUUAAUUGAAUAAUAAGUAGAGUUCUUUUCCUUCAAAAGAGAAUGGAGAAAGUACGCAGUUGUGAAAAGAUCUCACUAAUUAAGUACUAUAUAUAGGAGUAUGGCAUCCUCGAACUCAUAUGCAUGACAUGGCUUACAUAUAUUUUUCCCUUUAAAUUAAAUUUAAGAACACGCUCGCUCUUACAUCAGAUCAGACACAUGGAUCAAACCCUAAUAAUGGUUCGUUUCUGAAGUGCAUGCUGACACAUGGAUCAGACACUGCACGGGGCCGCAUCAUAUUGUAUUUUCCUCAACUUUGAAGUAUACAUAUGUUGUAUAUCGUUACUAUAUAUAUCAUCUAUGUAUAUAUGACUGUAUCUUCAUUCAUUCAUGGCCUCCGCGCCCUCCGAUCGUCAUGCACGACGCAUGAUCACGGUGACAGAGCUGCAAAGAAUAUAUAGGAGAAACAUCAACAAGAAUGUCAUGAGAGAUCAAAAUCUAGCUACUACUGUUAAUAAGUUGCAGGUAAGGUGGCCACUGUUAAGUUGCAGGGAACUGUCCAACAAGAAUGUUAGGAAGUAGCUAGCACAAGAGCAAGUUGCCUUGUUAUUUGCAUGCUAUAGUAAUAAGUAGUAAAAGUAAAUUGCAUUGCUCGCUUGCCUGCAGACGGCUUCUCCCAGACGUCAGGAAUGCGGCCGACCAGCGGUGGGGUUUGCUGCCCAGCUGCAUUAUUAGCAUUGUUCAUGCCAUCGUCGGUCAGCCAUGGAAUGAAUCAUGCAAGAGUAUUGAGGACUUAGCAGCCAUGGCAUGGAGUGGAAGUUCGACAAGCUAAGAGAGGAGAGGACACUCACUGAAGCAGAUGUAGAGGACCUGGGGUGGAAGCACGACGCCGCAAGCGAUGGGGAGAUACAUCAUGCGAACGGGAUCAACUGGCUUGGGCAGCAUCUUGUUGACGUCGCCCAGGAUCACCGGGCACAGGCACCGCAGGGUCCGGUCGCCGUCCCCCGCCGCCGACGAGGUGUUCAAGAAGGCCCCGAGCCCGCUGCAACACUCGCUCUGCGGCGUGGGGGUCUCCGACUCGCUCCCCGUCAGAAACGUCCCGCAGGUCAUCAGCCCCGCCAGCGGCGUCACGCAAUCCGUCGGCGACGACGGAGUAGAGUCACCAACGCUGCCAGGCAGCCCGGGGAAGCCCGGCACCACGGGGAAGCCAGACGGCGGUGCCUUGGGGCAAGGCGGCUGAAACACCGGAGCCGACGGCACUGGAGCCGGCGGUGCAGGCCUCGUGCUCGGUGCGCCCGGGAAGCCGUAUGCUGGCGGCGACGGUCUCGCUCCGGGGAAGCCAGGGAAGAUGGGGCUGCGUGUCCUGGCCCCCGGCCGGCCAGGGAAUCGGAGGGCGUCGGCGUCCGAUGUGCCUGACGCCGUAGUCGUGUACCUCGCUGCUUCAGAUGGCCGCGCCGCCACCAUGACGGCAGCAGCCACGGCAAGCACGACGGCGAUGCGGAUCGACAUGGAUGGCGCUGCAAGGAAAAUCCGAAAAUGUAUGGAUCGACUGACGAUGAACAACCGCUUCUACCUGUGCUCACUGCUCGAUUAUCUAAUGUCCCGCUUUAUAACUCGCUUUGGUGAUUGUCAUUAUUACUAGUUCUCAAUGGCCUCCCAAAGGCUGUGGUUCUGGCAUUGUUAUACUCUAUGGUUCCAUCUUGAGCUUCUUAGUUUUCAAAAGAAAUGCAAGUCACCUGUAGAAGGAAAAAAAAAUGCAGCAUUUCAGAGAGCUGUAUGAUUUCCUACGACACGAACAACAUCAUACCUGCAACGCAACGGCCCCUCAUGUUAGGAACAAUCGUGUCUUUAGCAAAUAGAAUGCUAAUUUGUAUGGCAAUGGCAUGCACCGUGUAGUUGCACGUUUGGUUAGCCGGUGAGCAGCUGCAGAUCCAUGUUCACUUCUUCUGCUAGUGUAUGCAGUUAAUUGGAGCCGAACCGAAAAAAUAUAUACCUAUCUUCUCUGUAUUAUAUUGUACCCUACAUGUUUGUUAACUCCAAAUUCAUCCUAGAAGAAAAACACUGAAUUUAAAAGUUGUCCAUGGAACUGCCAACCUUUGGAAUAAGCAAGGAGGUUCAAUAUCGACAGUGGCAUGUCUUCUUACUGAGGCUAUUCUUUAACAUUGGCGUAUGUAACUUGCAGUUUGCAUGACUCAGUUUCUGCCAUGCGGCAACCGAAGACAGUACAAAAAACCAGAAAUUAUUCUACUAUGAUGUUUAGUCCUACCAUUCCUCAUUCUGUAUCUUGUACUCUUCCUGUGUUUAACUUUCUCCAUAGUUAACUCCAAUAGUCCAACUCAUCCUAAAAGGAAAACUCCAGAUUCGAAGGUUCCUCCAUGAAUCUGCUAUUCUUUGAAACAAGCAGUUCGCUACCAGCAGGGAUGUGUCCUUGGCAACCAUACUUUCAACAUGCUGAAUGCACUAUCUAUCUAAUGUCAGAUAUCUGUAGAGACAAAACAUAGAGAAGAAAACAGCAAGAGCAUCCGGCUUCAGUCUUGCUGAUAAUGUGAAAUAUAUAGGGGUAUCAAUUGUUUGCCCUUCAGGAAUUAAGAUACCACAGGAGCCGCCUCAAGCCUGGCAAGAUUUGUCUGGAGUCGCCCCAAAUGAAAUGCAGUGAGAAGCCACAGGAAGCAGAGCUGAUGAAAAAGGAGAAUGAUGACUCUUCAGUGAUCUAUCCCAGGACCUCGUAAAUGAAAGAAAAAUAAAUUUAUCUAGCAAGCCUUGGUGUCCAAGGAAGUGAGCUCAGCUCAGGUAGUAGGUGUUGGGUAUACAGCCCACGACCUAGGUUCAUGUCUUCUUUUAUUCGAAUCAGGGUGCCUAUUUCUUUAUUUACAAUGCCACCUCGUUAGGUUGGUCAAGUUUUUUUUUGUAUACAAGGGAUUUGCAUUAGUUGCAAGAGUUAAACAUUUUCUGCAUAUGCAUAUAAUGAUUUUUCUGACUUUACGUCUUCCGUAUAGAUUUUGGAUUCCUAGUAUACUUUGUGCUCAGCAAACAAAAAGGUUACCGAUAAACUCCUGGAACUCAUGCCCUGUAAUGGGAAUGGGAAUGGGAAUCCUCACAGAAAUGGAAACAAGCAGCUUUCUAUUUUUCUUAAAAAGAUGAAAACAAGCAGCGUCACAUGAGGACUAUGACUAAACUAGUUUAUACUAAUGUAGUAUGGCAUGUUGAUGAAGUGAUGCAUGUAUGCGCAUGUCAGCAAUGACAUCCUAACAUCCUAUGGGCAACAUACCACUUAAAAAGACCACAUACGAAACAGCUGGAAAGAGUUAGCAAAUCACUACAAUAUGAUUCAUACCGGCAAUGCAUAGAGGAUAACCAUGGAUGCUUUCUUCUCGAGUCUGCUGAACAGCAAACUAUAAAUUCCAGCAGCUGUCGCAUCACCUAGCCUUUGGACAAUAACAUCUAUACAGACCUACAAGAGAGCAUAUUUAUUUAUUUUUAAUAAUGUAGCAAAGUUUGCAAAACCAACAGGAAAAAUAGGAAGCAAACUAAGAAUAUUUUCACAUCAUUCCGCAAUAUUAGCUAGCAUACUUCUAAAGAAUCUGAAACUCAUAAUAAGGUAAGUAGGCAGCUGAAAAGAUGACUUUCUUCAAAUUUAGAUCCUUAAAGUCACUGUUGUUUAGUGGCUUUAUAUUUUGAGAGACCAAUAUAGCUCUUAUGUGCACAAUGAACUAAAAAUGAAAUACUGUUUUCACCGUAGCAAUUAACCUCGAAAUAUAAUCCACUGGAAAGGCGGAAAGUAGCAUGAGGAUGUUUUUGGCACAUUACCAUUUUAUUUGGAAUAACAUCAUUGAACCUUUCCAAAAGAAGUUAGAACAACAUAAACAUGAGUUAAGCAACACUUUCUAUGCCUGAUCCUAUGCCGGAGAAGCCAUGCUGCUCCCAUCUGCUCUUGGUCAGCAAGCUCAUAUUAGGUAGGGAACAUAUCUCUUACCUUGGCUUUGUACUUUUCAUCCUGUGAGACGACUGUAAACAAUAACUCCCUUCCAGGCCUUGUCAAUACAUAAGUGACUACCUGUAAAUAAUCAAAGAUUAGGAAAACAGCAAAUUAAACUAACCUUUUAGAUUCCUGGAUAUCUGAAUAUAAAAAUGAUAACAUAUCGUAUAUGCAAAACUGAAUAGGUGCUUAACAGGCUCCACUUGGUAUUGAGUUGCAAUUUAUUAUGCCCUAAAUCAGUAUUGGUAAAUGAAGGAAAAAAAUCCUGUUGCACCAAUAAACCUUUGACAUUCCAUUGAUUUUCAGUCAGAUUUGAGUGUUUGACAUACUAUGGUUUUAAAUCUAACGUUGUAAUGUGUACCACAUCUAUGGCAAAGUAGCACUAUGUCUAUAUGCUGAGUUUUGAACAUAGCAGGCCGAAACAACCUGUGUAAUGUUGCAUUGCUUUAGACUAAACUGAAUGAAGCAGCACGAGUAUUAGCAAAUGUAUAAAACAAAUUAAUCAUGUGAGAUGGUAAUCUCUAAGCCUGUGAACGGACAAGGUAGAUAUAUUACAAUCCACAAACUCUUUUAUACAAACCCAUCUUUGUGGCUACUGAUUACUGAACUUCAGAUUUAGUGAGUCUCAAACAUGUGUAGACAAAUGAUAAUAAAUGUGCAAUUUGGACACUAGAAUUCAAAGGAAGAACAAUGGUAAUUAAACUAAAAGUCUCAACUGAAUGUCCCUUGUUCAUUCAUAUUUGAUACCUUUCGAAUUGUUUCAGUGAGAGCCACAGCAACCCAAGUUGGCCAUACAGCUAGGGCAACCAUAUUUGAGGCUGCAACAAGCGGAGAUGCACAGAUAGCAACGGUUACACCGGCAACAGUAAGGAUAUGGCCCUGAUAUGUCAACAUCAUAACAAGAAUAACAAAAAAUCCAAGAAUUUUAUAAUUAUAAACAUGAGGAAAGUUUAAAACAAUAAACCUCAUAAAUCAUUGCAGAUAUUUACUAUUUGCCCAGACAUUAUUAUUAUAUUGUUUUCUUCAAGAUCAAAUACCAUUUUUUUUGGAAUUUGGAUAAGCGUAGACAGAACAUGAAUCAUUUGGACUAUGUAGUAUCUUUGUUCAAAGAAUAAACAGGGUUUCAUAUAGCAUAAAUCACUUCAAAAUAAUCAAGAGGAUCACACUCUCUAUGAAACAACUACCAUACAAGGAGCAAACAUGAUCAAAUAUUUUUAUUAAGAGCCUGAUUGGUUGGGUACCAAAAUCUGCCCAGCCAAAAUUUGGGCAAGCCUAUAAAUUUUGGCACUCGUUUGGUUGGAAUCCAAAAAAUAGCCCACCUAAUUAAGUGUUAUUCUAAAAUUGCCAAGGUUUUGGUUAAAAAGAUUGGCAUGCCCACAUAUUGGCAUGGCAAAUUUUAGUAUCCAACCAAGCAGGCCCUAGAACCAUACAAGUGUCAUAGAGUAGAUUGAGCCUACACAUCCAAUAAAGUGGAAGCACAUGAAACACAUUGACAAAUGUAAAUUAGAUAAUUUUGCAACGUUGGACAUACAAUACAAAAUUAAUCUUGUAGUGUGCAGUCUGAUGAGGUGUCCUGUUGUAAACAUAACAACCAGUGAAAUCAAGGAAAAAGACUACAAUCAGUUACAUUUCUUUCUCAUGAUGGUUGACAUAUAGGUCUACGUAGUGGUAUUUUGUUUUUUGGGAUAUGCAGGCUCAUCCACAAUGUAAUGAGAGUACUUGGAAAUAGAUAAGUGAGGAUAAUUUGGAUGAUAUUCCCAAUGCUGAAAGCAUGACAAUAAAUGGAACUAAGGAAACAGACUACGAACACCACACAGGAAACAGACUACAAACACCAUACAUUUCUUUCUUAUGAUGGUUGGCAUACAAGAUUAUGCUGUGGUAAAAGAAAAAUAUAUAUAGACUCAUUGACAAUGUAAUGGGAGUACAUGGAAAUAGAUGGCUGAGGAUAAUUUGGACAUGGAAAAAAUACCGUCAAAGUGAGCUGUCCCGCAAGAAUAAAAACUGCUAUAAAGCUGUUUAUCAGUGCAAAUGUUCUCCUUCUGGCAGCUGGGCUUGAUAUUGUAGUAGCUAUUAUUGUUACUUUCUGAAAAUCAUGGAGAAAAGGUGAUUUGGAGAGCAAUUUAUGUGUUCUUACUACUGAUCAUGCAAUUAAAAGUAAUAUGUUCAAAUCAUUACAUGCAAGCUUUACAGUGCAUGUAGAGAUACAUAUUUAUAACCAUACCUGAAAGUAAAAGAAGGAUGAGAUAACUGCACUUAGCCAUAGAAAUAGAGAUAUGUAUAUCAGGUAGGGCGAUCGCAAAAUAAGCCAGAAACCUUCAAACAUUAUAAAAAUCUCAGGAUUGGACUUUCGAGAUUGGAAAGGCGAACUAGGUGAAGCCACCAGUGAAGACAUUUCAUCAUCAGCCUCUGCAUUUUGAAUUUUUUCUGCCCUGUAGUCAGCAAAAGAUACGAAAUGUCUUCAAUUCUAACAAAGGAACAUAAGAAGCACUGAAAAGCCAAACUAAAUCCUAGUACUGCUUACAAAUUCAGUGUAAAUCCAACAUUUUUUCUUUUUAACCGGCAGGAGGGCUGCCUACAAUUUUAUUAAGAAGCAAAAAACAUGGUACAAGGCAGUCCAAAUGAAAACAAACUCAGUAGAAAAAAAAAGAGUGAGAAAAACAGCUAGGACUCGGGACCUAAUGGCAACCUUUCCGACUUGUGUUUUCAUCAUGAAUCAUAAAAAAAAAAUUCACAGUUGAUCACGAAGAUGUGGAUUAAUAAAUUAUCUUUGUGGCAUCAAUGAACACAAAAUUUGUCUACAGAAGAUGCAGAAUUGCAGAUUGGUCAUCUCAAUACAAUAAGAAGAAAUCAAGAAUGUUUAUAAAAAAUUGAAAACGUCCUGAAAAAUCAUGUACCCUGUUGGAGACAGUUCAGUUGAACCCUGAAUAUCAUCAAUGCGAAUUCCUUUAGAUGAUACAGCAGCAAGUUCCAUCAAGAGGGAUGAAAAUAGGAGCAUAACUGUUCAGAAGAUAUUGCAUUUCAUGAAAUACUAUAUAUGAAUUAUUAUGUUAUUAAGAGAAUCUUCAUAGAUAAAUGGUGCAUACAGGGUCCCAGCCAUGCCAUGCUUGCAGCAAACAAUGAACCAAAAAGUUGCCCCAGCGUAGCACCAGCCCCAAUAAAACCAAACAAUCUUGAGCCUGACUGAAUUUAAAGGAAAAAAAAUGUUGUAAAUAAAGGAAAGAAAGUAUUAAGGAUUAUCCAUACUGGGCAGUGCAUUGUAAUGAUACCUCACUGUCCAUGACAUCAAUAACCCUUGCCCAAGUUGACGAUAUUGCAAUGAGAUUAAGUAAAGCAACCUUCAUAUAGAGAGAGUUGACGAAACUAAAUCAGCUUCAGUAUCCAAAACAUAAAAAGGAAAAGUCUAAUUAAUAUGAGAGGACAUACCCAAAGAAACAAGCUUAUUCUCACUACUAUAUAGAACCAGCUGUGGUUUUCCCACCCUGCAUGCUUACUCAAACCAUCUUCGCUAGACUUGAUCAUGACAUCAAAAGUACAAGGAAAAGUAAGCUCUUCAGUGCAAAAAGGAAAAAAAAACUGUUGCUCGUUGAUUAGGAAAUCUAGGAAGACACAGAAAGUGGCUGGAGUGUGAAAAGGAGAUGUCUUGGAGGAUCCCUUUUUUCCUCAAGACUCUAAGAAGUAUGAUGAGUUUGAUGCAUAUAGACUCAAAAUAAUCCAAGGUAUUAUUGACGUAUAUUACCUGGGAGACGGAUUGAGACUGCCUGGGGCUAGAAGCAAACCAAAGCACAAAAAAUACAAGAAGAGAGAUGCUGAAGAACCUAUGUAUCAAAAUCAAAGCCUGAAACCACAGAUAAUAUGUGAAAAAAUUAACUUGUUUCCAAGAAAGAAAUUGACUGGAUUCUUAGAGUGGAUGUCUCAUCAAGAUGAAGAAAAAAUAAACACAAGACAACUUUUGGUUUGAAAACUGUAUUUGGCCUUAGCAAAAUUAUCCAACUCUUGUUCAGUGGUGUCAAUGUUUUGCUCAUUCUUAAAAUGGAUAUAUCUAAUUCUAAACGGUCCACCUGAAACUUCAGCCACACACAAGACAAAGUUUGCAUCAUUAGUACUUGGAGCGUCUAAAUUCCUAAUUUUGACAUCAGAGGACAAGAAACCAAGAAUCAAUACAAUGAGUGAAAAUACUGAAUUGGACACGUGAUGCACUUGCAGUUGAACUUGGAGACAAGACAUUCAACUACAACAAGCUCAAAUGCAAAGCAUAUCAUUUUCGGUUUCUGAACAAUCUAAGCGAUCAGCUUCUGGCAACAACUAAAUUAAGGAGAAGCCCACAUCAGAAUGGAUUUAGUACUCCCCAGGCAAAUAAAACGGCCAAGGUGAGUUAAGGGAAGUGGCACGGACCCUGGGCUUGGGGAUGGACGGGAGGGAAAAGGCGAGGGAGGCGACUGGGGCGGCGAGGACGGUGAGCAGUAGGGAGCCGGCGAAGAGGCCCGGGAGGGUGUCCAGGCCCAGGGAGAUGGCGCCCUCGUCACGCAGCGGCAGCACCACGAAGUAGGCGCUCAGGAUCUGCGCACCCACCACAACAAAAAUCUUUGAUUCGGGGGGUUGCAGAAUUGGAGAAACCAUGAGAUGGAUGGAAGGCAAAAGGCUUACGAAGAAGAAGGUGGCGGCGGCGCUCAGAAGAGGAGGGAUCUCGUGGGGGAGGACGGUUACCACGGAGGCUACCGCCGCCUCGGCGCGUGCGCGGAGGAGCCGACGAGGCGUCGUCAUUCCGGCGGGCCUUCGACCUGCCAGUAACCAGCCGGCUCGGGUUGACUAUAACCUACCUUUGGAAGAAAGAGUCUUUGUGCAAAUCCUGCCGGUUAUCCGGCCAAAUUGUGAGCUAAAUUCAAAAAUACAAUUUAAAAUACCCCAUCCAAGAGCAUGAACAUUGACAGGGAUACUGUUUGCCUAGGCAUAUCUCCCAAAAAUUCGUAGAAUGCUGCUGUACAUAUUGAUUUUUUUUUAGAGAACUGCUGUAAAUAUUGUUAUCCAGCCUAGGAGCAACACUUUCUGUUGCAGCAUGUGCCUUAUUGUGAUGAAUUUGCUGUUGUUUAUGAAACGUUUAGACUCCGGAUGCAUACUUCUCUGAAGCCACAAAACCUUUGAUGCUAAAUUACGAACAAUCUUGCUGUUUCAUUUCCCUACAUCUGAAAUAUGUCUUGACAAGUUAUUGACAGCAUCCGUAGCCUAGCACAUGAUAUUUCUUUCAGCUCCCAGAAUAUUAACACAUUGGUAUCUAAAACAAUUGUAUACACAAUAUAAGGGUUUCGAAGAAUACAUGGGCACAAUACAGAAGCCAUUGGUUUAUCGCCUUAUGUACAAGGAAUACUACCAUCACCGUGCGCUUUGUGUAAUCUUCCAAUCUUCAUGCAUCGCCCACCAAUCCCUCGUCCAAGAAUGAGCUGAUUGUAGUCUUUUGACUGGCUGGACACGCUUGUACGAGUGCGCACACAUCAUUCUUCUCAAGGAACUUCUCACCAUUGACCAGGAUGAGGGGAAUGUAUUGCAGGACCAAUCUCUUGCACUGGCAACAAGAUAAUAAUAUGAUUAAAACGCAUGCCAUGCUUGCAUAAUACAUUAACUGGAGAAGCAGAAAACAGCUCCUAGUAUUAAAUUUUAGAUUUUAAGGAUAAAUAUUUAUGCAAGUUUUUGUUCUUGGAGGGAUCUAAAUCUAAAUUUUCUGCAAUUUAAGCAAUAGUUUACACAUCAAUGGGUCAUAGAGGAAAAAAAAAAGUACCAAAUUGCUUACCUGCUGGACAUGACCUUCGAUCUUAUUGCACUCCUUGAUGAGAAUUUGAAUUAUCUCAAACUGCAGACAUCACAUAUGAAAUGUUAGGUCCAGAGAGGCUGAAUUUAUAAACGACACAAAGCAAUUACCUCUGCAUCUGGAUCUUUCAGUUUGGACAUAAUUUCAUCAAGCAGGUGGUGGCAAAACUCACAAGAGCUGUCACUUCCCACACCAGAGAAAAGGGCGGUUUCCCUGCACAGGCCAUACUGUUUGCAGAACUCUUCUGGCUUGAUCUCCGAAAUCUUGGCAAACAGCAGAGUUGCAUAGGAGUCCAUCAAUUCAACACACUGCAGAGAUAGAAAAGUGUUAAUGAUAACUAUAAUAAACCCAUCUACCAUUGCCCUUUAGGGAGUAUCUUUCGAGCAUGGCAUGCAGUGAGUACGGUAACGCAAUCAUCAGAUGUUAAUGCAUAUAAUAAUAUCUUGCACUGACAGCCGGUGUUUUUCUUUUCAACAAUACACAAACUUACUGUCACACCUAAUUAUAAGAAUGAACAGAAAUGUUACUACCUUCUGUUCCAAGGAGAAUGACUGAGAACAAGCAUCAUGAAGUAAUUUCAUGAUCUUAUCUUGUGUUUGUUUCUCACUUAGAUAAGUGACAGCACCACUCGCGAAGUUUUCACAAGCUGAGCAUAGCGGGCUGCUGCUCUUGAGAUGGACAGGAACAUGUUCCUUGUAGACAGGGCUGUGGUCUGGGAGCUCAAUUACGUGAAGAUCCACAAAAACUGAAAAAAGCAACAAAUCCGGUACGAUAAAUUUUGCAGGCAAAAAAAUGAGGGGCAGUUCAUGUGUUUAGAGCACAAAUAAUUAGUUCUGGCUACAUUUCGCAGUAUUAUAUUUCCAUCAGUAUUAAUGUACAUGUCCUAGCUACGCCUUCGUCAAGAAAUACAUGCACAGCAAACUUGGCCACAACAGGCAUUUGAGAGAAAUAAUAAAGGUGGGCUAUAUAUAAAUUUUGGGCUCCUCACACGGUAGGAUGCGACCGGAGUGGCCAUCGACUUUGCAUUACGCAGUGCAGAGGGCCAUCUGGAUCGCUUGAUUGAGCUAUAUUAUUUAUCUAUGGUACCGAAGUACGGGCACAAGAGUUUGGGCCAUGCUAAAUCCCAUAUGGAAGGCUGGAACCUUACCCUAAACAUCUACACACUUGAUCCAGCCUUGUUUGUGGACAACAGAGAUAUACGUAAGCAAAUCUGCAUCAAGAGAUGAUAGUACUUGUUUCUUCAACGCUAACACAAGGAACAAGCAACCCUGAGAACGUAGGGAGGCAAGGGUGUCGAGCAGUAAUUAGGGAGGAAGUACAUACCAGCAGCAUCCCUGGCUUGUGCAGGUGCCCGGGCGACGAGCAGCAAGAGGAGCAAGAGGAAGAAAGGUGCCUCGGAUCCCAUGUCAACCUGCCACGGGAAGGAAGAUUACACACGGCUCUAAUAACUGAAUAAACCCAAAAAGGGGGUGGGGAUUGUGUGAGCAAGCAACAACCGAGGCUGCAUAAAUGAAAGGGAAAGGCAUCCAAAUCCAGCAAGCCGAUCGAGGAGGGAGGAGCAGGGCAAAUUAAAGCGGUCGGCGGAAGAAAUUAAAGAUGAAACCACAAAAACAAAUCGAAGCAAUCGCCAGCGGAAAUUGCAGGAGGAUUUUGAGGAUGAGAAAAGAUGACCUCACCUCGGGGAAUCAAUCGAUGAAAUCGAGCAGCAGCAAAGGAACGGAACUAAAAUUCUAAAAAGGGGCGGGGGCCGGAGGCGAUUCGGCGGCCUGCUGCUUGCUAUCCUUGUCGGCUUGGCGAUGCGUGCGGAUUUCGAGUCCUGCCCUGCUACGCUAGGGUUGGUUAUUAGUGGUCAAUGAUGCCAGCCCAAAAAAAAAAUUGACCAAAACGUCGACAGCAGGGUUCGAACCUGCGCGGGCGUAGCUCAACAGAUUUCAAGUAUGUCUCCUUAACCACUCGGACAUAUCGACGUUUGUGAGUAUCAGAAAAGCUAUUCGUAAUUUUGGAGCUUGGAACGGCUGGUAGACUAAUUCUAAGGGCAUUGUUUAAGGGGAUAAAUAAGAUUUUCUUUUUCUUCCUUAAAAAACGUAUGUAGGUAGUGUGUGUAUAUAUAUAUAUAUAUAUUUUGAAUACAUGCUCUUCCUUCUUUGAGGGGUAGUAGGGGGGACAAUAAAAUUCCCACCCAGAUAUAUUGGGUAAGCCGGUGAGUGACACAUGGUGCAUGGCACCGAGUUACACCGAUAGCCAGUUUACUGCAGGUAAUAAAGGUACAAAGGGAGAGACUACAUGGAGAAUUUGAAGCACCAAUCAUCUGCGGCCUGUCUAGUAUGAGUCCAUGAUCUCUUGCAUGCAUGCAUGAUUCGUGAUUCCAUGGCUGAUCGAUGAAUGAUGGCAUGGAAAAAACAAUGCUAAUUAAUUAAUAAUGCUAAUGCAGCAGCUGGGCAGCAACAAACCCCGGCGCAUGUCUGGAAGAAGAGAAGCCGUCAUCCGCAGGCAAUUCAGGAACUACAUUCUUCCUGCCGUGUAAUCGGUCGGUCGCUCGUGCCGCCCAUGCUGGCGGACGGCAAAUCGGCGUCGAGCGACGACAGCCCGAGGGACUGCAUGCCUGCCGACGUCGCCGACACCGUAUUCUUCUUGACGUGUUGUACGUCUGGGAGAACGAAUGAAGCCGUCUGUGGGCAAGUGAGCAAUGCAAUUUACUAUUACUACUGUUAAGCAAUUCUUGUUGAACAGUUCCCUGCAACUUAACAGUAGCUAGAUUGAAUAGUUGAAAUUGAUGCAAAACGUCGUGCAUUUCCAUGGACCGGUGAAAAAACAUGUUCUGGAGGUCAUUGCAAGGCUCCCUGGAACCUUAUCUGUAUUCCUUAAAGAUAAAGGAGGUCUCGGCAUCAAAGAUCUUCACAUUCAAAAUCGCUGCCUGCUCCAAUAAUUUCUCUCAAAACUCCAUGAACCGCCAACUUCUCCCUGACAAUUCUGGUGUAUCUCUAAAUAUGGCUUGAACGACAAUAAACAUCUUGGUGACUUACGGCGAAGCGAUGCUCCGACUCGGCUUGCCAUUCUACAAGGCCUUAAGAACUUCCGAGAUAUUACUACUGUUACUGUGGGUAGCGGCUCUCCCGCCUCUUUCUGGCUGGACCUCUAGCUUGGUGACUGCUGGCACAGUGUUUUCUGGUCUUGUUAUCUCACUCCCUUCGACAAAAUAUUUCUGUGGUUGCUGUCUUCUCUGCUGACAGCCCUCAACUCUUUCUACAUAAUCGCCUCUCCUCUGUCGUGGCCACUGAUCUUUCCCUUCUUCUAGAUGUUGUGGAUACGGUUCUUCUUGAUCCUUCUAUCUCUGAUUCGCGUUUACUUAGAUGAUCCUCCAAUCUUCGCUUCUCUACGUCUGCCAGUUACUUCGCCACCUUUUCCCAUAUAAUAACAUGCUUUUGCCGACCAUAUUUGGCGAAAUCUGGCUCCUUCUCGGUGUAAAUAUUUUCUUAACUGGUCCAUCACCAUAAAUUCAAUACCCACCUUCGACUGUGCUCUCGCAAGGCAAACAACACGGGCAACUGUCAUUUCUACGGUUCAGCUAAGGAUAUUGCCCAUCUUUUCCUUCAUUGCCCAAGAGCUCAGUGCUUUUUUGGUCCCGGCUGAAUAUUUCUUCCAUCUCCCUUUCCCAUAUCGAACUGCCGUGGAACACUCCUCUUUCAGAUCCUACCCUGCCAAACCAAAAGGUAUGCUCAACCAUUAUCACCUGUUUGCUUGUGGAAUUUAUGGAAAUACAGGAAUUCGAAGGUCUUCAACCAGAUUGAUGAUUUAGAUGUGGAUAUUGCACGACGUUGCUCUGCUGAUUUCCAUCCUAUGGCAAACAGAGCUUCCUCUGCUGUACUUAGAUCAUGUAUUGAUAAGUGGAGCUCUUUUUUGGUUCUUAUGUAAUCUCUCUUCUCCCAUGAGUCUGUAAUUUUUUUUAUUCCUUCUGCCCCAACCCCUUCUUCUCUCAUUUCUCUAACCUUAACUGCUUGGUUUUAAUAUAGUUCAUGCUGAUCCUCAAUGGUUACGCCGUAGUUCCCAUAAAAAAAUUGAUACAUCCUUUUAUGCUUGAAUUAUUUUAUCUGAAUUUUUCAUAAUAACCUCUACUAUUUGUAUAGCAUGAGAUAUGGAUUUAAUAAAAAUGAAGAAUAUCAAAAGGUACUUCAUGGAAAGAAAAAAGUUUUUUAAAUAUAAAUUGCUCUUGUUUGCGCCCACAUCUGGUAGAUGAUGUGUUAUCUAGUCUACUUUUAUUACGAGAGACGUGCACAGUCCAAUAUAAAUUUAUAUUUUAAAUCAUAUCAUCUGAAAAAAAUCGAUAGCUUGCAAACAGUUAAGCAUGCAAUUUGUCUUGGUAAAGAGAAAGAAAAAUGGAUAGAAACGGCGGAUGAGAGGAGAUGAAGUUUAUCUGGUUUUCUGGCACCUCAGCUUCGUCUUCGUCGCGUCACCUUCCGUAAGAGAGUGCGCGGAAGAAAAAAAGAAGAAGAAUUCAGCCAGGCAAUCCGAAAGGAAGGGGAAGGGAUUGGAAAGCUAGGGUUUUCGCCAUGGCCGUCGCCCCCCUGGAGCUCGAAUCCAUUCUUGCCACGCUCUCCUCCUAGCUUCCGCAUCUAGCAUCGCCACAAAAGGAGCCGCCCGCUUUGAUUCCCCUACCCCAUUCGAGGGUUUCCCUCCCCUCCCCUUCCCUUCCCCCAAAUCGAAUCGCCGCAUUGCCGGCCGAGCAAGCAACCUACCCACCCGCUCGCCCGCCUUCAAGACGGCGCUGGCGAUCCAGCAGGGGGCGAGGGCGGCGGAGGCGGCCGGAUAAUCAAUGUGUCCGCUGUGCUCCGUGCAGCGCUGGUCGCGCCGCGUCGCCACCAUGCUCCCGUGGCUCGUCAUCCCGCUCAUCGCCAUCUGGGCCAUCACUCAGCUGCUCCUCCCGGCCGCCUACCGCUUCGAGGUCACCUCCCCGCGCCUCGCCUGCGUCUCCGUCCUCCUCCUUACCCUCUUCUGGUAUGAGAUCCUCCUCCCGCGCCUUUCCCUCUGGCGCGCCCGCCGCUCCGCGCGCCUCCGUGAGGAGCGCCGCGCCCACGCCCUCGAGCUCCACAAGCUCCGCAAGACCGCCACCCGCCGCUGCCGCAACUGCAGCAACCCCUACAGGGACCAGAACCCCGGCGGUGGCAAGUUCAUGUGCUCCUACUGCGGCCAUGUCUCCAAGCGCCCCGUGCUAGACCUUAAUUCAGCCGGGAAGGUGCCCACCGGAUGGCCUUGCUCUCAGGAUUGUGGAUACUGGCUCGACCUGCGCUGCUCCUCCGGCAAUAACAACUCCUUCUUGGCAUUCUCAUGGCGCCUGCUGUCGUCCUUUUCCUCGACAGUAGUGAGCUGGUUCUUGAGGAAGAUAUUCAGAUUUACAUCGUCAGGGGAUGGUGAGGGCUUGGGCCCAGAUGGUAAAAGGUUGGCAAAGAGAGGGGAGAAUGCUGGAAAAGCUGAGGAGAGCAGGGUCGAGAAGGCGAGGAGGAAGGCGGAGGAGAAGAGACUGGCAAGGCUGGAGAGGGAAAUGCUGGAGGAGGAAGAAAGGAAGCAGCGUGAGGAGAUGGCAAAGCUAGUGGAGGAACGGAGGAGGCUGAGGGAUGAAAAGGCAGAGGCUGAGGAGCGGUCCAAAAGUGCUACACCUGUUGGGGAGAAGGAUGCUAGGAGGGAGGCAGAGAGGCGGCGGCAGGAGAGGAGGAAGAAAGAGGACAAGGGGUCAAGCAAGAGCAAUUCAGAUUGUGAGGACAUUGAUAGAAGAUUGGGACGCGAAGGUGAUAGGAAGCGAGACUUCGACAGAAAGAGUGAUUUGGACAAGCGUGAGGGUUAUAAGCCUCAUUACUUUGAAGCUAACAACCAUAGUAAUAAGACCGUGGAGAGCAGAACAAAGUACUUUGGCCGUAUGACAGGUGGUUUCUUAUCUUCUUCAAGAGGGUUUGGCAGUGGUUCCUUCUUUGGCAGAAGUGCUCAGGCCGCUGCACCUCAAGUUAACAAGGUUAGUAGACCUGUAGUUCCUGCAACUGACCAGGGUAAUGCACUCAAAAGAGAAACCCAGCAUACAGCCACUCAAGCUACAGCCAAAUCCGCUACAGCUGGAGAAUCCAGAAAUUCGUGGGCUAAUUUUAAUCGACCUGUAAGUAACAAGGGCAUUAUUAUUUUAAUGUAAAAUCUUACUGUUAGAACCAAUUGUGUUAGUUGCUUUUACCUGAACUUCCAUCUUAAAUUUUCCAAUUCUUUUGUAUUAUGCUAUAUGCAGGUUAGUCCAAAUGUGCAGCCACACCCUACCAGCCUUAAAAAGUCAUGGCAUCAGCUGUUUAGUCGUUCAGCAUCAGUGUCCCCUUGUCCUGAUGUUACAACUUCAGCUCGUGAUAUGAAUCGGAAGCCAGAACCAAAUGGAGCACAAAUAAGCAAUGCUCAUAUAUUUCUGUCUCAAUAUCCUCCUCUGGAAAGCAAGCCAUGUUCAAGCCAGUCCAUGCAAUUUCCAGGUUUUCCAGCGCUUACUGGAGCACCCCCCAUUAAGCCAUUACCUCAUUUUCCUGCUGGACACAUGCCCUUCUAUGAUGAUGCAGAAUCCACAGUAUUUGAAGAACCAGAACAAUUUGAAGACCCAUGCUAUGAUCCAGAUGCAAUUGCAUUACUUGGGCCAGUUUCAGAGUCUCUAGAUAACUUCCCUUCGGACUUAGAUUGUGGGUUCAUCUCAAGUGAUGUCACCAAGGAAUCACAUGGGAAGCCUUCACCCAUCGAGUCUCCUCUCUCAAGAUCUCGAACAGUUGAAGAGAAGCCUAUUAAGCCCCCACACUUAUCAGUCACAAAAGGGCCUGGCAGUUCCAUUUUGCCUGAGGCUAGCAGUGAACAAGGCACUUGGCAAAUGUGGAGCACGCCAUUGGUUCAGGAAACUUUAGGUCUGCAAGGUCCUCAGAGUCAGUGGCUUCGACAACACACAAAUCAAUUUAACCAUAGUGUCAAUCUUUUCAGUGGUGGAACAGAAAGCUCCCUGAGUACUGGUUUGAAUGACAAUGAUCCGUGGCUGCAGAAAGCACCCUUUCAGCAACUGCCCCCUGAUACACCAAGCCUGUUUCUUCCACAUGAAGUACAAGGAAAAGCUAUACACAAUGACUUGGUUUUUGGGUCUCCAAACAAAUCAGCCCGUGAACACCCCUUUGGGCCGCCUGGCCAUUCUUGGCCCAAGUACGCAUUUUCCUAUGCCCUUGUUGUUUUCAGAAAUUUUAUUGCAUCAAAGGCCUUUAGCACUGCUGAUUAUCUUAUACUGUUUACUUGAGCUAGAAACUUGGUAUCCUUUCCCCAGAUGUUGACAAUGCUUGUUUCCUGCAAUUGUUUGAGCUCUUUCCGGUUGUCUUUUUCCUGCAAUUGUUUGAGUUUGUUCCAGUUUUCCUGUUCACUACUUAGUAUAGCUAGAUGUAUCAGCAAAUUUGAGUACCAAGGUAUCGACAAAACUUUUAUGAUAAUUGUUGAACGUCAUAUGUGCAUAGUUACGUACAUGUGUGAUUGUGGAUUACAACUUAUUUCGACCAGGUAAUUUGUGUAUAGAAAUGAGAGGCUUUUGAAAAGCAAAGUGCAUUAUCUUUGCAUUUAGUAUAACAGGGUGUUUAAUUUAUUCUAAUCUUAUACUGUUAAACCCAUGUGAGUAUGUGAUAAUGGGUGUGUAUGGAUGAUACAUCUUGGAAAGAUUAAAGGCACCGAUGCUCUUUAUUCUCCAAUGUUAGGUGGAAGUUUCUCAUGGAUCUUGUUUUUGUGAGUAAUGCAUACAAUUUGGGGCGGCUCAAGGGGUGGGGGUGCUUCUAAAUUUUUUGAGAAAUUUGUUCCAUGAAUCACUAUUCACCAGCCAAUUUUGGCCUUUGAUGCCACUACUCUAGAAGGUUUCAGCCUAGGUGCUAGUCACCACCAUCCUGCUUACCGCCUAAUCGCUGCCUAGUCUACUCAAGCAUCUUCCUAACCAUGAUUAGUCUCUAGGCAUCAUCCUGCUAUUAACAAUUGUUUAAGCUGCCUGGUGCUUAAGGCUUUUUAGAAUGCUCAAUCACACAUAUGCAUUUCUGAUAUUUGUCACUUUCAUGGAUCAUUGUUCCUUUAUGAUAUGAUAUUAACAAUUGGAGUUAUACUGUACUGGUGAUUCAUGAUGAUGGUCAAUUGACAAGCUGUCAUCAUGAAUAAUUAGCUAGCUAGGAUUGUGACCGAGCUGGUUGCGUGAUGUGUUCCACUAGUUGUGAUUGUUAAACCUUAACUAUAUUUAUUCUCAGCAAAGAUUUUGUUUCAAGAAUGGCAUGGUUGACGAACAAGGUUGUCAUGGGUUUCUUUCAGCCCAGCUAGAAAUUAUGUGCUAAUAAAAUUAUUUUUUGAAGUGAUUAAGAGGCACAUUCAUUGCUUGUUCUUAAUUGAUUAGAAAGAUGGGUACAAAAGCCAAGGAGGCAAGGGCCAUGUAGUUGCCAUCAUGAACUAUUGGAUCAUUAGCUGUUUUUGUCCUUGGUGAUGAUGUGCUUCUCUUAUAUUGAAUAUAGCUGUUGAACCAUAAAAUUGCAUGAUUCAAAUUUUAAUUGUUUUGUCAAGACUUUGUUUUCCAAUAUUGACAUGUGACUCGUGGGUACCAAAGUUUCUGACAACUGUAAAGUCUGUCUUUGCAACAGGAAGUAGUUUUGAGGUGGAUAAAUAGAGUGAAUGCAUGAUUUUACAAUAUCAAGGUCUUCUACGUUCAUUAUCUUCCACUGGCUAAAUUAUUUUGCUGUAUUAUUUAAAUAUUGUGGACUACUACUUCACAUAACUAGAGGCUAGAGUUAGAUGGCAAAAAAAAAAUCAUAACUCACUGCGAGCUAAGCCUGUUUGGUUGCAGGCGCCUUUUUAAGUUAAGUGUAGGUUGGUAGCAAGUGUUUUAGUUGUAUCUCUAGUAAGAUUGGGACGAUAUUACAUCUGAGAAAAUGUGAUGAUAUGAGACUGGAGGUUCAAUGAACUCAGUUGACACCAAAGCCCAAAAUUGAUAAUUAAAUAUUUUCCUAUUUGUGCAAUGCCACAACCCUUGAAUGAGUGAAUGGAUUAUUUUAUGGGGAGCUAGUGUUGUAUAUUUAGCCAAGGUUUUUGUGUUCCUAUCGAGAGCUGGACUUCGGCUCUGCAGAUGGCUGGCAUGAUUCUUAUAAGUGCCGUUCGCUAGUGGUUUGCCUGCAUCCUGUUUGACCUUCUUGUUAAUGAAGCGUAUUAUUGAGUGCAGCUUGAUCUGUUGCUUUGUUGAACAUGCUUUGUAGAAUUUUUCAAUAUGCUUAUUGAUAGCUACGUUGGUUUAUGUUUGCAUGGGUGCGGCAGGUCCCUUGUUGCAUAAAAGCUCAGUAAAGGUGCUCUGAUGCAAGAAUACGCAGCUCAGUCCAAGUAAUAUGGAUGAGUCUAGUUAGGAUACUAUACUUUGUGUCUAGAGACUAGGGAUGAUUCGAGACAAGGCCUGAUGGGGUCUCCAGUCCUAUCCCAUGUCCACAUGACCACAUCUGCAGGAGAGACAUCCAUGUAAUCUGUUGAAGUGUGCUGUUGCCCACAUCAAAAUGUGGCUCAGGGGAACAUGGAAAAAGUUUGGUUCGCAGUUUUCUUAGCAUGACCAAUUUAUUUGAGUUAGGUUGGAAUACUUGGGUAGUAUUACUGAGGUCAUCAGAUUCCUAGUUCCUACAGGCAGGCUGCGUGCAGGACUGGCUGAUGGAAACUUAGCAGAAGUGCAGAACUAGUUUAACACAUGGACCAUGGCCGUCCCAUGUGUGAAGUGUACCUUCUCAUAUGCAUGGUUUGUGCAAGAUACAAGAUAGCAUGCUUGUUGUUUCUUUUCAAGUGGAGACUCAGUCUAUUGGUAUUUGCUUGUUACCUUGAAACUGAGUACAUAUGACCUGCACAACAGUGUGAGUGCCUAAAAUUCUUGCCUUUUACCAUGGGUUGUGCCCUUUGGGUGUUACAAUCAGCGUUGUUCCCUUUGGGUGUUACAAUCGGCUGUCGGUUCAAUUUCUCUGGACAUUGUACGGGGGUGGGGAGGGGCACUGUGCUACUCAAUUAAAUGAGACAUGUUUGUGUUAUGGAAAGUGUUGUUCUAGCCUUCUAGACAAGACAAAGUGUUCCAACGCAUGUGACACUUCAAUUUUUUUUUCCUUUGCCCCUUCUUUUGGUGAGAUAAUUCAUGAAGAAUGUCCAUAUCCUAUGUAAAUUCUGUUUUUUUGGUGGUGGUAGUAGUAUCAUAUUAUCAUUGUUGGUUGAUGAAGUGAAAACUCUGGAACUCACGACUUUGUUGGGGUCUAUGAUUUACGCAGGGAGGAACAGGUGCUGAUUGGAGCUCAGGAAGCAAAGCAUAUAUCGUCCCCGCCUUGUGCACAUGUUGGUGGUGGAGGCUUAUUUUCCUCAACAGGUCCUGAUGUACAGUCAGUGUGGUCCUUCAAUGAAAAAGAGACAGCAUAGAACGAACUUUGAUUAUAUAGAGGGAACGAAAUGUCGAGCCAAGACUUCCUUGCCUCCUCCUUACAGUGAUGUAGGGGUUAGUGAGGAGAUAAGCUGGUGGACUGUGUUCCUUGAUGCAAAAGUAUGAUGAUUUUGUUAAGUAGCACUCACCUCACCAAUUAACAUGCGCUAAUGCAUUGCAUUAGGCCUCUCUAACCUGAGUGAUGUGUUGAGGGCAUUUCAUCAUAUUAACGUCCGGAUUCAAUGAAAAAUCGGGACGGGGAUUUACUUAUCUAGUUAGAUUACUGGGUCCAUGCAUGAUUGUCGCUAACAGGUCUCUUUCCCUGCGAGCAAUCGCACGUGCCUAUUGCUUGUUUGGAGGAAGGUUGGUUGGUUCUGUUGGGUACCCUGGUGGAAAGGAGGUCUGAAGAAACGGUGAUGGAUCAAGUGUGGUCUGAUUAUGAUUUACUCGCUCAGUUGGUGCUUGUUAUCUAGAACUCUUUAUCAUCCUGUUAAUCCUGCGUUUGCGGAAUUGUUUGUUAAUCUGCACGCUUAACUUUUGCAUCAGCAGCGUACUUGACGAAACAAGCCACGACAGUGAUGAGUGGCAUCAGCAUCUUGAUUUGCAAGUGGUUCACCAGUCACUGGCCUCUACUGGUGAGCAGCCAGACUGCCAAACUUUUUUGUGUCUGCAGCCAUAUGCAUUGCCAUUGGUUGGCGUCUGACGAAAGAGACGUCCAUCCAAUCCCAUGCUUGGGAUUUUUCUGAUUGACUGGUUGGAUGUCGUGAGCUGAAGCUACUGAAGCUCGUGAUCGGAUGAUCCAGCUGGAUAGAUAGAGAAUUCCCUGCAGUAGCUUGGAUGCAUUUGGUCAGCAUGUAUGGGGUGCAGUGCAGUGCAGUGCCAGGAAGAAGAGAAGAGAAGAGUGGUUGUUCAUUCCAAGGCAUGUGCCGUGGCCACCACGAUUUGUUGUGAAUGUCUAAUCAUCAUCCACACAUUAAUCAUCAGACCGACCACUACGUAGUGGUUGACAACCACUAUAAUUACUACUAGUUCGUUACAUCUACGAUACACUCCAAUGUGUCUGUCUUUGACUUCCAGAACAAACAAUAUAUAUAGGAUCACGAACCCAGCUGUAACAUUAAUCAUUGCUGCAUUUCUUGUUUUGUUUGCUAAUGAAGGAUCAGUAAAAUGUAUAAUUCCGGUGGUUAAAAUGGGCAGAAGAUUGAAAACGAUGAAACUCAUGACAGAAGGAAAAAAAUAAGAAGGUAUUUUUGAAAUUAAAAAAAACCUAAAAAUUUGCACAUCCAUAAUUCAUCCAUUCAUGUAAUUUACCGCAGAAUUUAAGAUUCAAAAUUAAUCUUUCUAGAUUAACUCGCACAAAUAAUAACAAAUUUGUGUGAAAUAAUCCAAAACUAGUUUGAACCUCAUCGUUUACAACAAAAGCAUAGCAUCACAUUAACAUUUAAAUGUGCAUUUUUCAGAAUGAUUUGAAACCUCCGAGUCUUCUUUUGGAUAAUUUUUCACCAUCUUGGAUCUUUUGCUCAUUUUCACAACAGAUGCUUCCAUGAUAUAAUUACUGGUCAAUCAAUCUUCUAGAAGUGACCGCUGACCAGGACGCUUGCGACGAAGGGAGAUGGAGUUUGGGCCCCACCAAAACAAACGAAACAGUCCUCUGGGAGAGCCGGGUCUCCCUCCGCCACGGCUGUGGGUGGGCCCGGAUGGUGGAAGGUGUCAACCAGCGCGUCCGGCAAGGGGGGCCCCGCCAGCCUUGCAACUGCGUCUUCCCUUCCAUCGCGCCGCGAUUCAUCCUCCACUCGGUCCUCUUCGCUCUUCCUCCUCCUCGUGGCAACUGGCAAAGGCAAUCCUCCUCCUUCCCGCGCUCUCUCGUCGUCCUCCUCCCCGGAUUUGAGGCACUCACUUCCUUCCCUUCCCCACCUGCUCUUCUCUCCUCGCCUUGUGCCUUUGCGCCAUUUCUUUCUUUCUUUCUUUCUUUCUUUCCAAUUCAAUAAUUAAAGCCACGUUGCGAGAGGAGGCGUUAGGUGAGGUGAGCGCGUGCUCGGCCCGUCGGCCGAGUCUCGGGAGAAGGGAGCCACUCUAAAGAAAUCCAUCCCUGCAAGGGGGAUCCGCCGCACCCACCCAGACCCAGGUUCCAAUCCAACUCCCCCUAAUCCGCCAUUGAUCUUCUUCUGUCCCCAUCCCCAAAGCACCGCAACCAGCAAUAAAACCAAAGCCGCCGCCUUUUUCUUGAAUCCAAUUCCUUCCGCCAAGGGAUUCAUUCAUUGAUUGCUUCCUUGAAGAAGAGAUGUGCCCGCUGCGGGUCAUCCUCAUCUUCCUCUCCGCCACCAUCGCCGGAUUCUUCCUCAUCCGGGGGCUCAACGCCGAGCCUGACCAAUUCGACGCCGACGACGACAAGGCCUCCGAGUCGGGAUCCCCCAGGGCGCCCGUACCCCUCCCUUCCAAGGUAACGCCUCCAUCCCUCCCUGCCCUGACUCCCACCUAUUCUUAGCUUCUUGCCUGCGCUCAAGGGAAAUUGGAAGUAGGAUUACAACAUUAGUUAGCAAGGCCUUCAAUAUCUAUUGCGCUAUUUGCCAAGCAACAUGGCCUUGCUUCUGUUCUUCAUCAUGUCAGCACAUAGGGUUGGUCCUCAAGAUGCUUCAUUUCAGGCUCAUUUCAAUCAUACAUAUAUGCCAUCGAUGGAUAAUAAGCUUCCCUUGCUCCUUUUCUUGCUUAUAAACUACCUCGCUAGCACGGUUACAUUUCCUCAACUUUUUUUUUCUUUUUUUUUAAAAAACUACCAUAAGACGUCUGGAAUAGCGUAUGCUGAUUAAAGCAAUUGCACAUUCAAGAGGGGUGGGGGGAUAAAUUGUAACACUUGAUUGAGCGACCCUUUGAUUUGGUAGCCUUCAAACUCAAUAGAGCUCGAGACAUUUGGAAUCUUGUCCAGCACUGCCACUGUCCUCAGCUCUGACAAACAUCAUGUUAUCAACUCUUCGUAUCUAGCCCAUGAAUUUGUCUACAAAGUAACUGCAUGGAAACAUGAGCUCAGUGGGCUUAAGUGUUUAAACUGUUGCAUAGCGUGCCAGUGAAAAAAAGAGAGCAAAUAUAGGUAAGCAACACACGAUGGUGCAUGCUGCACAAUCAAUGGUCACUUGGUACUACGUCUUGGUUUAAAUACUAAAUCAUCAGCUCAUUGUUUCCCUUGUGUACAAUUCUGAAAGAUACAAUAUUGUUUCUUUAAUAACAAUUGGUUCAGAUCUGAAGCAUUCUUUUCUAUGCAAAUCUAGGUUGGAUCGGCUGUGAAAACUGGAUUCUGGACUCUGGUGGAUAUGGCAAGCGGGCGGUACCUCUGGCGCACCCUUGUCGCACAACCCGCACAAUCUGAGUCAGAAAAGGCCCGGUGACAAAUGUUCAUAAUUUAUUUUGUAUUUUUUUCUGAUUGAGUGCCAACAGAGAUGAGGAUAGGCACAAUCUGUUGUUCUUACAUGUUGGUGUUGAUAUGUACUAUGGUGGCAAAUGUAACAUGGCUGGGGAUUAUAUGCUAAAGUAAAUGUGCAGAAUUGUUCAUGUUUGAGCAUUGAGUUGUAGAAUACUGUGUGUGUGCAAUGCUGGGAGUAUGGACUUUGGACAUGGCAUUUGGGCUGAAGUUUGCACGAUUUUUGUCUUUGCACUAAACCCAUGCUUAAAUGUGAGACUUGGAGCAUGUAAUAAAUUUUAGUAGCUGAAAUCUGGAAAUGUCAGAAAGGAGAUUCUUGGGUUGCAUGUCUUCAACUUUCUUUUGUUGAAGUGAUGUUCUGUUGGCAGUGUCUUUCUUCCAGGAAGCAUUGUACUUCUUGUAAAUUAUAAACCCCUUGGCUUCCUAACCUGAUUCUCCUCCUCGUCGGCGACCUCCUCUUGGACCACCGUGUAGCCCUUGGCGAGGUGCACUACUGGAUGAGGUGCGCUUCGUAGGUCAUGAUCUUGUCAGUGGUAUAGCCCUUUUGUUGGCGUAGGGCGUAGGCUGCGCGGAAUUGCUUGGAGUGCUUGGCCAGCCUCUCGUCAGGGAUCGUUGGGGCGGCCGUAGAGGGACCUGCGGCAACCUCCUCGUGAUCAGCUUCUUCUUCCCGGCGUCCACCGCCGCGUGCUUCUCGUCUCGUUACCUUGAUGCAGCCCAGUUGGAGUUACCAGAGAGAAGCACAAGAAACAACGAAAAUUUCAGAACAAUAGAAUCUGAACCUUUUUGCACAAUCACUUCCAGUUCCAGCUCGAUGAAAAAUUCCUUAAGUUGACCAGCAGGAGACGAUCGUAAAUGCAGAGAGAAGACCAGCGGCAACAAAAUUGAAGAGGAGAUUUUGAGGGAGUAGCUAGCACUACUUAGGAUCAAUAUUAUGUAUUGUACCUCGAUCACUUUUGUGUCAAUUGAGAGAGGAAGGCAUGGAAGUACUAUGUGACUGCUAGGCGCACAAAAGAGAGUGACGAGCGUUGUCUUGCAAGUUGCAAAAGGCAAAGAAGCCAUAAACUACCAGCGAUGUUGUGCGACCUUCUUAGCAUUGAAGAUUAAUCUAUGAAACUCCAGUUUCACCUUUUGUUAAGUUCUCAGUUCAAAGUUCAAUACAAGAAGGUCGCACUGGCUGGAACUACCACACCCAUCAUUCUACAAUCUAUGCAUAUGCAAUGCACAUGGAAGCUAAGUAAUCAACUCCAAUAACUAAGGGUUAUAUUAGCUAAUUAUCUGCCUGUCCAACAGCUUUCCAGAUGAACGAGCCAAGCCAUAGAAAAUACAAACUGAUCGAACAAGUAAAUUUGCGUGUUGAUACCAGGAAAGAUUUAUCUAUAGCAUCACUGUUGUCUCUUGUUAUUGGAGAUAAUACAUCGCAUCAGGCAUUAUAUAUCGUGGCAACUCAUCAAGAACAAAAGCACAUAGUAUGUUGAAAAUCAGGAAUCCAAACAGUUUAUCCCAUAAUUAUGCACAGCUUGCCAUAGCUGCGAUUGGUCUGCUGAAACUAAUCGGAUUGGAUCGAUGUUUGACCUGCUUGGAAAGUUGUUCUGAUGGUUGAUUAGGAAUGUGAAAAACGAGCUGUCCGAUCUAUCCUCAAUCCCAGUUGAUGGGGACAAAUUCUUCUUUUUUCAGUGCAAGUGGACUAGUGGAGUUUAAAUAUUACCUGAAGAUUUACCUUAUCAACAUGUGAUGUACAUUUUGUUGUUUUUAUAUGUUCCUCUUUGUGGAGUAUAUUUUACCCUACUUUCUUUGUCACUAUACCUUUUCAGUUUCCAAUGAAGGUGCUACCUCUACUUCAUUCUUUGUCUACUAAUACCCAUUUUCCAAGUUAUUUUUGCAAUUUCGUUACUUACGAAAAUGCAGACUGACCGAGUGAGCAAGAGUUACUUGCUGAUGCUGCCCCCACCCCAAUCCCCUGAAAAAUUAAUGUAUUCAUAAGGAAGUUGAGAUUCAAAUCACAGCACCAUCUUUUGAUAUGCAAAGAAUUUUCUUUGAAACUUUGGUUCACAAACUCGAGAGGAACACUGAGGUCCUAGUAGCAACAGAUUAGUUUUGGUUUGUUAGAUUUAGUGGGCUCAAUCAAUUGAAUCUCAAGCAUCAGAAAAGAGCAGUAUAAAGUAUUCUUGCGAUGAUGAAUCACUAUUGGUUUUAGACUUUCAGUUGUUUUUCUGUUGUUAUUGAGUGCUGGAAUGGACAAAAUCAAGUGAUUCCAUAUGCAGGUGUUGGGGGUGCAUAUCUUUUGCAAAUGUUGGCACAAUAUUUCACCAGAAGAAGCUAUUAGAGAAGUACAGGAAAGCUCAACAUUUUUUUCAAGGAUCAAAGGCAUUGUAUUUCACUAUCAAUAGGGACCACCAUUACAGAACAGAAACAAUUUUCAGAAUGAAACUCAAGAACUCAGCUUUUCCACAAUUAUUGUUCGAUGGAAUACAACCUAAUGGUUCAGGUCACCACCACUCAUUAGGUUCUCUUCCGAUAAAAAAAAGGAAAGUAGCUUCUAAGAAAGAACACACACAUGUAGAACAGAAUCACUGAGCUGAAGAAAAUGAAUUUUCGGAACAAAAAACUGAGGCAUCCAAAGCUACUCCUGCAUUUGCUGCUGAUCAUCUCCAUGCCAGGCCCAGACUAUGUCCUUCAGCGCUGGCCGGAUGUCCUGUUCGAAUAAUUUCUGAUACUCAAGUGAAUCACCGCUUGUUUGUUUCAUCUCAACGAGAUGAUGGAACGGUGUGAUCUCAAAGAUCUCUGUGCCAAAUUGAAGGACACCAUUCCUUCCCUCCUUCCUCCCUUGAAUCUUGACAACACCAUUAUCCUUCUUCCUUACCCUGAGAUUUAGCAUCUUUGCAACAUCUUCAAUCUUCGAGAUGAUGGCUGAGGCUGGCUUAUCUGAUGUAAAUCGUGCCUCCUUUCUUUGUUCCUUUUCAAUAAAUAAGCCAGAUAGAUCAAACCCUGAGGAGAAAGAGAUAAUUUCGAAGGCAUUUAAGUUUGUCACAGGCAGCGACCUCACAUCUUCAUAAGCAUUCUUUCCCCGCCUCACAGAAAGUGUUGGAGCAGCAUUUGUGGUGGCAUUCUCACAGGGAAUUUUCUCCUUAAAUGUGCGGGUCCCCUCAGGGCCUUUUCGGAACCAGGUAGACUGUUUUAUUUUCUGGAUUGAAAUUCUUGUGCUUGGGUUGGGGUCCAGGAUCUUGUACAACAGCUUCUUGAGUUUGUGUGAAAACCAACUGGGGCACCUGAAAUCACCAUGCUGUAUUUUCCGAUACAUCUCCAUCAAGUUUGGGCCUUGGAAAGGGAGAUAACCAGCAACAAGGACAAAUAGAACAACACCACAAGACCAGAUGUCUGAUUUUGCACCAUCAUAGCCUGUCUUGCUGAUCACCUCUGGAGCUACAUAAGCUGGUGUUCCACAGGUGGUAUGGAGCAAUCCGUCUUGCCUUUUUGACUCUGAAAGUGCACUCAGUCCAAAAUCAGAGACCUUCAGGUUCUCAUCCUCGUCUAGCAGCAGGUUCUCAGGCUUCAGGUCCCGGUGGUACACGCCUCGGCUGUGGCAGUAAUCCACUGCACUAAUAAGCUGCUGGAAGUACUUGUGUGCAGCAGACUCCGUGAGCUUGCCACUCUUCUCAAUCUUGUCAAAGAGCUCGCCACCUUUCACAUACUCCAUGACAAAGUAGAUCUUGUUCCUUGUUGCCAUGACCUCAUGAAGCCCAACAAUGUUCUUAUGUGCCACCAAUCUCAUUGUUGUGAUCUCACGCCUUAUCUGCUCUGAAAGACCGACCUUGAGCACUUUGUCCUUGUCCAUCAUCUUAAUAGCAACACUUCUGUUGGACUCAAGGUUUCUUGCAUAAUGCACCCUGCCAAAUGUACCUUUCCCCAGCAAUCUCCCCAACUCAUACCGCUCCAUCAAAAUCUUUCCUGUACCCUCCAUAUCUUCAAAAGUAUAAAUCACAGGGCUAUCUUCUGACCGCCAAACAGGUGGACUGCAAUGAUUUAGCCCUCCUCCCCCAUGUCAUGGUCCAUGACAGUGAACAGUAGUCUUAUAGCUUGGUCGUGUCGGAGUCUGAAUGGUGUAGAAUUGAUGCAGCUAAGAUGGUCGCUCACAUCAAGAGUUGAGCAGGCUAGCAGCCUUUGUGGAGCAGCGAGCUCCUUGAUGUCGCAGCAGAAAUCUCUUCUAUGAAAGCACAUCUUUCAGCAUUCCCUGAGGUUUUGACUUGUGAAUUUUGUUAUCUGCUCAAAAGAAAAAAAUAGAUUCAGAAAUUGGGACUCCAGGGUAUUGACGAAAGCUAAUAACUUCUGUUAAAUACUGUAAAUUAACAACCAAAUAAAGGCUUUACAGAGAAUUGAAGAGGCUUACUGAAUUAACUAAUAACCAAGUAAUAUGCAUAUUAUUAAUUCAGUACAAAUAUGCAUAUUAUUAAUUCAGUACAUAAGGUUCUCUACUGGAAUCAGUUAGUAGUUACUUGGAAACUUGAAAUAAGAAAAGGAGAGGGGCACGCUUUGCUGCAGGCACUUGCUAUUGGAUUUCUAGAAUGAAGGCCACAGUGUCACGCAACAAUUAAGAGGUAAAUAAGGAUAAAAGACAGGCACAUGGCAGCAUGGUGAAAUCCAUGGCAACCAUCAGAAGGUGCCAACUUUCUGCUCUCAAUGACUCCACGUCUGACAAGAACUUUGUUCAGAGGAAGCUGAAGCAACUGCGGAUGUGAAAAAAAUUGGCAUAACCUAAGCUGUGUCUGGCCAGAGGAAAGGGGAUAACCCACGAAAAAUCGCGCCUUUUUCCAAACGACAGAAAGCACAAUUCGGCGUCGAGAAGAAAUUGAAGGCAACUCGAGCCAAGGAACGCCGCUUAAUUUUUCUGAAUCUACAGAAAUUAACAGGGGAGCGCAAGGUUCCUUGCACAAUGGAUGGCAUGCGCCGUUACAGGUGAGCAAAAUCGAAGAACCGAAGCAGGUAAACAAGACGAGAAUCCGUAAACGCAAUGGCUACUCGCAUGAACUGAGACUGCAGGUAGAUGUGGAGACAGAGAGAUGGAUUGCAUACCUUGCGAUGCUACGAGGAGGAAGAGAGGGUUGAGGAAGCGACAAAAAUCAAAACUUGUGCGGGGCAGGGCUACACGCUGCCUUUGAUUGAGUAUGUUGUUGUUGCCUGAGUUCCGCUGGGCGAGGAGAGAGGGGAGGGGAUGCGGCGACAAUGAGGAGAGGAGGCGGCUCUUCUUAUACGAGUACAGGGGGAGCAGCCGCAGCCUGCAGGCGGGGGAGGGUUUCAGAGAAGGAAGGGCUCAGAUUACUCGGCCUAAUCAUACGGCUUGACGCUAAUGACCCCCGGCUGCUGCCUGCCGUUGAUGCCGCCUCCGCUGUUGCGGUUCCGGCGCACCGCAUCACACGUCCGGAUGGAUAUUCUUGCUAGCACAUCGCCGUGUUCUCGACGGACACAUGCGGCGACAGCUAAGCCCGUAAUGUCGCCAUCUGACUACAGCUCACCGGUCUCUCCAGCCAUCUCCAAUUUCAUUUUUUCUUCAUCUAAUCUACCACCAAGAGUGAAAGACGUGAAUUAGUAGCACAGCAACAAUGGUGGAUCCGAUCUCAUCCUUUGCCGAGUCAAGGGCAGCCUGCCUGUGUCCACGUACCUUGGACCACUCCCACGCUUGAGAAAGUUCGAUGCACAUAUUUCUUCUCCAAGGAAGAAGAAAGUAAAAGGAUUUUACUAAAAAUAAAAAGUAAAACGAUACAGUACACACUAAAGACCUCCACUUUAACUUGGCCGAGACACCAAAAACAGUAACAGUCCUAGAACCAACACCUUGAGUGAGCUUCGCACAUGCUGCAACAGCUAGUCAUAUCUUGUAGCCGACGGAUACAGCACACGGUAUUGGACUCAAUCUAGCAAGCCAUCUUGAUGUGAUUUUGGUUUCGAUUAGCAGGUAACACACAACACAUGGCCAAUCUGGACCUUUGGUACAGCUAUUUUUCUGUUUUGGUGUUCCAAUUAGUAUUUUCAAGGUGUGUGCCUGUUUCCAAUAAUUCCAUGAUGUUGUACAUGUAGCUCAAUAAUAGAGACAGGAGAUAGAUCGAUGUGCACGAUACUAGCUGCGUCGUGUCGCCACAUUCAGCAGCAACUAUCACCACUACUCCACUCAAUGAGAACCACCAACUGCUCUAUCAUAUCAGAUAAACGUGAAAACAAAUGAAAAAGAAAGAAAAAAUAAUACUUGGUUACGAUCUUAUGUGAUAUAUCACUCCAGAGAGCCAAACAAGUUGUUCCUUAGUUACAACAUGACCUUUCCUGUCAACCAUUCAUUUCUACAAGUAUCCUAGGGGAAACAAAACAAGAGAGCUGGAAAAGUUCUUCAAAAUGUUCAGUAUUGCUCAAAUUUUGGGAAUCUAACAAUUUACAACAGAAUCAAUAAGAUGUUCUUUUAAAAAAAUAUUGUGGUUGAGCUGGAGAUAGUUGGAACCAAUAACUACUUUCUGUCCAACCAUAAUGUGUAUUUUCAAAUGAAAAAUGCUUCAAAAGUAUUCUUUUAUACACUGACCAUACAAAAUAUUCACUAAUAAUUGAACAAAUAUCACAAGCUUUUCUUUUUUUAAAAAAAAUCAAAAUGCAUAGCACAACUUUCUUCUUGAAGUGGCUUUUAGUUUCUACGUCCCAGUGAUCCAAACAAAUUUCUGUUUUCUUGGAUGAACACGCAACCUAUAUUGACAUUCAAGGGGUGUUACAUCAUCUACUACAAUGUGUACAGCUAAAUCUGGUACGUCUUUUUCUUUAUCGUUAUGAUUCAUUUUAGAUUCCUCAACUUGACCUCAGCAGCACUACGAAUCUUGUCUAGAAAGAUGGCUAAAUUCAUUUGCAGGAUGCACGUGGUAUACUUCCGUCACACACACAAACAAAACAGAUCUAGCCCAAAUUUGUGGCUUCAAUCAUCUCUAUUUGUUAUGUUCAACUAAUGUAACCCUCCAUCCAGAUUUAUUCAUCGAAAACUGGUACAUGGUGCAUUGUUUCAGUUUCAGGAGAACAAGAUACUAUACCUAGUAGACCGAGGCCCCUUUUCACAAUACAACCACCAGUAGUGUUUUUUUUUUCAAAAAAAAAAAGAAUCUAACUACCUAGUUAAACAAACUAGAAUUUAUUCGGAAUAAUCAGGGAAUAUACUUGCCUAGCACACUAUUUUCUAUACCGUUUAUAUAUUGUUGAAACGGUUUAAAGAUUUCGCAAAAUUUGUAAUUAAUCAGCAGAAAGUUUAAGAGGACUUUAUGGUAGAACUAACAGUGGUGUACUUGUUGAAAGAAACUUGACAAUUUCUUCUUAAAGAAACCGUCGCUCCAUUUCCAUCAAGAAAAAGGCAACAUGAGAGGCCGGCCGGAUUCAUUCAGACUGCAGCACGAUGCAAACCCAACAGAAUAUCAGCAAGUACGCCACUACUUAUACUCCUGAAGUCCUGAUACAUAUUAACAGUUUUAAACCGUGAUGCAUGCAUGCGCUGGCAUACUGUUUUUCCUUUCCCCGGUAGCAUGCGGUAGGCAGGCAGAUGGAGCCAAGAGCCGUAUUGGUUCCAGGCAACGACCUCGCUGCUUCAUUCCAAUAAUGCCACCACCUGCAGGACCAGCGAGUAUUUAUUUGUUUUGUGGAGAGGUUCUAAUUUAUAUAAUAAUAUGAGAAAAAGAAAAGGCUGAGGUCCUUGUCAAUGGGUCACUGCCACGUCUGCGGAAACGAUCGAGCAGAGCAGACAGCAGAGCCACCACCGCACCACGUGCUCCGUGUAACGAUUGGAAGAUCGAUGGCGCCGUGCGUGGUUGAUCACUGCUGACUCGGAUGCAUGCAAUCCAAUCUGAAGCUCGGGACAACGCAGAUUUUAUUUUACAAGUAUCGGAGGUAUAUAUCUCGAUAGAUCUGCACACAAAAGUACUUGAGCUCGACGUACAAAUAAAAAAGAAAUCAACAAGCAGCAGGGGGCACAUGUGUGUGUGUGUGUGUAUUUAUCAAAUAAAUAAAUUAUGAGAACACAUUUUAUAAUAGAUAUGGUUAUUCUUAUUUGCUACCUAAGAUAUUAUUAGUGUUUUCUAUAAAUAUGAUCAAAUUUAGAACAGUUUAAUUUAGAAUAAAUUAAAAUACUUUAUAUUUCACUACGGAUGGAUCACCAUGGUUAAGAAGGACCCACGCGGCUACGAGAGAACGGUCGGGAAGGACCCACGAAGGGACGGGAAGGACGAAGACGACAUGUCACCUCGGUCCUACUAGUGGCAGCUUCGAGAGAGAAUCUAAUCCUGCGUUCUUGAUUAGUUCAGCUGAUCGAGGAAUUAAUCAGAGUUACAUGGGCCGGCAUCGUGACUCAGCUUCAAAGACGUACUUUUAUCAUCAAUCAAAUUCAAAUAUAACGGUGAAAAGAUAGUGUCUUUUUAACGCCAAGUCUCGUGACAUUAACUUUGUGUUACAAAAACUAUAUACUAAUAUAGUAAUUAUUGGUCAAAUACCUGUAUGUAUCCUAACAAAGUAAAAUGAGGAUUUUCAUUCGAAUGCAGGGAGUACUGAUUUAGAGAUGAUUAAAAACCUAGGGGACGGGGGAUUAGGUACAUUAUUCGACCCAUUCGCCUCUUUCAAAUUUGUGGUUAAUUCUCCAUGUAGGUCAAGUGUCAUCAGCAAAUUAAGGAGCAGAAGCUAAGCAUCAAAGACGUAUUAGUUAAUGGGGUUCUUUUAUGGUGCCUGGAAAGUUAUGAACAUAAUACAUAUGGUGGCCCAAUACGUACUCAAAAUUGGCCCAAUCCAGCAGCCCACAACGAUGCUAGUUCCUUGUAAACAAGUGUGGGUUAUCUUGAUGUUGGAAUCGGAACACAUACCCGAUCGGAUUAUGCUUGCCUUCCAGAGAUUUAUUUAAAGCAGCAGUAACUACUAUACUCCAGCUACGAUGAUAGCCGCCAUGGAAGAAGAAUUAGGGGAGUGGCUGAUGAUGGCCAUGUGGUAUUUCGGCCUCGCGCUCACCUACGGUUCCCUGGUGGUCACGGUAAUCUUACUAAUCUCCGAGGUGCUGGCCGGCCUCCAACGCUGGCGCAACAAGCUCGCCGGCGAGCGCCUGCUGGAGAGCAUACCCGGCGUCCCGUACCACCCGCUGCCCGAGGGGUCGCCGCCGUCGUGCGUGAUCUGCAUUGAGGAGUACGAGCGCGGAGAGAGGUGCUUCGUCAUGCCGGGAUGCGCUCACAUGUUCCACAGAGAAUGCAUGCGCAAGUGGCUGCGUCAAGGCAACCCCACCUGCCCAAUCUGUAGAGCAACACUACUAGUCGCGCCCGCAGCAGCAGCAGAAGAACGUGUUAGCACGGUAGAGAACAUGGUGUAGCGCUCUUCUUUCCUUUCUUUGUGUUUUUUUAACCAAAGAAUUAGAAACAUGCUGAGACCUUACAGCAGCUCCAUUCAGAAAGAAAAUCAUUGUAAUCUUUACUUUUUUUAUAGUUCAUCAUAUGUGUCCACAAAAGCGUCGUGCCUCGACGAAUAAUGCUGUUGUGAUUGUAAUAGGUACGUACAAGAUAAGAGGAGGUCACCCAUGUGUUGAUAUGAGCAACGGCUGGCCAUUGCAGUUGCGCUCUGCAGAGUGGGCACGUCUUGUUGCAGGCCUUCAACCAGUCGGCGAUGCAGCCCCUGUGGAACUCGUGGCGGCAGACGGGCAUCACGCUGCACGUACAGCUCGCCGUCCUCCAGCCGCCCCAAGCAGAUCGCGCACGAGUCCUCCGACGUAGUCGAGGUGCUGUAUGUACCACCGGCGGCAGCUGGGCGCGGAUUAGGCUUGAAGCAGCGGCACGCGGCUCCUACUGCGAGGACGCCCGGCCCAGAAAAACCAGACGACCAAACGCCGCCCAGCAGGUCUCCUCCGCCAUUGACCAUGCCUUAAUUAGCUUGAUGUGAAUAAGAACAUCAAUGGGAAUCGUUAAGCUUUUCGUGCUCUAAUUCAAGCAGCGGAUAGAGAAGAGACCUAAGGGAUUAAGAUAAGAGUUGAGAGUCCCGAUCGAUCGAGACCACCUCCUCCAAGUCCUAGCCAGCACCCAGCAUUACCGUACCAUAUAUAACUAGCCUAUAUCUAAUAACUAGACCGCAGAGCAGAGCAGAGCGCAACGCGACGAUCAUCGAUCGUGCGCCAUGGCCGCCGCGACCAACUCUAGUAGUGUCGAGCUCGCCGUGAUCGAUCCAUCCAUCUUGUCGUCCACGGGCGGCGCGCGCGUCUUGUUCAGGUGGCUCGGGUGGGGAGCUCUUUGUCUCGUCGCCGCGGCCUUGGGGCUCAUAGCCUUGGCUGUCGUCGCCGAGGCAGUCGCCCAGGAAGCCGCCCGCCGCCACCGCCAGGCCGCGCUCGCGAGGCGGAAGCGGGAGCAGCGACUCCGGCGUCGGCAGCGGUGCCGGAUGAUGAGCAGCCUACGUGACGCCCCGUACGAGCAGCUGAUUGCAGACGGGAUGGUGCGGAACCCGUGCGUGAUCUGCCGGGCGGAGUACGAGGUCGGCGAGACGUGCAGCCUCCUGCCGCGGUGCACCCACACGUUCCACAAGCACUGCAUCGCCGCUUGGCUGCGACACCACACCACCUGCCCCAUCUGCGACGCCACAGUAGCACGGUCGUGUACGUAGGUGUAGCCCGACCGACUUUAAUUUUUCUCUCUCUCCUUCUUCUUCGUCUUCAAUUGAUUCAUCCGUACAGGAGUAAUUGAUUUCUAUGGAUCAAUUUAUUAUCUUAUUUAUUCAUCAUGACUGCAACCGGCGGCAAGAGCGCGGGGUAAGUACCAAUGGUCAGGCGAUAGUAGGUAACUGUUUGGAAGGCUGGAUUGCAUGUUUCUUUUCUGUCCUGCAAUGAACGUACGCAAUGCUAUCACCGGUGCUGGACAUAAAAAGGAAGAGAUUGCAAAGGAAUACAACAUGCUGGGCAUAAAAUGAAGUAGUAUGAUCAUUAUAUUAUACACAAAUAACAAUAAUAUCUAAUUCUUCAAGCAUAUCUAUCUAUCUACACCAUGUUUUCAGCAGCAGCUGCUGAGCACUGCAGUAGUUGAGCUCUGCACAGGGGACAGGUAUUUUUGCACGCCAUGAUUAACCAGUCGACGGUGCAGUCCCUGUGGAACUCGUGGCGGCAGACUGGCAUGAUGCUGCACAGCUCGCCGUCCUCAAACGGCCCCAGGCAGAUCGCGCAGUCCUCUACGGCUGAUAAUGGAUCGUCACCGCCGGCGUUUCGGCGAGGAUACGUGACGCUGUCCAGCAUGGCUAUGGCGACGGGUUUCAUCUCCUCCGGCAGCCGGGCGUCCGCCUGCUGCUGGUCUUGAUGAUUGUUUUUGCUGCACAAGCAGAUGAUGACAAGGACUGCUGCGAUGAUGAAGAGAGCAAGGAAGACGGCAUCCAUCCGCGAUGGACCAACCAUGAUGACAAGCAGCUAAUUAUAACUGCGCUAGAUGCCUAGAUAGGUUAUUAGCCAAUAAUCACGGAGUAUAUAUGUAUGUAUAUCUCGUAAUGGAGUCCGAUCGAGUUCUCGAUCGCGCUGCCCGCUUGGCUUGCUGAAUCGGAAUCGCCGCCGUGGGAGGAGGGAUCCAGUCCGAAUCGAACCAAGACCGCAUGCACGUGCUACGAUCGACUCCUAACAUAAUGAACGACUACUAGUUAAUCUGAUCUGAGGACGAUGAUGAUGGACUGGGACGAUGUCUACGAUUGGAUCGCCCUGGGGCUUGCUCGUCUGCGCUUUCCUCGCCGUGCUGGCCGUUGCCCUCACCGCGCUCGUCGUCAUCGUCCACCACGCCAUCAGAUACGUUCGGCGCUUCUGCUGCUGCUUCGGGCGCGGCCGCCGCCGCCGUUCAUCGAGGAGCCGCUGGAGAGCAUCCCGGACGUGGCGUACCAGGAGCUACCUGAUGCCGCCGGCGGCGACGACGGAGACUCGUGCGUCAUCUGCGUCACGCCGUACCAGGCCUGCAGCUAUAGUUGGCAAUUCGGACCGCCCGGCACGGCACGGUCCGGGCCGGUUUCCGCUCGGCACAGCCCGGCACGAUUGGCACAAUCAUGCCAGGCCGGGCCGGCCCAUGUGCUGAGGUCUCGGUCCAGGCACGACACGCAGGUCUGUUAUCCGUAUCGGGCCGGUUUAAUUGUCCAUAUAGGCUCUGCAGGUUGUGCCAGUCCGCGAGCCCAUGUAGAUAACAACCUCUUCAAUCCAUGAAAAUUUUAAAUUUAACUAGAAAUUUAUUGAAAUCUUAACACAUUCUCAAAUUCAAAGACUUUCAUUAACACAAACAUACAUAUGCACAUAGACAUCCAAAUAUCAAGACAUUAGCAUUCAAGCAUACACAUUCACAAAUCUGAAAAGGAUAAUUAACUUGAGCUGUUUUAUUUGUUGCCUCGUCAAAGUACAUCAAUAUCAGUUCAAGUUAAAGUUCAAGUUCUGAACCAUAUGUCCACACCAGUACACCACCAUACUAGAUAGAUUCUUCAUCAAGAAACAAGUUCUGAAAAGAGUCUUCAAGUUCUUGAUCCUCUACGGCAUGCUGAAGUCUUGCAUCUCCUAGCUCCUAAUUCUUCACCAGAGCCAACAUCUCCACCAUCUCAAGCCCAGGCGCCGUCGCCGCUCCUCGAUGAUCUUGCCAGUAGUACUAAAAGCAGAUUCUGAUGAUAUUGUAGAAACAUGCACAGUCAUAACAUCUCUAGCUAGGAUUGAGAGAAUAUAAUAUGAUAAUUUAUGCUCAUGCCACCAGUUCAAAAGGUUGAAUUUAUCGUCGUACUGGUUAACAGAUCACUAUCUAGGUAGACAGAAAGUUUAGAGAAGCACCAGAAGUAGCACUAGCAGAUGAUCUCCUAUGCAAGGAGGAAGAACCACCAAGAUCAGCACCAAGACAAGCAGCACUAGCACUAGCAAAACUAGAACCACAAAUAUCACCCCCAAAGAUCUUACCCCAAUCAGUCCUUUUCUUACCUAUAGGAUCUGGUUGUGCAGCCAUUUGCAACCUUGCAGCACCAAAUUUUUCAUCAUACUUACAAAAAUAACGGAUAGUUCAGCUCUUACCUCAGUUAAGUAGCAGGAGUAAUCAUUACCAUUAAACUAAGAUAAAAGUCUAAGAAUAUUGCUGAAACCUUUCAUCUUAGCCCUAGGAUCCAAUAUAAAUGCAAAGGCAUAAAGCAUAGAAAUGUCAUACUAAUAUUAUAAAAACUUAUCUUUCAUGGGAGUAACAACAUUUCUUAAAUUUCUAUCAUUUUCAUAAUUAUUUAGAUGGUUAGCUAUCUCAAGAAUAUGAUGCAAUAUUAAUGGAGAUGUGGGAUAAUAAACACUAGAAAGAACAACACUGGAAUCGUACAAAUAUUGUUCUGUCAAGAGUGGCUGGCCAUCAAUCAAAGGAUGGUUAGUAGUGAUAAAAAUAGAGAAUGAGUUCUUCUGGGGCAAGAGAUGUUUUAGCACGAGAUAAGUGGAAUUCCAUCUUACAUCCAUAUCUAAGCUAAACUUAUCUUACAUCCAUGUCUAAGCUAAACUUGCGAGAUCUUUCAUUAAUAAUAAUAUAAUAUGAUUUAUAUGCAGCAACGCGUUGGUUAGAUAAAUUUAAAAAUGAUAUAGCAAUUCUAAAUGCAGACAGCAUAGGCUUAAACACAUCAUGGCCAGUCUUAACAAUAAGAUUGAUAAUAUGACAAGCACAUCUCUGAUGCAAGAACAACCUACCAACAUAACUAGACAAGAUAGGAUUAAAUUGAUUAAUAGCCCAGUGUUAGUAGCAGCAUUGUCCAAUAUAACAGAGAAUAUUUUAUCACUUAAUCCAAAAUUAGCAAGAACGGAAGUAAUACGCUCAGCAAUAUUCUUAGCAUUGUGAGACACAUCAAUCAGCCUGAGAUCUAUCUUUUUCUCUAAGUGCCAAUCAACAUUCAUAUAGUGAGCAACCACACUAAGAUAAUUCUCCUUACCAUUAUCAGACCAGAUAUCAGAAGUAAGAGCAAUAGAGGAUACAGAUUUCAAACUCUCAACAAGCUGUACACGACGACGAUCAUUAAAAUACCUAGCAAAAUCUCUAGUGGUUGUUUGCCUAGAGAUACGACAAAAUCUAGGGUUAUGAGCAGUAGCAACGUACUCUUCAAAAGCAUCAGUUUCACCAAUGCAUAAAGGCAGGUCAAGACGUGCAAUCAACAUACACAACUGAGUAUGAGCAACAUCAGGACUAUACUCCCAAGUGCGAACAGAGCCAUCAGGAUUAAACUCAGGCUGAGAUUGAGCCAUGGCAGAACGACCUUUCAAAACAGGGCAUAUAAGAAUGUGCCUAAGCAAGUGGCCAGUACCAUGGGUGGAUUUACCACUGAAAUCUUUCUUGCAAUGCCUACAUUUAGCACUAGUUCGACGUUCUUUACCGUCGAUUACCUCUUAGAUUUUCUCGAAGUCCUUCCACGCCUUAGAGGUGGACAACCUCCUCUUUCUGGAGCCGCCACUUCCACUGGCAGCACCGGUGCUCACACUCUCAGAGCUGGCCGGCUGCGCAGACGGCCCGUGAGGAAGUCCCUGGGCGUCUGCAUCUAGGUCGAUGGCAGCGUUGUUGCCAAACUUCUCUACAUCCGUAGCCAGGUCGUCCUCAUCAUCUCCGCGAAGACCCAUCACCCGCAACUCAUAGCUGUGGGACGACGGGUCGUCGUCGGCCAUCGUUGGCCUCUGAUCCCUCGACGGCCUGCGCAAGAAGAAAGAGCAACAGAGCAGAGAAACAAGUCAGUUAGAAACAAAACAAGAAAUAAAAAAAAGAAGAGAAGAGGACUGGAGUUAUCAAUGGCCGGAGCAUCGGAGUUGCCGUUGACAACCUCACCGGAGACUAGAAGAGUGAGAUGGGGAUUGGAGAAGAGGAAGGUGAAGAAGGUCAAGAAGCAACAAAAUAAGAGAGGGGGAGCAGAUUUGACACCGAGCAGAGGAGAUGAGGAGGCACCACUGGCUCGCGUCGCCGGCUGGCCGCCUCUCGGCCUUCCCCGUCUUCCCCUUCUUCAAUCCCCUUCACCGGCCACAGGAGAGGGAGGAGAAGGAUUGUUGGUGUCGGAUCUGGCAGCGUCGAGGAGCGUCGGAUAUGGCCGAGCCGCGGAUCGGGAGGCGGCGUGGGAGGUGAGGAGGACCUUCGAGGAGCUAGAUCCGGCGAGCAGAUGGGGAGGAGAAGGGAGGGGAACACCGGAUCUAGGCGUGGAGAGGCGGAGGAGGCGAGGGCCUACACCAGCGACGGCGGCGAGACAAGGGAGGCAAAGAGGCCGCGGCCCGUAGGCGAGGGCGUGAGGGAGGCGAAGAGGCUGCGGGCGAGGAAGGAAAGGGGGCGGGGGUGCUAGGGUUUUGGGGCGCGGCUCGAGAGGUGGCGUGGGAGACAAGGAGGAUCACCCAGGAGUUAGAUCCGACGAGCAGGGGGGGAGGGAAAGAAGGGAACACCGGAUCUAGGCGAGGAGAGGCAGAGGAGGCAAGGGCAGCGGCGGAUCUACACCGGUGACGGCGGCGAGAUGAGGGAGGCAAAGAGGCCGUGGCCUGCGGGCGAGGGAGCGAGGGAGGUGAAGAGGCUACGGGGGAGGAAUGAACAGGGGGCGGGGGCGCUAGGGUUUUAGGGCCCGGCCGGCGCUCGGGCAUUAUAUACACCGAGCCGCUCGAGCUCCCGGGCCUUAUUAGGCCUCCCGUGCCCAGGCCGAUCCACGUGCCUGAUUGGGCCGCGGCUUAAACGUGCCGGGCUGGGCCGGCCCACAUGCCGAGGAGUCGGUCCAGGCAUGGCACGAGCCCCGUGCCGGGCUAGCCUGGGCCCAAUUAACUUCCUGACGAACUGUGCCCGUGCUGGGAAAAAAACAAGCCGUGGGCCGGCCCACGGGGCUCGGGCUGGAUGGAAAACUGUACAUGCAGCGUCCUGCCCGACUGCGCCCACAUAUUCCACAAGCCCUGCGUCGCCAGAUGGCUCCGCAAGAAGAACACCUGUCCCGCUAUGCAGGGCGACGGUAGGCGGCGGCGGCGGCGGCGCGCCGGCACACCCACCACCACGGCAGGCCAACGUGGUCGUCAAUGCCGCAGAGAACGUGGUGUAGCUUCAAUUUCUUCUCAUUUUUGUGUUCGUGUACAAAAUUUCUUCUCGUCAACUGCUGAUGGAUAUAUAGUAUAUCGUUGGACAGUAAUUUGACUCAGAACUAGCAAAUCUACUACUAUGGCAAGUUAAAGCUCAAUUUUGUGAAGUUCUAAAUGUUAAGUACUAAUAAUGGGGAAGUGGAUUGCAGUUUGUAUGAUUUCCGAAGCAGGUGACCUGCCUUUCCAAAAGAAUAUAUUGGAAAAAUCACUGGAAUUCAUUUUUUUUUUACACUUUCCCUCUUUUGCUUUCAGUAGCAGAGUUGCUCUGCAGCUUGGUCCCAGACAGAUAAACGUUGCCUCCGCCGGGAACCUUUUGCUUUUGCUGUUCCCGAUGCCAUGAUGAAUUGCCGACCUCCGUUUUUGUCCUCAUCAUACCAGCACGUUGUUUUGUCGUUCCCAAUGCCAUGUUGAUUUCGCCUCGCUUUGCCACCGCCGCCAAGAAGUCCAUAAUGUUUCGAAAAUAAGUAUUUUAGACCAGGCAAGGGAAGAAGGCUUCACUCAUCUCCCUCAUCAAUCUAGCGGUUACUCUACCCGCAGGUUACUACUUCUCUUCUCUGCUUCUCCCUGUCCAUCAUUAACCGAUAAUUGCGUUUGCUGAUGGCCUUCAUUUGUUCUUAGUUGCUUCUGUCAGAAGGUAAAACCUGACAUGAUUUUGUUUGCUAUUGCCUCCACUGUCUUUGAUGCUUCCUGUAAUUCCAUACAACUUUUUUCGUUAUUCAGAUCCUUCCACUUGUUCAGUUAUAUAUCUGUGGAAGUUUCAUGCCAGCAUCUGUUUUUUUUUCUUCUUUAUUAAAGGACUUGGACUAGAUCUGUCUUGCUCAUUCUUGCAGUUCUGGGGAUUCAUCCUACUUCAAUGGCUUUUUAGAUAAUCCUGCUGCAAUUGGAAAACUGUAUACUGAUCCUGCUACAAACAGCGGAUUUGUAUCCAAGAUUCACAAUUUAUCUGUUUUGUUUCAUCUUGGGAAAGAAAAGAAAUGUUUUUCAUAGAAUGAGUGUGAGCAACAAGCACAGCCAGUUAUCAUCCAGUCUCUGCAUCAAAAACCUUCCAGCGUUCCUCUGCCGAUUCUGUUUGAUUAUUAUUUUUUCUCUCUUCCUAGAUGCUGGAUUGAAAGCAGUCACUAGGCCAAAGAUUUGAUUUUUCUCAUAUUCUCGUUCAGAAAAAAAGUUUGAUUUUUUUCUUGUUUCUCUUCCUAGAUGCUGGACUGGAAGCAGAGUUACUAAGGCCAAAUGGAGUCAGCAACACCAAGAACAAGCACAAGGACUCCUACCUGCACCGUUCCUGGGCUCCUAGUCGGCCUCACCAAGCUCUGCAAGCUCACCAAGGUCUGCGCAGCGCCAGCACUGGACGAUGAGACAAAAUCACAACUUGGAAAUUUUUGCGGUGGAUAUGAUCAGAGGCUACUUCUCAUAAGACUGUUUGAAGCAAUGGGAUCCCUCAAGUCAGCUUACAUCAAGCUCCAGAGAGCUCACAUCCCCUACGACCCUGCCAAGCUCGCCUUCGCCGAUGAGAUUAUCACGUCUGAGCUGGAUUCAGUAGCAGCUCUGCAGCGCCUGUGCAGUUCCAGUUGUGGGAUCGGGUCAUUGGUCAACGAGCGGUGGUCCUUGGUUCAGGAACUGGAGGCCGAGACGAGGAAGAGGGAUUCAGACAUCGUGCUGCUGAAGAGAGAACUGGAGGCGCUGCAGAGGGAGAACUCGAGACUGAACAAGCAGAUCAAGAGCGAAAAGCCGUCGUCAGUCAAGCACACUGACAAGGGAUUCGUCGUGCCGAAAGAGAUGACCGCGGUGACGCCAGGAGCAUUGUCGGAGCUGUUCAAGGUGGCAGCAGCAUCGGUGCACGACUUUGCAGAGUUGAUUGCUACUAGCAUUCUGGUACCUUCAGAUAACUGCGUGAACGAUGCAGUAGAGCGGUCAUGGAGGAGGUACUCACUUGAGGCGCACCUGUCGCGAACAAUGCUCGUCGGUGUUAUUACCACAACUCAAGAAGAAGAAGAAGAAGAUAAAGAAGGGCUGAAAAUCAGUGGUGCUUGCUUUGAACGGAUCAUGAGGUUGUGCGACCCUCUGGACGCCUUGAUGCAGUACCCAAGCUCUGGUUUCUCGAGAUUCUGCCGGUCCAGAUACUUGGCCGCCGUGCCGUCGGAAAUGGAGGCGGCAAUGUUCCGGAACCUGGACCAGAGGGCGUUCGUGGCGCGCGGCGGGCACCCGAGGACGUGGUUCUACCGGGCGUUCGCGACGAUGGCGAGGUCGGCGUGGGCGCUGCGUGUGGCCAUGGCGCGGUGCUUAAAGCACAGCCACGGUGUCAGAAUGUUCUAUGCGAGGAGAGGCAGUGAGUACGUCGAGGAGUUCAUGGAGAGCGUGGCAGUGGCUGCACCUGGCGUCAGAGAAGGAGAAGGUGACGUGGAGGAGAAGCUUACGGUUGCCUUCACUGUGACGCCCGGAGUCAAGGUCGGCGACACGGCGGUGGCUUGCAGGGUGCUUCUCUGUCACCGUCAUCAUCAGGAGGGGAUUCAUUCAAGUCCAAUGACGGCUGUGGUCAGCAAGCUUAUUUAAGUCAUUCAUCUAACUGUACUAUGCCCAACAACUAGCUAGGCACUUAACUGUUUAUCUUUUCUUAAAAAAAAUUAUCUACACAUUAUUUCGCUCUUGGCCGCCCAAAUAUACUAGUUGAUUGCACGUGGAAAUGUAAGAAUCUUAAGAUUUUUUUUUGGAGUAAGAAUCUGAAGAAAUUGAUUGCACGUUGAAAUGUAAUGCAUAUAACACUUUCAGCUAUCGGAUACCACCUCCUAAAUCUGCGUGCAGACAAGACGGAAAUCCCUAAUCUGCUGAGCUAAGGACCUUGGCAGAAUCAGUCAACUAUACCAUGCGUCCAUGCCCUGUUCGCCGCUGCCACCAGCUCCAAUUGUCAUUUUUUUUAUGCCCGCUCAUCCUGUAAACAGCACCAGCACUUUGAAGCUCCCUAAUGCUCCAUGUAUCUUCAUUUUUGUUCAGUCCUGAAAUAUUUUAACAGAGGCAUUAUCAAGGUGGAGAAAUGGGAAUGACAACCACUGCAGCUUAUUGCUCACAUCUCAUCCUCCUCUACAAUGUACAUGGAAAAACACCUUAUUCACAGGAAAAGCCACAGCAACAAUGUCUAUACCACUACUGGAGCUGACUGUAUCUACAAAUCUAUCAACAGCUGCAAACUGAGAUCCUUCCUAGCCAUAUUUGUUAGUGAAACUGGGAUUGUAACAGAGCCGGUAUUGGAUAAAAGUAGCUUUUGUUUGAUCUAAGUAUUACAGAUCUGGAAAAAUCUCAUAAAUGCCAGCCUAUUUUCAAAAUGAAAAAAAUAGCUUGUGUUUGAUCUAAUUAAGUAAUACAGGACUGGAAAAAAAAUCUCCUGAAAUGCCAGCCGAUUUUCAAAUGGGAAAAAAACAUACACCAAAGUUGAGACAGUAUGAUUUGCAGCCAAUGAAGUGCAUAGCUUGUCGAGCAUCAAUAACUGGAGCAAAUAGUUUAUUCUGGGCAAUAUGGUAAAUUUAUAUUUUACUGCUCCAAAACAUUAAGGCUUGAGUAUUAAAGAUGUUCAUAAUACACAAAAAAAUGGAGAAAAGCAAAGCUCAAGGUUGAGCACAAGUGGCAGCACAGAAAGUGCAAGGGUUACAAUCAGAAUAAUCUAACCUUGACAUGUUAUAGGUUGUGAGCACAGAAUAUUUAGUAUUCAUGCCAAAAGAAAAAGAAAAGAAAGAACACAGUGUUGAGCAAACCAGUAUCCACAGCGCCUGUGCCUGCCUUCAUCAUCCAUCCUGUCUAGCAUCCAUGACAUCAACUGUGAAUUUGUACUCCUGAUCACAGCCCAAAUAAGAAUCUGACAUCAAGUAAAUCAUGUAAUUCUUUCUUCCUGCUUUGGCCGGAGAAGCGAACUCUAGCUUUACUCUUGCUGUCUUUUGAAAUGCCACUCUUUUAACCGCCAGCAACUUGUCAGUGAAACUAUCACCAAUUACAACCCACCAGCCUUCUUCCUUGGGCUUGGGGAACCUCGGAGCAUGAACUGACCCAACCUCCGACAGCAAGUUAUUAGUCAUAUCACGCUCUAAUGUUAUCUGCAUAGUUAUGUUGUCACCAGCACUAAUCUUAUCACCCUCACAGACCUCAACCAAUAUCAACAUUGGGAAACUGUUUGAAGAAUCCGAUGAUGUCCUGCAGGUGAGACUUUGACAGCUGCAAGAGAUUCUGCAUCUCAUCAAUAUUCAUCUCAGCAAGAUCAUAGAUACUCCUCAUGGCCUGCCCUUCAUUUUCCUGGCAUCUCUGGGCUAACUCUUUGGUAAAGUGUGGAAAUUGAAGAAGCACGGAAUCAUGAUCCCACAUGCCUUGUGUCACCAUUUGACUCGAUCAACUCCAUUGCUUUGAGAGCAAGACUAGGCCAACCAUUGCUGGAUAUAACAUCAACCAUUCCCUGGAUCAAUCUAUGUGCAGAGAGGAGAACCUCACGCUGAUCAGCUGCCAUGUUCCCUAUAACCAUGUGCCUGGACAAGUGGGCUUGCAGCAGAGCAUUGGCCUUGACAUGUGGAUCACCAAACUUAGGUUUCUCAAUACAAAAUCUCUGGUGGCGAACAAGCUUUUCAAUGAACUUCUCCUCACCAGGAUGUCUUGGAAGCGCUGCAUAUUCUGAAGCAGAUGCUACAAUCUCUAGGAGACCUUUCAUCUUAGUCACCUGAGUUAGCAUAGAACUGAAAUGGUCAACCGUUGUGUAGCUAAUGUAGUAGUAAGAAGCAAUAAGGCCAAGGUUAAGGGGCUUCAGGUACAUAUCUUCCUCCACAGCCACACACUUUCUUGACUCUAGAUAACUCAAGGCAGUAUCAAUCAACUCAGAAGAUAAUCACAAAGAUGUCUGUGGUUUACACCCUCAAGAUUGUAGUAGUUAGGAUUCUUUGUCAGCCGUCGAUACAUGAAAGUCCAAGUAAGGUAAUCCACAGCCUCUUGUUUAUUUUCUAUAGCACUGCCAACAACCUCAGCAUUCAUAUGAUCAUGCAGGAAAUGGUGAAGAUGACUCUCAACAGGUAAGGCCUCAAAAAGGAACUUCUUAUAGUACUCUUUCUGAGGUGCAUGGCACAAUAUCACACAUUUUCCCGAGUUAUCUUGAAGUGGACUGCUGGCAUGACUGACCAUUUGAAGCAGAUCAGUGAUUGGAUAAUCGAUGUGAGCAGUAUCACAGCCAUUGUAGUACUGCGUCCCCAUGACAACAACCAAAUGAGCAGGCAAUGACCUUCCCCAGCACAUUGUGCUGCUCGCUACACACACUUGGAUCCUCCCACACAGGAACAGCUGGGUUACAAGUUCCUGGUCAAGUUCACUUAGCCCCUCAUGCAAGUAGCCUACACCACAUUUAAGUGUACUUUUAAGUGUUUCUUCAUCAAUGCCUUUGGUGAAAGUUUCCAUCUCAUCUUCUGGCCCAAGAAGAAAUAGUGUUCCAGCACCCUCAGCACUGGAGUAUGCACACAAGUUCAACGCAGUCAGUCUGGCAUGCAUCCUUGUCGGUACAAAUACCAAGGCAGGUUUUUUACCAUUAUUUGCAUGUUUUCUGAUGGUAGCGUAUGUAGGCUUUGUCAUUGGUUGCAUCCUUGCCUCAAAGUUUUCUGUGUCCACACCCUGAAUGUGGAUUUCUAACGGAACCGGUUUCACUGUUAGAGAAAAAUUGAAAAGGCCAUGAGAGGUGGCACCAAUCCAUUCACCAAGAUCUUUAGCAUUUGCAAGUGAUGCUGAAAGUGCUACAAUCCGUAUGUUACUGCCAACGUACUUCGAAAUACGCUUCAUCCUAGAUACCACAAUUUCCAAAACAUGUCCCUUGUCAGAACCGAGCAGAUGAAGCUCAUCAACUAUAAAUAAGCUGACAUGUUGGAUGUGCUUUAUCUGCUUCCAUCGGCAAGAUAGUGCAUCCCACUUUUCAGGAGUGCUGAUUAUGAUAUUCCCUUUAUCAAGAACCUUCACAUCAGCUGCAGUUUCACCUGUUAGCUCAACAACCUUGGCAAACUCUGCAAAUUUGUGCUCCCAGUCCCUAUUUCUUUCUCUUGCAAGAGCUUCAAUUGGAGCUAUAUACACAACCCGCAUGUUGCUCUCACCAGACAAUGCCUUCUGGUGGUUUCUUAGUAUAGCAAACUCCGCACAUACCGUCUUCCCACUACCCGUUGGCACAGCGACAAGCACAUUGUCAUCACUAUUAUACAGGACAGGGAAUACUUGUGUCUGGAUGGGAUUGAAAUGCUUGAAAGCGCCAUAUAGAACUUCAUACCGUCCAUCCCUCAAUGCAGCAAGGGGAAAUGGGUGCAGGUCAAGCAAUUCAGUUGGUGGAGCAUAUUUUUCUGUUAGAAUUAAAUGCCUAAAACAGACAGGAAGGAUUGUGUGAGAACCAAGCCAUUUGUCAGAUACAACGCGUAUAAAAUACUGAGGAGGCAGUGGCUCAUAUAUCGGCACUGUGAAGUUCAAUGUAUGAUCUUCAUCCACAUAUUGUUUCUUAAGUCUAAAAUACUGAUGGUGAAGAAUACACUCACCAUCGUGGUCCUCAACUAUGAUCCAAAAGGGCUCUACAUGGCCAUGUAUCUCAUCAUCCCAUUGGAAAUCAGGUGUAAUAGUCAGCUGAAGGCCCAAAAGUGCAUGAGUAAUUGGUUGGACGUGGACUGAAAGGUUCAACUUUGGCAAUUGGUGGAUGCACCUGAAUAGCUGCCUCCCCAUCUUAGGAUAACGAAUCAGCUCACCAAUUUCCUGUGAUGACAGGUCAUAAUACCUCUCCCAAGCCAAUUCCUUUUUCUCCAGUUUCAUCAAGAUUUCCACUGGAAUUAUAGGAAAUUGGCGCAAGGGAGUUUGAACACUCCACAUUUGUCUAUCAACCAUCUUGCAAAGAUUCAGAGCUGUCAGUGCUAGUUGAGCCCAUCCUCUCUUCAGAAUUAUCUCAAAUAAUGCUCGAAGAAGACGGCCAGCACUCUGUCUGAUAUAGACCAUAUCAGAACUAAGGGAAAGACCAUCUAGUUUCAGCCUAGAAAUAUAUGCUUGCAGCAGAACAUUAAUCUUUGCACUGGGCUCCUCCAAGCUCUCUUUCACAGGAAUUGGCACGCGAUCCAAAAGCUUUGCAAGUUCCAUUUUCUCAUCCUCCCUAACACUAACAUACUUGAAUUCUUCACUCAGGGAGAACAGUUGGAACAGCUGAAUCUCACCCAUAGUUGGCAUCAGGUACUCAUUAUAUGUCGAGAUAGUACUGUGACCAAUAUAGUAAUAACUCGCAACCCUUCCCAAACCAGUAGCUUGAAAGUACCCUGUUUUUCUGUCAUACUUUAUCAAACUGUUACUCUCCAGUAGGCGAGCAGCAGAGUGUAUCAAGUCCGCUCUUCUUUCAUCAACUGUUUUAUCUCGCUCCAUAAUAUCUACCGGCAGACCAUACAAUGUCGGAUUGCGGAGCAUUCGAAUAUAGAGAUAAGUGUAGCCAAGCCAUGAGCAUGCCUCCUGAGCAUCCUGAACAGUCCCCAGAACAAUCUCUGCAUUCAAUUGAUCAGCCAAUCUGGAUAUAAAAUGACUCUCAAUAGGUAGCUGUUGAUUCAUAAGAGACAGGUAAUACUGCAAUUCACUGUGACCAGUUAAGAUAAUUCCCUCUCCAUGUGUAUCAUACUGAGGCCUUCCGGCACUACCAAGCAUCUGCGUAACAUCCAGCAGACUUAGUUCUGUCCAAGCACCUUUUUCCGGAUUGUAAAUCUGGGUACCAUUUAUGAUAACGGUGUGAGCAGGCAAAUUGACACCCCACGCAAGGGUGGCUGUCGAUACAAGAACCUUUAUAUGCUUAUCUCUAAAAAGCAUCUCAGUAAGUUCACGGUCAACCCUUGCCAACCCAGCAUGAUGAAUAGCAAACCCAUAUGGCAGAAGGUCUUUAAGAUCACUGAUUUUCACAAGCUCUACGGUACUACCAAGAAUCUCUUGGCUUGCACUCUCAAGCCUCAAAAAGCAGCUCAAUGUGUCAUUAGCCAAAGCAGUGUCUCUAAUAGCACGAGCAGUUUUCACUGUCUCCUUCCUUGAGUGAACAAAUAUAAUCACUUGAUGCUUACCAGCAGCAGCCAUGACCUUCUCAUAACAAAUUUCAUUCAUCAAGUGGAACCUUUGUAGUGGCUUCCUCACAGUGAUUCCAAUGUACUGCUGAGCAAGAGGGCAAGGUCGGUAACUGUUGUCAAAAUGGAAAAGGCCAUCAGUACGAACACGCAAGAACACGGAAACAUCAUUGUAGUUUGGAAGAGUCGCAGAGAGCCCAACCAAACGAAUAUGUUCCUUGGUUGUCUCAAUCUGCCGAAGUGUUCUAGCAACGAUGCUCUCUAGAACAGGCCCCCUGUUAUCAUGCAGUAGAUGGAUUUCAUCAAGAAUUAACAGCCUGACCGUUUGGGUAUAGGUUCUGUCACCUGAUUUCCUAGUCACAAUAUCCCACUUCUCAGGUGUAGUGACAAUAAUCUGCGCUUCUUCAAUCUGUUGUUUUGUCAAAUUUUGAUCUCCACUAAGCUCCCUAACAGUGACAUUGUAAUCUUUCAGGCGCGCCGACAAGUUUCCAACAACUUCAGCAACCACAGCUUUCAUCGGGGCCACAUAGAUGAUUUUGGACUUUGUGUUGUCGAACUGUCCAUCCUUCAUAUGCAUGCCAACCUGCUGAAGGAUUGUAAGCAGAGCCACGUUCGUCUUGCCAGCACCAGUCGGAGCGCAGAGAAGGAUAUUAUCUGGUUUGAAAAGAGCGGUAUCGUAAACCUUGCUCUGAACCAUAUUCAGAUGUGUCAUCCCAGCAAAAGCUGGUUGUGCCCACUCUGGCAUAUCAGAUAUCUUCACAAUCCUCUCUCCAGAUUCAUAUGGCCUAGCUUUUGGUGCAGUCACGUGAACUUCCUCAUAGCCCUUAUGAGCUGUUCUAAAUGAUCCUGGAGGAAGCUCACAUUUUCUGUUAGACAUCAAGAGCCCACCCUGGUGAAAAGAAAGGCUAUCAAGAUCAAGCAGCUGCCUCUGUUCUUUGAACCUCGCAGCUUCUGUGUCCUGCUGUAUUGCCUGGCAACCCUUCACACCGUGAGAGCCAGCGCCCUCGUUGUUGAGAGACCUCUUGGCCUGAUCCCCGAUGCUUCUAUCCAGAGUUUUCUGGCUCUCAAACAUUGCGGAUGCUCUUGUUUCAGAUAGUUGGUUCAGUAUUGGAGCUAGGCUUGGAUUGCCGGCCAUCUCUUCCACUAUCUUGUUCCGUUGUUCCUGGUCUUGAGCCCUGGCUAAGCGGGUACACCACACAAUCUUGAGGCGGUUGUACAGGAGCAACUUAAUGAGAUCAAACUUGGUGUAAUCCAAGAGCAUGAGAAGCCGGUUCUCCACUUCUCUGUUGCCGGUGCUCACCGAGAUUAUGCUUAAGAUCUCCUCGGAGAGCUUGUGGGUAUGCUGGGGAUCAAUGUCAGUCUCCUGGAAUGCUUGCGAUACCUUCCUCUGAAUCCAGUAAGCAUCGAUAUCCUGAACGUCAAUGGUUAGUGCCUGGUUGGAGUUGUGCAAAUCAUCAUUGCCACCAUGAGUAACAGCAAACUCACCUCCCAUCUGCAUUGUAGCUCCAGCAGCACUUAAUCCAGCAAGAUUGCCGCUGCCGUCGUUGUCGUCGAACUCAUCUUGCAGGUGAUCGAAAUCAGUGCCAUCGCCGCUUUCGUCAGAGGGUUGGAACACCACAGCAACGCCAACAUCCUCAUCCAGGGCCAUGUCCAUUCCGUCAGCAGCAGAACCGGCGGCGGCAUGGAAAUCGGUGAUGAGGCUCCCGGUGGAGACGAUCUGGUGGAGCACGUGGUCUUGGAUGGGGCCAAGGAGCGUCUGGAUAUCCUCACCGUCUUCACGCCGCGGCCUUCCACCUGCAGCAGGCCUCUCAACAACAACAACAUCAUCAUACUGCUGCCACACCGUCCAUGACGAUGCCCCGAGAGAGAAGCAGUAGUAGUGAGGAGCAGCUACGAGUGGCUGCUCAGCAGGAAGCCCCGAGGGAAGCCACCGCCAUCCGCCCCAAGCAAACGCACCAACUGAUGAACAAGCUAUAAAUAUAUAUACAGCUAGCAUAGCAUAUAUAUUGUUUUGUUCUUUUCAUUUCUCUAUCUUGUGUGUUUCUUUGCCUGAUAUAUAUAUAGAAGAAUUGAUGUAAAUAUAUGUACCUAGUUCAUGUGCACGCAUGCAGAAACGUCGUUUGUUCUAAGUUUUUCAGUAAAAAAAAAUAAAAAUCUGUUCGAUCUCGCAACAUAAUUCAUGCAUAUCUUUCUUUUUCAUAUCGGCCGCUCUCUUACGGUACCAAGUUCGUUAUCACAUCCUCAAACUAAAAUAAAAGGAAACAGGAUCUCCAGACGCAUGCAUUUUCUUGUUCUUGGAUCAAGCGAGGCAGAGCCACCACCUCUUGAUCGAUGGAGCAGACACCACCCUCUCCCUCUGCCGUGCCACAGGAAAGGGAAAGGGGUCCGUCUUACGCGCUUUUCUUUUUUUUGUCUUUCAUCCACGCGGUUCGGAUUCAGUUUUGCUAAUUCCAACAGUCUUGUCAAGAUUUCAACAACCGCAUAUUUAAAUAAAUCUGCGCCGGAGUACGGAGGACGAGGAAAAUAGAUUAUGAAUCAACAAUCAAGGCACGAAAGACACCGCACAAGCUAAACAUUUCUCACUCGAUCAUCGUACGGACAAAAAUCACAACAGUUUGUUCUAACUGAAUAAAAAAAUAUUAGUAUUCUAUGCCAUCGUACGGACAAAAAAUAUUCUGUGCUUUUCCAUGGAAAUUGAAUCGAAAGAAAUGAUCUAGGAAAAGAAAGAAAAUAUAUAUCCUUGGUUGGAACAAAACACAUUCCAUUUCCAUGGCAUAUAUUAUCCACGGAGUAUUGUAUUGCCGCAUUACUCGGAACAAUAAUAAUGUACAGAAUGAUAAGCUAUAUAUAUAUAUAUAUAUCUAUAUCUUAAGUCCUUAACAAACCAUACUGGCUGCACUAAUUUUCUACUGUCCUACAGUGCUUACUCUCGAGCCAUAUGGCUUCCACGCACCAUGUACAGAAAAAAACCAGAUUACUCAAAGCAUGACGUAGUUCUGGUGAUGCUUGUCGUCUCUGCUCCUCCUGCCACGCGUCGACGACGACGAGGAGGUGGUGGUGGUGGUCGGCGCCCGGAAGCCGAUGUUCUCGACGGCGCCGACGGUGUUGAAGAAGAGGCGGCGGUUGAGCUCCUCCACCAGCGUCCGGUGCAGCAGCUGGCUCCGCAUGUCCACCAUCGACCGGUUCCGCGUCAUCCUCCCCCUCCUCCCGUGCCGGUCCUCGUCCUCCCGCCGCCGCGGCCGCCCGGCGUGCGGCGACAUGCUGCACUGCCGCUGCAGCUGCCGAGCCAGGGAGCUGCCGAAUCUCGUGUUCUUGGGCUGGGCCUUUGAGAAUCCGCUGGGCCCUCCGACGACUUCAGGUCGUGGUGAUUGGGCCUCGUCCUGAUUCCCCGAGGAGCUCAUGUCAUCGUCGUCGCUUAAACAAGCGCAGUAGUACCCAUAAUCUACACCAGAAAAGUUUUUGAAAAAAAAAUGCACACGUGUCAAGCUCGAUGGAGCAGUGCUCUCCCCUUAAAGAUAUACUAGGAUAGAUAUGCAUGAGGGCUGCCUGCAACGUGACAUACUCUAGCAAGAAUGCAAACAAAAAGCACUGGCGACGCCUACGUGUGCCUACCUAGAUAGGGUGCCAAAUAACCAGAUGAUGCAUGGCUACUGCUGUGGUGUGCUUGGAAAACAAAACAGCCAUCUGUUCCUUCCAAAAAAAAAACAAAACAGCAAUCUUGUGGAUAAGGAGCCAGAACCGCCGCGCCAUAGUCAACAUUUCCCAGUCCAAAUUGUCAAAGUGUCAUAUCUAAUACACACGUAUGCAUGCAUCCACACAGGUACAAAAGCAGGCAGUUCGGCAAAGAUGCCCUGGCUGGCUAGCUUCCAUAUAUAUUCAUGACAUGUGCAUUUUAUAUGUAUGUUUAUGUUUGGACGAAAUCAAAUCAAAUUAUUCUUUCAUUCGAAAAACAAUAAAAAACAUGCAUACAAAUCACUAAUAUGUGCCAUAAGUUAAUACUACUAUCUCCGUCCAUAAAAGAAUAUAAUUAUAGGAUCCGUGCCGGUCAAAAAUCAAAUUUAUAGUAAACAGUAUUAGCGCUUAUGUCUCCAAAUAAAUUUAUUAUGAAAAUAUAUUUAUCUUGUAUCAUGAAUGUUAUUAUUUUUUAUAUAACUUUAGUCAAAAUUUAAACUGUUUGACUUGUCGAAAAGCGAGAAUUGCAUUCUUUCGUGGAUGGAGGGAGUAAGAAGUAAAAUGCUCGAGUACGGUUAAAAAAUAACGUUGUUACCUUUGGACCAGGCACCGCCUUGUGGGCGAGAGAAGUCUUCGGAGGCGUAGGGACAGACAGAGCUUUGGGAGGAGGUGGGGGAAGAGGAGAGAUAGUAGAAGGGAGGAGGGCGCUCCUCGCUUUCGUCGUCAUCAUCAUCAUGUGCCGCGUUCACAGCAUACUCGUGCUGCUGCUUUCGCCCGGGAAGCAGCCUCUCGAUCUCCUGCUCGAUCAUGGCCGCGAUCUCCGAUGGGUCCCGGUCCCUGAUCUCCAGCUCCUUGACCAUCUCCUCCGCCACCUCUGUCGCCGUGUCGUUCACCAUGUCGAACGGGAAGUAGAUGUUCCGAACAUUAUUCCCUGCACAUGUGCAUGUACGUGUAUGAUCGAUCAGGCAUCUGCACUCAGUCAAGUGAUGCCAUGCAACAUAAUCUGAAUGCAUCGCACUGGAACGACGGAUGAAUGUAACGUACCUGUCUCGUCGGCGAUCUGUACUUUAAGGAAGAUGGUGUCCUCCUCGGCGUUCAGCUUGCCGGUGAUGGUCAUCUCAGUCGUCCUGGCCACUAGAGGAUCGUCUGCAUCCUCACUUACAUCCUGAUGAUCAUUGCCCAACGACGAAACAUCGGAACUGCUGCAGGUCGAAGAAGAAGGAGGACCAGCAGGCGGCAAUGGCGGCGGUGCCAUCGUCACGGCGGCACACGACGUCGUCGACAUGACGUGAUGAUGAUCGUCGAGUAGGAACGGAUCCAGCAGCAGCUCUGCCGCGGACGGCCUCUUGGACGCGGCGACAAGGCACCUGCCGAUGAACCGCCGGGCCUCCCCGUCCUCCACCCGGUAGAAGGCGUCGGGCAGCUUGCCGGCGGUGACCUUCUUGUAGAUCUGCGCGGGGUUGGAGCACUCGCUGUAGGGGUACUCCACGGUGAGCAUCUCCAGCAUGCACAUGCCGAACGAGUACACGUCCACCAGCUCGUUGUACUCCUCGUCGUACAUCUCGGGCGCCAUGAACUCCGGCGUCCCGAUCACGCUGUGCGCCGCCUGCCCGGCCUCCCGGAGCACGGCGGCGAGGCCCAGGUCGCCGAUCUUGACCUGGCCCUGGUGCCCGUUCACGAAGAGGUUGUCGCACUUGAGGUCGCGGUGGAUCACCGGCGGGCGGUGGGCGUGGAGGUAGGCGAGGCCGCGCAGGAUCUGGCGCGCCCAGGACCGGACGGCGCGGAGGCUCACGCGCGGGUAGCGGAGGCGGUAGGAGCGGAGCGUGCCGGAGGAGAAGAGCUCGGUGAUGAAGUUGAAGGUGCGCCGGGGCACGUCCACCCAGGACGCGUGGAAGCCGAUGAUGGCGUCGUGGCGGAGCGUGCUCAGCAGCUGCACCUCCGAGUACAUGCGCUGCACCGCGUCGGGGGUCCGGAGGACGUCGCUCAGGCUGGCCUGGUUCCACGCCACCUCCACGCCGCGCUCCUCGUCGAAGCCACGGUACACAGACUUCAUCGCGCCCUUGCCGAGCAGCUCGUCGAACUGCAUGAUUGUCAGGUUCAGAUCAACAUAAAAUUAAUUAAUUAUGCCUUCAAAUUAGCAAGCUAGCUCAUAAUUUUCAAAUUAUAUGGAGUAUUAUUUAUGCGCAUCGAUCCUGAAGGAAAAAAUGACAUUAUAUAUUUCUUCUGGAAAUGAAUGGCGUUAUUUUUAAUAUAUAAAAGAAUGUUAUAGUUAACUCCUCUGUUGAAAUCUACUGAAAGAAAAAGGAUGAAGAAAAGUGACUAGCAGAAAAGAUGAACCGCACCAUAUCUAAUGGAUAUGACUUGGUAACGUACAGCAUAUACUUUUUGAAGCUUUCAAAGCAUCUUAUUAUUGGCAUAUUGACAGAUGGGCAAACCUCUCAGCAAAUCCAACUUGGGAAAGUUCAAAUACCAAUCAAACACCAUCUCUGACUAUUGGAAAAAAGCUAGCACUCUUUUCUGAUUGGACCAAAAAUCACAAUCAAAGUCUCUCACCAUCUCAGAUUAAUGAUUCACUAGUUGACCAAGUAUACGAUAAUGGUAUUAUCUUUCUGUACAAAAAUUGUUUACUAUUGUUCACAUGAUGCCAUCUGAGAGUCCACCUGAGCAACUGAUUAAUUUAGCACCAGUAUUUGACCCUGAUCUUGAUGUGUUCAACAAUAUAAUAGUGGCCAUGAAUAUCUUGAUGGUUCCACCUUUCAUAUUGCAAAUUAAACUUAUGGUAAACACAUUAUGCAGUGAUCGAUAUGGGUAUUGGCAACUAACUAAAAGAAACCGGUCUAGAUGAUGUGUGCUAUCAACGAACUGUAUGGAAAGAAAACAAGAUUUACAAAAGCCAAAUGGAGAUGGGAUGAAAAGGAAAAGGGCGCAAUUAUUGUGUCCUGUUCUACAGGUAGCUCCGAUGUGCACAUCACAAUGGAAUAAUCUAUCCUUAAAAAAACAUGAUUAAGAAGAACAACCCUAUAUCUUAACUAAUUAAUGAACUAAGGUUUUGCUGUCAGCAUGUGAUGGAAGUACACCAUCUCUACUAGCACAAGUUAUCAAAAACCAAUAGUAGAGGUAGCUAGGACAGCGAUUGGAAAGAAGGGCAAUUCGAGGGGAACUAGUACUUCUCUUCUUCUAAUCAUCAUGCAUCAAUUCGUGGUAACUAUCUUACUAUAAUGUCAGGUUGUUCAUUCUGAAUCAAAGCGGAGCAAGAAAUUAAAAAUGAACUUUUCGUGUUUGUCAUCAGCAAUUAAACGAAGUAGAAAUUAAGGAUGAGAUGUGUGCAGUAAUACAUACCCGGCCAUAGCGACCAGUGGGAUCGGUCUCGACGUAUCCGUUGGUGUUGUCCCCCACUACCGCCGGCCGCCGGCUGCCGCACCGCCGAGGCCCGGACAUGCUCGACCGGGCUUGGUACUUGGUUGCACCACUGACGAGAAGAGAAUUGCUAGCAAGGAUGAUGUGGAAGAAGACAAUCAGAAGAGGCGUGUGCUAGAGGCCGGGCUUGGCGAAGUUGUGGUGGUUGUGGGUGGCGUCGUAGGUGAAGACACGGAAGAGGAGCCAGCUGAGGCUGGAGCAGUCGACGAUGAUCCACGGCGCCAUGGACGGCCAGGAGGAAGAGGAGGAGGCCCCCGCGUGCGCGUGGUGCGCGGCGCCGAGGCAGCAGGACCGUGCACUCAUCUGACGCCACUUAUAUGUGGCAGCGACACGCACGAUAACUGAUGGAGGAGAGAUUGAUUGAGUGAUGGAACAGGAUGCCUCCCUCCAAAUUUAAAGUGCUUUGCGAAUUAAGUGCAACCAACUCUUAUUCCCUCUCUCGAUCGAUCACCUCAGUUUUUCGCGCAUGCGCCUGCAGAAGACAACCAAUCGCACAUGUUGAUUGCGAGCUCUGACAAGACGACGCGACACUUGAUAGGUAUGCAGAGGACGGAAGCUCGAAGCAGAGGAAUAAACGAUGGAUGGAUGGAGAAUUACUGGUGCAGAGAAUAUGUACACAAAAAAUCGACCUCUCGCCUUCCCUUGUUGUCACCUGGCCUGGCCUGGAAGAAGGCAAGCUACUAGAUUGAUGAGAGAGAUGUGGUGGGAGGACUAUGUGUAGAAAGAAACCAGACUGCCUGGCUCUGGCUAGUAGAGAGAGCAGAGGGAUUUUUGUUUCUCUCGUCGCAGAUGAGUGAGCUGCUGAGAUUUUUGCUCAUUCAUUGGCAGUUACAAGGAGGAUCUGAACUUGAAGAAUCCAUGCCUCAGAAGCAUCUUCUCUCUGUGGUGGAUUCUUCGGCAAUAAUCUGCAGGAAUUUGUGUGAAAAAUAGCACAGGCUGGACUCGAAGCAGAGUGGCGAGAGCUGCAGCGAUUUGGGUGUUCUUAUGCAGGCAGACUGUCUGCUUUGCUUUCAGGGAGAUGAUGCUGGUGCUUCAGUGUUGAAAUAUGUAGGGAAAGGUAGGAGAGCUUAAUUGGUUAUUUGGGAAGACAGACAAACCCAUCCAGCUAAUAAAACGCGUAUGUCGCAUUCUGAAAAUAUAAGAUGCAAUGCAACUGCCUUUUUUUCAAUACUAUGUGCACAUGAUCCUUAGUUGACUUCGCUUGUUUCUGUAGGAAGCUGUGGCAUAUUCUCUCUGCACUUUUAUUUGAUGUUUUAACAAAAAAAAACGAUGAAUGAAUGCUAUUCCAACGAUGAACAAAAUUAGCAAAACUUGUACACUCAAGUUUCAUGGUUCUAACCAUUGUGACGAUAAUAAUAGCUUUAUGCAUCAUUUCUGUCCUUCGACGCAAACACUGAUAAUGAAUGCUAUUCCAACGAUGAAUAAAGUUUAAGCUCCUGAUUCAGUCCGAUCUAUAGGUAACCUUUUUUCAUUUUAUUCAUCUACCAUCUAGCCGUAAUGUAGCUCCAAUUUAUUGUGGCACUGUUUAUUCUAGGCUGGAAAUCAUGGCAUAUAUUCAGGAAAGUGACUAAUUUCCCUCCGUUCUCUUUCAGGGUUCAAGAUUCCUCAUAAGUCAUUUUCAGGCCCCUUAUGGGGUAGUACUAAGCCAGUACCGCCACCACCACCACCGGCUCAAACCUGAAGACGGUUCUCAUUUGAUCGUUGCCCAAUCAACUAGUUGUUAGUGAUGAGCAAUCAUCUUCAAAAGGAGUACGUGUAAGGUUAUAUGGCAGGCCACAUGUUUCUUCAAUAAAAACAAUACAAGCCCUGCAUACACAACGAAGGUCAUGACCUCUUUUUUUGCAGUAUGUCAAGAUCAUAUAUACAUACUAGCUGCUCCUAAUAAUAUAUAUGAUGGUUCUAUGAUCAAAGUACAAUUAUUUUGCUAAAUUAUGUGUUCUAUGAUCUUUAUGUGCUUAUGUGGCAGACACCAUAGACAAAACUUUUGAGCUGCCGUGUCUCUUAGACAAAAGUUCAAUUGGUUAGCUGCAAACCACAACUUUGAGGUUUUCUUAGUACCCAGGCAAAAUGAAUUUGGGUCCCAGUAUGAGUACGACUAAUAGCCGCUGCCAUUAGCAAUGCCCAACAAAAAAACAUGUCCCUCAAUAAUUCAGAAAGAUCCAAUCUGAAGAUCAAAAGUAUUAUCCACUAGAGGAGAAUGCUGUGUGUCAGACAUGGCGCAAAGUCAACACUUCAAUAGAAAUGAUUUAUUAUGCUAUGAGAAAAAUGACCCCUGAAGAAAGAUGCACCGCAAAUUUGCCUAGAUUCUUCACAAAAAAAAAGAGCCUUACUAUCAAACAUAAGGGUCCAUUGUUCAUUUGGACUUGUGAGCCAAGUGCUCAUUUAAAACCCUCGCAAAAAAGGUGCUCAUUUAUAACCAUCAACUUUCAAAAAAUUGAAGUGGCAAAACUGGUCAUUUGACCCUUUCCCUAAAUAGAAUGGGGAUUUGACUAUUCGUACCAUCGAAAAGGUAAUAUAGGACAUAACUUGAGAAAAUGUACAUGCCUCGAUUCUUUUUAAUUGGGAAUGCAAUCUAAAUGAGCAAAUGUGCACAAGUUAGUCUACGUCUUCUUAGUCUGAUCCUACAGCUCCUGAGGGACCAACCUAAGAUCAAAUUAACCUAAUCUUAAGUUUUCUAAACAUUGAAUGCAAUAAUUGAGGUGCAAAAUCUAUUGUAGAUGUAACAUCUUUAUGUCCCGCCUGUUAGUUGUAAACCUUGUAAGUUCACAAGUUUUUAGAUUCUAUUAGGUUCCUCAGUGGCUAAGGAAAGUAGAGGAUUUUUAUCCUUCUAGGUAUUUAGGAGUAAGGGUUCAAAUUGGUUUUGGCCAGCUAGCAAGCUGUCCCCUAGCUGUAAAACAGCACUGUAGCAGGGCGGUUGCUGUAGCAACCGCCUUAGAGGGUCCUAUAAAAGGACAUGUACCCCUCCAAUGUAAAGAGAGCUCAGUUUUCCUAACUCCUACUUUAGAGAGCUCCUCAUUUGCUGCCUGAAUUUCCAACACUUGGUAUCAAGAGCCACGUUGGGCUGAUCCAUGGCUGCUGCAUCAGCUCCCGGAAGGCAACAGCGUGCUGGGCGAACGCCGUCUCCACGGCGUGAUCGAAGGGUAUCGCUGUCUCCACCAGCACGUCGCCAUCGAGGCCGCACCAUGGGUGGCCGCGAGGUGAUUCUGGAGAGGGUUGUGGAAAGAACAGCAGCAGCAGUGGUCUACCCCAUGUUGACCCGGACCAAUUACACGGAGUGGUCCUUGGUGAUGAAGGUUAACCUGCAGGCAGCAGGGCUAUGGGAGAUCAUCGAGACCGGUGAGGGGGAAUACCGGGAUGAUCGGGCUGCUUUGGCGGCAUUGCUUCGAGCGGUGCCGCAAGACAUGCACACCGGGCUGGCAACUAAAGAAACAGCCAAGGAGGCAUGGGAGGCGAUUAGGGAAGUGCGUGUUGGUGUUGAGCGGGUAAAGGAGGCUAAUGCGGAGCAGCUGAGGAGGGAGUUCAGUAAUCUCCGUUUCAAGCCCGGGGAGAGUGUUGAGGAGUUCUCACUCAGGCUCAACACGUUAGCACACCAGCUGCGAUCUCUAGGUGAUAUGGUGACAGAGAAGGAAGUUGUGAAGCUGCUGUUGCAUUCGGUGCCGGAGAGCUUGGAGCAGGUGGCGAUCUCUAUCGAGACGUUACUUGAUCUGAGUAAGAUCUCCAUUGAAGAAGCCACUGGUCGACUACGUGCUGUGGAGCAAAGGAAGAAGCCGGCGCCGGUGAGAGAUGAUGCCGGCCGCCUCCUCCUCACGGAGGAAGAGUGGCGGGUGCGUCUAAAUAACCAAGAAGCGCGUGGUAGCUCCAGCAGUGGUGGGCGUGGUGGCAGCAGCAGAGGAAGAGGUCGCGGGGGAGGUCGAGGCCGAGGCGACAGCCACGCAAGGUCGCACAAGGGGAAGGGCGAACCUAGCAACAAGUUCGGUCCAAAACCGGACGACGUUUGCAACCGCUGUGGCAAGAAAGGGCACUGGGCGAGGGAGUGCCGUCGAAGGGAGAAAGAGAAGGAAGCGGCGGCAGCGGCGAAUCUUGUCCAGGAGGAGGAAGAGGCGCUGCUGAUGGUGGCUGCCGCUGAAGAGGAGGUUGUAAGGGAUGUCCAGUUGAGAGAGGAGAAGGUGUUUGCCCAGCUGGAUGAAGGUGGUGUACGAGAUGUGAGGAGCUGGGUGCUGGACACCGGGGCGACGAACCACAUGUCUGGUUCUCGUGCAGCAUUUGCUGAACUUGACAUGAAUGUGGUCGGUUCUGUCCGCUUUGGUGACAGCUCUACAGCGAAGAUUGAAGGAUGUGGCACUAUUCUCUUUGUCUGCAAAACCGGUGAACACAAGAUCCUGUCUAAUGUGUACUACAUACCGCGUCUCACUACAAACAUUGUGAGCGUGGGUCAGUUGGAUGAGACUGGACAUGAGGUUGUGAUCAAGGAUGGAGUGAUGAAGGUGUGGGAUCCGAGUGGCGUGCUGCUGGCGCAUGCGCCUCGCAAGGGAAAUCGGUUGUUUGUGCUGGACAUUCCUGUCACACAGCCGGUGUGCUUGGCGUCGUGCACAGAAGAUGAGGCAUGGAGGUGGCAUGCAAGGUUCGGACACCUGAAUUUUCAGGCCUUGAGGACAUUGGCGCGCCGUGGAAUGGUGCGCGGGCUUCCAUUGCUGUCUCAUGUGAACCAGCUUUGUGAAGGGUGCAUGGCGGGGAAGCAGCGGCGGCUGUCUUUUCCGUAGAAGGCAGAAUUCAGGGCAGAGGAGGUGCUUGAUCUGGUCCAUGGUGAUUUGUGCGGGCCAUCUCUCCUCCAACUGCAGGUGGCAGCAAGUAUUUUCUGUUGAUGGUUGAUGAUAGGAGCAGAUUCAUGUGGGUGUCGAUUCUGCGCUCAAAGGACCAGGCAGCAGAUUCGGUUAAGCAAUUCAAGCUUGCAGCCGAGGCAGAAACAGGGAGAAAAUUGAGGAUGUUGCGCACAGACAGGGGAGGAGAAUUCACCUCUGUUGAAUUCAUGGAGUUCUGUGCGUUGGUCGGGAUGCAAAGGCAACUGACAGCGCCAUACUCGCCGCAGCAGAACGGUGUUGUGGAACGCCGGAAUGCGACAGUAGUGGCGACUACUCGAAGUUUGCUGAAGGCAAAGAAUUUGCCGAGGUGGCUGUGGGGAGAAGCAGUUGCAACGGCGGUGUAUUUGUUGAACAGAGCGCCGACGAAGGGUGUUGAGGGGAUGACACCUUAUGAGGCGUGGUGUGGGAAGAAGCCUGCAGUUCAUCACCUGCGGACUUUCGGAUGUGUGGUGUAUGUGAGGAACACUAGGCCGAAUCUGAAGAAAUUAGAGGACAGGGGGAGGCGGAUGGUGUUCAUCGGGUAUGAGAAGGGUUCUAAGGCCUAUCGUGCUUAUGAUCCUAUCUCUGGUCGAGUGCUCAUCACUCGGGAUGCUGUAUUUGAUGAAGGAGCCCAGUGGGAUUGGGCAGAAACAAGGGAAAAGGAAGCUGGUGGCAGUAGUGAUGGAAGUGGCAUCUUUACCAUUCUGUACCCAGUGGAGAGGAACAGGGAAUACAAAGAAAUUGGAAGAAGAGAGGAACCAGUGGUGCAGGGCGCAGCUGGAGGUGCAGAGCAGGAAGCGGAGCAGGGUACACCACAGCCGGAUCAAGGUAUACCACCGGCAGAAUUUGGGACACCACCGGCAGCACCAAAUUCCCCUGCUGCUGUUGUGUCACCUGCUCAAUUUGUGUCACCUCCUGGUGUUAUAGAUGAAGAGCAGCUGGAUGAUGAACAUACCGGUGACACACCUCUCCGUUUCCGAACUGUUGAUAACUUGCUUGGGCCAGCAAAUCCACCGGGUUAUGCUCAGCGAUUUCUAGAGGAUGUGGAGCUCCUGGCAGUUAGUGCUGAGGAACCUAUGUCUCUGACAGAAGCUCUGAAGCAUGAGUGCUGGAAAAAUGCAAUGGUUGAGGAGCUGACAACCAUUGAGGAGAACAAUACUUGGACAUUGACCAGUUUGCCGGUUGGGCGCAAGGCAAUUGGAUUGAAAUGGGUGUUCAAAGUAAAAAGGGAUGAGCAGGGAACAAUAGUAAGGCACAAAGCAAGGCUAGUGGUCAAGGGAUAUGCUCAGAGGGAGGGUGUUGAUUUUGAUGAAGUUUUUGCCCCUGUUGCAAGAAUGGAAGCUAUUAGACUGCUAAUUGCGUUGGCUGCUCAUCAACGUUGGGAAGUCCACCACAUGGAUGUAAAAUCUGCCUUCUUGAAUGGGGAUUCGAAGGAGGAGGUGUAUGUAGAACAACCCCCAGGUUUUUGGGAUGUCAACAAUCAGCACAAGGUAUAUAGGCUGCAUAAAGCUUUGUAUGGUUUACAUCAAACUCCUAGAACCUGGAACAUGAAGCUGGAUGAAAAUCUGAUUGUUUUGGGUUUUAAGAAGAGUCCAUCUGAACAUGCUAUCUACUGCAAGGGUGAUGGUGCUGACAGGUUAGUAGUGGGAGUAUAUGUUGAUGACCUUGUCAUUACAGGGACUAGCAACAAGAUCAUUCAGCAGUUCAAAGAGGAGAUGACACUCAGGUUUAAAAUGAGUGAUCUUGGCUUACUGCACUACUACCUGGGUAUAGAAGUGAAGCAGCAGGAACAGGGCAUUUCAUUGUGUCAAAAGGCUUAUGCAGGAAAAUUUUUGGAGAAGACAGGGAUGUCAGGCUGCAACUCAUGUCAGACUCCCAUGGUGACAAGGCUGAAGCUAAGCAAGAAAUGUACAAGUCCCCUAGUUGAUGCUACCAAAUACAGAAGUGCUGUGGGAAGCCUCAGGUAUUUGGUCCAUACUAGGCUAGAUAUUGCUUUUGUUGUGGGAUAUGUAAGUAGGUUUAUGGAGGAGCCUCAUGAGAAGCAUUGGAGUGCAGUAAAACAAAUUCUGAGAUAUGUGGCUGGUACUCAGGAUAUUGGGCUGUUCUAUGCAAGAGGAAGAGGGACUGAACCACUUCUAACUGGUUUCAGUGAUAGUGACUAUGCAGGAGAUGUGGAGGAUAGAAAAAGCACAUCUGGGAUAAUCUUCUUCUUGGGUGAUGGGGCCGUGUCAUGGCAGUCGGUGAAGCAAAAGGUAGUGGCAAACUCAAGCUGUGAAGCUGAAUACAUAGCUGCUGCUAAUGCAGCUUGUCAAGCUGUGUGGUUGGCAAGGAUACAAGCUGACAUCUUAGGUACUAAAGUGGAAAGGCCAUUACUGAGGAUUGACAACAAGUCUGCUAUCUCCCUUAUCAAAAAUUCUGUGCUGAAUGAUAGGAGUAAGCACAUUGAUGUGAAGUUUCAUGUGGUUAGAGAAUAUGCAGAGACAGGGCAAAUAGAUGUCAAGUUUAUUAGAACAGCUGAGCAGCUAGGUGACAUACUCACAAAGCCACUGGGAAGGGUCAAGUUUCAGGAGUUAAGAGACAAGAUUGGGAUACGUCAAGUAAAUUAACCAUACAAGGUUUAGGAGGAGAAUGUUAGUUGUAAACCUUAUAUGUUCACAAGUUUUUAGAUUCUAUUAGGUUCCUUAGUGGCUAAGGAAAGUAGAGGAUUUUUAUCCUUCUAGGUAUUUAGAAGUAAGGGUUCAAAUUGGUUUUGGCCUGCUGUUUACAGCUAGCAAGUUGUCCUCUAGCUGUAAAACAGCACUGUAGCAGGGCGGUUACUGUAGCAACUGCCUUAGAGGGUCCUACAAAAGGAUAUGUACCCCUCCAAUGUAAAGAGAGCUCAGUUUUCCUAACUCCUACUUUAGAGAGCUCCUCAUUUGCUGCCUGAGCAUAGUUGAACUGAAUUACAGAGGGUUAGCGUGACCUCAAUGUAUAGGUACAAUAUUUUAUACAAAUAAUUGCUAUUUUUUUCUAUAGUGUGACGUCUCAUAUGGGAUUAAAUAAACUGAAUUAUUGGCUGUCAGUAGGGGUGAAAUUGGAUACACAGUAUUCUGUCCAUCCCAUGACAUCUGCGCGGAAAAGUCACAUAGAUGUGUUGCUUAUGAUCUAACCCACAAUAGAUAUAUUAUUAUUAUUAGUUUCUCAAGAAAAAGAUAUAAUAUCCUCCUUGUAUUGCAAAAAUCAAAUAUACGGUCAGCAACACACAUGAUGAGCAAUAUCUGUAGUAGUAUCCAACAGGAUUUCUGAAAAUUUUCCAACAACCCACUAUGAUACAUGCAACUUUUUUCAUUUGCCAUCACUAAGAAUCUGUAGCUUGGCAUUUUCAUAGGUUAAAAUAUAUACUUUCAGAUUAAGAUAGGAUUCAGAUUCGUCAAAAUUUGCACUUUUACAUGCAUGUUUAGUUAGUCUACCGAGAAGCCCAUCCUGAAAGCGACACAAAAUGAAAAUAUUGCCUUAAACUAUUGUAGACUGCAUUCCCGUUUUCUAUAUGCACGCUGCUACCUGCUAACUAGCUAAGGGACACCUUCCCUAGUUCCCUGAUAUACAUUCUUUGCUCACGUUGGAGGACCAAGUCUGGAGUAUGAUUUAUAGUUGAAACAAUUCAGAAUAAUUCAUCAGCAAGUUUAUACCGGUUCAAAUUGGACAUGUAGUUUUGCAGUUUAGUGAAGUACGAACCUUGCUUCACAUUGAAGGCAUACACAGCAUACAUAUGGCACAAUCAAUAUUCAAUAGCACCUUCUCUAGUACAGGUUUGCAACAUUUUGUAGGUUCAAAUUUACAAGCCAGAAUCCUGGCAUGGGAAAUUAAGACAAUCCUAUAUUUUCCUAUCUGCAGAUGCAUAUGCUCACAUACUAGAUUAUUUUACUAUGGUUGAUAAUGACUUUUCUGGGACAAAAUAUUACAAGUUUUCUUUCACCUCGAAGGCUGAGAAUAUGGAGCUUCAAGAUCUUCGUCAACGAAAAACUAUUACAAAUUUCACAGAUUACUGACAUGGUAACACAUAACAAAAGGCAUUUCCUUUUGGCAAAGAUUAAAUGCUUCUAUCAAGACUGUUAAUCUAACAGGCAUUCUGUACCCAUUUUUUUAAGGUGCUAAAAUUACUUCAAACAACGAGGUCUUUCGACAAGACCUCCCUCUAAACGCAAACCAGGGCUAAAACACUAUCUCAUUACACUUGGACAUGGAGAGCCCCAGCUCCCAAAUGAUCGCGAUCUCCAAACAACACGACUAAUUAUCUCUAUCUCUUCCUCAACUUACCUGUUCCCUCACGACCCCUGAAGGACAGCCAUAUACAGUCUGGAAACGAGAAACAAGGGGUCUUUCCCCCCAAAAAAAGUAUCAACAUCUUAUCAAAUCUAAACAUCACUUCUUUCAUUCUGUCUUCUUUUUCUUGUUCUUUCUCAUCUUUCUAGCAAACUAUUGGUGCGAAAUUUCAGUUACAGAAGCACAGGCUGCAUUGCAGCGACCUGAUGGGCAACUGGAGCACGAGGACUCGAGGAGGAAAUGACAGGAUACACAACAUGGUGUUGCCAUUGCAGCAAUGAGUGGACACCAUUCCUCAGUAUUUUUUUCUUAGCCUGUGUUGCCUUGGAGUUCUUACAACUAACAUCAUCAACUAGAUAGUGGUGGAAAGUCACCACCGUCCUUGAGGCAGUAUAGCUGAGCAUUCCUGUAAAUUGUACAAUAUGGGGUCAGGCGGUCAGCCAUUGUAAACUCUCAAAACUGAGUGAAAAAGCUACAAGGUGAAUGCGGUAUGAGGUAAAAGGAGUGCAUUUUCAAGCUGAACUACCAUGCUUUCUACCUUAAAAACUGUAGACAAUGAAGAUUGCUGGGAAUAGUAGAUUGAUUAUAGGAGAUACAUGUGUACAAGUAGAUACAGGCAAUGAGCCCCUGGAUGACUUUCCGAAACAGGAUCAAUCAAGGGAUAAGCACGGCUUGGGGGCCGCUAUACCCAGGCGCACAGUCCUAAUACCCACAGUGCACAAACACAUGCUAACAAAAACAAGUGUUUAGAGUAAAUCAAAAGAAGGUUUUUAUAACAAGAAUAAUUGUAUGAAGGUAAAUCCAUGUCCCAUGGGUUUGAGAAAUGCACAUUAAUAUCCCCGAACAUGGUCUAAAUGUACAUACAUUAGUAACCUUACUGGAAAGCUAGUAAAUUUUGCCCAAACACAUCUGAAGAGCCUCAUCCAAAUCCAAGGAUGCUAAUUCUUUGUAGAUUUUACAUGGAAAUAAUAAUGUGGUAAAUGGUGAUUUAUAUUGCCAAGCAUUAUUUUCAAAUAUCAAUUGAAUAGUACCUAGCCCAAUUAUGCAAGUUGGGGGGUUUUUUUUUUUGGGGGGGGGGGGGUGCGCAUGGCCAGUUCUCAGGAGGCCCCAAGCCCCCAAGUUUCUAGGCCUAUGAGCCCCAUGCCUGCUGCAAAAAACACGUAACAUAUUCGAAACAAGUGAGGUAAUUAUUAUCAAUUAUUUUAGUUGCUAAUACCAACAACAAUUAUUGGACAUGUAAUUUAGUGCCCAUUUCCAUGAUACAACAAUGAGAAGUUUUAGCUCUUUGUUAGUUUUUAGUGCCCAUUUCCAUGUUACAACAAUAAGAAGUUUUAGCUCUUUGUUUGAUGGUGUUUCUGCAAAGAUAUUUAGAUGGUUUUGUGAUGUUCACUGCUGGGCAUUAAUAUUUGGUGUAAAUUACAACCUGGGCCCUAAACUUUUGAGCAUGUUUUACUGAGGUACAGCACUCUUCAAUGUGCUACUCUAGCUCCCAACUGCAGUGGCACAUUGCUGCGCUGCUGCAGCAAAGAUUGUUGGAGGCAGAAUCUGAUCUGCUAGCUUGGUCUUUGUGGGUAACUUCCAAAUGCAAUGCCCGCAAGGUCCCAUUUUCAUGUUUAUUGUCUUGCGGGGGCAUGAAACCAUUGCCAUGAAAAUUAUCCCUUCAAACCUGGGAAGAUGGGGAAUGAGCUGGUACCUUCAAUGGAUCCCUUGCAUAGGCUGGGAAGAUGGAGCUGGUAUUGCAUACUCAUUGGAGAUGGUAUUCCAUGAUCAUUUGCACCAGGAAUAUAUAUCUGCAGUGGUAGCUCAUGUCACAAUUCCUGAACACGUACCAUAUCUACAGGCAUAUCUGUUCUGACAUGGUGAUGAAACUUCUAAUUAUUCGAAACAAAAUGAUUCCUUCCCCUCUCCCCACGUCCAACAGGUGGCCUAUCCUUGCGCAGAUUCUACAACAUCCAACAACGCAUACAAAAUUAGCAGAUACAAGAUAAAUUGUCAUAAAAUACAAAAUUGAUACCUAACCUAGCAGAAAUAAUGCUAUCUGCAGUAAACACAUAACUAUAAUGGGAACAUCUUCUAGGUUAUUCAUAAAAAGAAUAGUAACUUCAAAAACAUAACAAAUAAAUUACAAGAACAUUAGCAUGUGUAUUCACAUGUACACAAUGCGGAACAAGAACAUAUUACAAAUGAGGAAGUGACAGAUAGAGCUUAUUCAAAAGUGUUGUUUUAAGUUUUACAAGCAUAAAAAAAAUGUCAAAGGGAACAUACCGGGUCAGGAAAGUAGGUGCCUGUUCCACGGCCCCUCAUAGCCAUAUGAUCAUCUGUUUGAUAAAAUGGCCUCCAUACAAGAUAGCUAUGUGGAUAAGGAGGACUAGGGAUCGCCCCAUUCAUACCAGCAUAUCCAUAUGGUUUUUUUCUCCCACAACCAUUUGAAGGGCGCAUGUUCUGAUAUUGUGGGGGUGAUGGAGCAAUCAUUGGAUAGUAAAACUGAUUUACUGGAAUAUCUUGCUGGAAUGCUUGUGCAUACAUGAGAUUAUGGAAAUUUGUAUUGAAAUCACCAGUGAGAUCUGAAACUUCUGUGGUGGUACAACGAAGUUGUGAAUUUUCAGGUGUAAACAUUGAAUUCAAUGUGGCCAGACCACCAACUAAACCAGCAGAAGAGUAAGCAUUAUGCUCAAGGGAAAGGGAUGGUGAAAAGCGUCCUAAAAACUCAUUGUGAUAUUUAGUAUCUUCAAAAGAGUGGUGAGAUCUGUCUGUAAAAUGCUUUGUUGGCAUCCCAUUGUGUGGCAAGUCUGUGUCAUCUCUAACAUCAUCCUUCUUACCACCUUCUGAUUGGUAAAAUUGAUGUGGCGCACAACAUCUCCCAGAUGCCAAGGUACAGGUUUCCCUAGCUGUUGGUGAAGCUUCAUAAAGGUCACCACCAUUCCUCACACUUCCUGAAUCAGUAGUUGUAUGAUCUGUGGCAUCACUAUCUAGCAACCCACUAGAAACAGACUUUAUCUCCUUGUGCCCAGCCAUAGAGUUACAUUGUUUUUGCUCUACUAAGCCAUGAUUGUUAGAAUCUGAAAUAUCAAUGUUACUAAACUGCGAAGACAGAUCACCAUAGGAAUUGCUAUAUAAAGGUGAACUGCGCUUGUUGACUUUUUCUACAUUCAAGCCCAGUGACAAGGAAUCAUUGGUAGCAUGAUCAGUAAUUAGACCAUCAUCAGAAGAGCUCACUGAAAUAUCAGGUCUUAACCCAGUACAAUUUCUCUUUAAUGUGUUCCUGAAAAACUGAUUUACUUCAAUAACAGUAGAACAUACAGGAACUUGAAGAAUCUUCCCAAGCUUACGAGCACCAAAAUCAAAUGCACUGCGUAUUCGGUAAAAGUUUCCUGUGCAUGGAAUAGUACAAUUAAGCCAGAAUUCCUUUAGGGGAUCAAAUACCCGAUUAGGUCCUGCUACCAUAGUUCAGAUCUAGAGGCAGGAAACAAACCUUUGCUGACGCUGCGUCCAAGAUUGUUAUUCUGCUUCAGUGGAUCAACAAUAUUUAGAUAUUUUCGAGAGAAUACUUGUGCAUCUUUCUCAGAAUUUUUAGGGGAGACAGUAAAUGCCUCCGCACAUUCUCUGAGAAACUCAUCCCGUGGAAGAAAACCGUCGUCAUGAGUAUCUGGUGGGUCGGCUGUUCAACAAAAGCCAUGUCAAUGACCAAUAAUUUCAGUCACAAAUGACCAUAACAUACCGCACAAUUAAGAGUUCAUUCACUUACUAAUUAGAUCUGGUAGUGAAGAUAACGAAAUAGGGCCAAACAAGCUGAUUCCUUUAUUAUCCCAAUCAAAUUUGCUAUAGUAGUCAAGGAACCUAUAGAGGACCUGCAGAAGGGCCUACAGUCAUCUCACUUCUGGGAAGUUAUGUAUCCUGAAGAACUUUGAUAAGGUGAUGAAAAAACUUAUACAUGCAACAGCAAAAUUUAUGCCAAAACUUACAGCUAAUGGACCAUCCAGAGACUUGUGGAAGAUAUGGAAAAUGUAUAGCACUAAUGUCUCUAAGGCAUAGGUAGAAAUUAAACCAUGGGGAGCCCCAAGAAUGCGGCUUUCAUAAUAACACCAGUCUUUGAUCAGCAUUAUGCUUCUUUUGAAGAGGUGGUGUUUUCCAAAAUUUUGAUCAACCUACAAAUGAAAUAGUUAUCAAUGAGCUUAACAAUGAAGUCAGGCAUAAGUAACUCUAAAAGAGGCAGUAAUCCUCAUAAGUCCAACGUCAAGUGGCAAGAUGAGAUAAGAUGCUUUUAUGUUUGAAAGAGUACCAGAUCUGAGGUUUAAGGAAAGACAGCAGAAUGGACCAAGCAACAUUUGAAAUAUUACCUUCUCAAGAAAACAAAGUGUACAGAGCCCACCAAUCUGAUUAACUGAGAUAUCUACAACAAUGUUUUGCACCAAGCAUUUCACCAGCUUGACCUGCCAUUGGGAAUAUCUAUCAUUGAAUAACAACAUGUGAAACAAAAUACUUACCUAUAGUAAUAUCGGUACAUUCAUAUGUUCCAUUGAUAUUAUAGGCAAGAUGCAGGGAGUUGCAUUCAAAUACACAGAAACAAGAAAUUCCCACUUUUUUUACAUGAUGUAAAAAUGAGUGCUGCCAUAUCGAGUGCAGGAAUUAUGUUAUGUUAAUUAGACAAGUGGUGUAUAUAUGAAACAAACACCUCCAUUGAAGUGAAAAAUCUCAAAGAUGGUAUGUUGAUGUUUGACCUCAAAUUCCGUAUAUAUAUUCAAAACAAAGAGCAAUAAGGUAAAUUGAAAUACCUCGGUGGCAUGGAUAUACAGGACAUCUUUGACCUCAAAUUCAGAAUCUUUCCUCCGCCCUUCUGAUUUUAGAAUAGCACAUACUUCAUUUGCAAGAGUCUCAUCAGAAAUCGCAGGGCCGAAUGCAGUCAAGUCAAUAUCUCCGUCAGGUAGAUAUGUUUUCAAUGGAACAGAUCCAAAUGGAAAGACCUAUGUACAAGAAUAAAAGGUUAAGUAUGCAGUACACUGCCUCUUAGGUGGCACUGAUAUUUAAGACAGUACGAGAGCAACAGAAACCUUGGUAAAAUAGCGAUAUCACACUCAGGCGCAGAGGCGGACCCUAAUGGAGGCCAAACUGGGCUCCGGCCCCUGCUUGCCUUAGAAAAUUUCUGAAGAUGAGACUAGCAUUUGGCCACCAACACUAGAACUUUAUAGCUUAACUAUUGCCUCAACAGAUAGCAGACUAGUAUUUGGCCCUCCCUUGAUUUUGCCUUGUGUUCCGCCACUGCUCAGGCGCAGUACAAAAGUGCCAAUACUAGCUAAAUUUGUACUCCCUCCGUCCCAAAAUAAGUGUAGUUUUAGGAGUUGGGCACGAGAAUUAAGGAGGGAUAAAAAAGUAGAGAGUGCACAUGAAACGAGGAGGGGUAGAGGAGGAGAGAGAUAGAGAUAGAGUUGCAUUGGAAAGCGAGAACUACACUUAUUUUGGGACAAAUUUUGAAUCCUCAAACUACACUUAUUUUGGGACGGAGGGAGUACAUGUGAAAUGCCAUCCAAUAGAAGCAAACAAGCAAUGCAUUGGCACGCACCUUAAUGGCUUUCUUAUUUCAUUAAAUAAUUAAACUUGUCCCUAUAAGCCUUGUAGCCAAUUUAUCUCAAGUUAUGACAUGUUUGCCAGAUCUCAUGAACACACUUAUAUGAACAACAAUCCAAAAUAAUCUCAGUAACCACAGCCAAGUCAAAGACUUGAUUCAAGUCUUAAUGUCUUACAUUACAUAAUCCUAGAUUUAUUUACCGAGUGACUACUAGGUAGACCUUGAUUUGAUCCAAUCAUCACAUUUCUAUAAUUGUAGCAGAAGUUUGGUAGAACCACCAUGGUGAUUUACAUAUGAUCCUUGCCCAAUUCAACCAAUCCUAAUUCCUAGCAAACAAUUAUGAGUAAUUAUGUACAAAUGUCAUUUUACUCGCAAAGUUUCACCUUUUAGUCAUUCACAUAUUCAACUAAUUUAUAGGCAACAAAAGAUCAUUCAUUUGUACUACAUUUUACAUGCUUCUAAUGCACAAUUUAACAAAUGCAUGAUUAAUGAAAUACAUGUGUAUUUUAAAUAGAAUCAGGUAGGUAUGAUCUUAAAUUCUAUGGUUCAAUCCUACAGUUACAUCCUAACAGAUCAUUUCUAGUUGAAUACAAGAUGUUCUGGCUUGAUUGGGGCAUAACAAAAAAAAAACAGUUGUUCCUUCUAAGGUAACAUGAGCAAUGUGUGAAGGGACACAUCAUAAAAAAGACACUAAGACAAACGAUAUACCCAGCCCUCCAAUCCACGAUCAACAAUUUAAGCGUAUUUAAUAUGGUACACUGACACAUGUCAACCGCAAAUUCACGCUCCCAUUAAAAGGUCCUCCCCGCCAAAUCAUGAGGAGACUCAAAUACGCAACCGACAAAGUACAUGAAUAUGAUUGUGCAUUUCUGUUCAUUCCGAUAAACAGUUGACACCCUAAGGACCAAGUGGCAAAACGACAAGGAUUUCAAAAACAAGAACUUGUAUCUAUACCGUUCGCUGCAAUAGUUAGGGCUAGGAAACUCACAUGCUAGCUAUUACAGUACAUCUAAAUGGAAUCACGAGCAUGGUAACUAAAAACUCUGCAGCAGGAAUACACCCAACACGUUUAUCCAAAAUGUGAAAAAUCCACUGAUACACUAAUGAUUCAUGCUUAGCACCCAAAAGCCAUCGGCAUAAUCUGAAGAAUGUAAUGGUUCGUAGCGCAACAGGCACUGAUAAAAAAAACUACGUGUUUCACCCAUGUUAUUGAUGCAUAAAGCCCGAGCCUUUAAGCUGUAGAACACUAAUAGUGAACAACAAUCGUAGGCUCGUAGCAGGGGAGGUAAGCUGAGUACCUGAUAUCCGGCGUGGAAUCUGAAAAGGCGCUGGACGUAGUCGAUUACGGCGGCACGGAGGUUCUCGGAGGAGACGGUGGGCUGGAUCUUGUGCACCACAGAGAGCGUGGCGCUCUCGAAGCGCCGCCAGUCAUCCGGAGAGAUCGACGCGGGGUCCGGGUGUGCCGGCGCGGGCUCGGGCACCGACGAGCACUCGUCGAUGUCCACCAUGGGCGCCGGAGCCCGAAGCCCCGCACGAGAACCUCUUCCUCAGUGCUAAAGGAGACGGCUUGAGGCGAUGCCGAAAACGGCGACAACCGAAGGACCUUAUGUUGGGGAGCGGGGCUGCGGGGCCUCCCUCGCGGGAAGGAGGGAGGCGAUCGGUGCGAGUGGGGUCGCGAUCUGGGCGCCGCCGGCGAGGAGGGAAUAGGGAGGUGCAGGAUCGGGACCUCCCUCGUCAGUUUUUUCCUUCCCCGCUCUCUAAGGUUGCGUUGCUUGUCUCUCUUUCUUGUAUGUUGUCUCCUCUUCUCCUGCAGUCUUGGUCUUGCUAUGUCUGCGCGCGACUUUCUUUUUCGGGGUUUUGGUUCCUCGCGCUCAAUCUGCCCCACCAGUAGGAAGAAGAUGAUGAACGAAGAUGAGGAGGCUUCAAGGCACGAUUUCCUUUUUCUUUUUUCCCUGCAUCAAUUUGGCGGCUUCACUUUCUUAUACUAGCGUAGCAUUCGCAUGGACUGCAUCUUGCGAUGUUGGGUUUGCACAUUUGUCGCCGAGCUUGCUUGCAUCACGGAUUGAACAAGACAAAUCUUGAUUGCCUUGGGAAUGGUCAGUUGGGGAUGUCGCUCUGACAACACAUGGGAUGGGAGGCCCUCAUCAACAGUCAGCGCUAUUCCUCGGAGGAAGAUGUCAAAGCAAUUUGCUCUAGAUUUCGACACACGUGAACGAUCGGAUGAUGGAACACGCUAGAGAAGCGGCGUUGCGCCCAUAGAAAUUGAAAUGGUACUUCUCUUUCCAGGAUGAUCUUGAACGCUUAAGCAGAAUAUAUAAUGGUACCUUUUACAAGUUGGUAAAAUCAAUUUUGUGUAUACCUGUUGAAAAUAAAUAUAGAGGUAGAUAAUUUUGCGGUUGCUGCUGAUGACAAGACGGAGGCGGCAGCUCGAGGGCCACACGGCAACAGGGGUGGAGGUCAGAGGUGCGUGCCCAUCAAGAUAAAGGGCCUGUUUGGUAUCCUGCCUAAGACGCCACAACUUGCCUAACCUUAGUCGUCCAAAUUGAAGAACUAACCUUAGGAAGAAAAGUUAGGCAAACUGUGGCACCUUAGGCAGGAUACCAAACAGGCCUAAACUCUUUCAUGCUUAUCAUCAUUUCGUUACUUGUUUCCUCAUUCAUACGACCAUGUUGAUCAAUGGUUGAGAAGCCAAGAAAUUGAGUGCAAGGCCUUGAUAAAUCUGUACAAGUAGCAGUUGCCUCAAGCACUGAAUGCUGAUGACGAUUUGAAGAGGAUUGCACAUGACAUCUAAAUUCAAGGGCGAUAUAAAACCGUUUCAUCAGUACUAUAAAGAAACUAGUAAAAGAUGGCCGCUGGCCGGAAACCAGGAAAAGGAUAAAGGCAUACUAAGUUUGCGGGUCCUUGAAGCCACGAUGUGAUGCUAUUCAUCAUAUUGGAGCCCUAGCAAGAGAGCUGUGGAAGCAAAGGAAGUCCCAGGUAGAACAAAGUAUUAUAUCAGCCGACCAAAAGAAAAUGGUUGCCAAAGCAUCCAUGUAGCUAUCAAUGUACCAAGUGAACCGUAAUGGAGAUAAAUAUACGCACCAAAGAGAUGGAUAUUGAAAUGAACCGGAUUUCCAUGUCAAGAAUCCGACUUUCUGUAUCAUUGCGAUAGUCCCUGGAUCAAACGCUACUACAUACAGAACUCAUUUCAGGCAUAAUAUCAUAGUCAUACUUCGUAUAAGGUCAAAUAUGAAUUUAGUUAUUACAUAUUCGAGCUGGAAUGUAGUACGAUCCUAUUACAAGCCUCUUAGGCUGAAUCUAGCAAACAGAAAGCGGGAAACGGUAUAUAGGCUUCUGGCUCAUCCUUCAUCUUCUGGAAUUUCCACCACAGGCAAACUCGAGCAUAGCACGGGCUUCAGUCGUACCAUCCGUCGUCGUUGGGGUCGAAUUCCGGAUCAGAUCCUGCAUCAUAUUAGGCUAUCCCCAAGGAAUGGGAUAGGUCCACGUCAGCAUCCGUAUGCAAGCUUUAAGGUGGACUAUACUAAAGGUGUAACAAAAUUCAAGGAGAAAAACUGAUGUUUCCUAUGCAAGAGCAACAUCAAGAUAUAUCAUCAUCCAACCUUUGAACUCGGGCCAUUUCGGCAUUCCGAACUUUCGGUCCAAUACACACCUUCCAAACCCACCAAGUCGGUGCGAGAACUUUCACUCCUCGCACCUCAGCUGUCCAGGCAGAAAGUCACCACUAGAGGGAGGUAGAAACAUGAGCGACACUACUCUAAUAAGAGCAACAUAAGAGUAGGGUUAUCCAUGACCGAGGACGCGGCUAUACGUAUAGUUUUCACUGGGUUGUACACCUGGACCCACUCAAAUUGAAGCCAGCCGGGGAUCAGCCAACUGGACGACGAGACAUCAGUCUACUGAAACAGGACUAGGAGCCACCGUACCAUCCGACCUUCCCGGGUCUUGGGCGCAUCCUCCCACGAGAGGUCACCCCAGGAUUGUGAAGCCUCCAUUGCGUCUCGGGGAGCGCCUCGGGGAACGUCAGGUCAGUACCUCCUCCCCCUGCACCGAUACUCGAUCCUCCUACCGGCUUGGUACCGCACAUACUAGUCCCGGACCGGGCCCACCCGCAUAAUGGGUAAGUGGUGUGCACGCUUAACAUAGUCCCACAAAUCAUAGUUACUCUCAUCCGGUCCUCAAUUACCGAAGCGAGCAUCUUCGUCACAUGCGUUUCCACCGCCGUGGUACACAAUUGCACCCAUUACAGGUGCCCCCAACUCCUCAACCAAGUAACCACAAAGUUGUACCCGCCACAGGUAUUCCGUAGGGUGUGCCAAAAUACACACCGUAAGCCCGAGAUCGAGUUAAGUUCGCUCGCUCCCAGCUAAAAAGCCCUAUACACCAACUCCUCAGAAGUGUAUCUCCACUCACGCAAAGACUAUCCAUCCAAUCCCACACAAACACAUGCAACGCAUAGCAGGGCAUCUCAUAUUUAUCAAUUUUAUAGGAUAGCAAGAAAUUCAGGUAAAUAAAAUAGGCUACACCGGCUCAUCUCAACAUAAUAUAUUCGGAAGCAAUAGCAUGUCUAGCAAGAAAUGCCUAAUUGGUAUUCAAGUUGAAGGACCUCCGGGUAGUCCUGGCCAUCGGUCAGCUCCUUGUAGACGGGUCCUAUUCGUAAAUACAUGUAAGGGCAAGAAUCAAAGUGCAAAAGUGCACAAUAAGUAUUCAAAUAAGGUUCAAAUCACAGCAAAACUUACUCUAACGGGUAGAUCAUAUUUUUAGAAAACUUACGAAACUGGUUUCAUAUUUUUCAUAGGUCGGAUUGAUUUAUUAUCAAUUUUUAAGAAAAAACUAUUUCUGAAACUAAUAAAUGAUUACAGGAAAAAGAAAAAUCACUCAGCAAGGUCACGUGGCAGCACCGGAGCGUACCACGUGGCAUGCUAACAUCAGCAUGGUGUCACUGUGGUCGGUCCUGCUGACGUCAGCAGUGGGCCCUGCUGACGUCAGCGUUGCCCAGUCAAUGCUGACCGUUCACCGGGUCAACGGGUCAAAGGUCAGUGGGACCCUGGUCAGCCUCACCCCGAGGCUGACAGGUAGGGCCCUCAGGUUAGGUCGAGUAGAAAGGGAAAGAGAGAGACACGGCUCGAUUCUGAAGCUCAAAGGUGUUGGGCCGGCUCAGUCGGCCCAACAAGGCUCGGCUUGGCUUCACGGGUCGGCUCAAGGUGUUAGCAGGCUCGCUCUACUUGCGGCUUGGCGGGCCAGCUCCUUAGCCCGUUAGCUCCGGGUCUUCUCCUUCUUCUCCCACCGACAAGCUAGGUCCACGCGUCGGUGUCUUCUCUUCCAUCUUGCAGUUAGGGCUCGGGUGUCGGCCUCAAGGCGGAUCUGGUGCGGCUAUGCUCCGAUCCGGUGUGGCAACUAUGCGUGCGUGCGUGUGCAGUGGAGGGUGUGCGCGUGUGGACGCACAUGAGGCGCUCGACGAAAUGCCGUAGUGGUGCCCGCGUGCGCCACGACGCAGCGUCGCAGGGACGUGUGCGGUCACUAUGGCCGUGGCGUGGCCAUGGCGCGACGGCGGCGGCUUGGUGAAUGGGCGGCUAGGUAAAAAGGCUCGUCCUUGGCCGUCGGUUUGGGCGUGCGCGCACGCGCGCGGGUUCCUGGCAUCCCAAGGCCGCGGCACGACAUGGCGCCAAGGUGAGGCGGCGGUGGCUGCGGGGUGUAGAGGCAGCGCGACGGGCUCCUGUAGGUGUGGCAACCAAGGGGGGUAGGGUCCUAGGGCUCUUCUACAGAGGUCUCAUCGACGGCGCCGGCAGCACUAGGUUGACGGGAUAGGGCGGUGACCUACCGGCGGCUCGAGUGACGACGGCUUGGGACGGCGGAGAGGCGAGGCAGGCGGGUCGUGGCCAUACAGGAUGUGCAGCUUCAUCGAUGGAGUUGAUCGGGCGCAGGCCUGGUGAAGCUCCGGUGGCGUGGCGUCCUCUGGUGGCGGCUCCUCGUCCUCCCUCUCCUUCUAUUGGUGUGGCGGCGGCGGAAGGGGAAAACUACAAGGGAGCGAGGGUUUCGAGCGGCGGCCGAGGGGGAUUUAUAGGGUAGCGCUAGGGUUUGGGUAUGGCUGUGGCCGGCGGAUUUCAGCGUCUGGGCCGGGACGCGUGGCGGCAUCGCGGCGAUGCGGCACUAGGGUUUGGGCACGGGCGGUUACGCUCCUUUAGCGGCUAGCGCGCAUGGUGCGGGCGUUGCUGUUGCGUAGCGGGGUAGGCGCGGCGCGAGGCAGGGCGAGGCGAGAGACAAGGCGGCGUCGAGUGGGGAGGGAUAAAGCUGACAUGCGGGGUCCACAUGUCAGUGGCUCGGUGGAAGGCAGGGUUAGGGGAGCGGUGCUGGGCCGCGCGGACCAGGCUGAGUUGGGCCGCUGGGCCGCGCGUGGGAUGCAGGUCGUGGCGGUCAGCUGGGCUCGGCCUGAGGCUAGGUCAGGUUCCUAGGCCGGGUUUUGUUAGAGUUAGGGUUUUGAAAUUGAAUUUGGAGGGUACACUUCAAAUUCAACUUCCACACAAAUUCAAUCAAUCAAAUAAAAUCCAAAUAAAGCCAAAUUCAAUAAGAACCAAACAUUUCACGCUAACAAAUAUAUCCUUAGGGUGGAUAGAUUUUUUUAAACUACUAGGAAUUUGCAGAGAGAGAAGGCAUUCUUAUGGUGAAUUCUAGCUAGUAGCAUGACCAUGAAAUUUUUUUUGAAAAUUGCACUUUUCGACAUACAACAUUUCGUGAAAAUAACGGGAUGUUACAAAUAUAUUAUUAGGUUUUCUGUUGGUGGAGACAUCUCUCUACAAAUUCAAGAUGCUCUUACUGCUUUGGAAAGGUUUUGAAACUUAGCUUCUGACAGUAAUAUGUGCUCUUCCUCUAACAAGGGCUAGAAAACUAUACGCUAUGCUGAAGUCGUAUUAUUUUGGCAUUGCUUACGACCAGCAUUCCUUGUUAUGUUGUCCAGGCUAAAAGACUCAAGGCUAUUAUGUUGGCUGCAGCAGGGUUAGCAGCUCUGAGCCUACGGCCGGCCUACCUGAUCUACCAGAUAGAGAUCGGGCAGUUGGCAACUACAAGAACCCGGCUUUCAGAGAUGGUAGAAUCAGCAUCCGAUCCAGGAGCUUACUCAGGUGAUGGAGGAUCUAGGUGCCGGGGGUGAAGACACAACGGGAGCUCAUGCAUCAUCUUGAUGCUAACUGCAGUGACGGCUCCUUCAACUCCGAUCAAUAUGUAUCAUUCCAGAGGCAGGAAACUUUAAGUUAUAUGUGGCAUUGAUCAUUUCAGUACAUAAUUGUGAAAAUGGCCUUCAGGAAGGAAUCGAAAUUUUUGAUAUCCUUUACACGCCUUUCCUUAUCAGAUUGGACUGAUAGGGAUCUUGGAGGACAAGGAUGAUUACUACGGGAAGAAAUUGAAGAAGAAGCUGCACUCUAUCGAUAUUGACAACUCUACUGCUACGAGCGCUUCUAAAAAGGAUGUUACAGAUAGAUGCUGAUAUUGACACGUACCACUGAAUAAAUAACGUCUUUAACUUAUGAGAUAAAUCUAAAAAGAAAUAUGAGCUCUAAUUUUGAGUUAAGGAAAAUUUGAAUGAGCAGGUUCCACUAAAAAACAACAAACUGAACUACGUGUUAAUUCAUCGAAAGCGCUGCUACCAAAGUUUAAUAAAGAAUCCACAUAAACCUAUGUCAUAUUUCUGAUACUGGUGUGAACUACUACUGGGUAGUCUCCAACGUGCCACCACCGCCGCUACUGCACGUCAAACCUGAUCUAUUAGUCGUCUCUUCUAUUUGCAUUUGAGACAUCCCUUUUGUGGAAUUCGAAUAUAUUAUUAUAGUUCUUUUAUUUGUCCAAAAAGAGUAGAAAAAAGAUACAUAUCCUAUCAUAUUUUUAUAAAAUCAAUUUUAGUAUUAUAAUAUAAUAAUAUAUCUGUAUAGAAAUUAAAAUAGGCCAAUGAACGUACAGCCCAUCAGCCCAUUACGAUACAACUAUAAUGGACCUACAGCCCAUCAGCCCACCAGCAGUGCAAACAGCAAGCCCAUGCGAUCGUCGGCGACUGCUGACUCGUACACUCCGGCCGCCGUCCUCCGCCUCCUUCGCCGCCUCCCCCGCCGGAGGCCUACCUCCACCGCUGCCGGCCGCCAACUCCAUGCUCUCGUCGCCAAACUAGGCCUCCUCUACCACCCUGCCUUCCUCAGCGCUAUCCUCUCCACCUCCCGGCCACCUCCCCGUCGUCCCUCUCCCUCCUCCUCGCUUCGCCUCCGUGCAUCCUCUCCCCGUCCCUCUUCUGCCCUCUCAUCACCGCAUUCUCCUCUUGUCCCAUCCCGUCCUCCUCGCUGGUCCUCUUCAACCACGUCUCCUCCGUUUCCCUCCCCACCCCGCUCCCCGCCUUCCCUGCCCUCCUCAAAUCAUGCGCUCGCGCUUUCAAGCUCAGCUCUCGCGCCAGCGCCGCCGCGGUCUUUGCUGCCAAGGGUGCCGAGCUGCAUUGCCGCCUAUUGAAGCUGGGCGGCGAGCAAGACCGCUACGUGCAAAACGGCCUCGUGUCCAUGUAUGGAAAGUUCGGGCGGCUCGGGGACGCGCGGAGGUUGUUCGAUGAAAUGCCGAUUAAGAAUGCCGUGUCUUGGAACGCUCUGGUGGGGGCUCAUGGUGCGUCUGGGGACUUGCAGGGCGCGGCGCGCGUCUCCCUGGCGACGCCAGCAAGGAACAUAUCGUGGUGGAACACCGAGAUCAUGCGAAAUGUGAGGCUCUGGGAUAUGGCUGAGGCUGCGAGGAUUUUCAGGGAGAUGCCUGAGAGGGAUGCUGUGUCCUGGAACUCCAUGAUUGGGGGCUAUGCAAAGCUCGGGAUGUAUGACCGGGCAUUAGAUGUUUUUCGAGAGAUGCAGGAGAAUGGUAUGGAACCAACAGAGCUGACGGUUGUGUCGGUGCUUGGGUCUUGUGCAGAGAUGGGAGAGCUAGAGCUGGGGAGGAGAAUCCACAAUUACCUUGAGAGCAAGGGCAUUGCAGCCGAUGGAUAUGUUGGCAAUGCACUCAUCGAUAUGUAUGCAAAAUGUGGCAACUUGAAGCUUGCCAGACAGGUCUUUUGACAGCAUGUCAAUCAGGGAUCUUACAUGCUGGAACGCGAUGAUUGUUGGGUUGUCAGUCCAUGGCCAAUCACUUGAUGCCCUGGAGCUGUUUGACUCUAUGAAGAUUGAGCCUGACCAUAUCACUUUUGUUGGUGUUCUGUCUGCUUGCAGCCAUAGUGGCCUGGUGAACGAGGGGAGAGCAUAUUUUAACAGCAUGACUGAAGACUAUAAAAUUGUGCCCAGUGUGAAACAUUAUGGCUGUAUGAUAGAUAUGCUGUGCCGCCACGUUAAAGUGCAUGAAGCUUAUCGAAUGAUCAAGGAUACACCGAUCCAGGCGAAUUCCAUGCUUUGGAAGAUGGUUGUGGCUGCGUGCAGAGUGCACGGGCAGUUUGACCUUGCUAGCAAAGCUUUUCGCGAACAGCAGCAGUUGAUGCCAGAUGCUAUCACAGUAUCAAAUGUUUAUGCAGAAGCAGAACGAUGGGAUGAUGUUGAACAUCUGAGAAGGAAGGUGAUAGGAUGCAAUGUUUCAGAGCAUGCCGCAUGGAGUCAAGUCCAUGUAAGAUAGCCAGCCGAAAUAAAUGUUGCAAACUGCACGGUGUAGUGAUCAGAUUCAGUUGCAGGAGCCUCUUGGGUUUUAUUGGCGGAAGAUUGUAGCUCAUCAAUUUGUGCUCCUAGUAAAAUGGUAAGAAUGUGGCAUCUGAAUUAAUUCUUGACUUCCAUUCCACCAGCGCACUAGUAGUGUACGCAAUGCAGGAGAUGGAAAAUAAUGGGGCUAGCGAAAGUAACAUGGAUCUUGGAAGCAUGUAUAGAAUGGUAUGGUCUGAAAACAAACUCAGAAAGAUGUGAUGAUUACGUACUGGUAUCUACGCGUGGUUGAUGCAUCCAAUCCGUGUGCGUCUGAUCUUCCUUGUUGCAUGCAUUGAUGUCUGGCAGGAUGCAGAUGCGUAUAUAUAUAUUGUCGCAGCACCCCACACCACCAAAUAGAAACCACUCUAGCGAUCGACCGAGUUGCACGCAGGCAGUUGCAAAUAUAUGCAUAUGGCUCGCCCUGCAGGCAAGCAGCAGCAGCAGCUCGCCGUCGUCGUGGUGGCGGUGGCGCUGCUGCUGCUGCUGAUGGCGGCGCCGUCGGUGAUCAACGCCCGCGUGACGUGCGGGCAGGUGCUGAGUUGCGUGACCCCGUGCAUCAGCUACGCCAUGGGGCGGGGCAGCGAGCCCCCGCCGGCCUGCUGCUCCGGCGUGAGCAACCUGAACGCGGCCGCCAACAACACCGCCGACCGGCAGGCCACCUGCAAGUGCCUGAAGCAGAUCACCAGCACCAUGCCGGCGCUCAAGCCCGACAUCGUCGCCGGCAUCCCCAGCAAGUGCGGCGUCGACAUCCCAUACCCCAUCGCAAGCUCAACAGACUGCUCCAAGUAACUACUGCGAUUACUAUAUAUAUAUAUAUGCGUUUUCACUUAUUAAAUCGUACAUCAUAUCGGUUAUCCUUGACGAUCGAUUAUAUUGGCAGGGUGCAGUAAUUAAGAAGUAUUUCGAUAGUAAGGAUCAUGGAGCUAGCAAAAUAAAGAUCAUUCCAUAUAUAUAUCAUCGAGCUGUGUGUAGUAAGUAUUUCAUGCAUACAUGGUCGAUGGCUUUACCUGCAGCUACUUGUACUGCUAGCUACUGCAGAUGCGGCAAUAUGUGGUUGCUGUUGCUAUUGCCUGUUGGUAUUGGUAUGCAUUGUAUAGCAUGCAAGGACCAUGUACUUCAAACAUAUGAUUGACAUGAAGAUAAUUCGUUCCUGAAUUAUAUAAAAAAAAACUCUGCUCAAAGAACCGUGCCUGUGUGUAAAUAUAUGUGGGCAGCAGAGCCGUGCACUAAGAUCGAAACAGUUGCAUUUGUUUGAUUGCGGUUGGUGGUCAUGUAUGUCCGGCAACUACCUCACCAAAUUUUGCUGGCUAUCAUCAAGAUGUGAACGUACGUGCAUGUUUCACAUUCAAUGCAAAAUAAAGCUAUAAUUAUAUUGGUUGCUUUUGCUCCAGAAAUAAUUGCAACGAUGAAGAAGGGGGCUAAUUAUUGCGAGUCGAUUAGCUCAAUGUCGAGUAAUAUAAUUAUUCGUAAAUAACAAAAAUGAAAUAUGCUUUGUGAUUCAAACGAAGAAGGGAUGGGAGUAACAAGCUAGCUAGUAGAUGGAAUGGAAGCCUCUCUGGUCGUAUUGGUGCCGCAAUAAUAAGGUGGACACUCUCGACUGUGCUGUACAUUUCGUACGUACAUCUGCAUGCAUUCAGACGUCGUAGGACGACAGACAUGCAUGCGUGUCGAUGCAUGUCGUGCAUGCAGCGCAUAUAUAUAUAUAUAUAUAUAUAUAUAUAUAUAUAUAUAUAUAUAUUGAAAGUUUGUAGGUUUUAUUUGUACCAACCUGCAAAAGUCCGAAUGAAUGCAAAUUAGGAAGCACGUACGCAUUCAUCUUGGUUGGUGGAGUGCAGCUCGAACAUCAACCACCACUCCAGUACUACUCGAUCAUCAUCAGGUAACACAUGCACAUGUUGAUGUUGUAUUGUACGUACCUGCAGGUCAGGUCAUCACCAUCACCAUCACCACCCUCCAAAUUAACCUCCUAUUUAUACCCCCCACACCUCACCUCACCUCCCCAAUCCAUCACAACCUCCUCGAUCAGCUCACCACACACUUCACUCACUAGCAGCAGCUUGAUCAGAUCAUCAGCGAGUGUUAUUUCAUAUUGCUGCAAUAUAAUUAAUGGCUCGCCUCUCCGCCGUUGUCGCCGUCGUCCUGGUGGCUGCGCUGGUGGCUGCGGAGACCGCUUCGGCUGCGGUGAGCUGCGGCGAGGUGACGUCGGCCGUGGCGCCGUGCCUGGGGUACGCCAUGGGCCGCUCGUCUUCGCCCUCGGCGUCGUGCUGCAGCGGGGUGAGGUCGCUGAGCAGCCGGGCGUCGUCGACGGCGGACCGGCAGGCGGCGUGCGCCUGCCUCAAGAGCAUGACGGGGAGGGUGGGCAACAUGGGCAACGCCGCCAGCAUCCCCGGCAAGUGCGGCGUCAACGUCGGCGUCCCAAUCAGCCCAAACGUCGACUGCUCCAAGUAAGUAACGACUCAUCAUCACUGGAUCGGAGUUCUACUGAUUAGCUUCUUCUUCUUCUAGUUAUACCGGGGCCUACUUGUCGAUAAUUAACCAUGCACUAGCUAAUUACCUGCUGUUUGUUUAUAUGUAUACUGUGCAGGAUUAACUGAUAAGAAGCUAGGGAUGUAUGCUCAGCUCAGCUCCAUCUUUGGGGCCAUGCAUCAGAGCAUGCUGCAGUCGUUUACUCCCUUUACUUUACACCAUCACCACCUCUGUACUUGUCGUGUUUGAAACAACAAGAAUAAUGCUCUGCUUGUUGAUGUGGUUUUGCUGGAUGGGUGGGUCUCUGCUGUUUUCAUGUACCAUCAUGCUGCUCUGUAGCAUCAAGCAGCUCGCUCUCUGCUGAAUUAAUAAACUUUAAUUUCUUUCUUUGUGUCCCAUGCAAAGAUACAUACAUACAUACAUACAUAUAUGCGCCAUCUUUUCCAUCCACGCUUUCAGUUUCAGUAAUAAUACACUUAGUACGCGCGGACUCUGUCUGCCGGGUCUGCAAGUGUACGUGAAGUGCUCAUCUCUGCACGACAGCAUAAAUGAUGCGGCUCUGUCGCUGCCAGUUGCCGCCCCCUGCGUCUGCAUGCUAGCCAUCCUGCUCCAACUUCAGGGAAACCAAAACAAAAUAACCUGAACAUGGUUGUAAAUUAUGCAAACGGUAUGAUUAUAUUUUGUAUAUUUGUAUGCUGCACAACACGGCACAGCUGCAGUCUUCUAUGGGACUGUACGGCCAUGGGCUGAAAUCCAGGUCUCUGUCUGGGUUGGUGACGAAGACUAAAACUUUUAUGAUGGUACUAAAGCCUUUAUUUUUAUGGGCUUUAUUUUCAGUUUCGGCGCAAGCAAGGGAGCUGCGAUCUAGUUCCGUUUCGUUAUAAGGCUGAUUUGUUUUGCCUCCAGGCCUUUUGUUGUUUUUUGUGGGAAUGUGGUCUGUUUUGUUUUCUAAUUGGCCCAGUGAUUUAUAUAUAUCUUCUAUUUUAUACUAAUUUAUUAAAAUGGUCUUUUAGAGAAUCUUUUCGAUGUCGAUAUUUUUUGGAUAAUUCUACGACGUCAAGUAUUAGAUUUGAAUUAUUAUGAUGAAGCAAAGUACUGAUUGAUCGAUGGGUUAUAUUGAGCUUAUUUUUAACAUGCUUUGUUACUUUGAUUCUACUUGAAUUUGAUUGAGAUAUUUUUUUCAUCCAUUUAUCCGAUGAGAUUAAAAAUUGGUCCAACACACCUAAUUUCAGCUAUCCAUUUAAUAACUUAGCUGGACCCGUACUAAGUGAGGAUCUAGAAGGGUGUCCUAUCCUCGUGUUGGUUUAGAGGACGCAGGUGCUACCUUAGGCUAAAAAAUUGCUCGUGGCUCAUUAGCUUACUUGACUCGUAGCCGACUCGGUUCGGCUCCAAUUGCUAACGAACCGAGCAGAAUUUUGUGCUCGUUAGUACACUGAGCGAGUUUGAGCCAGCUCGCGAGCUGCUUACGAGCCUAACGAGCUACGCAUACAUACAACAGACUUAUCAUCUAUGCUACAGUGUUUAGAACCCUAAAUUUGUGGCCCAAUAGGCCCAACACGCAUCAACUAAGCGAAACUCUUGUCUAAAUCCCUCACCUUGUCACUCGUCAGCCCUAGCGCCCCAACCCGCUUCCACACGCCCGCACCUGCCGUUCCCACGACGGUCGCCCGCCCCCGCUCCUACCGUCCUGCGCAUGCCCCAAACCGGCUCCGACCCUGCCAUCGUGCCCCCAGGCCCUGCUCCCUGCGCCGCCGUGCCCCCAGACCUUGCUAUGCCGGCCCCUCUGCAGACGGCAGCGCCUCUCCCGCCUGGCGCCUCAAGCUCAUCGCCCCCGCCCCUCCACCCCCACCCACUUGUCGCUCCAGAUUUGCUCGGCCGCGCAGGCUUGCAGGCGCCGGCGCGUCGCCAUGCCUCCGACCCUCUCGCUGCCUCUUUGCCCUUGCUUGUCCACUCGUCCGGACGUCUUGGUACCCACGCGGCUGCGGAGACUCGUCGGCUCCGGCACCGGUGCUGGCCUCCGCGCGCCGCCGUGCCCCUGGCCUCCAUGUUCCCCUGGGCGACGUGUUUGGCUCGUGAGCUGCCCGAGCUAGCUCGCGAGCUAGACCGAGCCGAGCCGAGCAGUCUUUUUCUGCUCGUUAAGAUAACGAGCCAAGCGAGCUGAGUCAGCUCGUUAUCCAGCUCUAGUGCUACCGCACAGAUGUCAGGAACAUUAAUUAGUUAGGACCCCAGCUGCAAGUCUCCGUAGUCAAGUUGGAGCAGGCCCCGAACACAGACUCCUAGAGGGUGAUACUAGGAGCCCGUUUGGCAGGGCUCCGCGGCUCCUAAAAAAACAGCUCCAGCUCCGGCUCCUCCAAUGAAGCGGCUUUUCUGGUGUAGUUGAAGCCGUUUUGAAAAAACGUUUAGCAAAGUUGUCAAAUGUCCACAAUACCCUUAUUUUUUCUAUUUUUAUUUUUUGUUUCUUUUUUCCUCUUAUUUUCUUUGCUUCCCAUCCUCUCUCUCUCCUUAUCCUCUUCUUCCUUCACCCGUUGCCUCUCCGUCCCGGCCUUCGCACCGCCGCCGCCCAACGCCCUCCCCUUGCCUCACGCUGGUCUCAUGCUCCCGACACCCACCCUUUGUCUCGCGCUUCGGCCGCCCCUGACUCGUGCUCCCGCCGCCCGCCGCCGCCCCUGCCUCUCGCUCCCGCCAUCGGGCGCCUCCACCCGCCUCGAGCUCUCGCGCCGGCCGCCUAUGCCCCGCCUCAGGCUCCCGCGCCGGCCCCCCGCCAUGAGCUCCCGCGCCGGCCGGCCGCCUCCGCCCGCGCGUCGAGCUCCCGCCUCGGGCCGCCUGCCUCCACCCCGCCUCGAGCUCCUACACCGGUCGACCGCCUUUGCCUGCGCGUCGAGCUCCCGCCGCUGGCCGUCGCCGGCCUCCGCUCGCGCCACCCGGAAGCCUGUCUGGAGGUCAAAAACGGCACGUGAGGAGGAGGAGCUGUGGGGAGCCUGUUUUUGUGGCUCCUCCUCCAACCGAAUAGCUCUAGAGAGCGGGAAUCAGGGGGCUUCGGCAGCGAAGCCGUCUUGCCCAUCGUUGUUUGGGAGGGCUUCAGAGCCGUCGAGGAGCCCUUCCAAACAGGGUCUAGGUAGGUGGGCACGUGUCGCGAGGCUGACGAGCACUAAUACCACUAGGUACUUGCAAUGCAUUGCGCUGGGGAGGUUUCAAGUGGGGAGCUAGAGCACACCGACGGCGGCCAGACGGAGCUUCAGCUGCAGCCAUGCACCACCGACGACCAAUCGAGAGCUAGCAAUACGUACGUAUGCCUUUUUGUACGUAUCGCCACGAUUAACAUGCAUGUAUUUGACGCAUAUGUGUACAAGCUAAGUUACCUAGGAGAUGAGGUAUGGUACAUGCACGCACGUUUGUAUACGUAUAUGUGUAUAUGCACGAGAUAUAAAUGGAUAAAAUGGAUUCUAUAUACGAGCUACUCGGUUCCAAACUCUAGAUAUAUCAUUUAAUUUGUAUUAUAUAUCUAAAAGAAUAUUAAAAUAAUCUAUAACUUAAAAUGGAUGGAGUAAGAUGAAAAGUGCAAUGCACGCAGGUGGCAGCACACGACGGACACGAAGCGAAGAGCUUGUGCGUCGUACAUCAACACAUGUACGACGAGCGCAUGCAGUCGAUCGUCACAUCAGAGCUGACGAGGCCCAUUUCUUCUUCUUUUUUGCAGGUACAUGUACAUGCAUUGCAUGGACAGACGGCAACUGCACGUCGUCGCGCUACUUUCCUCGCACAUCACUAGCUCUCGUACUCAGCGGCAGGCGUAUAUGCAUUGCAUGUAGCUAGCUCGCGGCCUAGCAGUACAUACAUGCAUGCAUCUGUCUGGACAGGACACACCACACGACGAGUUUCGGCAACAACAACCCUCUUCAUUGGUGCUGGACAAUUUAUUAUUUUUUACCAGCGUCUAACCAAUCGGCCUCCUGCAUGUGUACGUGUCUUCGUUUCAUUGUCGGUCGCUGGAGGAGAGGAAGAUUAUUACUGGAAGGAUCCGGAUCCGUGUCAUCGACGGACGGAUGGAUCGAUGUGUUCAUGUUUAAUUGUGUGAUAAUCACGCACAUCUAACUCCCAAAUAAACGCUCGCCGACAUGACUGAAUCAAUGCAAUGCGGUGGCCUCCAAAUGAAUUGAACCACCAUGCACCAUGUACGUCUGUCUGUCCCCGCAUACUUGGUCGUGUUAGGCGGCUCUGCCUCUCUCCAUCGACGAAGAUCGUCGGUCUGCUGCCCGCCCCAACUCCCAACCACCUCCUGCCGCUCUCUUAACUCCCAUCGAGACCCACACCACUGCCCCAUGCAUGGCACCAUGGACAAGGAUCCACCGACUGAACGAAACUGCACACGCACACCGGGGCCAUGGCCACCCACAUCAUCUCCUCGGCACUCAUCACUCACACACCACACACUACAUACAGAUCAGAGGGAGAGCCUAUUUAAAGACCAACAUUCCCUUGCACUCUCUCAUCACCAGCACUUGCUCACACUCAUCAUUCCCGAGCAAGCAAGCACAUCCAUCCACCAGCACCGUGCCCUCACCGAUCACAUUCACGCACAAUCCAGAUAGUACUAUAAUGGCUCGCGCUCAUCAGGUCGUUGCGGUCGCCGUCGUUGCCGCCGUGCUGCUCGCCGCCGCGGCGACCACCGAGGCCGCCGUCACCUGCGGGCAGGUGAGCUCCGCCAUCGCCCCCUGCCUCAGCUACGCCCGCGGCACGGGCACCGGCCCCUCCGCAGCCUGCUGCAGCGGCGUCAGGAGCCUCAACUCCGCCGCCAGGACCACCGCGGACAGGCGCGCCGCGUGCACCUGCCUCAAGUCCGCCGCCUCCAGUCUCAGUGGCCUCAAAGCCGGCAACGCCGCCAGCAUCCCAUCCAAGUGCGGAGUCAGCAUCCCCUACACCAUCAGCCCAUCCGUCGACUGCUCCAGGUAGGAGUAGUACGUAAUUAAUUAAGACAUCAUUACUUAUACAUGCCUGCUAUGCAUGUUCAGUAAUCAAAUCAAUAAUUACACAGACCACCGCGUGCAUGCAUAUAUAUACUGUUAAUCAAAACCCUUGCCCUCAAAAAAAAAUGAAAAAAAUCUAAUCGAAAUUAUUCUUGCUGCUUCAUGCAGGGUGAGCUAAACGACCACCGGAGCCGGAUGGAGCUGGAGCAGCCUCGUCCACCGUGCGUGCAUGGUUCCCUACAUAUCUAUCUAUGAUCGAGUUCGCUCGCUUGAUGAAUAAAAUCUCUCUGCCGUCGUCGUCUGCACUGUCAUACGCUCGCAUGCUAGUGCAGUGUACGUCCUCCUUGUGAGAGACGGGAGUCCGUCCGUCCUUGUUGUGUGGUCGUCUCUGCUUCGUUUUGUGUCUGCACGGUACGGUGCGCGCUAGCUCCUCCAUUUCCAUUUGGAGGAGACCGAGUCUCUGUACCUUGUCCACUACCUUUUAAUACAUACACCUCUUUUUGGUAUGCUCCAUGUGCUCACUUGGGCCUCUCCACCGAGUGUGCACAACAAAAAGGCCUAAAACAAGUCCAUGUAUCCAAGUGGGCCUUUGAUUAUUCCAAUAAGUAGUCACUGAAAGUUUUGCAUCAAGUUUUGUUGGAAGCUGGAGUUGACGAACUUGGGCAAGUCAUGAAUGCUUAAUGAAGGGACGGUUUCCAUGCCCGUAAUCAACUUGUCUCUUCGAUAUAGGACCUCUGCAAGGGUAAAUUAAUCCAGCAAUCUUUGAUACGGCAUGAGCCAACUUGUGCCAAGCUUGAGGAGCUGUCACUCGAAGGGUCAAAGAAAAUCAAUCAGUCCUUGAACGUGUGUAGAAACUGAAAAAUAUCAUCGUUAUGUGUUUACAACCUCAGCAUCAGAUUGUUCUUUUGGUGCGAUGAAUGUGUGCAUUAUCUAUUAUUUUUUUCAUAAAAUACAGUACAUAUGCAGAUGCUCACAUAUACGUACGCACGCUCAUCUCUACAAGAACACAUACACAAAUCCUACCCCUACGAGCACCUCCAAGAGACUGCGAGUCGGCGACUUGAAUCCGGAUGGGUAGGUUUCACCAUGAAAAAUUUUUAUUAGUUGAGCUAGGCUCAGUUCGCUACAUGAAUUAUCAUUAUUCAUAAAAGUAAUGUAAAUUGUUCGUCCCUGGGUCCUACCUUAAACACUAGUAAAGGAUGACUGCUCCUCUAGCAGUAUAGGUAGGGGUAGGAAAAAGACAACCUUACACAUGAUCAGUCUUUGUUGUUAAGAACGAAGUACUAGAAGCAUCAUCAUGAUCUAUAAGUUACAGAAUGACAAAUAAAAUCAACGUAUAUAGAACCCGUGAACUAGCUAAGCGUAGGAAAAAGACAGCCUACACACAUGAUAAAUCCUUGUUGUGAUGAUCCCACGAUACAGAUCCUUCUUUUUUUCUCUUUUACCUAGUUAAUACUUGUAUGGUAUCUGGGAAUUGCUUACCUUCGAUGAUGAAGUAUCACCAAAGGCGCGCUCGACAGUUAUCACAGCUAUUCUGUGGAACUUUGGAAGGCCAGGAAUGCGUUGGUCUUCAACUCCCUGCAUGCAUCCUCUGCUGGUACCCUCAGGGCGACGAUCUCUGCUGCUGUGCAGCUUUGGUCUCAUCGAUCAAGGUCCCCUGAUGACCGGGUCUUCCUAUACUUGUGGAGCUCUAACCUUGAUAUAACGUAGCUUUAGGCUCGUUUUUUCUCCUACCCCCAUGCUGUAAAAUCAAGAUAUGUAUGACCUUGCAUAUUAAUAUAUUUGUCCAGACUGGCUUCUUGCCUGCCGUAGCCUCUCUUAAAAAAAAUACUUGUAUGGUAAUUCUGUAGGUUUUACAAAGGCAAAAACUUGGUGUCUUCUUUUGCUUACAAUACAAGAAAUUGUAGAUGAUGAACUCUUUUUAUUUCUUUUCACAUGCCUAAACUAAAAGAUUAAUGAGCCAACAAAUUAUUCGGCGCUAGACACAAUAGCACCAUGCGUGAUUUGAAGUUGGAAUUGAAGUUAGUUGGUUGCAUGUGAACACAAGUCGUGGCUGAGAAGCAUCCACGCGCGCUUUGCGUAUGGGAGAGAGUAAAUGUCAGUUACAUUAGCUAGCAAUGGAAUGUUUGCUCGUGAUGGAUCGAGAUGGUUAUCGUUGGCUGGCUAGUCGUCCAUCUUGCAUCUAUGUACAGAGACGUGGCAACGAACAAUUUAAGGCUAGCUAGCUGCUACCAUGCACUGCUAAAUGAUGAAUAGUAGCUAUUGAUCCAGGAGCUAGUAGCUACUUGACCUGCAAACUAGGUUAUCUACUGCGACACUUUGAUCGAGCAUGGAAGGUGCAACAAAGACUUGGAAUUACGUGGUCCAAAUUAUUUUGAUUUUUCUAGAUUCAUAAGCUUUGCUACGUACCUAUACAUUAGAUGCAUAGCAAAAUAUAUGUAUCUAGAAAAAUUAAAAUAAAUUGUAAUUUGGGACGGAAGGAGUAUAUGCAUAUAUCAUCACAUCAGCAUGUAUCCUCAUUGAAUUUUUCUCAAUCUUACUACUGCAAGUUGAGGUACCCUUUUCCUCAGGGAAUUGCAGAAAAUUAUUCUACACAUACAGUCCAAGUCUAGCUCGUCACUCCGCUCCUGUUCUAGUUGCCAGCAAGCAGCAGAGAGCUCAGUUGCCGUGGCGAAAAUUCCAGUAACAGUUCAAUUCGCUCUCCAUCAUAUAGCCUUAGUGAAGUGAAGAGGGGAAUUUUUGGAAUUUAAUUAAUUUUAGGUCCGUUUGGAAUCUUAGAAUUGAAUUCCAUUCUAAUAAUCAUAAUUUAGACACAGAUCUAUUAAGCUAAUAUGAUUAUAUACGGAAUAUAUUUAUGUACUAUUGUUGGUCUCAUUAGAAAGAUAUUUAUAUACUACAUUUCUACUAUAGAGGAGUGAGCCAAUGCAAAGAGCGUACUAUAAGUUACGGAAUAGAAACAUAGUUUUGUAGGGUAUAGAAUCAAUUUUCAUCUUCCACCCUAUAAAUUUAGGAUAGGAAAAGUGAUUGAAAAAUGGUGGGAUGUCAAAUCUAAGCUAAGUACCUUAGUUUAGUUUAUUAAAUAGAUUUUAAUUCCUCCAAAAUGAGAGGAUCCAAACGGCUCCAUGAAAACUGUUUUCAGACAUCUUUCGACACGUACAUACGUGGGAAGAUGGAAAUUAAAUGUGAUGUCAUUUUUCAUAUAUAUUUGGAUCGUGAUCGAGAUAUAUAUACAGAGAGAGGGAGAGAGAUGGAAUAAUUAGCAGAAAAGUAUAAAAAACCUAGCUAGCUACCAGUCCAACGCCCAACGACCUGGCAACGACAGCCAUCAAUGGAUCGUUCAAUCAUCCAUUGACGCAGAUGGAGACAAGGUGGAUCGAGUACGUAGGUAUACCACUCCAGUAGAAGUGGAGGACUAACCUGGUGAGCUCCCUCUAUUUAAACUGGCCUGGUGGUGAUCCUACUCAUCCCCCACAGCAGCUAGCCAUCCACACUAGCUCACACUGCAACACACACAGCAUUUGCUUUGCUUAGCUUAGCACGACCGCCGAUCGAUAAUAAUAAUACAAUAAUGGCUCUGAUGAUGAAGGACAACAAGCAGAGCAGCUGCAGGAUGCAGGCGGUGGUGGCCUUGGCCGUUGUGGUCGCGGCGGCGGCUCUGGUGGCGUCGGCGUCGGCGGCUAUCACCUGCGGGCAGGUGGGUUCGGCGCUGGCGCCGUGCAUCCCGUACGCGACGGGGAAGGCGAGCAUGCUCCCGUCGUCGUGCUGCGGCGGCGUGCGCAGCCUGAACAGCGCGGCGCGCACGAGCGCGGACCGGCAGGCGGCGUGCCGGUGCCUCAAGAGCCUGGCCAACACGGUCAAGUCGGUGAACAUGGGCACCGUCGCCACCAUCCCCGGCAAGUGCGGCGUCUCCGUGCCAUUCCCCAUCAGCAUGUCCACAGACUGCAACAAGUACAUACCGCCCUACUACAUAUAUACUUAAUAAUUCUCUCUACCAUCAUCUAUAUAUAACAUAAUAUAUCGUCGUCCUCUUUAUUUUAUUUCCUAUAUAUAUAUAUAUAUAUCUUUUACAGUAUUACUACUGCAUAUGUAUGUGCAUAUCUUGCAAAUUACUGAUCUUGUAUACAUGCGUGCCUCGAUUUUAUUUCUUUGACGCAGGGUCAACUAAAUUGUACAUCAGACUUACCUGAUGAGAAGCAGCUCGGUCGGUCAGAAGCUAAUAGCUAGCUACGAGCUAUUAAGGAGAAUAAAAUGAAGGCAUCAGCAGCAACAGCAGCAUCUGUAUUAAUUAUGUAGUAAUCAAAUGUUGUAAUAUGCGUGUACGUGCAGAUAUACAUGCCUGUACGAUCGAUGUAUAUAUGCUGCUUAUACAUGUACGCUUGUGUCCUGCUGUGAUCAGAUCAAUAAGAACCGCUGCUAUAUAUACUGUUCAUUGCUGCUUUUGAUGGAAAAAAAAUAAGAGUUUCAGUUUAAAUUAAUUCGAAGAUAAAUCAUGACCAUAACGAAAAUUGCGUACAGAAAAUGAACAUAUCUAAACAUGCUCAUUAAGUAAUUUAAGAUAUAACAUUGCAGCAGUAAGAUUAACCCUAACCACAUCAUAUUAGAUAUGAAAGAUAUAGUUAGGGACAGAGAACCGUACGUUUCUUGGCUGAUCGAAAUAACGGAUAAAGAAGACGACGGCAACGAUCAGCACCUUCGCGUGCUUGACGACGCCGAGUCGUGCCCCACUGACAAGGAGGAAGACGAUCCAUGGUGACGUCCUGAUCCAUGGCGACGAGGACGACAAUGUGGAAGCAUUCGAGCAGUCGCGCAGAGCGCUUCCCAAAAACCUUAUUCGCUCUCUCAUGAUGCAGGAUCGCUGAGGACGAGGUUCCGCAGACCUGCUCUCCCGAUCGCCGGUGCACGCCAACGAACAGGACGAAGUAGUGUACGGGGCGGCGCAGCAGGCAGGUUGAGGCAUGUUGUGCGUCUUCUAUGUUUUAUUUUUUCACACCCGCGCAGUAUUUAUAAGAAAGAACCGCUAGGGUUUUUGGCGUCCCAAAAACCAAGUCGGUUACGAGUCCCAAAAUUCCGCGCGUGAAAUCCGUAACAGAUUCGAAGUGGCAAAACAAAUCUGUAAAAGAAAGCCGCGUGCCCGCAAGGAUUGGACUGGAUGUUGGCGGACUAUUCACGCGCAUGUCGCGCGCCCUUCGCCUGAGCCGGCCCGGCGAGGCCGGGCGAGCGAGCGCGCGCGUUCUUUCUUCUUCCUCUCACUCACACUUGCAAGAGCAUGGAGAGCGUCCAACUAUUUAAGUUGAGCUUCCUCCACCUCCACUAGCAACGUGGGGCUAACUCGUUGCCAUGCACCUUUACACUAAUAGGCCUUUGAAAUUUUAUUAGAAUUAUUUAGAUUUAUAUGGUGGACCUUUGCAUUAAUAGACCCAAAUAUUCCAACAGCUUGGACCUACUUAUUUGAGUGCCAAACGAAUAUUUAUUUUGGAAUGGAGGGAAUACUUAUUCAGACAAUUAUUAGUCGUUCUGCUCUAUGGCGAGCUGUCGGUGGUGCUUACUUGUUAUUAAUUAAUAAUGUCCAUACAUAUAUGCUAGCUAGCUGCUGACUGCUAAAAUACGCACAUCUCAAAACCCAACCACUCCAAAAUACGCACAUGUUGUUUAGGACAUCGAUCGGCAGGAUCACAAAGGUCAAGCCUUCUGGCCAACAUUUUUUUAAUUAAAAAUAUAACAUAUUUGAAAGAAAGUUAAUUAAAUGUUUUAAAUCAUUUACCAUGUUAAAUAAUGGCCGUCAGACUGAUCUAGUCUUCAAUUAUUAAUCGUCCAGCUGUUUAUAGUCAUUUAACUGUUUAUAUAUAAACACCCUCCACCGUAUUUCACUAAGAGAAAACAAACCGGCUUCCAGUUGCGGAAAAGUCUCCUCCCCGAACCCUGACUGCAGGGAGUUUUUAUUGCGCAGCACCCAGGAUUCGAGCCCUUGGCCUUAAAAGGCUCACGGAUUGGAUCCCAAUUUUAGAAAUUUCUCGGGUGGUUAUGCUCUACCACUGAGCUACAGGCUCACCCGCUAACUGUUUAUAUAUUGACAGUAAAAGUUACAAGGUGAAGUUAAAGCGAUCAGACUGCAGGUGUAUUUUACUCGUAACACAAGCAACAAACAAGCUAAGUAGUAGGGUUUCGCUGUCAGCCUGGACCCAAGAAAAUUGAAGACGACGACUCUCUUGCCUACUGCUCUACGGACUACGCCGAGAAAUUCGGAUUUUCGACACUCCAGACAUAAGGCUUCAUUCGCAUAUUUGACACUAUGACAUGAGCAUGAACUUGGUAAAUUUGCCAUCCAUAUCAUUGAGUUUCUUGACAUUGUGCCUCUUUUUUUUAUUUUUCUUUUUCCAUUUACUAGCUUGUGAAAUGACAAAAGUGCUGCCCCAGAGCUUACGUGCAUGCACCUCUGGUUGGAUCGGAUCGAUUAAUCAAAAUGAUAAUGCUGCGUGCUAGAGGGGUGUGUGCUGUGUGCCGACCACACUAUCUGGGCUAGCUAGAUGAUCGAAGCAUUGUUUACACGCAAGGCACAAAGCUAAUAACACCAUGCUCGGCGAGAAAGGUGCGGCUGCUCCCACGGAUUCCACGACAUGUGGCUCGCGGCGCACUCGUCCUGCCCGAUAUGCCGGAACUCGCUGCUCCACGACGGUGCCGCCGGCGAGGCAACGACAAUAAGGCGCUGUUGUUCAAGUGUGGGAGGCCCACUCCGUGAGAUAGGAGGCCCAGCUGUGGGAGGCAGCCGACGACCCUGCCGGGCCGAGCCGUGAUGCUGAGGGAACGGCCCGCAUCAAUUAGUCUCUAGUCUUGCUUUAGUUAAUUAGUACGAGUGAAAUGCCGAGUAUUUGCGUGGACUUUUAGCAUAUUUCUAAUGAAUUAGUGGUGAUAUUUUGACACCGCGACGAACUGAUACUGCCAGUGAUAUUCAGGGUCUCCACUCCUGCCUAUACGGCAUGUCUGUUUGAGAAUGUUCCAAAUAACUUCUUUUUUCUCUGACCAGACAAUAUUAGACAAAUAGGUCAAGAACUCCUUGAUUACUUGGUAGACGGCUGUUGCUAUUCUGAGUAUAGUCUUGGUCAUGCCACUGCCUUGAACUUUGCUCAAAUAGUUUGGUGAUGAAGUGAAACAUAAUCUCAAAUUUGUUUUUUGAUGUAUACUUCUGUGGUGACCCUGAUUAUUGGAGUUUGGAAAGGAAUGAGCUAUAAAAAAAAAAUCAAAGUUGUACAGAUGAACAGGGGAAGGGAUUAUCAUCCUUUUAAUGCUAUGGAAAUGUAUACUCAUCACAUGAUGUGAUUCAUUUUAUUGAGUGGAUGCGUUGGAUCCACAGUAGAAUCAUAAAAGAGCGCCCCUCAUUUUGUCACUGCAUAAUAUCAUGUUAAUUUGGUCUUCCUCAUGGUCAUGGGGCUGCCAUGGUCUGUUUAGCGACCAAGUGGAUUAUAGGAAAGCAAAUAGUCACAUGAAAGUUGUUUAUCUAAGAAGGGGAGUAUAUCGUUCAGUAUUUUAUCUCAAUUGAUAUUUAUUUUGAGGAUACUCUUACUCUACAAAGCAGCCCCCCUGCCAUGAUUGAAAAUAUAUAGUUGUACAUGCACGCUGUUGGCACAACAAAAAGAUUCUAAUUAUGCUAUUGUGGAAAAAACCAAGCUGUAGGUGGUUCUGAUAGAUGUAGCUUCUUCUGAUUGAAGUUUACCACGUCCAAAUAGACUACCUUGAAUUUUGUUCAGUUAAAGGCUACUGCAUUUCCUACAGUGUACUAACUCAUACAGUAUAACUUUAUUAUGUUUCAGUUCUUUAUUCUGAUCGAUUCUUCUUGAAUUUCUAUGUGGCAGAGAAGUUACCAUUGUGGAGAGCCCCUCUAAGAACACUUACCAUGCCUCAGGCUUGACCUCCUUGACUCCAUCUGGACCUCAUGUCUGUGCAGAUUGCCUGGAUAGCCUGCUUCACGAAAUCAUUGAUCUCAUUACCUCAUUCCAUGACUUCCUUGCUUUUAUUGGCACCUGCCGCUCUUGGCGCACUGCAGUCUCUUCCUUCCCCUCCAUGUAUACCUUCAGCUUCCCGCCUCUCCAUUUCGAACCAGAUGGUCCUUAUUUUUUUCGUCCACAUACCAGAGGUAUCAAGCCCCUCCUUUUAUCUGAUUGCACAUGGCAGCUCAGCGAUCCUAGCAAGGAAAACUUAUCCCUUCGCUAUGCGUUGCCUCAAAGUACUCCAAAUACAAUGUACUAUUUGGGCUGCUCAUAUAGGUAUCUUAUCUUCACCUAUGAGGACUGCCUCCUUGUUGAUGCCUACACUGGUGCCAAGGUGAAGACCCCAAAACUCCCAUGCAACAAUGAACUUGGUUGGUUUUCUGGCAUAGGCGUCCUUUCGGCUCCAUUCAGCUCACCCAACUCGCGCGUCCUCCUUUUCUCAAGGGCUUCCAUGUUUGAGUGGCAGGUUGGAUCAAACUCCUGGUCAGUUCAUCCUCUUGCUCUUGAUCAUGAACACAUCCAUCAGUUGUGUUCUUCAAAGGUCAUAUCCUUAUCAUAGAUGCUCUUAUAAGACUUCACACUGUGCAAUUAACACCUCAGUUCAGCAUGCAAGAAGUUGCAAUUAUGUGGCAGUCCCUGCAGACAGUGCCUCUUAACCCAUGGUUGGUGGCCUGUGGUGACAUGCUUCUCAUGGUUGACUUCACAUUUCGCUCACAUAGCUCUGACGAGUUCAGUGACUUUUCUAGAAUCUUUGAGGUCUUUCGCCUUGACUUCUCGGUCAAACCAGCAAAGCGGGCGAAGAUGGAAAAGUUGGAAAAUCAAGCUCUGUUUGUUAGCCUUGAUAAGAGGAAUCCUGCAUUUUGUUUCAUGAACCCUGAAAGACGGGGAGGAAAGAGUAACUGCACUUACGUUGCCAGGCUAUUUGAGGAUCCUGAUGAAACUUGGACAGCGGUGGAGCUUGGUCAGUCAGUGCCGAACCACAACACAGUUCACAGCAUGAUGUAUGGUUUUGCAUUCCCGCCGGACUACAGUCAAAUAGGUAGCCUUUGGCUGUUUCCUAGUUUUGUGUAUGGUGGUAGCCAGUGAUCUUGUAGCAGCCUUGCGACUUUGCGAGGGUUUUGGCUAGCCCUACAUAGGCCCUUGCGAUUGCUGUUAUCGAUCUUAAUUUUAGUUAGCAAGGUCUCUGUAACUAGGACGGUUUUCUGAAGUACAUUUGGUAUAUAUUGGCAUGCAUGCCUGGUAACUUAGUGAAGAACUGAACAUCAGAGUUGCACUUUCAAUUGCCAUUUGAUGACUGGCACCAGUGCUGUACUGCUAAACGUAGUGGAUGGUUUUGUUACGAUUUGCAGUUGAUAAUCUGCGUGGAGAUUGGACCAUUGUACUAAGGUUGGUUAUCAUACUAAUCAGCUCAAGUUUUUGUCUACAGCAUUGCGGCUGAAAAAAAAACGAAAGCUUUAUAUCUCUAUUUUUGCUUGUAAGUUUGCAAGAUAGCGCAACUGUUUUUCUUUUGGUCCGUAGACAUUCUUCAAGAUAUAUAAUCGACGGUACAAGAUUUAAAAGAAAAACGCUUUGCCAUAAGAAUAGCAACCAUGCCAUGAGAUCAAAAACAUCGAUCUGUGUGCCUUCGUCCAGACCAUUUCAAAAGCCAGGCUUAAUUAUCAUCAGCAAUUUAGUUUGCUGCAAUACAUGCAUUAUACACGAGACGAACCAUAGGACAGAAUUUAUUAACGAGUUCAAUUCCGGUGGAAGGAAAUUAUUAAUUAGCAGUCGCAGCAAUAAUAAUAUACUAAUAAUCGAUCACGCGGCGGAGAGCAGCGCCGCGAAACGAUCUGCCAGGCUCCGGACGGUGGUCGGAGAAACCGCCGACUCGCCGCCAAGGUACCACUUCUGGAUCAUCCCCGCCACGUUCUCGUUCUCCACCCUCAUCUUGGCUUCAUCCUUUCCCUCCGUCGCGAACGAUAUCUCCGCAGCAGCCCCAGCUGGUGGAGUGGCCGGGAAGUGGAAGGUGAUGACGGAGGCGGGCUUGAAGUACUUGGCCUGGAAGAAGUCGGCGACCUUCUCCAGCGCCUCCUCGUCGUCGUCGUCGUACCUGUCGGCGGCGACGAGGCGGUCGCGCACGGAGCUCUCGAGCUGCACGCCGUACUGCGAGCCCUUGAUCUCCUUGAUGACGACGACGCGGAACAGCUUCUCCACGGGAGCCGAGACGAGGGCCUGGAAGAAGGCGUCGUCUCCGAGCAGGUCGUCGGCCGUCUUGCCCUUCCAGCUCUGCAGGUGGCCGAGCAGGACGUCGUUGUUGUGGAGGUAGAUGCCGAUGGCGUUGAACUUGAUCUGCAGGAAGUGGAUCUCGAUGUCCGUGAUGCCGUUAGCUAGGAGAGAGAGAGGGUUGCCGCUGCCGGCGGUGAUCUCCGCCGGGAACGGGAUGCCUUCCACGGUCUCCGUCUCCGAGCCCACUGAAUGCGGCACAUGCAACGACGUUAUUACCAGGCAGGCAGGCAACAGAUCAAUAAUGUAUACGAUGCAUGAAAUGGAGAAUGGUAGGUGAAAGGAAGAAAAAGUUUUAUCAAUGCAGCAGCAACUUACUUUUGCCUUUGUGGUGACGACGUACGACAAGCUAGGGGAUGGGAGAAACAACUGAUGAAUGGAGGCAGAAAGGGUACCGUUGGAGCUGGCCUGUGGUUGUGCCUCAGGAAGAGACGACCUGAGUGGAGAUAGGCAGGAAGAAAGAGCAGGCUAGCUAGGCAGCAACUAAAAGAGUGUGAUCUGGGUGCAAUGGCAAUUGCAAUCUCUGAUGGCUGGCUGGCUGGAUGUAUGGAUGGAGAGAGUUAGGUAGAAGGAGAGGCAGGGAAGGAGGCCAGGCGGGUGGCUGCGACCUAAUUCAAUCGGUGCCACCUACAACCGACGGCAGUGCAGCUAGUGGUAGGUGUAUGCUGUGGUGUGGCUAACAACAGCAGCUUUUCUUUUCUUUUCUUAACAAAAUUAAAGUCAAGCUCCGGUACAUGCAUACAUGUUGGGCGAAAUACUGAGCGCGUAUUGGACUAAAACCUGUUUUUUGUAGUGACAGUGUGUAGGGGUUGAGAGGUAGCAGCACAAACUACAAAUCAAGAUGACACUCAUCAUAGACAAAGAAGACAGUGUGAUGAAGUAAAUAUGAUGCUGUUGAGAUGGAUCGAGAUGCAUGUAAUGUAAAGAGGGUGAUCGACUAUAUUCCUCUUGGUGGGUAGUAGGAAUAGGAUGGAACAGGACAACAGCUUGAUUGACGUGGUAACAGAGAGAGUGUGGAUUACUCCAGUUUUUUUAGAGGUAGCACACUUCAUUAUUAACUAGCUAAAACGUACUGGGUACAAACACCAACAGGCCAGGACAAGACCCUCCCUGCAAGCCAGAGUCUCCUCCAGCAUCUCAUCUCUGAAUCGUACAUGCUAGCAAAAACCAAAGCUGAUACUCCCAGGUAACAAUCAAACAAAGCUACACCAGCAGCCACCGUACGUGACCAAGAAAAGGAAUCGGUGGGCCGUACCCGGUGGGCUACAAGUCGAACGGGCUCACGACAUGUUGGCCCAAUCCUCCCUCCGGCUUUCCAGCACAGCACCCCGGCGUUCUCCGUUCCAUUCCACACCCCUUAUCACAACAUCCACAUCACCUGCGCCCGUGGUCUGCGGAGGAAGCAGCAAGGAAUGGCCUCCCUCCGCCACCUCGCCGCCGGCCCCGCCUGCCACCAUCCCCACGGCGUCGCGGCAGCCUCCGCCUCCCUCCAGCUCCGUCGCCUGCCCUCCUGCCCCGUCCCCCUCCGCUCCCGCCUCUUCACCCGUAACUAAAUGCUCUGCCCCUCCUCUCUCCUCUCAGUCCACACCAUUUCUUCGGCUACAGUUUCAGAGCACCCAGUGUUUUUCUUUCGUUUCUUGCUGGCAGCUUAACUGCUUUCCUUCCAGGCGUUUAUGCGCUCUCCAGCAAUGACAUCAGGGUUGGCACCAACGUAGAGGUCGACGGCGCGCCAUGGAAAGUUCUAGGUGACAAAAGUUUCUCACUAGUAACGCUUUUCUUCCUCUGAUUGCUGGGCGGCUAGACCAGACAAUGCGGUAGAUUAUCUCUCGUUAUUCUUCCUCAACUGCUCUUGAAGGAUGUGCAACAAUCAGCAUACGUACUAGCAUAAUUUGUGGAAACUUAUCAAGUCCAAUACCUUGUUGCUCAUGGACAAAUGAUUUGUUUCCUUAGCACCAGAAUUCGUAGAGAUGGAAAAGGUGCUUCCUUUGUAAACUCAAAUAUGUGUAGAGUAUUUAACCUGUAGCCUUAGCCGCUGCCACGCAAUGCCUAUCGUUGUUAUGAGAAAUAUAAUUUCCUCCUCUUCAUCCAACAACAGAGUUUCUCCACGUCAAGCCUGGAAAAGGUGCUGCUUUUGUCAGGACAAAAAUGCGCAAUUAUGUCACUGGCAAUACAGUUGAGAAAACCUUUCGAGCUGGAAGUACGGUAAUCUGGCCUCUAACUCACAUCUUCAGAAUCUUGCCACUGUUUAGCAGUUCUUCUGUUUUUCCCCUAUGUGUCUGUGUUGGUAGCACAUCUUUUUUUUUCCUUGGAAAAAAACUGCUGGUACAUGAUUUAGCUUAGUUAACAAAAUUAUUGCUUUUUCUUAUUUUCUGUAAUUUCUGGAAUUAUGCAUGCUGUAUAUUUAGCCUACUGCGGAUUUCUUUUGCUUCACCAAUCCAUGUUUUAUGUCCAUUGUCUCUUCCUCAAUGUUCUUCAGUCAUGCAACAACUAAUAGUCACUUCUUCAUGAAAACUUUCAGCUACAGGAGCCAUCCCUUUCAAAGGAAACCAAGCAAUUUACAUACAAGGAUGGCUCCCAGUUCGUGUUCAUGGAUCUGGUAGAUAAUUCACUUUUCACCCAAAUAAUUAGUGAAAAUGCCUAUCAUUGCAAGCCACCUUGCUUUAUGUUUUUCAAUUUUUUUUCUCAUGGCAUUGGUUGUUAGAGGUGAGCUUUAUAUUUAGAUAAUUUUCUAGGAAAUUCUGGUAUCAAAAGCAUUACUUUAAGUUUGUGUUAACUCGAGUUCUUCUCAAUGAAAAGAUGCACAACUCUCGUCCGUGUUCGAGAAGAAAAAAAACAAGCUAACGUAUUUCUUCUUAAUGAAUGGUAGUGCGGUGACCAACCACUUACCACCCCCUUCCAGUUUCCUCCAGAAUUUGUCCCACUUCAACACCCCAAGGCACCCUUUUCUUAGACCAUCUUGUGUACCAUUAUACUUGCUUGAAAACCCACUGUGAACUGGCUUCCACUCAAAUUGUUGAAGUAAAAAAGAUUGGCACGAUGGUCAAUUUCAAUUCCAUUUCAGGAAAAAAAAAGAUUUUGUUUUUGUCUUCCCAGAUAGCUUGAUGUCUGAAUGUAAACUAGCCACUUUCUAAUUUGAAUUAAGGUCCUGAUAUCUGUAAACAAUUCCGUUAAUUUUUCUAUCUUACAAUGCUCUUGUUAAUUUCCCUUUCCAGACAACAUUUGAAGAAAGUAGGUUAAACGAAGCAGAUGUUGGUGACAAGCAAAAAUGGCUGAAAGAGGGAAUGGACUGCAAUUUGUUGUACUGGAAUGGGAAGGUAUUUCCAAUUUUGUUUUUCAGAUUAAUUGCCACAUUGACAUAAUUUUCUAUAGAACCAGGGGAAUAAUAUGCUAGAUUAUAAUAUAGUAUGUUCUUACUCACCCCAUUAACUAUAAUAAUUUUGUAGAUCAUUGAUUUUGAGUUGCCCAUCACUGUGAGGCUGACUGUGACUGAUACUGACCCCGGGGCAAGCGAUAGUGUACAAGGUACGGAUUCUCCAAUAUCUAGUAUGCUUCUGCAAGAAGUGCCUGCAAUUGGUUAACCACGCGUGUUGCAACCAAAGUAACCACAUAUAAUCCAGUUGUGAACGACCAUUUUUUUUUCCCAGUGGAAGUUGGCAUCCCUGUAACCAGAAUCAUAUUGUUACUGUAUUUUGUAGGAGGAACAAAGCCUGCAACCCUGGAAACUGGAGCUGUUGUCACGGUGCCCUCUUUUGUGAACAUAGGCGAUGAUAUCCUAGUUGAUUCAAGAACCGGACAGUAUAUGAACAGAGCAUAGAGGGUUGAAGAGGAUUUUGGAUUUGAAGAGAUCACUUUUUGUUCGGUCAUUUGUCCCAUUCACAUGUACGAAUGCUCUGCAUCUUUUGCCCCCAGGAAAUUUACAUUUCUGGUGCAUGUGGAUCCUUGCUACGAGACAUUACGUUCAAAACUUUCUGCUCAUAAUCUCACAACUCAGAUUCCUUUGAUUAUAACUGAUUAACCCAAGAACAUGAGUACAGAGCACCUACGCCUACCAAUGAUUUUUUGUUAUAUUUCAAAUUGCAUCCAAAGGCAUACUGAAAGAUGCAUCCUGACCAACAAGAAGUCAACAACUCAACUUCCAUAUCCUUCUAAAAUUGUGUCGUCAUUGUUGCAAACAAGCUUUAGAUAGAGGCUUUCAGUAUCAGAAACUGAAAUUCAAUUCAGCAGCGUAGCAUAUAACUGAAUAAGCAAUUAGCUCAAAUGCUGAUAAAUACGCAACAUCAGUAUGCGAUUCCAGAACGCUUUAGAAUUCAGUUAACCAGUCGAAGCUAACUUUCUCAGUUACUGAUUCCGCUCAAACAUAUGUUUUACAGGGAGCAAAGCGUCUUUCUGUUAGACACCAGUAUCAAAUAUCACGCACAUAAGAGCCCAGUCCCCUGCCCUUACAAAUACACACAAUUUCUCAUUCACUGGGUGCCAGGCGCAGUUUUCUGUUUGUUGGCACUCGUAUCCCUCUACCACUGACCACAAACAUUACUAAACACCAGUCAUUCCCGUCUGCCAUCUCCUUUAUUAGUACUGAAACAAGAGAUGGCGAUAAUUACUAAACAAAACACAUGUCUACAGCCUAAGCUAACCCAUAAAUCAUGGAUACAAACCGUCAAGAAAUUUACAGGAGGAUCUUGCUUUGCGUGUGAGGCAUUAGAUCGUUAUGGUUAUGCACAUGUAACUUGAGUGGAAAUAAGCUGGAUCACGUCCCGGUUUCCUCUCAUAGUCUUCAUCCUCCUUACAUCUCAAUAUGAUGAGAAUGACUCGGAACAUCUCCUUGGUUGUCCAGGGGCAUGUAUUGAGCCAUGAUGGCACGGAUCUCUGAGUCCAUAUACCUCUGUAGGAACAGGCAAUGCAAAAACAGAAUCAGAUUCCACCUUAGAGAUAACAAAAGAUAAUGAACUUAGAAAUAUCAACAGAUGAAAUUCGCUCAUGGCUUACCCGGAUCCUGUACUUGUACACAGCAUAUCCUGCAAUUCCUGCCGCCACUACGCCAAAGAAGAUAACCCACAAGAAGCCCCAGCCUGUUUCUGUUGCUCCAUUUUUACCUGAGUAUAGCAAAUGUGGAAUCAGUAUCAGUUAGUGUCAAGUUCAUGUCUCGAUUCAGCAUAUGGUGCUACUUUGAGCUUUUAAACUGUCAGUAAUCGGAGUAAAUAUUUAAAAUUAUGAUUCAUGUGCCUCGAAUAGGUGAGUUAGCCAGCAACUUCUGCUAACUUAUGGCCUCAAGUCUCACUGGUUAAUUCAACAUAAAAAUGCGAGUCAGUAAUAAACUGAAAGUGUAGAUGUAUGAGGGCUGUACUUAUGCAUGUAUCAUGCUCCUUCAUGUAAAGCAAUCCUCCACUGCAGCCGCACUCAUAGCUUCCCCAUGUGUUCUUGCAUUUGCAUUCUUUGCAUUGACAUGCAGUCCUUUCCUUGCAUUCAUCAAUAUCUGCCACAAAAUAUUUCACAUCAGCAUCAAAUGAAAAGUGGGAACAGUACAGCAGCAAAACCAAUUCUGAAGUGCAUAUUCACAUAUGUCCAUUACUGCAGAAGCUGAGGACGGGCAAGCACUUCUAAAAGGACCUCAGAAAAUGAACCUUACCUUCACAUUUGUGUUUACCAUCACCCUUGAACCCAUCUGGGCAUUUACAGCCAUCAUCCUGCAGAUUACAGACACCACAACUAAAAUUUCAGACUUUGUAAGCAUCUUUUUUUAUCCAAAAGACCAAAACAGAACAGGAUCCUACUGAUAAUAUGGAAGUUUAAGGUCAGCAAAAAACUCAAUUGACACUUACAGUGCAGGCAGAGUAUGUCCGCCCAUCCCUGGUGUCUUUCCAACACCCUCCAUUGUUAAUUUCACAUCUCCCAGAACCAGAAGCUACAAUUACAAAAGCACAUGUUAUAACUUAGAAGGCUCUAGUGACAACUAUUGAUCUUCAGAAAUCUUACUAUGUUAUUGUUAACAUAUAAGAAAAGAAAAUGCCAAAAGAUGAAUCAUAAUGCCUUGCAGCAUACCUUCACAAUGAGUAUAGCCAUCACCAAUGAAUUUUACUCCUUUCACAACUGGACACUCACAAACUCUUCCACGGAAAGUAUCCUGCAUAUUCACCGAACAAUUAUUAUAUGCACAAGCUAAACAUAACAAACUGAUAAUCCAAAUUUUCAAGAGAAACCUAACACCACAGGACAGGAGGUACCUUGCAUGCAGUGAUGUUAGCAGCCUUAUCUUGCCAACAGCCACCAUUGUUCUCUAGGCACUCAUUUGUUUGUAUAUCUAAGGUUAUAAAAAAAACAUUAGAUUUAUAUAAGAGCAUGCUACAUGCAAGUUACACUUGGUGAAGUACAAGCUAGAUCAUAAAUGCAGUAAAAUGGAAAAACUAGGGAAAUCAAUGCACCAACCUUCACUCAAGCAAACAGCUGGCUCAGUAGUUUCCCGAAAACCAGCACAAAGUGCUUUAAGAACUGCUCCUUUGUCAAGCUUCCCUGAGAAACAUAGACUCAGGUAAGUUCAUCUGGUAAUCUCAACAUACUUUUUAGCAUAAUUUACAGGAUAGAAGAGAACAUACCUCUGUAUUGUCUAUUGUUGAUUACCAGAGUUGGUAAGAUGGUAACAUCACCACGAGAGCCCUUGCCAAUCUAUACAAAGUGGUGGAUGGUGAUGUAUUCAGAUUAACAAUAGGAUGAACAGAAAAGAUCACGCAUUCACAUUGACGUACUAACCUGUGCAUCUUGUUCAGCUUUCAGAACAGGGUUUUCUUCAUCAGCAUCUGGAUCACCAAUACAUUUAUCUAUUGCUUUAUGAUCAAGGCCUGUAAAUUAUAAAUAAGUUUAGUACAAAUACUGCACCUUGCCACAAAACAUAGCUAAACAGAAGCAAAUACAAAACAUACCAAGUGACUUGAUAACUCCAUCAGCACACUCCUUCGUGUACUUCUUUUCCUUCAUUGGGCACCGAAUCGCAAAAUCAGUAACGUAGUCCCACCAUAACCAAGGCUUCUUGUGCUCCUUAGCAACUUUAAACACACAAACUUGGCGCAAAUUCUGGACAACCACAUCUUUACCAUCAUAUCCUUUGCUAAAAUCCUGUUCCGGGUCAGGUGCACAGUAUCUACCAUGAUUGAUGCACUGGGACUUGCACUGCUUGCUCAGAAUGAAGGCCUCUGGGCAAUACCAGGUUAUAUAAUGAGGAGUGAACUGUGUGUAGCCUUUCUUCUCAAGUACCUGUGCUGCCCCUUUGAAGCUCUUGACAAAAUCAAUCUGGCUGUCACAUUUUGGGCCACAUUCAUCAUUACUGUUGGUCCAAAAUUCAUACUCAACACGCUCAUCAGGGUGGGGCAGAGCCUCCCUCCAAUCCAAAUUCACAUUGACCAUGUCACCAUUAUCAAUUGCCUUCUUGAGCCUAUCCCCAAAGCUCUUGGUUAUUAGUGCUGAAGGGAUAGUGAUGUUCUCUAAAUAAUCUGCCCUCCCACUUUCCUCAGGGGUGUCCAUUGUAAUUAGAGGUUCAUCCUUGUCGUCAGCGACAAGGAUUGCCGCUGCUCCUGCAUUCUGUGCAUUCCAUGCCUUCUUUGUGAAGUAGCAAUCUGAGCGCAACAAAAACCAUAUUAUGCAAUCCAUCAUGCAUUUAACUAAGAAGAUAUAGUGCAACAUCUUGUAGAACAGACAAAAAAGAGUGUUAUAUAAACAGCAAAUUGCUUGAAAGUAAAAUCAAUGUAGCAUCACCGAAAAUUGACAGGACAUUGACAUAAAUACUGCAGAAUUCUGGAGUAGUGGACUGUGAAUUAAGUUCCCUUUCUAUACAUAUCAAGUCAUGGUUUGGUGGUAGUAUACUUUUAUACAACUGGGUCAAUGAGUAUUAAACUUAAUCACAUCAUUCCAUGACAAGAUCUAAUCUUCUACUCACCAAACUAGAGACCACACAACUAAAAAAGAAUUGCCCACUUGAGGUCAAUCUUUCAACAUCAGUCUAUCCAGUCAAACUAGCACGUCUUGUAAAGCGUACUAGGUAACAGGGACCAACUAACUAUCCAAUCCAACGGACUGGGGCAGAAAGAGACCUUGCUCAGUAAAAUCGCAAGUCCACACGCGGAUGACCUAACAGAGACCAAGUGCUACUACCACAGUGGCAAGGAGAGGAAGCAAUCUUGUAAUUUUGCUCACCUCCCCUGUCUACGAGCAGGAAAGUGGGGAACGCCCCCGGCUUGGCCUUGUAGGAGAUGUCGAAAUCGUCGAAGCUCUUGCAGGCCUUCUUGUUGGCCUUGGGGUAGGCGACGAAGCCGACCAUGGUGCCGCCGUACUGGGGGACACCGAAGUUGCCAAUGGCGCACUCGUAGGUGCCCUUCAGGUCAUCCGGCGCCGUCACCUUGAGGCUGUUCUUCUCCACCACGAACCUCCCGUGGCAGCAGCCCAGAAGGAACGCUGCCCACACCAGCAACCGCAGCAUCGCGCCGGCGGAUCGGAACCCCAUUCUCCGAUCCACGGCCGCACUUUGCAAUUGGCGAAAAACAGCUGGGGAUUGGAUUGAUAUCUGAGGUCCGAUUGAAGCAAGAUAAGAUCAAUCUUGCGGCUGUGCGGGCGAAAAGAAGCCCGAAAACGGUGUCGUAGAGCGGAAAGAUUGGAUUUUGACGGCCGCAGGGAGGGCGUUGGAGCGAGUUCUACACUACUCGGAUGAAGGGGUUGGAGUGGGAGAGAUUUUUCGUGUCAGGGGGUUUGGUUUGGGGGAGGAGAAAGAGGGAAGGAGACGGAAGGACAUGGUGCAGAAGCCUCGUGGUGAACCAAAACCAGAAGAACACGUGACCAAACCCAAACCAACAAGUUAACAUGUGUUUUUUUUUCACAUUGCAUGCAUCUUCAAAGUGAGAAAAACAUAAACACUUGAUAAUCAAAGCUCAAACGGGAAGCGACUGGAAAAUUCUAAAUUAUGACCUUGAAUGGUAAUCUGUAAGCAUGAGAUUAGAAACAACUAAUUUAUAAUUUUUUUCUUUUUCACGAGACACAAAAGGGCUACUCGUGUUAUGUAUGAUAAUAGAUGUUUGGCUUGCAGUUUGAGUAAAACAAUAGUAUAGUCUUUGUCUCGGUACCUUUUAAUUGCAGAAACGGGAAUACUCUGCGAGCGUCCGAGGCACGUAAAUAUAUAGGACGCUGGGGCUCACAUGUUCCCUCGGUGGCUCCAUCUCUCCUAAUUCAUUCUUAUCCACACAUUCAUCCGUCUCCAGUAACACCGCCUCCUGCACCUCUUCUUUCAGCUCCUCUCACUCACACCAGAAUACCAAACAAAUGGCACGGCGAGCUCAGGCAUUUCCAUCUUGAACUCCUCUCACCCUCACCUCUGUGGCCAGCGCGAAGUACCCCGCCAUCCCCAAUCCUCAUCUCGACCUCUUCUCAUCCCCACCGUUUCGAGCAGUCUCCGACGGUGGAGUCCCAUGGGGUAGGCAGCCCACUGUGGGGGCGGCGCCUGGGAGCUUCAUCACGAGCAGCGCCGCGAGGUCUACCAACUUCCAACCUUCUCUCCCUCAUUGCUGCCGCCAAGGGAGAGAAGGUUGCGCCGGCGGCGGCCUUCUCUCCCUCGUCUGGAUGCAUAGCAACCGAGGACCCCUACCUGAAGGAAUGUUGAAAUUUCUCACGAGUUAGGAAUAUUGAGAUUGGUUAUUCCGGAUGUUUCAGUAGGUGAUCGUAGAUGUCGCAAGUUUCUUAAUCUUGCAAUUUUUAUUGAUGUUGUGGAUCGAACACGGUUUGUUACACUCUUGUUUUCUUAAUGUUUGUAACAAUUGUUUCUAGAUGUGGUAAUUCAUUUUUUUUUGGUGUUGCGCUGAUGUGUUUCUAGAUGCUCAACAUAUCUAUUGCAAGGGUUGAUUUUAGUUGUUGCGCCAAGCUUCUAGCAGUAUUGCAUCCGAGAAUUCUAUCAGUAUUGCAUAUGAGAAAAUAUGUUGCAUCUCUUGAUAUGUGUUCGCUUAAUUGCACUUUUCAGAUUUCUUAUGUUCUGGUUACUGUUUUUCAAUGUUGCUGUAUUAUUUUAGGAUAAAUAUCUAGAGAUUUGUGGCAUCGAGAUGAGGAUUUUAGAGAAAACUUUGAUUUUAAACCAGGAUAUGGUUCUUGCAAUUUUUCAUGUGGGAUUGGUUAAGAAAUGGAGUUUUUAUGUGAUCCUCACCCGGUUAUCGAGAUAAGUCACCAAGUAAGAGUAGGAUGAUAUUGCAUGAAAUAUAGCCUUAUGUUGUAGUGGGAUUUUUUGCUGGAUGAUUGUUACUUAGAUCAAAUGACGGUGGAAGACUCGAGGUUAUAUACAGAUGGUGAUUAAGGCGUCCAAUGCUAGCGCCCUUGUGAAAUGCUUUUUCUAGGGGGAAUUGGAUAUAUGCUUAUGCAAACUCUUACGAAAUAAUUGAUUAAAAUCAUUGGUGGCACGUGUUAUGCUUGGGCCGUAUUAAAAGCAAUGAGGCCUGGCAGGCGCAGUUUUGGGCCCUUCCUUCAAUCGAAAUAAGCUAAUUGAUCUGUUGGAUCCCAAGUUCAUGAAGCCCAAAUAAAUAUAUAUAUACAGAACAUUGGAUCGAUCGAUGCUUCUUCUGUAUGGGAGCAAAGCUCUACCAAACAAGACCUUUUUUCGAAGGAAGAGUGAGAGUGAAAACAAAGAUACAAAACGAUCCUUUAAUUACAUGCCAAUUACUUAUCAGCAGAUAGUGAGAAACCAAAAAGGGAAUAGCUGAUUGUAUGUUUACAUGAAUUUUAUCUCAUAUUGGCACGUACGUGUAUAUGUCUUGGAAACUGAUAAUUUGUUUCUCUGUUGUGCAAGUGUAGGUGUAGUGUACAAUGAUCGGUCGUUUAAUAUAAUAUAAUGCACAACACCGCUCAUGCAUGUAUUGGUGUUCUUGAAACCAGCUAGCAUUACUUCCAACUGAAUAAUCAACUUUCAACUGGCAGGUAUAUAAAAGAAAAGAACUGCAGGACUCAAUUGUCAUCGCACAGGAUCUCAACAUGUAUAAGCUAAUAAUUAAUACACUGUCCCCUUUUGUAGUGUGGAUGACUACUGAAAGCAACAUGGGCGGGUUUAUGUGUGUGUAUUGUCGGUGUUUUACCGCUACGCUCCACUGAUGGAUACUCCCGAGGUAGUGGGUUUAUAGGUAGGGUGUCGCUGAGAUCAGAAACUCGAAGAUACAAGGAACACAAGAUUUAGACAGGUUCGGGCCGCUGAGAGCGUAAUACCCGACGUCAUGUGUGGUUUGUAUUCCUUUAGAUGUUGAUUGGGUGAUCUCCUAUUUGGAGAGAAUCCCUAUCCGCCCUUAUAUAGUCUGGGGGGACAGAUUUACAUGAAGGUUCUAGUCGGGUAUAAGCCUAAGAGUCCUACACGAGUACUUCUCAGAUAAUUUCCUAUUAUAUCCGACUAGUUUUACUACUGUAUAAGUAGUCCUACUACACUACGAGUAGCUGCAACAGAUGUAGGGUGUGAGCCAUGUCCCAUCCCGUAUCCUAAGAAAAUUACGCCACAUGCACAGUCCCAUGUGCCCGGGUCUGACAAGCCCCCGAGCUCUUCAUAGUCGAGUACUAUAGGCGUUCAAGUACUUCUGAAGAUAUCUUCGAGUUCUCCCGAACUUCAUCUUGAAUGUGUUUUUCGACUACUUCUUUAGUUGCAUCGAGGCUAUGAGGUGCUCAUGCCCCGAGUAGUUGUCAAGUCUUCUUUUAUAUAGUGUGAGAUUAAACUCGCACUCCAUAUGGAGUAGCCCACGAGCCUUAGGUUGACUCUUAGAAUUAGGUUGAGGGUUAAUUUAAUCUUGAGUCUUCUAUCCUUAACUUUCAACAGAUUUGAAAACUAACUCGCUGAUGACACGUGUCCCGCAGCUCCCGAGUCUUAAAUCCAAAUCCUAAGGUUUGGAAUAAAAGAUCCAAAGAAUCGUGGCAUGAAAUAUGUGACAGUAACGAUUUGAUGGUUAAGAUGGGCAAGUCGGUUCAGUAAAUUCGAAAACCUCUUUUUCGGGAAGAAUUCUCUAAAAAAUUAAUUAAGCAAAUAACUUCUCCAAAAAACACCCAAAAUUACCUCUUAAAUCAAAUCUUGUUCCCUGAGUCAAUAACUAAAUAAGACCUCUAGGUAAUAUUCUAAAAAUAUAACUUAUUUCGGAAUAAAAUCCCUAAAAUAAUGGUUAACGAUCAUCUACCCAAGAUAAAUCUUCAAAAGCCUCUUGAACGGGUACUUUCGAGUAGUUUUACAGCGUCCAGUGUUAAAACCUGAGAGCUGCCCCUGAAAGCAUACUGAGUGCCUUUUCACAUCCAGCCCCCCGAACCAAGGAGCCAGAUGAGUAGCAUAGAAUAUACCUGGCAGUCGGUGGCGCCAGCCCCCGAGCCCAGGCAUCGGCCAAGUAGCUGCUGGAUUUUGAACAAUCGAUGGAGCCGUCUAGUCGGAAUCGAUUCCAACUAGAGUUGUAGGCGAGACGAGUAGUUGAAGUAGUCGAACAGGUGUAGAACUAGUCGUAAACUAGUAAACCCUUUGCGAUGGGAUCAAGGUCUCUUCAGUAACAUAACAUAAGAUACUAGUCUCCAACUAAUAAUCUAUUACUGAAAGUAUGGGAGCGAGGAUCCUUCAGCAAUUUGCGCGCAAUACUAGUCGUAAACCAGUAAAAUGGAGUUAUUCUGGAAGUAUGAGCGCGAGUCCCCUUCAGUAACAUAAGAUACUAGUCGAAAACUAGUAAUCUGUUACCUGAAAGUAUGUGGGAGCGAGGCCACUUAAGUAAACUUGCGCGUAAUACCAGUCGUAAACCAGUAAAACGGAGUUGUACUGGAAAUAUGAGCGCGAGACCCCUUCAGUAACAUAGGAUACUAGUCGGAAACUAAUAAUAUGUUACUGGAAGUAUGGGAACUAGGCCCCUUCAGCAAACUUACGCGUAAUACCAAUCGUAAACCAGUAAAAUGGGGUUAUAUCGGAAGUAUGAGCGCCAGGCAUCUUCAGUAAUAUAGGAUACUAGUCGAAACUGCUAAAUCUGUUACUGGAAGUAUGGGAGCGAGGUCCCUUCAGCAAACUUGCACGUAAUACCAGUCGUGAACCAGUAAAACGUAAUUAUAAUGGAAGUAUUGGUCUCUAGGUACCGUCAGAAGAUGUCUUGAUUGAUUAAGGAUAAAAAUGACGUAAAUGCUCGAUAUUCCAGGAAUUAGAAAUCUCUUGGCCAUCAUGGUACUAUAAGCGAUACGACCUAGAUCCUGUAACAACCUUAUGCACAACAAAGGGCCCUUCCCAUCGCGAGUUAAGCUUGUAUAACCCAGUGUUAUCCUGGAUUUGUCGAAGAACCAUAUCUUCAACAUUGAAAGAGCGUCGUUGAACGUUCCAGUCGUGAUAACGACGGACUCCUAGUAAGUAACGGGUCGAUUGGAACAAGACGUUGCAUCACUGAUUUACUCAAUUGAGUCGAGCUCGAAAUGUCUUGCGGUGUCAGCCUUGCCUUCUUCAAACAUCUCCAGACGAGGAGACUUCCACAUCACGUCAGCUGGUAAUAUAGCUUCAGACCCGUAUACGAGAAAGAAAGGUGACUGUCCUGUGGCUUUGGUUGGUUGUGUGCAAAGCCUCCAAACUACUGAUGAGAUCUCGUCAAUCCACUUACCGUCCUUUUUGAUGUUCUCGUCAUAGAGUCUUUUCUUAAAUCAAUCAAGAAUCAAGCCGUUGCCACGCUCAACCUAGCCGUUGGCCCGCAGGUGAACCACUGAAACGUAUUUGACUUCAAUUGAACUAUGUUCAUAGAAAUCACUGAUGUGAGUGGAAAUUGGAUUCCAGGUCCAUAAUGAUGAUGUUGGGGAAGCCAAAAUGGUGUAGGAUAUCGCAGAUGAAGGUGACCACUCAAUUUGCAGAGAGUGUUGUGAUUGGCUUGUACUCGAUCCACUUGGUAAACUUUUCUAUGGCCACCAACACGUGUGUAAAACCACCCGGAGCAGUAGUCAAGGACCCUAUCAUAUCCAGACCCCAGCAUGCAAAUGGCUAUGAAGGUGUACAAACGGCCAUGAAGGUUGUGAGCCAAAAUAUGGGGUUGUUUGCUGAAGAACUGGAAGUUUGUACACCGGCGAACGAAUGCUUCAGCAUCUGCCAAAGCAGUCGACCAGUAGAAACCAGAUCUAAAAGCCUUGUCGACUAGUGUGCGAGAAGCCGCGUGGUUCCUGCACACGCCUUCAUGAAUCUCUUGGAGUAUCUCUUUGCCCUACUCCGUGCGGACACACUUCAUGAGUAUGCCUGACGCUGAUCCACGCUUGUACAGGUUACCCCCGACUAGAACAUACCCUUUACUGCGCCUUAGGAUUCGAGUAGCUUCAGCGCUUUUUGGGUCGACGCCGGGGGUAUAGUUUGUGCUCCUGGAUGUAGUCGAUGAAGGUCGCCCUCUAGUCGACCUCAAUUAUAAAGACCUCUCGGUCGGGUUCCUUUGGUACAUAGGAUUACGAGCGUGAUUUUUCGCGUUCCGCCUACGCUGGGCGCGCUUGGUGUUCUUCACCCGCCGGAUCCUUCGGUGCUCCUCGUUCUCAUCCUAGGGGCAUCAGCUGUGGGCUCAUCGGUGGAGACGUCCGCGAGUUGCUCAUUGUCGUACUCGGGACCCAGCUCGUUGUUGUCCAUAUUGCGAAGGGAGGCCAUGUAGACUUAAUGAUCCGGCAAGUUAUUAGCCGUAUGGUUGUACUUGAGUAGCUCUGUGCUACUGUCUCCCUCUUCCGCGAUGGGAGAGAAAGGUUUCCCCCUCCUGGAAGGGCAGUUCCUAUGUGAAGGCCACAAGGCGGGACUCGUAGUCGAGUAGUUCAGAGGGCUCAAAGCCCUUCCAGUACAUGAAACGGCCUUGCAGCGUAGAUGUUAUGGUUAAACCCAGAUGGUUGCCCAAAAACGAUUCGGGGUAGCCAUUGGGUUGCAAGUGGUUUUCAAGAGCGGGGGCCUCCCGACGGGCGGUGGCUCCCUCGUCUCCGAGUCCUUCUCGGCUCUGGCUUGAAGGUGUAGUACUAAGCGACGAGUACUCUUCGUUGGAGUCUGAGUAGUUGUCAAAAAUGGCCCCCUCCCCUCGCGGCAAGCGGUGGCUCUCACGUCCUUGAGCUUGAGCAGCAGAUCUAAGUCCCCUCAAAUUGGUUUGAGUCCGAUCCGACUAGUUCUGGUGCAUCACGAGUGGAAGUCGCAUCGAAAACGGACAUCUUUUCGAUCUGCAGGGCCAGAUUGGAGAGCAGCAGCUCGUCGAGAUUGUCGAUGAACUCGUCGAGAUCGCUGCUUCGAGUUGAUGUAGAGGCCUCCGGCUCCCUGGAGUUGACUAGAUGGUUGUUGAAGCCAUCCAAGCCAUUGGCGACGCAGAUUUAGGAGCCAAAGAUGAAGGUUGUGCCCUUGUUGAGUAUGGCGUCGGUGAAGUUGAAAGAUAUCAUCGAGUUCUCCAAUGGAUGCUCGAUGAACACACCUACCUGGCGCGCCAGCUGUCGGUGUUUUACCGCCACGCCACCAAGAGAUACCUCCGAGGUAGUGAGUUUGUAGGUAGGGUGUUGCUGAGAUUAGAAACUCGAAGGUGCAAGGAACAUAAGAUUUAGACAAGUUCGGGCCGCCGAGAGCGUAAUACCCUACGUCCUGUGUGGUUUGUAUUCUCUUAGAUGGUGAUCAGAUGAUCUCCUAUUUGGAAGGGUCCCUGUCCUCCCUCAUAUAGUCUGGGGGGAUAUGUUUACAUGGAAGUUCUAGUUGGGUAUAAGCCCAGCAGUUCUACCCGAAUACUUCUCGGGUAGUUUCCUACUAUGUCCGACUAGUUUUACUACUGUAUGAGUAGUCCUACUAUACUACGAGUAGCUACAAUAGAUGUAGGGUGUGGGCUAUGUCCCAUCCCGUAUCCUAGGAAAAUUACGCCACGUGCACGGUCCCGUGUGUCCGGAUCUAACAUAUAUAUAUAUAUAUAUAUAUAUAUAUAUAUAUAUGAGAAAUCUAUUUUAUAUGCGUUUGUAGCUACUUUUAUGUAUGUGUAUCUCAUGAUGUAUAGUCCACUGACUGACGCUAAUUGCAUUCCAUAUAUAUGCAUAUUAAUUCGGUGCGAAACACUGAAACUAUAUAUACGACGGAAUUGAAUGAAGGUCCCAUCGAUAGAUCUAUUUGCCACUUGCGUCCACACUCACACACGCAUCCAUAGCUUACUGUGUGGUUAAUGUCCUGUUAGUCAAAAUCUUCAAUUAUUGCUACUUCAAUAUUAGAAGGUCAUACAUGAAUUUGACACGUAUUAAUGGUACAAAUAAAAUUGCAAUUUCGACCGACGUCAGGAUUCAGGAGUGACGCUCGACUCUGACAUAGGAUGGUGUUUGUCAUGCUUACGCGCGGUCAAAGUUGCAACUCCAAUCAGAGGUUUCGCGGAUCCUUCACUAGAUUUGCUCGCUUGGCCCUGUCCUUCUUUGUCCUUUCAUCAUCGGUCAGCACUUGUUUUCCACACGCGAUGCACACACAUGAGUAUGACUACUUCAAUUUUCUUUGUAGCAGCAAUUCCUUUACGCAACCACACAUAUUAUCUAAAAACGGAAAAGGUAGUAUAUACUAGGUUUCAUAAAAAAAACUACUUUUUUUUCUAGCUAAGAUUUUAGCUAGUUAUUAAUAGUCCUUGAAGCUGUCGCACAGGAGGAAAAGCUCCAGAUCGUGGAGAAAAUCUUCUCCAGGUGAUGCUUCCUCUGCUGCCAUCUGCGGCGCCAUGUCUCCUCCUGCAGAAUAAUAUCCAUCGCAGCAGGAGUCGCCGGAGAUGCAUGAACUUGUGGUCGACGGCGUAUGGCGCCCAUGAUAAUCUCUUGCGGUACCGCAGGGCUGCUGCUGCAGCUGCUGCAUACCGAUAGGAAAUGAUUGAUCGAAAGCAAGGGCGGAGGAAGCCUCGACAAGAGGAGGCAGCACUGGUGGUGGUUCUUCUUGCUUGACAUUAUUCACGGCAGCACGAUGAUGACCAUUUAUUAUUAGAGGAUUGAUGCUGAUCACUUUCUCGCUGCUGUUGGCAGCUGUGGUUGUGCAGCUAUUGUUGCAGGUGUGCUUGUUGUUGUAGGUGACCUGGAACACGGGAGGGUCGCUGCUGUCCUUCUGCUGGACGUGCUUUGUGGCGAGGCAGCCAGUGUCAUCCUUGUAGGUGCACCUGAAGUAGCUCCUUGUGAAGCUGGUGCCGUUGAUCUUCUUCUCGCCGUAUUUUCUCCACUCGUAGCCGUCCUCGUAAGGCACAGAGGUCAAGCCUGCCCAUGAUGAGGUUUUCCCGCCUGCUUCCACUGUUGUUCUGCAAUCGUUGUUGGAACGGAUCAAUCAAUUAGUAAUUGCAGAAAGAGAAGGAUAGAGAGAAGAGUGUAUUAAUAAACGAUUAAACAUGGCAACGACACUCGAUGGCCUGCUAGCUUAUCAAAUUCGUACGAACCUUCUUCUCUUGCCUCUUCUGGCCGUGCUCGGUAUUGCUUCGCCGGGAUCGGGUGCUGCUCCAUGGCUGGGCGAUGAUGAUGAGAGUAGUUGACGCUCGGCUUUGACGACGACGCUUGUUGGUGUCGCUGGAGCAGGAGAAGGUUGCUGGUUCAUGACGGAGAGGGCGACGUUGAGUGCUCGCAGCGCCUCGCUGAGGAGGCUCUGGGCCAGCUGGGUGGUGGCCGACGGCGGCAGCGAGGAGCAGUGGACGAGGAGGAGGGGCUGCUGGAUCUUGAUGCGCUCGUAAACCUGCGCCACCACCUCCACCGCGUGCUCACGAUCCGCCGCCACACAACAAUCCAUUGUGGUAGCAAGUGAUGAUCGAUACCGAGCUCGACGCCUGCGUGGUUAUAUAUAUAUGCGAGCGCGCGGCACGGUCUAACUUUCAGUUGACCAGUAAAGAAGAGACCAGACGGGAGCAAACAGCUGCAGGUCCAGGAGCAGGUGAUCGAGCUCACUGUACACUAUUAGUACUAUAAGAACCCAAGUUAAGAAGAUCUCCUUGGUAUCAAGAACCUGCCUUUUCUUACUUUCUUUCCUAUAUAUCCUGCGUUAGUUAGCACUAGAGUUCGUUCAGUCGUCGAACAAGACAGAGUUGACGACGCGUAUACGCAGUCAAGGGGAGGAGAAAGCAAAAUCUGAACCGCAGAAACGAACCAAUGUUACAAGUGUGCGCAUGCCAAGCCGGCCAACCCCUGCGCAUGCAUGCGGACAAGCGAGCUGCAGGGAGUCAGAGUCAGAUGAACUGCUGCCGCGUGCUCCCUAUCAUCAACAACAAUAUACUAGCUAUAUUAUAUACCAGUUAAUCAAACUAAAUUAGGGUACAUGGUCAGGUUUCAGAUCAUUCGAAGCUAGCUAGCACAUGUAAUAUAUAAGCCGCUAGCUAGUUAGCUCGGGCUAAUACAACUCGCCAUCAUUAACAAACUUGCGCCCUGCUAUGACAUUAAUAUAUACUGUUGCACAGGCUAGAUUAGUAUAAUCAAACACGUGUUGUACGUUGUAGUACAAGCUUAAGAAUACACCUACAUCUAUCGUGUCUGACCACAACAGGUUGCAGGAAUUAAUUAUUUAGCAACAAUCGAGUAGCUAGCGAUUAUAAUGAUGAUUGGUACGUGCAGUGCCUGCCUGUGGACCUGUUUGGGUUCCCGGUGACUAAAACAAACUCACUGAAGUUUAGUCAGUUUAUAGGUACUAAAGUUCCAAAUAAAAUGACUAAAAACGAUUUAGUCCCAUUAGCUCCCAAAGGAGGAGUUGAGAGGGCUUGCCCUUAAUUUUGGUCCGUUUGUUUGGAACUUUAGUCACGUUUAGUCCUCACCUUACAUCUCUACGCUCGCAUAUGCUAUUUGUUACACCAGCAUAUUACAGCAAUCCUCCAUCUUCCUAACCGCGCUAUCUUCUCUUCCCCUCUACCAAAUUCUUCCGGUGAUUAGUCCAAUAGGGAAAAACAAUUAUUUUUUAUCUUAAAAAAGAAAUAAAAUUCAACCCAUGGGGAACAAGAUGAAGGGUAGGAGAGAAUGAUGAGUGGGGCCAUUAUAUGUUUAUAUUUAUUUCACGAACUUGUUGUUGAUGGGCCUGCUAAAUCGUCCAAAAAUAAAUCCACAUGGCAAAACACUGUCACGCGUGCAGGAUUAAAACCGCCUUCGACUCCCAUGGGUGCAGUGGUGUAAUGUGUCCAAUAAAGGGUUAAAGGGUGUAGAAUGUUUGGGUUAGAGUUGAAGGUUGAAAAAUAUAGUUUGAUGAUAAUUAAAUGGUGUACAAUGGAAUUAACCCUAUAAUUUUUAAUAUAUGUGCACUAGAUUGUCCUCUAGGGUAUUCUUAUUAUAAUGUAUUCAUCACCAAGCUACAUAAAUAUAAAACUUAGGCCUCUGUUGUUUCCACACACAAACAAAAUGCUUCUCUUGUUUGUUUGUUUUUCUUUUUGCUUUUGCUUGUUGGUCUCUCUCGUACAGUAGUAAUUGUUGGCAGCAACAGAGAUAUACUGUGCUUAGGUUCUGUUUGGAUCCAAGUGCUAAUAAAUUUUAGCACUAGCUCAUCCAAACGUUAGUGCUAAUAGGGUGAGUUAAACUUUAGGCAAGACUUUAAAAAAUUUAGCAUGUGUAUGAGUGCUAAUAUGUGCUAAAGUUUAGCACUCAAUUUUUAAUUAAGCAAUUUUGGGAAUGUAAUGCCGACGUUAGGGUAAGCACGUCAUGCAUGCCAACGUAAUUAAUAAGAGAAAGAGCGACCAAUAUAUAUAAAUGUUGUUGACGAUCGAUGUAAUGAGGUAGCUAGUCCAAGGGCGACCACGCACGUGACGCCCCAGGCCCACAUACUGCAGGAUCCUCGCUAGAUUUUCCCCGUUCUUUCAUCAUGCACUUGUGUCUGUUGUGCACUUGUCUUUCCACACGCAGAGCAUACAUAUAUGAUAAUAGCGCGUGUAACUUUUAUCUUUACUACUGCUUUAUUUUGCUUUUGAUUUUGUUCCCUCCGGAAACUGCAGGCAUGAUGUUUAAGGAUAUAUUAUUUGCAUUGUGAGCCCUACGUUUGUCACUUCAUCUUGACCCACUCCCCUAUCAAUUAACUAGGGUGGCACUGCGAGAGCAAGUGAUUAAACUACCUUGAAAUCUCCUGUCGUUCCGUUUCCUCAUUAACUGUUGUAUUAGUUUGAGUACGUUUUCCAGUCCAACAAGCUUGCGUUUGCUUUGAUGAGUAACUAAUAAUGAAGCUAGCUUGCUCUAGUUUCUUCAUUCCUUUAAUCUGAUGGAAACUUUCAGCUAGCAGAUCAGCUCGACCAAGAUAUUUAUUGCUAGCUAGUGGGAGAAAAAGAAAAAAAAACAAACCAAGUAGGGUUGCUCGAUAGCAAGCACACUACGUACUGCUAGUGCGUGCGCACGUGUCCUUGGAUCGUGCCGCAGUGUGCGUUCACAUGAGAAAGUGAGAGUGGCCGUCGUCCUGCAUUAGCGAAUAAUUAAUCUAGGAUAGACGACUAGCUUGGGUUCAAGUAUAUAUAUAUACACGCAUACAUACGGUAUACAUACUCAAUGAGAGCGAUGCUCCAUCCAUCCUGAAACAUAAGACAUCGAAGGGUUCAAAAUUUGUACGCAAAUAUAAAGUACCCUAGAAUGUUUUAAAAACUAAUUAUUUCUGACCAGCUAUGAAAUCAGCAAAAUAACAACUAAACAAAAUAUUAAAUAGUGGUACAUGCGUAUUUUAUUCUCUCUUUUAAUUUAUCUUAGAAUUGCUAGAAUACCUUACAUUACAUGACGAAGGAAGUAGAACCACAUGAAAGCAAGCGUGGUCUCCUGAUGGAAACCUGCGAUCGAUCCCACUCUGCUUUCUAAUUAUUAAUUAACGUUAACGUCUGAAUCAUUCCGGGUCUUUCAGAAAAUAAAGCUGCUAAUAAUAUACGCAUGGCUAGCUAGCUUUUGGUCAACAAAUUGCAAUAAAGCGUGAAAAUAACAGAAUAAACGACUUAUCGGGUAGGGUACGGCAUUUCUUAUAACCUACCUAGUAUUAAUUUGAUGUCGGGUGUCCUGAAAGCAACCCAUGUAUUUACUACUCUACUUGCCGAUGUAUCUAUAUGCUCAAGGAAACUACUGAUUCACACAUUCCAACACCACACAUAGAAGGAACAUACAUACCUCUUGAGGCAUACCAAAGCCAAACUGUUUCUAGCAUAUCUCAUGAGAGAAAAAUCUACGUAACAGACUAACAGCAGUUGGGCAUUAUCAGAAUGACCAGGCAAAUAUGCUGCCAUGCUUUCGACACAUUGUCUGUACAACAAAUAAAUUGUGCUGCCUUCAUUACACAUUCUUUUUGGUCUAGCAAGGAACUCCAAUCCCUUUCCUCACGUCAUUCAGCACAAAUGUGGCUUGCUUGAAUGCGAAUGUAAACAACCAACUCAGGUAAUCUCUCUAUCGAUCAAUGGGGCUCAGUAGGUUGGGUCCCAGUAGUUGAGGCCAGAGACACCAAUGUCGCCUCCUACUCCAGCAGGCAGUUACAAACUCCACUCGGCACUUCAACAGGCACCAAAAGCGUCCCAUCAUAUAUGCUUCUUCCCCCUCGAAAUUAUCACAAAAAAUGGAAGUACUUGAUGCAUAUCGAUUGACUGACCAGCAACAAUGUUCUCAGCAGAGCAUCCUUGCUUCUAGACUGCUCGCUUGCUGCUGAAAAACUGUCAACCUCCAUCAUAACCAGUUAACUGGACUGUUACUUGUAGGAGUUGACGUGUCUGUCCACUGAAACUGUCUUGAAUGGGGGAGGGGCUUCUCUCUGGUUGUUGACUGGCUCUGAAAGAAUUUAUGUUCGGGGACUGUGGCAUAGCUGAGGAUAUCAAGAAUGUGGCCUGCUCAAUAGCUGUGUGCGGGCUGAAGCAGAUUGAUACUGCCUUCCUUGAGGAUGAUUACGCCGCAAUAUCUCUAGUGCUGCCAAUGGGAUUUGAGCUGGUGCUGCAGGUGUGAUGGUUCAAGCAACUCACAGAAAACAAUGGUAGAUCGCUGGUGUCCUUCUGUUGCACUUGCUUUGCGGCAGGGCACUGAUCAUGUGGUUCCUCUAAGUGCAUCUGUGAUAGAACCUGAUGUGCUUAUAAAAUUCAUUUAUCAACCAGUAUCCAAAAUUUUGAUCAUGUUGCUGCUAGCAGGAUCAAAACCUUUAUCCGCAGGCACAUGUCCAGCCUUUGAGUAUCUGUUAUUGUGCAUAGUCUCAUAUGUCCUGAACAUCAAGAACUCGAGAAACAGGCACCUAUCUAUGUCCUCAUUGUUAACCUGGGGAUCGUUCUCCAUUUCCCUUUGUGCCCAGUCAAUUAUAUUUCUAGUAGCAUCAUCAAAAACAAAAGAAUCUUCCCUGAGCUUCUCAGCCCACAUAAGGGCUCUCUUUCCAAAUCCUUGCUUGCAGAAAUGAGAAAGGAAAACAUUAAGUGUGAUAGUGUUUGGUUGAAAAGCCAUCUUAAUCAGCCUGCCAGUCAGUAUCAUAGCUCGAUCAAGAACAUCACUGCAAAUGCCAUCCAUCAAUGUAUUGUAUGUAACUGAAUUAGGAGGACAACCCCUUGUAACAAGCUCAUCUAACACCUUCCCUGCUUGGUUCAACAUAUGGUUGCUGCAGAGGCUAUGCAUCCAAAUAUUAUAUGUGAAAAUAUCCGGUUCACAACCAGCUGCAAACAUCUUAUUCAUGAAACUCAUAGCACCAUUCAUAUCCUGAGCCCUGCAAUACGCAUUGAUUAUAGUAUUGUACGUCACUGUGUCUGGGAUUAGACCAUUACUGCACAUGUCCAAUAAAAGGCUGUCCACCAUCUUCAAGUUUCCUUGUCUGCAAAAACCGUCGAUUAGAAUGUUGCUUGUGUAAACAUCAGGAACAAGGCCACUCUGCCUCAUCUUCUGCUGUAACUUCAAAGCUUCAGCCAUAUUGCCUGCCCGACAAAAUGCAGAUAUGAUGGAGUUGUAAGUAAUAUUAUUCGGUUCAAGUCCUCUUGUUGUCAUCUCAGCAAAUGCCUGAUAGGCCUCAUUCACAUAAUCUAAACGGCAUAGGCCAUUGACAUAUGCUGAGAAGGCAAUAAAAUCAGGCUGUAGACCAAUUUUUUCCAUAUCACCCCAACAUUUCAAAGCGCGGACUGCAUCGCCCUCUCUGAAGGAUGCAUCCAAGUAGAUAGUAAAUGAUGUGCUUAGACAAUAUCCCUUGCUAACCAUGUGUUCUAAAAUUAGCUGCCCCUCAUCAAGCCUUCCUUGAUUGCACAGCCCCAUUAUCAAGUAAUUAAAAGUAUGCGUUGACGGUGCCAGCCCUACCUCAUUCAUAAUUCUGUAUAGUUCAAACGCUGCUUCAUGGAGUCCCUCCUUGCUAUAAGCAGCGAUCAAUGCAUUAAAUCCAGCAACACUAACUGGAACACCCUGCUCAAUAGCACCGCGCAGAAGCUCCCAGGCAUCAUCCAAUCGGUCAUCCCAACAAAGCCUACAGACCAACACAUCCAACCCAUCAGCCGGCAAGUGUGAAGCAAACAUUUCACGAUCAUGGACUAACUGGGCAGCAUGCCCAAACUUGUACGCUCCAGCAGCAAGAAUGUUGAAGGUGCAGGAAUCUGGCACUAAUCCUCUCACUUUCAUCUCCCUAUAGGCUGCGCUGGCCUUAUCCAUCCGUCCAGUCUUUGCGUAUCCAUCUAUCAAGACAUUGAAGGUUAUUGUAUUUUCUUUGAUCCCCACCUUUGCCAUCUCAUCGAACAGCCUCCUCGCUUCCGCCAUCCUCCCCUCAUGGCACAGAACAUCCACCAGUAUGUUAUACGUCACGACUGUCGGCUCACAUCCUGAACUGCGCAUUUCCUCAAACAGCUUGAAGGCGUCCCCUGACCACCCAAACACACAAUGCCCCUUGAUGAGGAUGUUAUAGCUGACAAGGUCCGGGAUGAUACCGAACUUCUUUUCCAUGACUCCAAGCAGCCCCGAGCCAAUGCGCAGCAUCCCCCUGUGGCAGAACCCGAGGAUCAUGGCGUUGAAUAUGGCCAAGCUCGGGCGCGGGCCCCUCGUGGCCAUUUCCUCGAACAUGUUCCAGGCAGAGCGGACCUCACCGCUGCGGAAUAGAAGGCGCAGCAAUGCGGCCAGAGCGGAGAGGCUGGGCGUAUUCCCGGAGCUGCGGACGCGCGCGAGGACGUGGAGCGCCUCGGCUGCCAUACCCGCGGCGAGGAACGCGUGGAGCGCGAGCCGGAGCGCGGCGUACCGCACGCGAGCGCUUCCGCCGGUGCUCCCGUAGGAGGACGACCAGGAAAGGAGGUCCGGGGAGGCGGCAGGGAGGAGCGCCGCGAGGAGGAUCGCGGCGAAGGGGCGGAGCGCGGACGCCGACGCCGCGAGGCGGGAGGCGGCGGCGAAGCGAGCAGCGAGUGAGGUGGAGGAGGGAGAGCCAGAGGAAGGUGGGGGGCUGAAGGCGUGAAGCGCGAGGUGGCAUUGCGGGGAGGUCUUGAGAAGGCACGCGAGCGCGAGGAGGGCGUCAUGGCGGAGCGACGCCGGCAGCGAGAGGACGCGGCGGUGGUCGGGAUGGAGGAACUGCGCGGUUGGAUCGUAGUCGUAGGAGGAGGAGGAGGUGGUGGUCGUCGAGAGGAGGCGGUGGAGGGCGGCGAGAAGAGGGUGCGGUGUUUUGGGUUGCCUCGCCGCCGCGGCGAGGAGGCGCAUCUGGCGCGGCCGCGGCGGCGGCGGAGCGGGAGGAGGGGGGCGACCGAAACGGAAGCAGGCAGCGGAACUGCACAGGACUGACCCCUCCCUCACUGGCGUGGGUCCAACAGGCCCACACGUCAGUCACCAGGGCAGCACCAGUCGCACGGAUUUCAAUAAUCUUUGAUGUGAAGUCAUGUUGCAGCUUGCAACAGGUCCACUUCAACUUUGAACAAAUUCUUGAUAUGGCAGCGCUCCUGCUAAUUUUCAUGUAAAAUUUGAACUGAACAACAUCCAGGCAUAAACUAAGCUGCAUUUUCUCCUGAUAGAGAAACCAACUUGCUUCUAAAACUCAAGACACAUUAAUAAAACGUUCAGUGUUUCAGUAGUAGCAGAAUGACCAAGCGACCCUGCUGUCAGGAUUCAGGAAUUCGAGACAUACAUACUAGUCUCAUCUCUAAACAAACAAAUAAAGCUACCUCAACAACCCUUUUCUGUAUCACGUACUAUCAAAUAAAAGAAACUCCAAUACCAUUCUCCGCAUCAUUCAAGCACAAAAACGUGGCUUGAGUAUGCAUGUAAAGAAGUAAGCAACAGGACUGUAAUAUCUAUAUGGGGAUCUGUCUGUAGGUUGGGUCCCAGCAUAUAUAGCCUUCUUCUUCCAUGAACAGCAUCACAAGAAAUGGAAGUACUCGAUGCAUCUGGACUGACCGAUCGGCAGCAACGUCCUCGGCAGAGCAACCCUGCUGCUGGACGACGCGCUUGCUGCUGAAAAACUGUCAACCUCCAUCUGAACCUGACUGUUACUUGUAGAAGGAGACGAUGCGUCUGUCCACUGAAACUGGCUUGCGUAGGGGCUCCUCUCUGGUUGUUGAUUAGCUCCGAAAGAAUGUACGUUCGGGGACACUGGCAUCGCCGAGGAUGUCAAGAAUGCGGGCUGCUCACUGGCUGUGUGCGGGCUGAAGCAGAUUGAUACCGCCUUCCUCGAGGAUGAUUGUGCAGCAGUAUCUCUCGUGCUUCCCAUGGGAUUAGAGCUGGUGCUGCAGGUGUGAUGGUUGAAGUAAGUGACGGAAAACAAUGGAGGAUCGCUGGUGUCCUUCUGUUGGACUUGCUUUGUGGCAGGGCACUUCAUGUCGUUCUUGUAGGUGCAUCUGUAAUAGAACCUGAAAAUAGAAGAUCAGUCAUGUCCUUCCCCCUCUGUCAACAUUCAGUCUACCUAAAUUAGGUGGAACGGCAUCAGUAAACACUCUCACGACCUUUUCUUCUGCUACAUACACUGCCUUUUAGAAAAAGAAAUAAUUGCUGCCACCUAUUAAACAUGCUCUUAAUGGGCUAACGAGACAUAUGGGGUCUGCACCACAUUCAAAUCGCCAUCUAAGGAAGUAGAAAAAGGGUAGCAGGGACUGUCGGCAUGCAUACUAAUAGCUGAAAACUUGAUUUGGGAGCAAGCGCGCUAAACAAAUGAAGGAACACUUAGCCUGCUAGUGAAGUAUUACAUUUCAGACGAGUUGCCAAUCACAGGUAAUAAAGGUGGCCAACUUGUGAAUUGUAUAUUCAUACUGGAAGCAACACUUUGCAAGUUUUCGUCUGUCUAGUUGAGUUGUCAAUUAAGAAAAAUAUUGCCACUGCAAGGGUUAUUUUCCUAGUACAGUAGUCAUUACAUAAAGCAAUUUUUAAUUGAUAAAUAUUUGUUUUCUUUCAACCAGUCAAGGGGUAUGCCGACACCUGUCCACCGACAAUUCUACCACAGAGUGAUUAGUAGACAACUGCGCAGUUUGAUGAGUCAUCUGUCCCCUGAUAUACUACAAAUGUUAGGCGCGCUAAGAAGCAAUGUGAUUUGGGGCUCAAAAAGUAUCUGGCCCACAAACUGAACAUACAAAGGACUAUAUAUUGACCAAAGCAAGAGAUUUUUUUCUAUUUGUGGGCAACUUUAGAUUUUAUUUCAGGUAAUGUAAAGAUUGGAGCUUAAUUACAUGAAGAGGUCUGCUGCAAGAUUUGUUCUCCACUUAGACUGGUGAAUCUAUGGUAUUCCAAACUCCAUCCGAAGUUAGCAGGCCCUUCGUGAAUUGCAAUUUUAUAAAGUUAGCACAUGAGCUUCUUCAAUGGACUACCAAGAAGUAGACGGUCCAAACUGGACUGCUCAAGAUUUGUGCUCAUGAAACUACCGGAACACGCUACGUUUAAGAAGAAAAUCACAAGAGAAGAUAGGAAGCAUGUAUAGUUCACCUUUAUUUAUAUUACUGGAAGGCAGGAUAGCAUAAAUCUAUUAAAAACCAUGAAUUAUUCCAGUCAAAACAAGGCAAAGGUGUUCCUAAAUUCCAAAUAUUUGAGGUAAUCACUCUCAGUUCACACAGUAACAGGUCCCACACAAAUUCACUCCAGAUCUAGUAAUAACUGAAUUGACCAUUUGCGACAACUGUAUCAUGACAACAGUAAGAGAAGUUUUUGCACACAAAGGGGGUGCAUGCAUGCAUGGACUGAAAAAAAAACGCUUAUUCAGGGAACAAAAUGCAUGGCAAAAGGGGGGUGAAGGCAAGAGGGACUAUGAACCUUGGGAAGUUGGAGUUUGAGAGCUUCUUCUCGCCGUACUUCCUCCACUGGUGCCCGUCGUCAUACGGCGCGUAAGUGUCCGAGGUCCAGGUGCGCUCAUCUUUCCUGGUGUUUUUUUUUUACAGAACAGAAAUUGAAGAAAAGGCACCAUGAAACUGAAAUUCGUGCAAAUUUCGCGCAGCAGGGGGAAAUCGAGGAAGCUGCGCUUCUGCGUACCUGAUCCUUUGCUGCUGGGUUCUGACAGCCCUGUGGGAUGAUCCCAAGUCGCUGAGAUAGGCAGGAACAGAAUCCAGAGCCAUGGCAAGGAUGGUGAAGGAGAGAAGCGGAGGGAGGACGCUGAACUGAUGAAGAGGGAGGGAGAGAGGAGACGUUUCUUGGGGGAACUCGGCGGCCUGCGCUGGGAGACUCUGACCACCUUAUUUUAUAGCAUUAAACAACGACGGUGCAGGAGCAUUCUUCAACGUUAACACGCGUCGCUGCCUCUGCAACUCCCCCUAACGGCGCUGCACUUUCUCUUCGUGCAUUUUUGUUUUAUAUCAUCCUUUCUUCAUUUUGUUCUACAUGGUAGAACUCCUUUCCAGCUUAUUCCUACCAAUUACAAUUUACAAGCACUAAUGUCCUUUUGCAGCCCUGCAAGUAAGAAUCUGUCCAAGAGCUAUGCUUUGUUUCAUCCAUGCACAGCAAACUUUGAUAUAAGCAAAUGACAUUUAUAUGCCAGGCUGAGAGCAAUGAAGACGUUGAAGGAUUAAGAAAAUAUUGUGCAUAAUUUCCCAUAGACCAAAAGACUUCUUUAUACCUUGUUCUUUUUAUCUCCACUAGAUGCCAGUCAAAUAAUUUCAGAAAUAAUUUGAGUGUCUCUAAUCAGUGACGAAACGGAGAGGAACUGACGGAGCGAGGCUGGCAUCAGAUAGCCCGACACUUCUGAAUAACUAAUGCAAGCGUCAAUACAAAUCCAUGUGCAAGAGAGAACAGCUAGCUAGCUGAUGCCCUGGCUCUGCAUUUCUUUACAUUUCUGAAGACUCUCAUCGUGGUCUUAUAUUACUUGUUAAAUAAAAAGGAAGCACAGCUUUAUUACAAAAUCUUGGGUUUGGUGGAUCAAUCCCCACCGGCACAGGCUAGCAUAGGGACCAAUAAAGAGCUUAUAAUACUGCAUCCCUUCGAACAAACUUUCACCAAGUAGUCUUUUUCAAACAAGUCCCAAGAGAGAGAAGCAUAAAAGGAAAGAAAACAAUCUUGUCAGUGACUCCUGAUUUAAGUACUAUUUAUUACAAUGCUAAUGACGUUAUCGAUAGAAAACAUCGCUCUAUAGGAACUGUUGAAAAUGACAUGAUUUAAAAUUUUCUUUCCAACUUUAAAAUCAAAAGCACUUGGCUAGUUGCUAGGUGCUUCUACGCUCUUCUAAAAACGUAAAUUUACAAAUCCUAAAGCAACAAUGCUACUGGUGGUGUGUUUUCAACUUUCAGUAGGGCACAAAUCCACAAUUCCAUUGUGUUUCUUGUGAUUAGUUUAGUAUUCACACUUGUUCAUGGAUUUCCUUUUCAUUGUAACUUGUAAUUAGUUUAUUACUGCCACUUGUUCAUGGGCAAAUCAAGUCCGUUUGAACAUGACAUUAGCCGCAAAAAAUUAGUGGUAUACUGAGCUAACAAAGAGUCCUGCUUAGUUGCUAUGGUUUUUAUGUAAGUAUUGAAUUAUCCCUUUUUUCUGAAACAUGGAUGAUUGACCUGCAUAAUAGCAUAGAAGUAUUUUGUUAUUUAUUGCACCAUCUAGAAGGCUAACUUUUGCUCGCUAAUACUAAAUAUUACACUGUGGAUGACCACAGAACAGUAGAAACAAUUUGUCCUUUAAAUAGCAUUGUGUGAUACUGAUAUUUUAGCCAUUGAAAUUGUGGCUAUAGAAGUGGCCGCAUCAUCUCACACAUUAUUUUGUUGCAGAAUUAGGAGAGCUAGUGGACAUUCUGGUGGCCGGUUCAAACAGUCAAGCUUAGUUUAUUUACUUCAAAGGCAUCCACAUACAAACAAACAGCUCACCCAACCAUUCUUUUAUUUACUUUUUUCUUUUUUAUGGAAUGAAGAAGACGGUUGUUUUAUUCUAUUACCAGAUCAUUGAAGAAAAUUAUAUUUGCAAUGCAGUAGUACCUAGCCUCAAUCAAGACUCAGGGGAGGUGCAAAUGGCCAAAGCCUGAACCUCCUUGAAUUCAUCUGUGUUUCAAAUACUCCAUUCUUCCUCAGAAAAUGCAAAAUACUGCCAAUUCCAAAGAAGAAAAAAACUGAACUUCCCCCCAGUAUGCAUGGUUUCAUCAAAAGGGUCAAAUAUUUGGAACCAGCGAGAGCAGAGAAUAGGAAUAUAAUUCUUUACUCUACACUAGCCUUCAAAAGUUGUUUAAGACCAUUUACAAAGCAAUAUUGAAGCCUUUUAUCAGGAACCAAACUUCUAACAGUGGCUGCUAUUUUGUUCUUUCUUGAGCCCACCCAGGGCCUUAGUCAUAAACAAUGGGGUCAGAUGCCCUGGAACUUGUGAGCAGCCCUUAAUUGAAUAAUUAGAGCCUAAUGGAGGAAAACAAAGACAACCUAGUUGAUCUGCUAUCUAAAAAGUGGUGUUGAUACAAGGUGCUUCCAUGUGCUGCUGUGCUGUUUGCAUGCAAAUUGUCCAAUCUUAAUCGAUCCACGAGAAGAAUCUCGCUGAUUAUGUCCUUGAUGGGGGGCGGUGGGAUGGUUCCUGGAAGCUAAGAUCUCUUCAGGGGACCUAAGAUGGAAAUUAAACGGUGCUAUGUCCUUGACAGCUGAUAUGUGGUAGUACCAAGCUUUCUUUCAUGACGUAAAAGUUAGGAUGACAAAAAAUAAAGUCAAGGAAGAUAUCAUUCCACUUGGACUCAACUGAAUCAGUUCCGACCCCCAGCACCAUAAUGUCGGAAAGACCCCUCUUUUUCGCACAUCGAUUUUAACCCCUCUUUUCCGCAGAUGGUGUCUUGAAUCUAACUCGGCUUAAGAAAAGAAUUGUUCUCAAAGACGAUAAACGCGGCACUCAGAUAAUAUUGCUAUGAUAAUACCACCACCCCAUGUGUAGGAAUCAAGGCUCAGUGGUUGCUAGGAUAAAAAAUUCCCAAUAAGAUGUUGAAUGGGUUUAGGAUCCCUAGUUAAUUAGUUUAUGCAGCCAGCUGUUUUAUAUAGAAAAUCAAGAGGAAGCAGCUUAUUAGGGACACAACAAUCUUGACACAGUUUGCUGCUACCAGUAUUCUAGUAUAUCCUGCAGGCUGCUGCAGCUGCUGUCAAACAAUAUUAAUUAUAUCUGCAGGCUUGUGGCUGCAAUGGGAUAGUACUUACUGAAAAUCAAAUAACAUACCUGUUGACUUAGGUGUCGUCGGCAAGAGAGAGAGAUCCAUGCAUAGGGAUGAAUUAUUAGCAUCAAAUGAGACAAGUUUAAGCAAUGAGAAACGUGCUAAUUCAAAUGAAAUGCUGUUGAUUAGAUGACUACUCGAUGUAGAGGGGGUACCUCGGUUAUGGAAGCUAGCUAGGCUAUGCAUGCCAUGCCAUGCAUAAAUAGUAGGACUCAUUAGAACAAGAACAAAUAGAGCUAGAGGUGACUGGCCAAUUAAUUAAGCUUGCGUCUGUGAUGAAUCAGAAGUUCAAAGCUAACACGAACAGCACAUGUGUACUGUACACAGUAGGCAUGGAAAUUUACGAAAAACUACUAAACGAGAUACAGUAGAUUAAAAAGUACCCAAAUAAUUAACUAAUGUAUUAAGCACUAGCAGUAGUAUUGAACGAAAUUACUGGCUGCCGGUUGCAGGUGGAUCGGAUCGGAGACGGCUGGGGCGAAGCAACAAGACAUACGCACAACAGUCAGAGUUGGUAGAGAUCGUCCUCCGGUUGGCCGGAGCCGGGGAAGGAGGCGGGAGAAGUGGAGACCCAUAAUCUUGGGCUUGGGGGUCACCGAAGCUCCGGCUGGGCACGCGCCUGGGCCGCCGCUGGGAGGAGGGCAAGGCAUCAGUAAUCUUGGGCUUGGGGUCAGCUGGCGGGCUGGACGAUUUUGUAGUCUGUUGGGCCAGCCAACCUCAUUCUUUAGCAUUGAUACGAUGGGCCUCAUUUAGGCCCUAUUUGGUUUCGCUUACCUGAGAAUCGCUUAUAUGAGAAUUAAGAUUUUCUCAUAAUCCGCUGUCUGGAGAAUCUGAUGUCUAAAGAAUCUGGGGUGUUUGGUAAUCCUGAUUAUUUCUACUGGAUUGUCUGUUCUGACUGUAAAAUGACCUAUAUGCCCUUGAGUCCUGUAAUAGCUCAUUUUGAUCUGAUCUCUCUACCAUUUUCAAUUCUAAAUAUAUUAUUAGUACCAGAAUUUUAUUAUAGUAUAAUUAUAGUCAUAAAACACACAAUAAUAAUAAAAUAAACUAAUAAAUAAUAGUCAUGAUGAAUAUAGAUUAAUAAGUAAUACAAUUUUACAAUGAUAUUCAAGACAUCAUAGAGGCAGCAAUAGCAUUACGAAAGGCACACAUAUCAAUGUCAUCUCCUGGAGCACUAGCAUCGAUCAUGGUAGGUUGGCUGUCACCGGUAGCAUCAUCUUGCACAUCGGAGUUGAAAUCUGGAUCUUUAUUGGUAUUUUCUCUAACAAAAUUUUGCAGAGCCAUGCAUGCAACUAUAAUUUUUGCUUGUUUGGUAACAGGAUAGCUAGGUAAGUGCAACAAGAUACGCCACUUCAUCUUCAACACUCCAAAUGAACGUUCAAUCACAUUUCUAAGUGAUGAAUAUGCUUGAUUGAAUAUUUCUUUUUCUCCCACUGGUUGGUGAUAUUGCCAUUCCGAAACAUGAUACCUUUGUCCCUUAUAAGGUGCAAGAUACCCUUUUCUAUUAGGAUAUCCGGAGUCUACAAGAUAAUACUUUCCAUUGGGAGGCUUUGGGAAUUGGUUCUGGUAUGUGAGUAGAGUAUCCAAAAAUACUCGAGUGUCAUGUACGGACCCAGACCAGCCAGUGACAACAAAUGUAAAUCUCAUAUCAAAGUCACAAAUAGCCAUGACAUUUUGUGAAGUAUACCCAUGCCUACCAAUAUAUUUUGGUUGUUCAGAUGCUAGAAUAGUAACUUCGAUAUGCGUGCCAUCGAUGGCACCAAUACAAUCUUUGAAAUGAGGCCAAAACCUUGGUUCUUGCAACUUAGGGUGAAUUGUUCCAAUCUGUGGAUCCUUUGGCCUAAUAUUGUGAAAAGCCAGUUCCAUAAUAGCAUCUACAACUUCAUCAACCUUUCUACUAAUUAUUUCCAAUGAGUGUUUGAACCUAUUCUUAACUUGACUAAAUGAUUGAGGACCACCACACAUCCACAAAAAAUAUGGCUAAUGCUUCCUUCGUACAUAUUUUUCGACUUGAUUUCAACCUAUAAUUUUAUACCAAUGUGUCAUGGAGACGUAGAAAAACUGACCUUGACAUUCUGAACAUAUUAUAGCACUCAACUGGAUCCACUAGAGUUAGCUCAACCCAUUGGAUCCCUGUCAUAAUAGGAAUAUUAUCAGGAAUUGGUGCCUUCCUACCAGUUGAUCCAGAACCCAUGCACUCAAAAGCCAAAUACGCACAGAAAUCAUCAUUGAGUCACUCAUAAAAAAAAAAAAAAAAAAAAAAAAAAAAAAAAAAAAAAAAAAAUUUUAACAAAAAAAAAAAAAAAAAAAAAAAAAAAAAAAAAAAAAAUAA
This 332023-nucleotide long non-coding RNA is filed under the name Panicum hallii. RNAcentral describes it as "long non-coding RNA (PHAL_LNC000753)". The record is from RNAcentral. Lineage: Eukaryota; Viridiplantae; Streptophyta; Magnoliopsida; Poales; Poaceae.